UCCUCUCGACUACUUCGCCGCCGUCGUCCUUCGAUCUGGUGACAUCGCCGUCGCCGUCGGCUCUCUGCCUCUCUCCCUGAGUUCCCUGCUCCCUGCCUCCCUCUCCCUAUCUGUCUCCCUUCUUCCUCUAUCCUGUCCAUGAGCAUGUGAGUCCGCCUCCCCGUCUCCGUUCCGUAGUCGCUCGUCGUCCUUCUUAAUCUCGUCUUCUCCGGCGCCGGGCUCCGGUUGCGCAGGUAAGAUCUAACCCUAGAUCUCGUCUUCUUCGUCAUUUUUCUUUUCCCCCAUUCUAAUCUAACCCUAGAUCUGUUCUUUUUGCAGGUCUGUUGCCGAUGCCUCGUCGUCAACUAGCCUUGGUGGCGUAGACGGACGACGGGCUAGGGCAAUGGCACCGCGGCCAAGUCGUGGCCACGCACCGUUGAGGAAUGGUGCUGGAGGAGGAGGAGUACAGUCGUCCGCGGCCGAGGGCCCCUUGGCGACGACGUGCGACGAGUGGACAGGGAAUGACGACUUCAUCGCUGCUGGGCUGUCCCCGGAGAGGGACGAUGACGGCCGUGACCCCUUUGAUGUGUUUGUCGACGCAUCCGGUGGCGGCGGGUCACAGCCUCCCGUGAACGACGUCGAUCCCGUCGAUGCGGUGGACUCCAACACCCACACCAUGAGCACUGGUGUUAAUGGUAAUGGUGAUGGUAAUGCUACUCCUUCCUCUGGUACAUGUGGUAAGCGACGGUCUAAGUGUUGGGAAACAUUUGAUGAGGUUUUUGAGAUGAUAAAUGGUAAUCGUGUGCGUGUUAAAGCUAUCUGUAAGAUUUGUAAAAAAGUUUUGAGUGGUAGAUCUGCUGCUGGUACUGGUCAUAUUCUUAGGCACGCUAAAGGUUGCCUUGCUAAACUUGAUUAGCAAAAUAAGGUUCAGUCUCGACUAGCUUUUAGUUCUGAUGGGGCUUUGCAUAAUUGGAACUAUGAUCCUACUGUUGCUAGAACUGAACUGUGUAGAUUGAUUGCUAGGCUUGAUCUUCCUCUUGGUUUUGGUGACACUGAUGCAUUUGAAGAAUACAUUGUUCGUGCUCAUAAUCCAAGAUUUGUUAGAUCAUCUAGAAGAACCACCACUAGAGAUCUAGAUAAGUUAUUUGCUGAACGUCGUGCUAUGAUUAGGAACUGUGUGCAUGCUUCAUCAUCUGUUGCUUUGACUUCUGACAUAUGGUCUGGUAAUGCUAAGGAGGAUUACAUAUGUGUUGUUGCUCACUAUGUAAAUUCUAACUGGGAGUCGCAAAAGAAGAUUAUAGGUCUUAGGUUGAUUGAAGUUAAGCAUAAUGGUGAAAACAUUUCUGCUGCCAUUGCAUCUGUGGUUGAGGAAUAUGGCUUGAUUGAUAAGAUCUUUUCUAUCACUUUAGAUAAUGCAUCUUCCAAUGCUAAGGCAAUGGAAACUUUGACACCCAUGUUUGCUGGUUAUCUUGGUCCUGACCCUGCACCUGAUGAUGAUGAUCCUAUUAAUAGAUCUUACAGUCUUGUGCAUCAACGUUGUGCUUGUCACAUUAUUAAUCUGAUAGUUAAAUCUGCACUAAAAAGAAUCAAACCUUAUAUAGAGGACUUUAGAACUGCAAUUAAUUUCUUGAACUCCUCUAAUCAAAGAGUUGCUAUGUUUAAGAACUACUGUGAAGCUAAAGGUAUGAGGCCUAGAAAAUUUGGCUUAGACAUGGAUGUUAGAUGGAAUGCUACUUAUCUCAUGCUUAAACAUUUGGUUCCUUAUCGUGAAGUAUUUUCUGUGUUCAUAAAUUCAAAUUAUGGUAGUGCCCUGUUGUCUCAAGCUCAUUGGCAUGUGGCUGAGAAAAUAUUGGAGUUCCUGGAACUCUUUUAUGAAUGUACUGUUACACUAUCUGGUGUUUAUUGUCCUACCAGUCCUCUUGUUCUGCACCAUGUUCUGGAGAUUGCAACUCAUUUACAUGCUUGUGAAAGAGAUCUUAAUCUGAGAGCCUUUGUGUUUCCUAUGCAAAGUAAGUUUCUUAAGUAUUGGAAGACAUUCCUAUGUUAUAUUCAUUUGCAUUCAUUCUUGACCCUAGAGCUAAGCUCAGAGGUAUGCAAAGGGUCCUCCAUUUACUUCAUGAAUGUAGUGGUACUGAUUACACUGCUUACUAUGCUGAUGUGAAAACUGAGUUGCAUAAAUUGUUUGAGAAAUAUUUGAGAAAGUAUGGUGCAUCCUCUAAUCAAAGAGUUGCUGGUCCUACCCCAGUCACAGGUAAGAGAAAACAGGCUUGGGGGAGAAUUUUUGGAGGAUCAGAUCUACCUGGUCCUUCAUCUGCCUGUUCUUCUUCUCAAUCUACUGCUUCUGAACUUGCAAGCUAUUUGGACAGCGACUGCAUAACUUCUUAUGAGGAUGGUUUUGACAUUAUCCUAUGGUGGCGUGAUCACAAACUAACCUAUCCCAUCCUGGCUAUUAUGGCCAGAGAUAUCAUGUCAGUUCCUGUUUCCACCUGUUCUUCAGAGUCUUGUUUCAGUUUAUCUGGAAGGAUCCUAGAAGAACGACGCCGAAGCUUGAAACCCGAACAUGUGGAGAUGCUAACCUUGUUGAAGGACUGGGAGCUAGGAGAGAAGAGGGAGCAACAUCAAGCUGCUGAUAACAAGGAAAUCGAAGAUGCCUUUGAGAAUUUGUUCCUGGAUGAACCUGAAGUUGCAGAUGAGGGUACUGGUGGCUGAGGGGUGGUCAUUUCAUUUGUUUGCUGGGAGUGUUGGUGCUUUUGUGUGAGUUGAGAGUGGUAGUGAGUAGUGACCCUCACUCACUUAGUUUUCAUUUGAACAUUUGAACAAUGGUCUGUAAUAUUGUUAAGACAGUAAGACUUAAGACAUUUAGAGCUGGCUGCACUCUUUUUUCCUGCCUAGGGUUUCUCACAAGGGUGAGUUUUACCUAGGUAGGUUUUUAAUGAGGCAGCAUUGCACCAAACAGCUCAUUUUGAUAUUUACAUCUGUCAACUCUCAUCUGUGUUUGAAUCUGUUAUCUAAGUAUCUAACUGAUGAUUGAUGAAUAUGAAUAUGUUUGAAAUCUGAUUUUAAAUAUGUAUUUAUUGAGAUGUUAUCUUUCAACGGGCUAUGGGCUGGCCCGGCCCUCUAUUUUUACCGUGCCUGUCGGGCCAGCCCGGUACGCAAAACGGCCCGCCGUGCCGUGCCUGGGCCGAAGGUCAGGCACGCAGGCCGGUAAGGCACGGCCCGCAGGGCACGACGUGCCCCCUCGGCCCGUUAAGUAACGUGCCGUGCCGGCCCGUUGUCGUGCCGGCCCGUUGUCGUGCCGUGCCGGGCCGGGCCGGCCCGAUGCCCAGGUAUACCAACGUACUAGCUAGCAGCUGAUUGUGAUUGCAUGCUGGCACACCCUACUUUGCUGCCUGUCCUGCAUGUGAAGAACUUGGGGUCUUGGACACCAAUCAGCAUGGCUGCAUGGGCGCCCCUGCUGCUUGGACAUACUUCCUCCGUCCCAAAAAGAGUGUCGUUUUGGGUUUUUUGGCCACAAGUUUGACUCGAUUUGUAGAAAAUAUAUACAAUAUUUAUAUCUCUAAAUAAAUUUGUUAAAAAACUAGACUUAAAGAUCUUUCUAAUGAUACUAAUUAUAUACUAUAAAUACUAAUAUUUUUUACUAUAUAUUUAGUUAAAGUUAUUUCUUGGGAAGCGAAAACGACACUUAUUUUGGGACGGAGGGAGUAUAUAUAUGUACAUAUACACAGCAUAUCGUUGCAAUACACAUGCAUGGUUCAGAACAUGUUCAAAUGUACAGUACACGUAAGAGCUCGCAGAGUUUGGAGGUGGGCUCUGUCAGUCGUUUACGAGUUGUAUAAUUGUGGUGGUGGUUUCUCACUCCACAAGAUAAGCAGAAUAUUGGUUCUCUGUUUAUCCACCAUGUGCUUUCAUCAAGAAAAUUAGGUCAGUCUCAAUGUAGAAUUUCAUGUCUCAGUUUUUAACCUAUCUGAUUUUGAAAAUAGUGCAAAAGAGUUUUAUGAGGGAUGAAACUCGAUCUCUUUGCUCCCAUGAAACUCUUAUCAUCUCCCACUUCAUUAAUACAGUGCCACAUCAGUAUAUUUAAUGUCCAUAAAACUCUAAUGAAAUCGCAUUGAGAGUGGCCUUAGAACUUUUUGAGUCUUAGAGUGAUCCUCCAGCAGUGCAGCGUCCAACAACUAGCUUUCCCUGUGUCAACCCCGAGGUAGAUACCAACUAGGACAGUCCCAAUGCUAGAAACUACAUAUAAUUUCUAUACUUAUUAAUUUGUAUAGACACUAUAUAUAUUAGAAACCAUGUCACAAUGGAUAGUUUCUACGAAACAAUUUUUUAUCCAAUCACGUACAUUCUCUCUCCAUUCUCUACCAAUCACAUUCCUUCAUGUCUUAAAUCUCGUGUAGACAUGGUUUCUAACUUAGACCCAGUUUCUAAGAUUUUCGCGCUCUCUCUCUCUUCAAUAACUACAACUGCCACAUUAGCAAAAAUACUUAGGUGACAGUAUAAUUAAUGUCCAUAGAAACUAUAGUGGUUUCUAUAUUGGGAGUGCUUUUACUCCCUCCAUAUAGGAUUUAGAUGUCGUUUAGGACAGCGACACGGUCUCCAAAACACAACUGUGACCUCUUAUUUUUAUAAAAAUAUUUAGAAAAAAGUGAUAUACGUAUACUUUUAUGAAAGUAUAUUUUUCAAGAUAAAUCUAUUCAUAUAACUUUCACAUUUACAAACUCAAUAAUUUAAAAGUUAUUGAUGAUUUAUAUUCUCAAUAUUUGACCUAAACCUUGUCCAAAGUGAUAUCUAAAUUCUAUACGGAGGGAGUACCUGUGUAUAAGAGACUCACUAUAUUCCUAAGAAAUCUUCACUCGGAAGACAUUACGUGAUCUACUUCUCGUCUGUCACUUUAUAAAGUGUGGUCAAACUUCCUUAAGUUUGACUAAAUUUAUAAAAAAUAACAAUAACAGUGACAUUUUUGUAUCUCCAAAUUAAUGUAUUAUUAAAAUGUAUACAAUAAUUAAUCUAAUAUGAUACUUAUUACGUACCAUAGCGCUACAGUACCAUCUCAGGUACAAUAGUUGGCCUAUUCAUUUUUUCCUAUUGCCGUGAUCAGCUCCUAGUUAGUUUCGGAGACCGUCAGUGUAUUCAUGGACGAGAUACGAGAGUCCGAUCCUACUUCAUUUCUGUGGUACCCAUCGUCCACCAAACCUAGCUGUCCCUUCCACAACACGCAAGGGAGAAAGAAUUCGGAGAAGGGAGAAGAGGAAAGAAACAAGUUAGAGUUUAAGUAAGGUUGGUAUCAUCUGUGGUGCAGUUUUUUUUUUUGAAAAUGGGUUAGGCAUCAUCUUCUAUUCCUGUUUUUGCCCUCAAUUUCUUAUUCCCUCACUAUUCAUGAUGGAUGUACUGCGUACGACAUAGAUCGGAACAACGACCUAGUCAUAGUGACAAGGACCACCAUGAGAUGGAGAAGAGGAAGGAAGGGAGGAGUGGAUCACUAGGGCUUGUCGUCAUGCUCGUUGUUGUUAUUCUAGGUGAUUUAUCAAAUUCUAAUCCACUUCUUUCUAUCAAGUUUUGUGUAUCGAGUAAUCUAAUUAGAAAGGGUUUAGUGGAAGUAAUUCCCAAAAUUAAUCCCGUCCAUGUUCUAAAAUUGGUAUCUUAGUGGCCUUAAUAAUUUUUUCCAUUUUCGGCAAAGUACUAGAGGACUUUGAUAUCUUUCUCUUGACACCAAGAUCACCCUCAUAACCUCUAUAUUUUAGGAGAUAUGAUGGUUUUAAGAAGGUGAUUUUCACGUACCUCACACUAGCCAGAUAGUCUAAAUUUGAAGUUGUUUAUUUACUUUCAAGUAUGCUAUUUUCAUAGCUUGUGGUGUUUUACUCUCUAAAUUAAGAAUUAUGAAUUACAAAGUAUGUGAAGUGCAUAGAUUGCAACAUUACAUCUACACUUUUCGCAUUUGAAGAAACCGUAGCCAGAUUGCGGUAAGUGCCGGUGCAACAAUGCACGUUGAGAUAAGAAAUGUGGUUGUAGUGUGCACUCACUUUUCUUGAGACACGUGGGUAGAAGUGAAGUCAUGCAUUGCAUUGCAUGAUUGGAAGUAUUGUAUAUUUAUAAAGAAAUUGAUGUCUUUAUAGAGGCGCCACUACUAGCAUUGGCCACUAUAGAGGCGCAACUAUUAUCUUUUGCCUUAGAGUUGGGCAUUCACUAUACCACAGCCAAACUAUAGCGACUCUAAAAGAGUCGCUAUAAGCCGUUAUAGCGACCGAUGAUUGGUCACUAUAAGUUUAUAGCGACCGAUGUAUAAGUCGUUGUAAGUGGCGUCGCUAUAAGUCUAUAGCGACCGACAAGAUUUAUAGCAACCGAUUGGUUGACGCAAAUAUUUAUAGCGACCAAUGAUCUGCCACAUGUUUUAGCGACCAAUGGUUUGAGGAUAUCAAACUUUUUAGCAACCAAUGACCAGUCGCUAUGAACUGGCACAAUUUUGUAUAAUACUAAUUUCACAUUAAUCAUAUAACUAUAGACUUGUUUAACAUCCAUACAUGUUCACAUUACACGUCACAUAAUUGUACAAACAUAUCUCAUAUAUUUCAUUGAAGUCAACAUUUGUACAAUUAUACUUUGGAUAAAUUCUAUGAGUCACCUAUCACACAGCACAUGAACUUCUAAAGAGUUCACUCUAAAGAAGGCUAAGCAUGUACACCAUAGCAACCCCACUCCUACAAACCUAAAAACUACAGACCAGGAACACAUCUGACCGCUCCAUGCCUUUUAAUCUAUCUUCCAUGAGGACUCCCAUGGCUUUUUGACACCAUCAAGCAUGAUGCUUACUGUACCUCCCAGAACUACAUGCCUGAAAUCCACAGUUAAAUCCAAUAUCAACAUUCUGGUUUUAAGCUAGGACCCAAUGGGAUAAACAUUGCACAGUACAUUAACACAUGAAAAAUAAAGAUUGUGUUACUAGCUAUCUCAGGCCUUGCUCACAAUUUCAGCAUUUAUUUCCCGGUCCUUUCAAGAACUAAACAAAAGUUGAAAACCGAGGUCAAGGCUUCCUUUCAAUCCCAACUACUAAGCUAGAAACAUUUCUAAAAAGGGCAAGCUACGCCCCUCUUCUAGAUAUAUCAAAAUAGUAUGGAAUUUGUUCAAACAUAACAAUACUAACUAUUAAGCUUAACCAUGGCUAGAUAAUAUUGCAGAAAUAAACAAAUGAUUUACCAUGGUCAGCUACACAGUUGCCCAAAAUCUGUGUCUGCUGGACAUCUAGGCCAUGGGCACCAUCCUAUGCCUUGCAGUUAUGGUGGAGAGGGGUGUAGGCAAGGAAGUCCCUGUGAUGCAAGUGAGGAAAGCCGGUGAUGGUGCACGUGAGGAACCUACUUGCUGCUGCGAGAGUUGCUGCCACACACCUUUCCUGCAUAAGAACCACACCAGCCACUGUGCCAACCUUGCCUCCGCCGCUAGACAAUACUGUAGUAAGUUCAGUAAAUGACACGAGUUCAGUAAAAUAGCCUAGAUGUAAACAAGAUAUUUGUUAUAUGGAUGGGCACAAUUGCACUUGAUCGUACCAUAGAACACACAAAUAUGAAUGGUUAGGAUUUAGGAAACAAAACCAUAAAGUUCAGACAGUAAGGCAGACCUGACAACAAGUAGCGAUGCAUGGAUGACAUAUGCUCCUCGCUUGGCACAUGUUCUGUAGCUGACCUUUCCUUGGCAUGGCCACCAGCCUUGUAUAGACGCACGCAGGCCAUUGACUGAUAGCCUCUGAUAUCACCCAACCGCAGGAGAUUGCCUAUCAUUGAGCAAAAAGAUAGUAAAAAAGUACAGACACAUUUAGCAAAUAAAUAAAGAUUUGUCUUGGCAACGCUCGAGUAAUCAGAAAGGGAUAUUGCAAAAUGCAGAAGCUUCAUGUUUUGGCGUCACUUAUUUUGGUAGGGCUAUAUUGUAGGUGUAGAGUAAUUAGAUCCAAAGAUUACAAUAACUAGUUGUAUUACAAAUUUCUAAUGCAACUGCUCCUUCUAAUCUACCUGUGCCAUUUCAUAGGUGCAGUAUCGGAUGAAUUCAAGCCAUAAGAUAAGAAAAAAGAUUGCAACAAAGCUCACUCACCUACUUGUACAUGAAAGCAUGCAUAUAAUCAGGUUUCUAAGCUAACCCAGUAACUGUAGAGUUGUCUUUUUAGCCUUCCCGUCUAAGAGCUGUUCAGCCUUAUAAUUUUACCGUCCCUUCCUGCAUGAAACAAUAAUGGAAAUAAGUAAACAUUGUGCCCCCUAAACCAACUUAGUUGGUACCAAAUAAAUAAAGAAGAAAUGGGAGGAACUGCUGUUAUUAGAAACUUAAAAGUAAAGGUGAUGCCAAAGGAUAACUCCAUGUCAGAAAUCCAUUUUCUGCAACAAACAAUUAUUAUAUAAGCUUUUGCUUCACAACUAUAUAUAAUUGUUAUUGUUCCUCUAUUUUUCUCAUCCAUGUCAUUUAAAGAAAUUUAUACAUAAUCAUUUGUCUCUACUCCACUUUGCAAACAGAUAACAUAUUCACAGGUAGGCACUAAGCACUAGGCAGUAAAGUGCCUGCUGAAUUGCACAUGUGUGGCUUCUUUAACCAGAGCUAGCAUUACCUACCACACAAGAAUCGUAAAUACCAAAACCUGGUCUGUAGUGGUGAUAGCUGAGGAUGAGAUCUGGCUUGCCCCUUGCUGCACCAGAUCUUGUGCCUCAGUUCCCCAACCUAAUCCCAGGAACCAUGCACUUCAAUCGAGAUUGAAUGCAAGGUCACCGAAUCUUGACACAGAGAGACAACACGAGGAAGGAAGAGUGGGGAUUCACCUGGAUCUCAUCCCUGCAAAGAAGCGUGGGAUCCUGCUGCUGUCGCCGGCGCCGAUGCGCGCAUGCCGAGAAUCCGCCGCAACCACCGUCGUCGCUCAUGCCGGGAUUCAGAAACUGCCGCCAUUGGGAUCCGCCCGCCACAUGCACCACAGCCGACGCCCACGCCGGAUUGCUCUGUCACCCAUGUCAAGAUCCCGCCGCCCUAAGCCCUCUGCCACUGCUUGUGGAUUUGAGAAGAGGAAGGAAACGAUAGGAAAGUUGAAGACAGAGAGUGAGGCGAAAGGGAGAGGAGACACGAGGGGAGCGACGGUGGUGGGCUGGCAGGCCGGCAGCGGCAAAGACGGCUACCCCAGUGAGCUCACAGCGAUGAUGGAGAAGAGCCACCCUGAGAUCUCGACAAGCGGCGCUGAGUACUGAGUCUGUGUGGCGGCUGCUGGGUGGAUGAGUACGGUGCUGGAGAUAGGGUGUUGGGUGUUACUGUAUGAUUGGUGGGCCACGCAAAUUUAACCUAACAAUCCGGAGGCACGCCCUGCGCAGGGAGACCGGCCACGUCGCCUGAAAUUCUCUGAUUCGUCCACGCCAGCGCCAUCUCAUCCCUGCAGAUUUCUAUUGGUCCACAUCGUCAAGGCCAUCUCCAAAUAUAAGCAGCCCCCUCGUGUCUGCAAAAAAAAAAGAGACAAACGGAGACGGGAAACUUCUCGCUCUCUCCGACUCCGACACCGCCACCAGGCCGAACGCGACGGCGAUUGGCGUGCCGUGGCCGCCGUCGUCCUCCGCCACCGCCUCCUCCUUCGCCUCCUCCUCCUCCUCCUCCUCCUCCUUUUUCCCCUUUCCUCCGGCGGCGGCGGCGUGGGCACCAGGCGACGGCGAGGCUUCCAGAUGGCGCGGCAACGCAGGUGAGGCCCGACGACCUCCUCCCUCUCCUCCAUCCUUCGUGCGGCCUCCUCGGUGCCUCCUCCUGUCGGGACGCCUUCACUCCUCCUGUGGCCGAAACCCUAGCUGGCCAAACCCUAAGCUUGGUAUGCUGGCGCAGCAGGAGGGCCAAGCUUGGCGGCGACCGGCGCGAUGGUGCUCCCCUCUCUGUUUCCUCUCUCCUUCUCCCCUUCUGUACCCUCCACAGGGCUCCUCGAUGCCGCGGCCGUCGGAGACCGUGAGCUCCUCAGCUUAGCGAAACCCUAAGCACUAUGUCGGGCCUCGAUCUAUUUUCCUAUUUGCCUGAUGUCAAUUGCCGGCAGGCUGCAGGCUGCACGCGUCGUGCUGCAAGCAGUGGCUAUAGACUGCCAUGUCGAGUUCACCUAAUGCCUUUGGUAUAUUAAUAUGUUUUAUGCACAUAGUUGUUUUUUGGGUUCCAUCCAAAACUAACAGUGAUGCAAUCUUUUUCCUUUCUCUACUACAUCUUCUAAGAUCAUGCAGGAUACUGAAAGGUAUUUAGAGCUAUUUUUUAAUACGACACAAUCUACCGUGUUGCCGCCAUGUGUUAUGCUCUUGAUGCUAAAUAAAUAGGUGUCUACAUGUAAGUUUGAUUUUGUUUUCCAGAAUUUUUUAUGAAUUAUGUUACAUUAUAUGCACAUGCAGUACUUCACACACUUUGAAUUAUUACCUAAAUAAAAGCUGCAUGUAUAAUAUUUCCAUGACAAAAACAACAUCUUCCCAUCUAUUGUUCUUUAGUGGUGUUAAAUUUAUUCUCAGCUGCUCCUGCAUACAUCUAGUGUUAUGCUAUUUCAGUUUCUACAACUUCUAAAAAUAUGUGCUUCCAUGUUGUUGUCUUCUGUUAGAUUGGGACACAUCUAGCAAGACUCAUUAUCAAUCUGGCUGCUCGACUUAUGGAUAUAGGCUGCUCCUAUGGUAAGAUAUUGACUCCAUGUAGUUUCAAAGCCAUGUAUACAAAUCCAGUAUUAAUCUCUUUUGGCAUUAACGAAGGAGCUUGUGUAUUCACUAUAUUUCAUAUCCUAUUGGGUUUGCACUGUUACACAGCUGGAGUCUAAUGAUUCAUUUCUUACCGUUGGUUUUCAUAGCAUGUGCCCUCUGAAUCUCAGCAUGUCUCAAUGCACUGUACUGCUAUCGCAAUCUUUUCAGUAUACAUAAGUAUGUGCCUAUGGUACUCUUUAUUUAUUUUAGUCCGAGCAUAUAUAUGCAGUUGCGGAUGAUGUACUUAUUCCAAAUUUGAUCAUAUGACAGUACCUGUGGGAUGUUUCUGAUACACCUGAUCAUAUUUUCAAGGCAUUGCUACUUUGCAUUUUUUUUUGUUGACCCUAUGUCCAUGCCAAUAAUGCUAGAAACAAAUGUCUUUUUCCAAAAUAUAAUUGGCAUCUGUUAAGCCUGACCAUGGGCAAUGGUGCUGGAAAUAAAAUGAUAUGUCAUGUACACACAUUAGAAUCUUUGCUUUUUCCUGCUUAUACUCAUAUAUCAAAACAGAAGUUGUUAAAUAGAUUUCUACAUAUUCUUAUUUCUUUCACAUGGUGAUUCUAACGAUUUCUCAAAUGAGAUGGUGCAUGAGACGGAUCAAGGAUCACCAUACACCCGAUUUGCAUAUAAUUUGAUUUAUUUUAGGACCUUACAUAAAGACAUGUAAUCUUUCCCCAUUCUAAUGAUUCUGCUUUUUUCCACUUGCUGAUUUUAGAUUUAUUUUUCAGGGCCUACAUUCAGGGCUACAACACAGAUCGUCCAUCAGGUUACGUUUUCAUCCUACUCUUUUUUUGGGUUCUAAAAUUAUUAUAUCUGCUCAGUUUUUAGCGUUAUGAUUUUUGUUCUUCCUUCCCUGCGGUGACUGAAUUAUAUUUGUUACUACCAUUUCUGUAGUUGGUCAGUAAAUUGCCUAUUUUUCUGGUUCCUGCAUUCUAACACUAAUUAUAUUAAUGUACUUUUUGUGCAGCCCUUGUUUGAUACUUUAUGCUGAUUUUUGAUCCUCGGCAAUUCCUCAGCUAUCUUCUUAUUUGUUCUUUAGGUUCUGAUCCUCUUUCCCUGUUUUACUGUUCAUUCUUAAAGUUUCUUCAUCUUUCAUGUGUGUACGUACGUUCAUGCAAUCUUUGUGUUCCACUCGAUGGUUCCAACCUUCAUUACUAAAUCGUCGGUGUGUUUGUAUUCUUUUAUUACUUCUCUUUCAUUGUAGUAGCUCCGCGAUUUCUUAGUCAUGCCUAAAUGCUAUGUUCUUUACCUGUCUUCAUAGCUUCCAGAUUGUAAUUUUGUUAGCCUAUCCAUAACCUUCUUUUUUCCAUAGCCGAAAAAUACACACAUCUGUUUCUAUACCUAAAUAAUUCAUUAUUUUUUGUCACUGAAUACUAUAGCGUGUCGGUGCUAAUUUCUAACCUUUUCGUGCUGCAGUUAAAGGGUGGCGUUCCCUGUCAACACAACCACUAAUAUGACGAUCUUGAUGUUUUUUUUCGCCGUUGGUGCAUACCCAUUACCUUAUGACCUCUGGCUUAAAUAGUUAAAGUUGUGCAUUUAUUUCCAGUUUGUAUUCACUUCAUUGCAGCAUCCCUAUGAUGGUGUCAUAUUUCUUUCAUUACAGGUUUUCCCUAAUAAGUGUCGGCUCCCUAAGAAUAAAAAUAUAAAAACAUUUUCUAGGCCCCUCUAGAUAAAAUAAAUACACAUGUAUUUUUAAACAAAGAAAUCACUUAACAGGUCCACCUGAGAUUAACAGGCUAUAUGGGUAUUGACAAUGAACCAACCUAAAAAUGCAGAACGAUAUUGUUGAGAUGCAUAUCCCUUAAUUUUGCCCUCAGACAUGUGCUUAUAUACUCAUUUUUGAUAGGCAAUAUAUUUCCUUUUCAUUCAUCUACAAACUAUAUUAUUCUCAGCCAAUAUAAGGCAGACAACAUAUUCUAAAUGACUAUUAGGUUACAUCUUGACUUCAUCUUUCAUCUAUGUAGAUGGGUCUGAGUUGGGAGGACUGCUGCACCCAUGAAGGCCUCAUUAUUUUUAGAGGCUUUGGCAUCUGCCUACAACCACGGUCGCUCAGCAUGUCUUAGUCGUUGGUGGAAUUUGGCAGCAAGCCCAAGAUCUUGCAUCAGGUUAACACGAUUGCUCCAUCUCUACAACAAAUUUUGUUUCUUUUAGUCAUUAGAUAUCGUGUAGGGGAGAACUGGAGAGGUUACUUUUAAAGAAUUGGCUAUGGUUGACCGAUCUGAGUUGUUACAAGUUGUAAAUGAAACUUAUGUCCUCCAUAUCAUGCUUUGAUGAGAUGGAUCCUUGUGAAUAGAUUUCUCACAGAAAUAGUCGUCUACCUGUCCUGCUGCCACUGUGUUUCUCGGUGACAAAUAAUUAUAGAAUAAAGCAUGGGUGGCUUUGAUAUGAUUUAAACUUACAAGUCAUUAAAAAACAUGUAGCUUCACUUUCGAGUUCCAUGUUGUUGAAUGAUAACUAUAAAUGGUUUCAAGCAAUAGUGGGUGAAUUGUUGUCACCAGUUACUAUAAUUGCUAGCUCUGAACAUUUGCUUUGUUUUUCUGAACUUUACCAUUGAUCUUGCCACACUUACAAGAUACAUAGGGUUGUUUCUCCACAGUUAGUUCCUCCUAGAGCCUAUUUGUAGUGACAAUUAACCUGUUGUUGCCAAACCAGAGAAAAAGGAUACAUAGUUUUCUUUUGGUUUACCAAAUUGAGUGUUCUUUUGUUUGUCAAAUUCAAUGAUACCGCUCUGUUCCUCAGAGCGUUGGACCUAAGAGAGCUGUUGUGUCAUACUUUUGGAUAUAUUGCGUCCAUUUUAUAUAGAUGGAUAUGAAGCCUUAACACCUGACAAACAUUGAAGUGUAUUUAAUCAUCGUCCAGGUAGCGUAAACGAAUCAUCAUCCAAAUCAACCUUCACUACUUGGUAUAGUACGUAUAGUUACCAACAAAUUUAGAGAUCAAUAAUUUAAAUAUAUAUUGAAUGCUUUGCACUACAAAGUUUACCUGUUGAUUUGUCUCACCUUUAAUUUUCAGCUAUUUAUCCUCACCUCUUGUCUUUAAAAAUUACUGAUGUAAGAAGUUUUUUUAAUGAAUGAGUACUUGCUAAAUCACUCAUUUUUCAAAGGUUUGUUUUCCUGCUUUUAUUUCUGAAUUUUGAUGCAGCUUAGUUGCUGCCCUGUUUUCAGAAGUCUUAUUCAAUGGUUUAAGUUUUAGAGAUAUUGGUUGACAUAUACAACUGGUUGUUUCAUUUCAUAGCCUAAAGCCUCAAUCGCCUUCAGUUUUUUUUUAAAAAAUUGUACCCUUUAUUUUCACUCCCCAACCUAGUGGCCAUAGAAGGAUGGCAGCAUGAAGCAGCUUCCCCAUUUCUCAAGGAGAUGUACCCAGAAGCACACCCCACACCCAAUUGGAUACUGCAGACUACAAUUGCCUCAUUGCAUUUUAUGGUGCCAAUAUAACAUAGUGCAAAAGAAUAAAGCUGGAGUUACUUAGUUUAUGGCUUGGUCUUUUUAUUUGUAGUGCAGAUUAUUCUCCUAUUUUGUGAGCAAAUUAUAGAGGACAAACACAGUUCCACAUAUAUUUGGUUAUCUGUUAUGAAUAGAAUGGUGUCCUCAAGAAUAAUUUUACUCUAUUGCCCCCAACGUGCAGCUUCCUGGGCGUGCGAAGGUGCGUCCAUUCUACUAAACACGUCACGGUAAUGAAACUACUUCGGAACUCAGAGGUACAUGCCCCAUCAUAAAUUCAGCACACAUUUACCAUUAUCAAUACACCAACACUUAUCCUGUGUAUAUGUUUCUACAGAAUCAUCAAACCACAUUUCAGAUUAUGAUGGUACGUGCAUACUACUUCCAAUAAACAAAAUGCUUUUCCAUGCUUUCCUACAUCUAUUAACAUCCAACAUUGUUAAGAUCCAAGUAAUACAACAUGUUUAUAAUUAUACAAACACUUCUACAGUUACACCACAACGCAAUUCUGAUGGCUACGAACCAGGUUGGGAAUUAUACCGCAGUUACUGCAAAGCAGACUAAGCAAUCUUACCUUCGGCACCACAUGAACGGAAAAAAAGGGAAAAAAAUCCAAUGUGAUGCCAACCUUUUGUAACAGCAAUAUCACGCAGUGAACAAAGUCCACUCAUACUUACUAAAUUUUCUAAUGUACUACAUCUAUAGCCUAUCCCUCACAGAAGUACUCUAUGUCAUGUAUACUUAUGUGAUCUCCCCACUUAUGUCUUACCGUGAUGUAUAUUCCCUUCUACUAUCCGACAUAUAUAUUUCUAAAGUCCAUUCUUAUUAAUCUUAACCUAUACUUAGUCCGCACUGGCGCGCAAGGGCGCGCCACUCCUACUAGUUAUAAUACAUGCCGGUGGGCCGGGCUGAGUACGCCAAAAUAAAACCAUUUGCAUUUGAGUAAGGUCUUGUUUAUUUCCAAAAUAUUUUGGGCAAAAUAUAAAUUUUUUUGCUAUUUUGCAUUUUGGAAGUAAACAUGUCCAAACUAUUUUGGCCCUAAACUUUUUGCAAAAUUAAAUAGGAACAUUGGUCUUGUUUAGUUCCAAAAUUUUUUGCAAAAUGAACACUAUACCACUAUCGUUUGUAUUUGACAAAUAUUAUCCAAUAAUGGAAUAAUUAGGCUCAAAAGAUUCAUCUCGUAAAUUACAUAUAAACCGUGUAAUCAGUUAUUUUUUAUCUAUAUUUAAUGCUCUAUACAUGUGCCGUAAGAUUCGAUGUGAAGGAAAUCUGAAAAGUUUUGCAAAAAUUUUUUGGGAAGUGAACACCAAAACCAAAAAAUUUUGGUGCUAGAAUUUUGGUGGGAGUCUCAAGGUUUUGAGUUUUUGGGUUUUCUGCAAAAUACUUCAUGAACUAAACACGACCUAAUUUGCUAAAAAGCUCCAAAAGAGGCAUCCAACGGUUUUGCAUUUGGAGUUUGCAAUUUGGGCAACUUGGCAUAUAAGGGAGCAAACUUGGCAAAAAUGCCAAGCUGUGGACGGCUUUGCAAAUCCGAUCGCGCAAGCAAAAGUCACGCGCGAGGAAAGCGCACGCGCCUGGAGACCUCCUAUUUUUAUCCUUUGCCAAGUCUAAAUGCCAAUUCCCUUGGAGAUGACCUAUUUUCAUCCUUUGCAUUUUGUUAUAGGAGUUUGCAAACAACAACAAAUGCCAAGUCAAUUUGCCAAAGUCUUUGGAGAUGCUCUUAUAGCGACCAAUCGUUGGACCUUAAUAUGCAUUUUUAGCGACCAAUUAUCCGAGGAAACUGCGGAAUAUAUAUACCCACUCAUUAUCGGUCGCUAUAAGGAAAAAUAGCGAAUGAUGCUUCGUUAGAAAUUUGUAGCGACCAAUUAUUUGUUGUUAAUGCUAUGUUUUAGCUACUGUUGUCCGACGCUAAUUAUUGGCUGUGGUAUAGUGCUUCUACAUGAUGUCACGGAGCCGGGGUUUGACACACUGAUGUGUAUGUGGUGUGUCCUGGUGUUGAUGACCUGGCAAGAACCUAGCUAAUACAGCCCACUGAUGUUGAUGACGAACAACUAAAGUGAACUGCCCUGCAGAUGGCAGAGUGGACUAAGGAUGCAUGCCUUAAAAUAAUGGUGAAUGAGAAUGGUUGAGAACCUUUGUAAAUUAGUUACAGUAAUAAUUGAAUUAUGAAUACAUGUCAAUGUCACUCUUCACAUGAUCGAUAUCACUUUACAAAGGUGUCUGUUAAUAGAAUGGACUGUGAGCAACCGUCCAAUUUAAUUUACCUAAGCCAAGCUAUCAAUCCAUCGAUCACUCCACUAGUCGAGUUUGGUCAAAUUAACCCCAGUAGUCCUUAGUAUGUGUCCCCCAAAAAAUCAUCUAGGUCCACAUGCAUACCGUUUGCAUAUCAUGGCAACUGUUAUAAGGAUACAUAUGAGAGCAAGUUUUAAAUGUUUAAUUACAAGUCUUGCUCAUAUUACAGGUUCUCAAAUUAAAUUCACAAGCUUAUAUAUAAAUAUACAUAUCCUUCUAUACAUGAUAUAUCUACAUGUACCAAGUUAAGAUGAUAUCAACAGUAGAUGCUAUUAGUUGAGCAAGAUGACCAUCCUACUAGAUUAUCCUAGGCUACGCUGGCAUGCCACAUCAACAUGGAAUACCACGUGGCUGACAUGGACCUACCCUUCACCACUUAACAAGUUUAGGGACCAGAAAUGCAUUUUCAAAGUACGUGGACCUAAGUGACACUCUUAGAAGUUUGACUCCUCAAUUCGUGAGAAUGACAAUUAAAAAGAGAUAGAUGAAAUAUAAUUUUCUUUUGGCAAUUCUGUGUGGAACUUCACACGCCGGGAAAAAGAUCUCUUUCACCUCUUCCAUACCAUCAUGGAGCACAUAAACCUCAGUCCAUUUAUGCAUAACCUAGAUGUGCUACUAUUAGUAGUACCGAGGAGCUGCACCACUCACAGAGAUGGAUGAUACUGAUAGGGCAAAUGUUGGUCUGGAGCGAAUUCCCCAAUAAUAUGCAACAGGCAUCUUCUGUUCCAAAGGUACAUCACACAGAUCGUGUAAAAAACAAAACAGAGCAUGCUGAAACCAUUCCUCCAGGUUUUCACUUAGAGUGCAAAAUAUGCUGGCCACUACAUAUAUACACCAAAAUGCUGAUUGCUAAUAAUAGUGAAAAUCAAUGGACCGAUUCCUGGUUACCUUGUUCAGAUUUACUUACGGGGUUUCACUUUCCUUGAUGAUCUUCUUGUAACCUGAUCUGAUUUAUUGACAGCAUUACUGUUGGGUUGGUCCAAAAUUUGCUCACCGUUGCUUUCGGUGACAACUGUUUCUGGUUCAGCAGGCUCAACAUCGGCAUCUGGUUUCUUAGUGGCACCAGCAUUUCCCCUUGCUUUUCUCGAACUGGCGCCCACAGUAUCUUUGUUUUGUUGUCCCCUGGCAGCCCUGGAUGUUGCGACUCGCUUUUUUGGCUUCAAAAUAUCUGCAUCUUCUCCCUCAGUCCCUGAAUCCUUGGUAUCAACGUUCUCAGCUAGUUGUUCCAGGUUAGCGGAUACCAUUUUGCUGGACUGGAUUCCAAUCAGUUUUUGCAAUUGCGGCACGUAGGCAGUAGUCUGAGUAAACAAAGUAGUAUAAGAAGUUAGUAGUCUGAGUAAACAAAGUAGUAUAAGAAGUUAGACGUGUCUGACCAUAGCCGAAGGUCUAGUACUGAAGUGGAUAAUUACUUACCCUGCCACCAGCUGUGAUGAAUUCAAUUUUCUUUCCUGCAGGGCCAAAAACUUAAUUAAUCCUCAGAAGGAAUCAAGGUCUGAUGUGAGUGUGUAUGCAGCAAUGGAAUUAACAAGUUUUAUUUGUCUUAUACAUCAUCAUAUAAAAAGACAGAUAUCAGAAAACACCGUAAGCGAAGGCUUUGCCCAAGUAUGUUGACGGAAAUCAUGACUAAAAGUGAGGAAAGUACCAUUGACUUUGCCAGGCUUCUUGCCCCAACGAUGAUGAAAUAACCAUUCCUUUGGAAAGCGGUCCAUGUCAGCAUCAACUUCAACAGCAUAUUUCACAACCUAGUAAAUUAUUAAUCAGGAGUUCGGUAUGCUACAAGGCUACUUCAGUAGAAUGUAAUUCAGUACAAAGCGUUGUCCAAUUAGACGCACCUCUUGGAUACUUCGGUGCAGUGCUUCACAACUCUCCCUAGGUAGAUUCGAAGCAAUCUGUAAUGGAUGGAUCCUUGACUGAAAAAAAUAUAUCAAAUUUAAUUGCUACAGUUUGUGAGCCACACCAACUGCUGUAGAAUGUACGAAUACCUGGUAAAGCACCUCGUCUGCAAUCCAAUUACCAAUGCCUGAUAUAAAGCUCUGCCCAUUUUAUAAAAAACUGCAACAAGUCAAGUGUGUACAUUGCAGGGAAAAUAUUUUUGCAUGGGGAGUAUUGGUUGGAUGCUGAUCACCUGAUCAAGUAAAAGAGCUUUUAUCCCAAUCUUCUUUCUACCCAGGGAGUCCAAGAAAUCGUCAACAGACAUUGGCUCAAACAGAGCAUCUGGACCCAGCUCAGAAAUUGGGGGUACAGUUUCAGGCUGCAAACAUUACUUUGGUGAGAAAAUCUGUAUGAGAAACAGGAAAGCAAUCUUCAGAUUUUUUAAAAAAUACCUACAUCUUCAAACAAACGAACUCUUGCAAAGCGCCGUUUAUCAGUGAAAGAGAACUCCAAACCAUCAUCAAGCUACAAAUGAAGCAAAAGAGUUUAGAAAUAACGAGGUUCAAAACCAACAUCCCACAAGCCAAUUUUUAAAAUUUACACAAAAAUGGGCAAGUAUGAAACUGGAAUGAGGUUCAUACCAAAUGUGCAUUUGACUCUUUGAACUGAACAACCAUUAGACGAGCCAUCAGAGAUCAAACUGUGAUUAAUGAACAAUACAAUCUGUUCCCCAAGUUUCUUUCUAUAUCCUAAUUAGCAAGUGGGGGGCAUCCACACCCACUGUCCAUGUGGUUUUGUUGAAUGAUUAGUUACUGGCUCAUCUGAAGAUGUAUUUUUUUACUAAGUUAACUGGAAUACAUUUCUUACUUUUUGAGUGUAAUGUCCUAAUCAAUAAUAGUGUGCAAGAACAAGGAUUCAAUGUUGAUUUAAACUUGAUAAGUUGUAACACUGGACAUAACAUUUUAUCAGUCUAUACAAUCCCCAGUUGCAAAAGUAACAUAUAACCAACAAGAGCGUGAGUGUCAUGCUACAAAACAAAAUUGAUGUGACAAUAUGUUUGGGAUCAUUACCUCAGCAAAGAAUUUAGAGUAUUUGGAUGGCCACUCCUCUUCGGAAUUGACAACGGAUCUGCAGCCUUGAGAAGAAUUAUUUCCUAAAAGCCGAUUGCAGGACUCAAAUAAUCACAAAGUACAUAACAGAAAAGGUCGCUUGCCUCUUAUAAUUUGUCACAGGAACGCCUUUGAUAUAUAUCGCGCCUGCCAUCCCUGCAAUCCAAAGCAUGCUCUUAUAAGUCCUCACUUCCUAAGUGUUAGACCAGCGCAACAAAGUAGCAGAAUUCAUGCGAUUGCUAAGGAUAAUUAAACAUAAAUCAAAAUUAAUCAGGGUAAUUUUCGAUCAAAUGCAUAGCAGCAUAAACCAAAGGUAUCAAUUCAACUACCAAUGUCCUGAAUCACAAUGGCAAGCAAGCACUAGCAGGGCACCGAAGCUAUGGGCCUAUGGCAGUACCAAAGACUGGCCAACUCUAGAGGCCGCCACGGAGUAAGUAGUACGCGCGGGCUAACCGAACUGGAAGGACGGGAAGGGCGGCGCGUCGAGCUGGAGCCAGAGGUUCUUGCCCCUCCGGCGCGCGGCGACGAUGGUCCGGCCGACCAUGGCGCGCUCGAAGGCCGCGCGUCCGGCGGCGGCCACGACCACCUUGUCGUCGUCCGCCACGGCGCAGCGCGCGAUGCGCCUCCCCACGCAGUGCGCCUGCAGCGCCCGCCGCGCCGCCUCCACCUCCGGCAGCUCCGGCAUCCCCGCGGCCCGCGCGUUAACUUCCCUCUCUCCGUUCCUCUCUCCCUCCCUCUCUCUCUCUCUCUCUCUCGCUCGCUCGUCGUGGGUCGUUAGGGCCUUCCCUGUUUCCUUCUUCUCCCCACACCCCGGCCCAGUGGGCCCAUGUGUUCUGAGCAGUACGGCCCAUGCUACAUGCACACUGACCAAGUUUUUUUUUUUUGAGCAGGACAACAACAACCUUUGUUACACGGAUAUUCUAGGGGUGAUGUAAUACUUGUCGGAUACUUGGAUACGGAUACUUGGAUAUAUUUUAGUAGAUUUUUUUUUUGAGAAAGUGUAUAUCUACGUAUUCAAUACGUAUUACUUGUACCCGUACUCGUGUAAUGUAGACGACAACAACCAAGGUUCGCAAGUGGGCAAAUCGCAAGAGUCUCCCCGGCGUUGAGCGGCCAGCAGUAGUGAAACCGAGAAAGCACGCGGGGCUGUUGGCCUGCUGCGCGCGCGGGCAGCUCACUGCUCACACGGCGGUGGCAGGAAUGCCUCGCGGUCGCACCAUGAUUGGGUUGGCACUCGACAGCGCCGGCCCGGGCGAAGGCGACGGCGCCGGCCGACGAACAAUGGCGCGCGUGGACGUAGGGGGGACGUCGGGACGGCUGGCCGGUCUACUGGACCGACAGCUGCGGGCUGCACGGAGUGAGAGGUCAGAGGUCCGUCCGUUCCGGCCGGUUGUUGGACGGGUCGACCGCCCAUUUAUGAGCCCGGCCGGUGAGGAUCGCUGUAGCCUGGUGGCUGGAGCUCGACGGCUCCAUCUGUACUGAACUGUACUGUGCCGGCCACCGGCCUCGACGUCGCGUCUAGGCUACUCGUCCGCCUGAACUGAAAGCAACGGGUACUGGACGAGUAGCUAGCUCUGUCGCUGGCUCGCGUUGUCGGAUGGCAACACAGCCAGCCAGACAGACAGACGCGAAACAUCUAUUGCCUGCAUUCAGUUUUUACAUAAAAAGAAUAAUCUUUCGAAUUUUGCAAAUUCCAAACCGAUCGAAAGAAUGCAUUAAUCAAUCAUGACUCGAUGAGCUUCUUCAGUUCUUCUAUGUACAAAUUGAGAAGGAAUAUAAUCUGUAACGCCAAUCAACUGUCAUUCCAACGGCCAACGGUAAUUAACGAUCAAUCAUGCUUGCACACUUGCUUGCUUGCUGCUGCUGCUGCUGUAAGUAAAGCUGUAAACAAAAUGGUUUGAUUUCGUCUCCCCAAUCCUCGCUUAGCUGGCCGGGCACCCCAUCUCGUCGCGGGCCUUGAGGAACACGAUGGCGGCGCCGUAGUGCGCGAGCGCGCCGGCGAUGACGAGCGCGUGGAAGAUCUGGUGGCUAUGCCCCGCCAGGUCGAACGCGCCGGGCCUCCACCGCUCGGGCACCCGGGUGAGGUAGAACGCGGUGCCGACGAGGUAGGACACGGCCAUGGCGCCCUCGUAGGCCAGCGUGACGUUCCGGGCGGGCUCGUGCCAGUUCACGGCGGCCGCGUGCACGGCGGGCACCACGCCCGACAGGCCCAUCCCGACGAAGAGCAGCGCGCGGUGGGCGCGGUACCGCGCCGCGCUGAGGCGAGGGGACAUGAGCGCGUACACCGUGCCCACCCCCGCCGCCGUGAUCGCCGACAGGUACACCACCUGCCAGUGCGGCUCGCACUGGAAGAUGUAGUAGAUGGGCGGGAAGAAGGACACCACGAUCAUCACCGCGAUGCCCGUGUAGUCGAGGCGGAUCAGGAACAGGUUCAGGCUGUGCGAGUGGCACGACAGCAGGUGGCACGCGCUGCUGCUCAGCAGGCAGAACAUGGCGCCGGCGAGGAACACGAAGAAGGGCCACCGCGUCGUCUGCGACGUCACCGCCGCGCCGUAGGAGACCAGCGUCGGGUUCGUCUGGAUGAACAUGGCCGCGCCCUGGACGGACGGACCACACAUGACAAUUCCAAUUCCAAGUUAAUAUCAUCAUUAUUUUUCAUGGCAGGUUAGUAGGUUACCAGAAUCAACAACUAGACUCUGCUACUACUACUAGCAUGAUUUUGGCAUUAAACAUCUGAAAGCAAUAUGAUGCAUGCUCCAAAUAAUUGUCAAGGUACAGCCUGAAUACUACAUCCAACCAUAUCCCAUUCAGGUUUGUACUCAUUGAAUACUUUUGUUGCCAAACAGUGACGGCAAUUACUAUCAAUUCAGACUAAGGUCUGCUAUACUAUACAUACAUGAUCCAUUAUUAAGUAGGACCACUGUACCACAGUACCAGCUUGUUGGAAUAGAAGAAUCAACAGAAAAAUUAAUCAUGUGUGUGUGAAAUGGAAGGUCAAUAACUUGGCAGGAAUUCCUUCAUGAAACAUGGCUUGGCAUGAAACUACUUGUCACAUGGCAUGACAUCUAUGCAUGAUCAUGUUGCAAUCUAUUGAAAGAGGAAGGUUGGUAUGAAAUCCUCUAGGAAAUAUGGCUCCAUACAAUAACUUAGUAAUUAGUAUACAUAUGGCAUGAUGGCAAUAUAGCAUAGCCUCCAAGAUCACGCAAAUUGCAUUGUAUGGUAGGAUACACUGGCAGAGCCACCGCCCGGCCACCCCGGGCGGCCGGCCGGGCUCCUCGCCAAAAUGCAAAAGAAAUCUUCUUUAUAUUUAUAUAAAAUUCUGUGAUUUUAUAGUUAAACAUUUUUGCUUAAUGAGAAUUGCCCGGGCUCCUGAAAUCUUCUGUCUUCGCCACUGGUAGGAUACGUGACAUUUUUCACACCACCUAACCUCCAAACAAUAUUGUUUCAUACGGUGUCUUUCUUCUACUGAUUAGGUGGGCGACCAUGACAAUCCUGAAUGUUCAAGGAGCCGUGAGAACACAAGAACCGCGAGAACACAAGAGCCGUGUCUGUGGCGGUCAUGAUGCCAGAGUGGCGACAAUCACAUAGAUCACAAUACAAUCCUCCUAACACAUCAUGAAAACUUAACUUAUUGUGAUGAUGUGAAGCAACAGCACAUUUUUGCUUUCUAACACGAGGACCAGAUAAAAGGCAGGCACCAUAAAAAAGUUUAAUCUAACAAGGCUCACCAAGUCAGGCAAUCGGGAAGCUCACCCACCCUUGCCUUCCAUAUCAUGCACAUCAGAACAAACAAAAGGCAACAAACCAGUACAAAAUUUUGUUUGAUGCAUUCAAAGUAGCAGGCAGGAUGUCCUACUCAUGCAAAUCUAACCAGGACAUUUUUACUGCAAUCUAGUUUAUUCUCCUAGAAUUACCGCAUGGACCAGAUAAAAUGUUGCAGGAAGUGCAAGUUACUCACUGAUAGGACAUCUCCAAUAUUGCUGGAGACAUUUUCAGCAACCUUUGAGAUUGGCCUGCAGAAAUAAAAAAACAGAGAAGAAUUUUUAUAAGUAAAAUAACGCAACUUCUCAAUUAUAGAGUAUACAACUACUUUCUUUACUCAACAAUCUCAUCAUAGCUGAAGCAAACAUAUGUACUAUCGUUGUCGAGGUUACGUCACGUGUUUUGGAAUUGAGCUCAAUUGACUUUAGAGUACAGCUUAAGUUACUAGCACAGAAGUUUCAGUACAAACCCACAACAACUGUGUGCCUUUGAACCAGAAGCUGAGCAUGGUGUAAAAUCCUAGUAGAUAUUUAACUCAUGGUGUCCUCCAUUGUCACUGAAUGGCUGAAAGCCUGAAACCUGUUGUUGCACUACUCUACUAGUAAUUCCUAACAAAUCAACCAAUUUGCACUGACAUGAGAUUUAGUAGCAAAAUCUGAAUAGCAGUAGCUCACCAGGAGAGGUGUCCAAUCAGAUCAGCCACCUGGGGGAAGUACUGGCCGAGAUGCACCAGGGUGAGGCCGAAGAACAGCAUAAACCCAAGAAGGUGCCUGCACCCACAACCACGAGGCCAUUAAUUUCAGCAGCAAGAUUCAGGCAGAAAUGGUUCAGGCCGGCAAGAUUCAGGCAGUGAACCCGGCCGUACGUACGUCCAGAUGUUGAUGGUCUCGUUGUGCCAGGAGAAGAGGCUGAGCACGGCAUUGAGGAUGGGCCACUCGGAGCGGUAGUAGUUGAGGAUGAACUCGUUCUCCUUCAUGUACUCCGGCAGCUCGUGGUAGCUCACCAGCGCGUACUUCUUCCUCCCUCCGCCGCCCCCUCCCUGCUUCCUCUGCUGCUUCCUCCUCCUCUUUCCCCCUCCUCCUGCUUCCUUCAUGGCCGCCGCCGCCUCCGCCGCCGCCGCCGCUUCUUCUUGGUGGGCGUGGGCACACACUACCGUGGCGCCCUCCUCACUCUCCAUGCCCACCACGCCUUCCGCCCUCUCUCUCUCUCUCUCUCUCUCUCUCUCUCUCUCUCUCUCUACACACCUCUUGCUGUCACCUCUCUGCCUGCUUCUCUCUCUAGAACUAUCACGGGGCCAAGAAGGCUUUGCUAUAAAGGCCUGGAGGCUGAGAUGGGUGCACAGCACAGACAACGCAGUGAUAUGAUGAGCUGCACUGCACGCAAGCAACCAAGCAACAAUGCAAGAAGUUGUUGCAAACAAGGCAAGGAACGCGCGAGGCUGCAGUGGGAUUUAAGCUGCUUUUGUUUCCACUUUCAUGGCCUGGAUUUUAUCUCCGAUCGAUGCCUCCAAGCUGAAGCGAAAACGUCCAGCGCUGUGUUGCUCCAGGCAGGGCUCGGCUCACAUGUCGCUGGCCCUGGCCACGUAUAUAAUUGCAGGAGAUGAGAUGAGAUGAUGGUGUGUAUCUUCUGGUGUGGUAAUGUGUGCAGCACACACGAGGGGUAGAGGGAGAGAGGCCUGACUGAUGACUGCUUCUGCUUUGAAGGGGACAUGGACAAAUACAGGUAGGGCAGGAGGACAACCCACAUCGACACUGUUGUCAAGGUCCUCAUCACAGAAGGAAGAGCUGGGGGAGAACACUGUUGGUGUUGGGAAGGAAAAUUCAAAAGAGCCCCACAUCAAUCCUCUUUCUUUUUUGGUUUUAAUAUAAGAACAUAAAAAGGGAAAUCAAAUAGUACUAACAUUAUUAGGACAGAGUUCACUGGCAUACUUAAUUCUGAUGACUGGACCAUUUUAAUGUCACAGAAACUUCAAUAUGCUAGAUUGCCACUAGUUGCUAGUGGCAGGGAAGUGUAUUCUUUCCCAAGCCUGAGGAGUGAGGACACAGUACAUAGCAGCUGUAAAUUUCCAAUUUUGAGACAACUGUAAAUUUCCAAUUCUCAGGUCAGAGUGUAUCUGAACUGACAAAUAUGGACUUCGGAUAAAUCCCAUGUGUGUUUACAUCGUCCAUAAAUAUAAAGUACGAACAUUUCUGCACCGACUGUGAAUUCAAGAAAUUAAUUAAUUGAGUUCUUGCUCAAACCUCAAACCUAGCUGAACCACACACUUCAUCCUAUAUAACAAAUCCAAGUCCAUGAAUUGGGCACCGACGUAGUGAAAAACUUCAUCCUAUAACAAAUACAAGUCCAUAGGACGAGGACAUCCCUAUUGCCAAUCUUAGGCCUUGUUUACUUGCAAAAAAUUUUGCAAAAUAGGAAUAGUAGCACUUUCGUUUGUAUUUGACAAAUAUUGUCUAAUUAUACACUAAUUAGGCUCAAAAGAUUCGUCUCGUCAAUUUCGACCAAACUGUGCAAUUAGUUUUUAUUUUCACCUAUAUUUAAUACUCCAUCCAUACGUCUAAAGAUUCGAUGUGAUGGGGAAUCUGAAAAAUUUUGCAAAAUUUUUCGCGAACUAAACAAGGCCUUAUAAUCAAAAUCGCUUUGCGAAUCCAUCACGGUGGCAUGGCAUUGGCCAUUUGGCAUUUGGCAGAAGAAUACAGGUAGGUGUAGUUGUUGUCUUUGCUUGCUCCUCGCCGUCGCCGCGGGUCCCCUGAAGCUGAAGCCCUUGCAGUUGAGUUUGACCUCGCCGUCUGCUUGCUGGCCACCCAUCCAUCCAUCCAUCCAUCUUCCCAACCGCCGCAAUGAAUUCUCCAGCAAACUCGCCCCCGGAGGAGAACCUGGCGACCUGCAGGCUGCCGAUCUCUCUUCCCGGUCCCGCUGUGGUGUGGCGUGCGGACAACCCGUUGGAAUUGGAACGCUCAGAGAAAGCGCGGCGGCGAGCCCGCGUCAUGGUCCGCGGCGGCCGACCCGGUUGGUUGGGAGCUCGCAACCAACUCGGCCCGGCAUUCCGGCAAGACAGCAUGAGGGGUGGCUGCCUGCUGCUGCUUCUGCGUUCUGAGUUCUGACGGAUGGCUGGCUGCUUCCUUUCCUGUCACCGACAGCGACAUGGUUAGAGCAGGCUGAGUCAGUUUAGGCGCAAAAACCAAAAAACUUUAUGAGAUAGAUAAGUGGAUGAAGAGCUAACUAUCGUAUGUGCGGGCUGGGAGAAGGCUGAAAAAACCUUAGAGCCAGCAAGUAGGCUGUAUUAUUAAACUUGCUCUUAUGACUCAAGCUGGCUUUAGAGCAAGUAUUAUAGUGGCUGUAAGCUGGCUAAAUGCUGAGGUGGAGGAGAGAAGGGAGGAGAGAGAAGAGAAGCGAGCUAUAAGUUUACAGCCAGCCUAGGCUUAGGGUUUAAGAAACUUUGUGAGAGAGACAAGUAGGCCAUGUAUUAAUAGUUAUACCUUACAGCCAGAAAGUGGGCUGUAUUAUUAAACUUGCUCUUACCUGAAAAAAUGUGUGGGUAAGUUUCAUGACGAGGUGAUCGGUGCAGCCAGCAGUCAGCAGCCAGCAGCAGCGCCGGUGAUGAUUCGGGAAUGAUGACGGCCAUUGCAGUGCAGUAGUGCGCGCACAAGGGUUUCCCUUGUUGUCGGACCAGGAUCAGGGUCAGAGAUGGCUUUGGAUCGUGCAUGACGAGAAGCGAGACUAGAGUGGUAAUGGAUUAGAGUCCGAAUCCGAAUGAAAGCUCGAUUGAAAAUCCAAGGAAUUGAAAAGAAGAGUUUCAAAUGAUUAAUAAUGCUCAAUCCGUUUCCUCAAAAAAAUAAUGCUCAAUCCAAUUCGACGAUCUGGUUAUUUUAAAGUCCAAAUUUAUCCAUGACGAUCUAAUAAUAACAAAAGUACGAUGCCUAGAUGAUGAUCUCAUGUCUAAAGUUGGACUGUGUAGAAUUAGAACUUCAGCUACUGGUGUGUCUAUAAAUAAUUGUUGGCUCACAUCAAAAGCUAGCUACACCGUAAAACUAAAAACGAUAUCUCAUCCACUCUAAAGUUUUAGCAAAAUUAACUGAAAUUUAUUUGAAAUGACUUGGUAUAACAGUCAACUACUCUAUGUAUAGCAAAAUCAACAUGUGAGUCCUACAUUAGAAAUCUAAGCUGGACAUUAGGGACCGAUUUCUCAAGUCAAAGAUAUCCAAUGGGCAUUGGAUUUUUUUAGUUGCUCUCCUGUGAAUUUAGGAAGGAUGGAUAUAUCCAAAUCCAAAUGGAUCUUAUCCAAGUAUAUCUUAUUUGCUGUACGCAUGUGUUGUAUUUGUAUCCGAAAUGUGAGAGGUCAUCCACAUUAUGUUUAGAAACCUUAGCCACGCAUCUAUUUUGUUGUACGAGGAUGAUAGUGAUAUGUUUCAUCACCAAAAGCGUUGACGAUCCUUUGCAGUUAUUCUCACAGAGAAGACAGUGGUUGAGUAUUUGUAUUAAAUCCGCUGUUGGCUAUGAACAGAAAUGGCAAGUAGUGUUCAUACUUGGUAGUUGGUACGGAGUACCUAGAAACUGAACCAACCGAGUGCAGGCGCGCAACUCAUUUUAUUUGGCCAACAUUUCCUCCAUCUGAGCCAAAUAAAUGCACAAACACACACCUGGAGCUAUCACGACUUUGACUCUGAUAUUAUCAUUCCAUGUAUGUGUUCAAGAAAAGCAGCCAAAUCACAGUCGUUCCUGAUACAGAUGGCCAACCAUAAACCGAUAACCAAUCGGUCCAACUGGUCCCCAUUUAUUUUUUAUUUAUUUUGGCAACAGGUAUUGGUUAGCUUCAAGAUCAAACUCUUUAACACAGAGGGGAAAAGAAAAAGGAAGUAAACGGUUCAAUGGGUUCACAAGAACAAGCAAAAGAAGACCAAAUCAGGUCAAACAAAUGGCAAAAGUAAAAACGUGAUCAUCCGGGGGCAAAUGAUAGGAGGAGAGCAGAUGGGCGUGGUGUAAUUGUUGCAGCUACUACACCAAACUUAGAAGCUGCUUUGAGUGCAAGUCAUAGCAACUAAUGAUGUUUAAGCAGGAUAAUGUAAGGCAUCAAUACAUGCAUGAUGAAGUCAUAGUUGGGAGCACCACAGUUGCUACAAUAAUUUCAUAACUACUAGAGCAGCAGAUGGAUAAAGGUAUUAAUGAUGUAACCACAAGACAGGUUGGAAAAAAACAUAUAAAAGAGAGUAAACACUUGGGGCAUAUUAAUUCAAGAAAACAAGAUGUAUGGUGCUAAAUUUAUGUGACACUGUAUUUACACAAUAUAAGGCACCCCUCCUAGAAUGAAAAAAAAAAGAGUUUAGAGGGUUGUGCUGUAAUCAUAAGCUCCACUUUGAAGUGAUGGAAAAAGUGUGAGCUUUGUAUAUUGGAAGCUUGUUUGCUGAAAAUGCUUCCACAAAAUGUUUCCACUAUCAACAUUUAAACAAAUUUGUUUCGUCUGUACAGCUGGAUGUAUCCAUUAACAUGCUCUUCGCUCCAAAAAUUUCCAGUGCGGGGAUCCAAGGGAAUGUCAUUCAUAACCCAUGCAGGGACCACACACAUAGAUUAAAUGACUGGCAGGCAAAAUCGGACGUUUCCAAUAGAAUGGAAACAAAGUGUUUGUAUCGUAUAUUCGUGUUGUUCAUUUGUUUCUUUCUUUAUAUUAAUAACAAAACAGAUUGCACUUGGUGUCAUUGUGUGGGUAUACCAAGCUGUUGCAUAGCAGACCUGAUGUCACCAGUGCUGAAUCCCUCAAUUCCAAUGAUAUUUGAGCUAUCAAGAGCAACAACAUCCUGUAAAGGGUACCUUCUGACUGUAUGGAUCCUAUUCGCAGGAGUGUUGAAUCCACCCUUAAGGAUGACUGUCUUGUGAAGACCUCCAAACAGUUCCUCGUAAUCAGAAUCACCAGUUUCACCAACAAUGACCACAGCAUCUGGCAACUCUAUGCCCCAGCGAAUAGACAAAUACCUAUAAUAGAAAAUUUUGUUAGUGGGUUUGUACACAUGUUUGCUGCAAGGUGGAUAUGGAAAUAAAUACAUAAAAUGUUUCCCAAAGACAAUAAUCAAAAGUACAGAUCCCAGACCAGACCAGUGAAAAUUUUUAGUGAUGGUGGCAGUAUUAUCUAUUGCAGAACUUCUUACACUGUUAGGGUUUUAGGGCUGCACAAAACAUUUGAAAGGUAAAAAAUACAAAAAAAGAACUCAUAUUUUAUAGGGAAUAAAACACCCCAUGCAUUAGCUACUUAAACUCUCACUAUAGCCAGAAGCGCCAGAGUUCUGUAUAUCAAAAUAUUAUUAUAGGAUUUCUUACACAUCCAGGUUCAUAACCAACCUGAUCAUGUGGCUUAUAGUUAAACUGGUUUAGGCAAGGAUACAGAUCCCCCAUAUGAACUCAAAACUGGUUCGCAGCCUGCAUUAACACCUAUUUAGCAUUUACACCUGAUCCUGACCCGUUUUGACCAAGUUAUAAACUUAUAGUUUCCCUGUUAUAUUCUGGUAACCACCCAAUUCCCAACCAAUUACAGAGCAGUUUAGGAGACCAGUAAGGAGAGAGCCACAUACAGCUUCACUAAUUUUAAGUUUUUAAUCCUGGUGACAGGUAAUCAGCUGGUACUAAACAAAGCAAUAGGGUCCAGCUUCUCACUCCCACUGCUUUUUUUUGGAACCGGAAGGAGAACUGCUGGUCACUAUAAGAAGUAAUAAAGAGCAAACCAAAGAAUAACAUUGAACACCACACACAUGCCAACUGUACAAAAGGGAGGAAAAGAAACAGAGAAGAGAAGAGGCAAACAAAAAAUGGGUCCUAACCAGUGUAAAUACCAAGUUUCUCACUCCUACUAGUCUAGUCUUCUGUUGAAACAGUUCAUGAUUGGAAUAAAUCAUCCAACGGCCAACACGAAGGGAAAUAUUGCUCAGUGCCAUCAGCAUGGACACCAAGUUGAUAAAUAGAAUCCAAUGUGUACUUGAAACAUGGUUGUCAGACUCACAGUACAUGUAAUAUUCAAUUGAUACCUUUUUUAUAAUGGUAUUGAGCUACUUUUCUCAUAAAUUUAAGGAAAAGAAAAUUCCACAUCUUGAAAACAGUUUUUUUAAAUGCUCCACACGCCAUGAUACUGCAACUAAUUUGCAACAUAAAAGAUAAAUGAUUUUCCUUUAAAAAGGAAGAGUUAAUUAAUAGACAAAUGAAGAAAAUCAAGCACCAGACCUUAGAGCCUGAGAUCGCGAUGCAUGAAUUGGAAUUACAGAUAGCCUGGUGGCGCCAUGGUUAUACAGAGCAUGACAACGCAGUGACUGGAUUCUCAUCAACUUUUGCAGCUCCUUCAAAGGAGGCAACUACAAUAUAUAAACAAAGUCAAAUAAAAAGUUGCACACUUAAACUGUAAUAAAGUGGUCCAAAUAAUGAGUGGGCAAAAUUUCAACCAAAUGUUAGAGGAUCUGGAAAGAAGCUUACAUGAUUUGGAUUAACCACUCUAAAUGCAAGACAAUAUGUUGAAGAGUGUUCUGAAUCUUCAAAGAUGAUUUGCUUUUCUGUUCUCCCCCUUCUUUCUACUACUGAAGAAGCCCACUUAACUAAGUACUUCCUUAAACCUUCUCCUCCCCAACGAUACUCGAUAUGUGAUCGGUAGUUAUGGUCCAAUGCAAAUGUAACACGGGAAUUGCUUGGCACAUCACUAGAUUGUGAUGGAUAAUAUAUAUCACUCCCACUAUUGCAUAUAAAGGCAUCAAAGUCAGUAGGGAGCAUGCCUGUGCGUACUAUUACAGACUGUAGCUCUGCUAUUGUCAGUGAAGUCGACAACACAAAACCUGUAGAACCUGACAUAGUUCCAGUGCGUGUGGCCUCAACAGAAUUUCUGAUAAUUUGAAUUAAAUCUUCCUUGUUAACAGAGUCUACAGCAAUAACAAAUAUAUGCUUCCUGCACUUCACAGGCACCUUCUGGUCUUCUUUGCAUGCGAAAGCAGGAUGUCUUGGACCCAGAGUUAAUAUCCUUGACAAGUAAUUCUUGCAAUGUUCAGGCCAAGAAAAUUGGUGUAUAUUUUUCAAUCCAUUAUCUCGACAUCUUGACCAAAACUGCUUUUCAGAAAGCAUCUUAUAGAGGGCAUCUGCAAUUGCAUGCUGAUCAUGGGGAUCAACAAGGAGACCAUUUUCCAGAACCUACAUCAACAUCCACCAGAAAGGAUCCAAUCUAUUACAGCUGUAAGUCAAUACGCUAUUAAUUCAAUAAAUGGUACAAUGUGAUUCAUGAACCUGAUGAAUUUCAACAGGAGCCCCAUGUUUUGUUGCAAUAACAGGCAACCCGUGCAUGGCAGCCUGCUCACAAAAAGAACAGAUAGGUAAUAAGGGCAUGGAAAUGGUGAGAUACAUAAAUGAAUUUCUGAUUUCAAAAGUUCUGACCUCUAUCAAGGUGACACCAAAUUGUUCAAAGUAGGCAACAUUUACAAAAGCACCCUGGCAUACAUAUGACAAGAAAAGUUGUAUCAGCGAAUACUUAAAAUAAGAUAAUGGCUACUGUAUUUCAGUUGGAUAUACCAUGAAUGCUUGUUGGAAGAAAAACAAAGCAGAUAGAUAUUAAAGAUAAGUGCUUCAAUUCUUGGCAUUCAAAAGAAGGGGGGAAAUAUGGAACUUUUUUUUGGUUAAAAACAUUAUACCUUUGUUCUUGCUGCUAAACGAUAAAUAUCAGGAACUUCAGAGUGCUUGUGAUGCUUUGGGUAUGCCACUUGACCAUAUAAAUCGUAUUCAUCAAUCAAUGUAAGCACCGAUGUCAAAACAGCUGCACUGACUUUGUUCAUUUUGGAAAUAGCCUCACGGUUGCCCAUUAUCAAUGUCUGGAAAUGCAAAAUCAAAAGGUACCAAGGAAAACGUAUCAAAAUUCCAUAUUACUAACAUAUUCAAUACAAUUAUGAUAUCGGAACGCAAUAUACCCAAAACACUCAAAUGUCAGGUUCCAGUGUUAUCUUACAAGGUUAGCAAGUUCCCUCAACGGAUGGCAUUCACCAAAUGCCUUCACAAGCGUUGCAAUAUUCUUUUCAGCAUAUGGACGGGCAAUAGCCAGAAUCAUAGGUUUCCUAGGAUUUGUGAAGAACCGCAUUAUCUGUCAUCACAUACAUACCAUCAGCACAUGAACUUUAAAAACACACACAGGAUCAACAGGAAUAAACAAAUUGAUGUAUCAAGUAAAAUAAAAAGUAAAAUCUUGAAUGUAGGCAUCUUAAAAUAAUUUCACAACCUCAAACCAAAUAGAUGGAUCCUCAGAGGCUGGAGAUGGGUUAUCUUCAUCUCCAUAGAUAUCAAAAUCAUGAAUCAAUUGGCCAAAUUCAACUCCUGGAGGAAUUAUCUGCAGAGCAAGUAAUAGAGAACUAGAGCAUUUAAAACCUCUAUAUUACGACAGCAAGAAAGCAUAAUGCUAAUUGCCCACCUAUAAAAUAUGACAAAAAUGCAACUAGUGAGUAAUUGUUUACGGAAUCAGAGGAAUAGUUUACUUACAACCAUACGAGGCAUAUAACGACCAUAACAGUGAGCGCCACGCUUGACUAACGCACGGAGCUUCCUCGCAAGCAUGACUUCAAAACCAUCGUACAAGUUCCAUUGUUCUUCUAUUUCUUGCCUUGUGCUUGCGAUAACUAUUUCAGAUGCAUCAAGUGACAACUCCUCUGCCUCAAUUCGGCGCAUUAUUUUGUAUGUCACGUUUAUUUGUUCUCUUGUCUGUCUCCCUUGCUUGAGAAGCCCUUCGAGCUUAUCUUUCCCAAGAAAAUGACCGGUAAACACCAUGGGAACAUUAAGUGCUCCAGAUAGUAGAGCAGCAGCAACUCCUGCACUGGAAUAAUGGCCAUGAAUCACAGCAGGCCACACUGGACACACACUGCCAGUUUCUUUGCCUAUAGUUUUUGACAUGCGCACAAUAUGAGCUAGCGCACCAUCAACAAAUUCUUGAAUGAAAGGCCAGAUAUUUUCUUUAGCUAGAUGCUUGUCUUUGGGGCCAAAUGGUAUUCUGAUGAUAUGUGCACCACUGUUUUCUCCUCGUUCGCAUUUAAAGUUCUUGAAACUUGUCGAAGCCAGCAUCUCAUCUGGUUCACCAUAGCCACGAUCAAAAUUUGGGGCUAAGAUUUGUCUUGUCAAUAGAUCAACCCGGUAAACUCCAGGACAAGAACUUAAUGCUUUAGCAAGUUCCACGACAUAUUUGACCUAUGAAACAGCACACAGUGGAUGAAAGUGAAAUCAUGUCCUUGUAUGAUACUAGUAUCUUUUUAGUGAAUAUCUUCGAAACAUCAAAUGGAAUAUAUAGCUGCUCCGUUAACUACAGGAUAAAGUUUGAGUUAUUCAUUCUGAAGAAAGAAUUGCAGUUAUACUUGAUUCUAUAAAUAAAUGCACCGACGAUACCAUUACCUGGCCACCAGUAUCUGAAUCACGGCCAAGCUCCAUAUUCUCUCCACGUAUCAGGCCAUGAAGACUACAGUAUAAUACAUCAUAACACAAAUUCAAUGGCAAAUAUAUUUCAACACAAAUACCAGCAAGCCAAAGGAUUACAUCAUAUUUAAAUUGGAUUAUAUGCCAACUUGUGAAACCACCGAUUCUAAGAAUAGUAUGAACAGUAUGCAGUGUUCAGGCUAAAUCUGUGGAAGUGAAUUUCCUUAUGAACUUCUUUCAAUUUAAUGUAAAUCAUUUUGCAACAGAUAUGAAUAGCAUACUGUCACAUGAUGAAUUAGUUACAUGCAGCUUAAUCAAUCUGUAGCAUGUACAUAAAAGUGUCAAAAAAAUAUUAUAGAAGAUAAAUAAACUAUUAUGUACCUGAUUAAGACUAUGUAUAGCUUGUCAAAUGAACUGAUCCUAGGUGUGUUCCCAGUUGUGCUGUCACCGUAGGCAACAGAUGGAUCACCAGCGUCUUCUCCCUUCACUCCUUCAAAAAGAUCUUCAGACAUUUCUGCAGUAGCAUCAUUCCGUGGCUUCUCAGUCUCUAGACGGCGUUUGGACAAGCGAUUGGCUUCUUCUUUCUCAAACUGAAUAUUGGAAUUUACAUAACAAAGAAAAACUAUAUUAAAUGGAAGAGAUAGAAGUUCAAAUGCAACCUAACAUGUAAUUAUCACAUAACAAGAUAAAGCAGAAAUGUGAAAAAAAAAAACUGAACAACAAAAUCACUUCUGGUAACAACAUUAUCAGAUUAGAAAUCAAAACAUUAAAUGCACAAAGAAAUACACUAUAAUGUCAAUAUAUCUUGUGAGUUGUGAAGUGUGCACUAGUGAGAGCUGUUGGAACAUUUGAAGUACAAGUAAAAAUAGGGACUGUAAACCCAUGAUGCCAAUUUUAUUUAGCAUGCAUGUUAAACUAAUUCAAUGAGUUUUGUUGAACUGAACAAUCGAUUCCUUUUUUAUGACUACUUAGAGAAGGACCAGUAAGCUAUGAACACCACGCAUUAACAAGUAACAACACAUCAAAUUUCAAUAAAAAAAAAGUAACAACACAUCAAACAGCAAAUGUCAUAGGGCCACUCAUAAGUAACUUUUCAUAGCAUGGUUUAUGUGCAUACAACCUUUACACAAAGAAAAUAACUUCUAUUGAAGUGAAGAGUGUAAAGCAGUAUGUUAGGGAAAAAAACAAACUUUAAUAAGUCAAACAAAUAGCCAAUGACAGUGUACUUGUAGAAAAAAUAGUUUGCUUGUAACAAUCUGAUUUUGUGGUCUUAGAGGAUCUACAUGCCAGUAUGCCACCUCUUUAAAUAAUAAAAAAUUAGAUCCCUCAUCUUCCGCCAAAAAAGAAUCCUACAUCUCUUGAUCUAUUCACUUCCACUCAAAUCCCACAUUUUCACUUCCACGUGAUAUUCUACACAUUCUAUAAUAUUUUUAAUCAUAUCUUCACACAUAUAUGCCUAAACAGACAAAGGUCUCUGAACAUAAAAGGCCAUGCACAUUGGACGAUCAUCCAUGUUGCCAAACCCAACUGAGGUCUCCCUGCCCCUGAUUCCACUUGCUUUGCAUAGUGCUUAAGAAAGUUGUCAUCAAGCCAGUGGUUAGAAGCAUUGAAAAACUAACAUUUAUCUUGUAUCUUUAUAUCACAAGCAGCCCAUGAGCCCAGACUCAUCUAGGCCCUUGAUAUCCAUACUGCAGGUUACCAAGAGGAAUUGAAGAUUCAUAAAAGGCCAAAACUCAUGUAGUGUAGUGGUAACCUCUGUAGUUGAGGGAGACCCUGGCUAGGGCUCAAAUCCUCAUGGCACCAAAAAAGUCCCCUCGCUGGCAACCCAAUAAAUAUUCAUAGGGCACCAACCUGUGACACUAGUGGUUGAUUGGGGCCCUCCUACCAGGGGAUACUUGCAAUGGUCGCCAUCCCAGAGGGUCAUGGUUGGCCGAGGUUAGAGUGCAACCCUAUAGGUGAAGCCAUGGUUCGGGGAAUUUCUCUGUCGGUUUGUCUGAGAGCUCUUAGUGCAAUACUGGGCAAUCUUUCCCCAUUGGCCAAAGGCUUUCUCUUCUUUUCUUUUCUUUUCUUUUCUUUUUUCCUUUUCUUUUCUUUUUUUUUUUGGUGAGGAGGAUGGCCAUGUACCAUCUACAGCUGGACACUUUAGACAAAGACCACAAUAUGGACUUGUUACAUUCUAAUACAAUCACAACAACUAAAAGAACAUCCGUUGUUUGGGAUCACCGUUUUACCCCUGCAACUAUCUUGAAUACUCUUUUGUAACAGGUAAGUAUGAUGGCAAACAGAAUAAGGCAAGAGCAAGCAUCAGGUGGGACCGUGGGAGGAGCUCCAGUGACAUGGUGCCUCUGUUGACACUGGGGCAGGUCUCACGAAAGACCUUAAUUGUAAUAAUGAAGUGAAGUACCUUGCUAAAGGAGUAAAGAUUGAUUGAUGUUAUCCUCCUAGAUGUGUACAAAUGAAUAACUGCACAGCACUGAUUGUUGCUCAAUAGGACAAAUUUGUAUUACAUUGUUUCCAACUUCUACCAGGUAAAACACCCGCAGUUUAGAGGUUCAGGUUAGGUGAAGACUGAAGAGUAGAAGGGCAAAUCUUGGAAGUUUAGGUUCUUAGGACCUGUUGAUCUUCAAAGUGUUCAAAAUAGAAGAAAGUCUAGUAGAUGUUAACUUGUGGUAAAAAAUACUGAUAUGGAUCUCUGAGACUAAUUAAAAUGUACCAAAAUAGUUCAAUUACAUUGAUAAUGUGCUACGAAUGCUACAUAGCCAAUUUUACUAUACUAAAUCUUCAUCGCAGUAAAAUCAAAACUUGCAAUGAAGAUCUUGAAACAAGGUGUACACAAAGUUGUUUUGUAUAAUUCUUACUGGUUCAAAAUUCUACUUCAGCUUGUUUUCAUAAACCUUAAAUUGUAGCCUUAUAGGUUUAGAGUGUAAGCGGAACUCUCAAAUAUACUUUCUGGGUAGCGCGCGCGCUGACAUGUGAGAAAUUCUUAGUCUACUAUACAGAUUUAAAUUUAAAUCUUCAGUUUUUUUCGACCACAUAAGGCACACCUCAGUCGCUUAGUCUGCAUUAAAUGGUGAAUGGACUGAAGGGGCAGAAUUAAACGCACAAGUAAAAAUUAUUGGAAUUGAUCAGAGAAAAUGGAAUAUUAGAAUUUGUGUGCAAAACAGAGAAAUACUGUCUUGAUAGAUAAGAGUUCCUGCUUUUUGAGGUUGCAAUGCACAUAAACAACCUGAGUGAACCUGACACUCCUACCAAACAUGAUGUCCAGCACAAUUCAUCAUAGUUAUCCGUUAGACUAUUAGAAAAACCCUUUUCCAGAAUACAAUGGAGAACAUGUGCCUGGACUCUAUUAGCUGACAUGAGUAUGCAGUUAUUACAGAUUUUCCAAAGGAAUAGCAUAUUUUUUGGAGAUUUUGGUGACACUGAUACCAGUGAAACAUGCUUUGGUCCAUCAACCUUGGUAGAUAACCUAAUGCCUCUGGCUAAUUUCCACUAUUCUUUCCUUACAUGCUCAACUUGUUGCUGCUGAAAACAAACAUAGACUAAUAUGAAUAGAUGUUUUGUGCUUUGCAGUGUAGUGUAUCCUAUUGUGGGGUCAGUGCGAUCCAUCAACACAUACUGAUCAUUACUGUAUUUCCAUACAUCUGUAGUGGAAGAGCUAAAUUAUCUUUCACACUCUAACACUUCAGCAAGCAGUUUUUGAUGAAUUGAAGAAGUAACCACAGGGAGAAGGUGACAAACUGGAGGACAGGUGAUGAUAAUAAUAGCUAACUUACAAACCCAAUCACACAUAUGGAGCUUGAAAAGCUUGGCAUUUUGGUCCAAUGUCUUAUCCCAUCAUAAGUAGCGAUCAGACAAAGCAGAAACAUCCUAGGCGUGCUACCUGGUCCAAAUCAAUUUGGAACUGGAACUUCUGCUCAAUACCUUUGCAAAGCUCAUUGAGAAGGACCAUAGCUCGAUGAACACUCCACUGAAACAUUUUGUGGAGCAGAUCCUGAUGCUCUCUAAAAUGCACCUAUGCCAAGAUCAAUCCUAGUUCCAGCUAAACGCUAAUCUAACCCACGCACGUCUCCUCUUUCCGGAGCCCAACCCAGCUUGCGGAUUGAAUUAUCAAAACCGAGAUGGGCACAAGCUGCGAGGAACAUAAGAAGCAGCACGACGAAGGGAGAGAAGAGGAGAAACGAACCAAGAGCAAAAAGGCGCACCUCCUUCUUCUUCCUGGCGAGGUUCCAGAUCCUCCAGGUCAUGUUCUCCAGCCGCGUGUUCUUCUCCUGCGGGCUCCGCAUCGCGUUCGCCUGCGCGCACCCACCACCACCACCACCACGUGCACACGCGGCCGCACACACACACAGGCACAGAUCGAUCAACACAUCCCGCGGAUCACCAGCGAGGAAGGAGGGAGCCAGGGAUUCGGGGAGCGCGAGCUCGCUCGCCCUCCGCGCACGCGCACGGGGAGGAGCGGAGCCGCGCGCGUACGUACCCGGAGCCAGGUCUUGUAGAGGUCGGUCUCGUCGUAGCCGGUGAUGACCUCCUCGACGAAGUAUCGCGCGGGGGAGAAGUGGCCGCGCUCGCGGAGGAGCAGCGAGGGCCGGUCCCCGCCGCCGCCUCCGCCCCGGCCCCUGGCGGCGGCGGCGGCGCCGGCACCCGCUGCCGCUGCGCCCUUGCCGGCAUCGAGGAUGGCGUCGAGGUAGCUGUUGAUCCAGUUGUCGUUGCCGUACAUCGCCGCCGGCGAAAUCGAGGCCGAAUGGGGUGGGCGUUCGGCGGGUGCGGGUGGGGGCGAGGGAAGUGGUGGUGGUGGUGGUGGUGGCGAGGACGAGGGCGGCGACGGGAAAAGAGAGAGAGAGAGGAACAGAAAUGGAAAGGAAAUGCGACAUGGAAUUGGAAAUGGGUUGUGGUUAUUGCCCUUCCUACCCGCCUGCCUGCCAGCGGGUGCGCGGAUUCGUGCGGUCUCGGCCGUUGGAUCUGGAUCCGACGGUGGAGUCCUGAUCGUAACGUAUCCCAGUGGGAGAGCGCAGCGCAGCGCUUCGCUUUUUUGUUUGGCAUUGUGCUGCUGUGUUGCGCAGUUUUUGUGUAGCAACUUGGAAAUAGGAUAUUCACAAGUAUAGCGUCGAAAUCAAGAAAAUGGUGUGGUGCAGUACGUCUCAUGGCAUAGCUGAUAAAAGUUGGAGUUUGUGAUGUUACCCCUGAUGCUAACAUUGAAACAGACGACAAACAUGUACAUCUGGCUCGCGAUUUGGUUUUCUCAUUGAAAAAAACUAGUUCAUCCACUCAAAUUCACGAGGAAAAUUAACGUGCCAAAAAGAAUUGGCAGGAGAUUCGUCUGGUGAUAGCUUUUUGUUCCUGGAUCGAAAGACCAGCCCCCCAAGCUGUUGGCGACUUGGCGUCCACUCCACACACAAUAAUGCAUUCAUGUGACAUAUUAUGAAUUCCGGUUGACCUUGUUCAGGAGAAGAGAUUCUUGUUGUGGCAGUUGGAUUAGGCCUUGUUUAGAUGUGAAAAAAAUUUGGAUUUUUUUACUGUAGCACUUUGCUUUGUUUAUGGUAAAUAUUUUUCAAUCAUAGACUAACUAGGAUUAAAAGAUUUGUCUCGCGAUUUACAGUUAAACUGUGUGAUUAGUUUUUGUUUUCGUCUAUAUUUAAUACUUCAUGCGUGUGCUGCAAGAUUCGAUGUGACAGGAAAUUUCGAAAACUUUUUGAAUUUCGGGGUGAACUAUUUAGAUACACCGAAAAACCCAAAACUUUACAAGAUUCCCCGUCACAUCGAAUCUUACGGCACAUGCAUGAAGUAUUAAAUAUAGAUAAAAAAUAACUAAUUGCACAGUUUACUUGUAAAUCACGAGAUGAAUCUUUUAAGCCUAGUUACUCCAUAAUUAGACAAUAUUUGUCAAAUAAAAACAAAAAUGCUACAGUGUCAAAAUCCCAAAACUUUUUGCAUCUAAACAAGGCCUUAGUUUACCCAAAAACCAAAAACUUUUCAAGAUUCCCCGUCACAUCGAAUCUUACAACAUAUGCAUAAAACAUUAAAUAUAGACAAAAAUAAAAACUAACUAUACAGUUUGUCUGUAAAUCACGAGAUGAAUUUUUUGAGCCUAGUUAGUCCAUGAUUGGAUAAUAUUUGUCAAAUAAAAAUGAAAAUGCUAGACCAAAAUUCAAAAUAUGUUCGGAACUAAAUAAGGCCUUAGUCUAGUACUGUACUACCUAAACUACCAGGGUCUUAUUUAGUUUACCCGAAAACCAAAACUUUUCAAGAUUUUCCCGUCACACGAAUCUUGCGGCACAUGCAUGGAGCACUAAAAUAUAGACGAAAAUAAAAAGUAAUUGCACGGUUUAUCUGUAAAUCGCGAGAUGAAUCUUUUAAGCCUAGUUACUCCAUGAUUAGACAAUAUUUGUCAAUUAAAACGAAAGUGCUACAAAACCGAAAACCAAAAAAAUUUCGGAACAAGACCCAGAUAACUGUUCCUUCAUUUAAUUUUUGUCUACAAAGUCUAUUGCCCUGCUCUGUAGGAAAAGGCAUUUUCGGCGAGACCAUUUAAUUUCGCCGGCAUAAAUAAACACGACCUGGGCCUUGUUUAGUUUUCAAAAAAAUUUGCAAAAAAUUUCAGAUUCCCCGACACAUCAAAUCUUUAGACACAUGCAUAGAGUAUUAAAUAUAGACAAAAAUAAAAACUAAUUGCACAGUUUGGUCGAAAUUGACGAGACGAAUCUUUUAAGCCUAGUUAGUCUAUGAUUGGACAAUAUUUGUCAAAUACAAACGAAAUUGCUACAGUGUCGAUUUUUUAAAAAAUUUUAGAAGACCCUGGUAUAUUCCGAAAAGGGAAAUUUCAAUUUGAAUCCGAGUCAUGUGACGCUGCAAGCUGCUUGCCAGCCACUGUGUGCUGAGCUGAUUCGGAGACUUUCCGGUUCCAGCCAGGUCCAUCCCAGUCCAGGUGUGACCGCGGCGGCAGGCAGCAGCAUCUUUUACCGUUCCCGCUUGCCAAGGCAAUUGAGUUUGACCCGUGCAGGGCUGCUCCCACGCCGACUCGCCGUCGGAUCGGAGACCAUGCACGCCACGGACAGGAGAUUACAGUCUGAUUGCUCGCUCGUUCCGUAUACUACCAAACUACUACUAGGACUAGGAUAGGAGGAGUAGUAGUACCAAUGAAUAAUACCCUUUCCCCUUCGUAGCGAUUGGUCAACCACAAGCAACUCUACAAUAUACAACAUGCAACACCACAUGUGACGUAGCGUAUAGCAUUGUGUAAGAUCAGUUUGGUAAGCGCGUCAUUUGUUAAUUUUCAAAGGUUGUUCGAUAAUGCCCAUAAUGCUCUUUCAUGGCUUCAAGAGGUGCGUGCUAUUUCAAAUAAAGUCCAUAUCAUGUUCUUCACGACUACUUCAACGAUACUUCACAACAAUGUUUUUUUCUUUCACAACAAAUUAGACAGUUCUCAAAAAUUUUCAAAAUUUUUCCAUCACAUUGAAUUUUGAACCCAUGCAUGCAGCAUUAAAUAUAGAUAAAAAAUAACUAACUGCACAGUUUAUCUGUAAUUUGAGAAAUAAAUUUUUUAAGCCUAGUUUGUCCAUAGUUAGACGAUAGUUGUCAAAUACUCCCUCUAUCCCAAUUUAUAAAUCAUUCCAAAAAUCUUGUAGAGUUAAAGCAUUUUAAGUUUGACCAACAUUAUAGAAAAGAUAGAAAAGUUUAUGACAUCAAAUAGAUAUUACUAUGAAAAUAUAACUAAUGAAGAACCUAAUGAUACUUAGAUUGUAUCAUAAAUGUUAUUAUGUUAUCAUAUAAAUUUGCUCAAACUUGAAAUGCUUUGACUCUCCAAUAUUCUUGGAAUGACUUAUAAUUUAGGAUGAACGAAGUACAAACGAAAAUGCUACAGUAACUGAACGCAAAAAAUCGCAAACUAAACAAGGCCUUAGCAAAAACAACAACAUCGACCAAAUUUCAGAUGGAUUUAUAAAACAUGUUUUUUGACUGUUAAAAAAACUGACAGCUAUGUUUCACUUGAAGAUUUCAAAGGUGGUUUUCUAUUUUAAAAAAUAAUGUCUUAUUUAAUCUCAGAAGCUUCAUAGCUAAUCUAUUGGAAUUGGAAAAACAUGAAACUAGUAGCAUUUUAAAAGAAAAAAUUUAUAUAUUAGUUUGUGGUCUAUUUAAGUUAUUUGGAACAUCCUAUUCCUUUAUUACUUGUAGUCAUGUUCAUUAUCUUUAAACAAACAAAUAAGAUUCAAAUAGCUCCAUAUAGAGCAUCAAGUGAUAGAUAACCUUUUUAGAAGAAAACAGACACUAGUUUACAAUAGAUUAUGUGUGAAUUUUUAGAGACUAAACGGCUUUUGUUAUAUAGAUACAAAAUUUAUAGAGGGCUAAAAUCAUCUAGUUUUGAUAGUUAGAGACGGUGUUCAUUUCUAGGGUUCAAAAAAUAGUCUGCUGCCCAAGUUGGAGAUUGAAACAAUAUGGAAGUCCCGUUCCUAUGAGAGAUUACCCAUUGCAGAGAAUAUACACAUUCACUAGAGCUACGUUUGAUCAUUCGUCAACAAAUCACUUGGGGUCAAAAAAAAAUCUUGCAUGUUACCAUUUUCAUCCUUAUGUUAAAUAUACAACCCAUUGAUUGUUCAAUUAGUAGUGUUGGAUUUGAUAAAGACGAGGCAUUUCCAUGUUCUUGAGUUGCAAUUCAAAGAUGAUGAUACUGGAAAACGCAAUUAGAAGGAGGGCUAAAAUUGAAAGGGACCUUACUCCUUAGGAAAGGUAUACAUCUCUACUAUAAUGGAAUACUUAAAUUAUAUUUGGUCCAUCCAAUAAAAUGUCUCUUGCUGAGAGUCCUCAACCAUUGUUGUUGGGUACCAUAAAAAGAGAUACCCAAAUCAGAGUAAUAAAAAACGCAAAAAACAUACUAACCACAAUCACCAGGGUACGGGCCCCAGUUCAUUCAACUCGUCCGACCCCCGAGGGCCUCGGGCGCAAGUUCCGACUCGCCCGACCCCUCAGGGCCUCGGGCGCAAGUUCCGACUCGCCCGACCCCUCAGGGCCUCGGAAGCAAGUUCCGACUCGCCCGACCCCUUAGGGCCUCGGACGCAGGUUCCGACUCGCCCGACCCCUCAGGGCCUCGGACGCAAGUUCCGACUCGCCCGAUCCCAUCUGGGCUCAGGUGCCGGACCCCGCUCCACCAGGUCGACAAGACUUCCACCAGUCGGCGCCCGUACCCCCGAAGUGACAAGCGCGAUGACUCCCAUACCGCAGCAGGGCAGGGCGCCGACUGUUCCAACCACCCCGGUCACUGUAGCCUUACCUCUGUCACUAUGCAUCCUUCCCUCUCUCACUGUGGCGUACUGCCUCACAGUAGAAAGGGAAUGGAGGAGGUUAAUUAGCACCACUAUUUGAGGUCAUUUCCCCACUGUUGACAGGAUGUGCAGCAGUGCCGGCGAUCCGACCCCUGCGACCCCUACAGGGCUCGGUAACCCUCUAUAGGAGCAGCCAUACUAUCAACCAUCCCCCAAGGACGAGAUGGACCAGCUUCAACAGGGUCGGGACUGUGGUUUCACCAUUCAACAGAAGAAAUCUACUCAUGUAAAAACCUGUCUUCCCUUGAGGCUAUAAAAGGGGAGCCAGGGUUCACAACUAAGGACAGGUUCAGAAGGUUCAUGCACACGCCCACCGCACUCUUUCACAGAGCAACGAUCACCACUCUGUCCACCACUAAGCCGAGACCUGGGACUUAGCCCUCUCUCGCGAUCAGCUUGUACCCCCUACUACAAGCACCUUCGGUGCAAGGUUAUACAGAAUCCGCGACCACACUGGACGUAGGGCAUUCUUGGCCCGAACCAGUAUAAACCCUCUGUGUCUCACUUGCAUCACCAUCCAAGUUUGGGUAGUCACACAGACUUAUACUUGUUAGUGCCUAGACCACGAGUCUAGACGCCGACAGUUGGCGCGCCAGGUAGGGGCCUUCUGCGUGACGCUCGCCUGUCCCUACUGGGAAGGCUUGGAUGGCAGACGGAUUUCACCCGCUCCGCCGCGGCACCAUCAUGACGUUUGGGAGUUUGGAGUUCAUGUCCCUCGGUUCCGGCUACGACAUGAUCCUCCUCCCGCCACGUGGUGAUGUCGAGCCUAAUCCCGAGCCGAUCCCACCUCAGUCAGUGCGUGGGAGCCGUUCGGGACACCCUACGGGGGGCACACGGCGGGGGCGUCAGAGAUCUAGGAUCUUCGACCCUACCACUGAGGCUAGGACCCGUCCGGCCCUCCCCCCACAUAUUCCUCACCAGAUCGCCCGCUCCUCCGGCCUGACAGGCGCGAGAGGAAGGGCUCGCGGGGCAUUAAGCUCCGCUCCCAGGACCAAUAGAGGAUCAUCGCGGCUACCCGUCCCACCCCGUUCGAAGGGGAAGGGACGGCCCGCGCCCGUCCCCCGCAAGGGGGACAAAGGGGCCUCAACAUCCCGACAUCCUCCACCCAUGGGUAAAGGAAGAACAGCGGCACCCCCCGAGUUACCUUUUGGGCUCAGGAACGCCGCCGCCACCUACGCCUCUUCCGCGAGCACUUCGCUAAGUGCAUACGUGGAACUUCCAGGUCACCACUUGAGGUCUACACUGGACCUCAUCUCCACGCCGCCCGUUUCGUCAUACUCGGAGGAUCCUACCUCAGGCGACGACGAGCGGGCCGGCGCUUCCGGGUGCGGCGACCCGGAAACCUUCAUGCGCUUCUUGGAAGCCAGCAACUACUGUCUCGGCUACUCCGACUCCGACGACGGGAGCUACGACCCGACACGAGAAUGCUUCAACCUGGAAGUCGGGGGCACACCGCAUAACGCCCAGGGGGACGCAGGGCCCUCUAGGCAAGAGAAUGCAACUCCACCUCCCAACCCAACUCCCGGAACCGACCUUGGAGCCCGUGGGGUAGCAUCAGCCCCCGUUGGGGGGAACCGCCCUGACCUCGAACAGCUCGAUGAGCUGGAGGCUAGGCUCGAAGAAGAACGCGCACGCCUCCGCCAACUCCGCGAAGCCCUGGUCCGAGACCCAUCCGGCCGCGGAGACGGGGGUGAGGCUAGACGCCGCGCCCGUGACGUCAACCGCCGUAUUGUCGAGGACCAAGGGGGUGACGCCCCAGUCUUCAGCACGGCCAGCCAGAAUGUGAUAGCCGCUGCACUCCUCCUCAGGGCGAUGCCCGAGCCGUCGACUCCUGAGGGAAGGAGAGUGCGCCAGGGGCUGCGUGGCCUCCUGGAGCAGGCUGUGGUGCAAAACGCGGAGAGUUCUGCCUCACAAUCCCACGGCACGAGACGUCGUGAGGAACGACCACCUCCUAACAAGGCACCAACGGUACAGGGUCCGCCGCCCCCUAACCCACAAGGGGGCAACAGGGCCCCGUCAGUACACGAGCGCGUCGGAGCCGACGCGGACGUGCGGGCGACCCUCGAGGCCAGGCGACGUGACAGGGACGAGGCCGAGUCCCGACGAUACCGACCGCGCCGAGGCGGGAGGUACGACCCCGAUCACGACCGCAGCACGUCACCAGAGCCUCCGAGUCCCCGCGUCUUCAGCGAGGCCAUACGAAGGGCCAAGUUCUCGGCGCGAUUCCGACAGCCCGCCAACCUCACCAAGUACUCAGGGGAAACUAACCCUGAGCUCUGGUUGGCGGAUUAUCGCCUAGCAUGCCAGCUAGGCGGCGCGGACGACGACCUGCUCAUCAUCCGCAACCUCCCACUCUAUCUGGCCGAUACGGCCAGCGCAUGGCUCGAGCACCUCCCUGAGCGCAUGAUCCACGACUGGGCUGACCUGGUCAGGAUCUUUGUCGGGAACUUCCAGGGCACAUACGUGCGCCCUGGGAACUCCUGGGACCUCAGGAGCUGUCGGCAGAAGCCCGAUGAGUCUCUCCGAGACUUCAUCAGGCGAUUCUCCAAACAGUGCACUGAGCUCCCCAACAUCACGGACUCCGAUGUCAUCGGAGCCUUUAUUUCCGGCACCACUUGCAAAGAGCUUGUGCACGAGCUCGGACGCAAGACCCCCACGAGCACUAGCCAGCUACUUGACAUUGCCACCAACUUUGCCUCAGGCGAAGAGGCAGUUGGCGCCAUUUUCUCCGACAGCAUGGCCAAGGGGAAACAGAAGGCCGAGGCCACCGAGGCCUCAGAAUCACGCGACCCCAAGAAGAAGAAGAAGGGACGCAAAGGGAGAUAGGGUCAGCCGGACGACAACUUAGUCGCCGCCGCCGAUCGUAAGAACCCAAAGCGGGCUCCCGCUGGCCCCGGUCUCUUCGACGAGAUGUUGAAGAAACCAUGCCCCUAUCACAGAGGGCCAACCAAGCACACCCUUGAGGAGUGCUGUUGACACUGUUUUUGGGCACGUGUCUAGGAUGGCAGGACAGGAUGGCAGUACUAUGCGGGUUGCUGAUGAGGAUGAUUGCCGAUGAGGGAGAGUUUGAAUAUGAUUAAGUCCGCAGGCAAUAAUAUGGUGCCGAUGGCCGGAUAAAAAGGUCUGCCGAUGACUAUGGCAAGGGGAUUGCCGAUGAUGCUAAGGAGGAGUCCAGAAGCUGCCAGUUGUCAUGUGGAGAAGUUUCGGUCCGUCACGAAGGAUAGUUUUAUUGUUUCCUUAAUUAUUUGCAUCGUUUUGUAUACGGAUUCCGUGUAAUUUGGAAUUCGAAUUCUAAUCGUGUCUGGUUGUAGCUCUUUGAGCAGGGUAUAAAAUAAACCCUAGGACCUUGUAAUAAGGGAAUCAAUCAAGAAAUCAAUCAAACAUACGUUUUUACUCAUAUUCCAGCAUCUACUUUUCGACGACUUCGUCAUACUUUUUCUUUUUAUUACGAGUUCUUAGGAAUUUGUCGACUUAAGCUCGACGUGUUCUUGAGUUCCGCGUGAGUACCUCUUAGCCGUGACAUCCGGGCGCAUCGCUGUUGUCAGGACUAAAGUAUUCGAGUUAUCACCUUUGCCGAUAGUAAGGUCAAAUUGGCUGGCACGCCUUAACGUUUGAAUCGGGUAUUAGCCCUUUGUGUUUGUAGACCCUUUUUGCAUCAACACAUCUUUUGGCACGCCCAGUGGGACUAGAUUCAAGAUCAAGAUCAACAUGUCGAUCUCUGACCUCGAUCAAGACAACGUCAUCCCCGUGACGGAGGCCAACCUCAAGGAUGAGCAGAAGCAGGCUAUUGCCCAAGCCAUGGAAGAGUUCAAGCAGCAAUGCCUGAGGUCUUUCAGCAUAAACAGGAGCGGCGAAGUGGUCCAGAAAGACGCACUGCCGGCACCACGGCAGGUCACCUUUGACGCCAAUCCCGGCAUGCUUCAAGAUAUGGUUGACAAUGCCAUCAAUCGAGCGUUGAUUAACCAAGCUGGUGUAUUGUCUAAUACGGUUUUCAACGCCGUGGCAAGAACUUUCAAGGAAGGACAAAUCCCGCCGGAUUAUGUGGGCCCCUCCCAUCAUCAGCCCACGGCACCCGAGGUCACGGCUCCAUCGGCUGCCUUGACGGAUGCAAGUGCACAGUCUGCCGUCCCUCCAAGUACAUUGGGGACUGCUGGUGCACUAUCUAUGUCGAUGACAACCAACCCACAAAUUUCAUUGGCAUCGGCAAUGUCAGGGUUGACUCUUCCUCCCAACUGGUGGGGUUAUGGUAUGCCUCCAGAGUUGACGCCGGGAACGUCACAAAUAACUGACAUGAGGGGCAAAACUCCUAUGACCUCGGCACUUCCCAAUGCGCCGGUGAACCAGAGUCCUCGGUAUACCACAACUACUACUGCAAGACCUCACACUGGAAAUCCUCAAGAUUCAAUGUUCCAGAUGCCCAACGCAUCGGCAGAGUCAAUGCUGAUGCAACAGAGGUCUAUGGCCCAGUCGGGGUAUGUCAAUUCAACGACGGUACCCAAUUACCAAUCAUCGGCAGCACAUAGGCCGAUGAAUGCUAAUAAUGGAUGGCUUGGACCGCAAGCCUUUCCACAAUCGCCCCAGCAGGGUUAUCAGACUGCAGGGUUCCAGCAAGGGCAAGUCUAUCCCGGGUUCCAAGGUCAGGGGAUUCCCAACCAGCCAAUAAAUUUUGGACAGCAACUCGGAGGACAGCCAAUCGGUGGACAGCAGUUUGGUGGUCCGCAGAUUGGAGGACAGGUGACCAAUACAAUGUUACAUGCAGGUCACGUCCCGAACAGGCACGUGGAGGUUCGCCACCAAAUGCCGGAUCCACAGACGCCUCAUCGGCAAGAUGCCGAUGCGUAUUGGGCCGAUAAGAUUGCUGAAGUAAUGAGGGAACAAUUUGGGAUAAAACCCAAGGUCAAUACUUAUUCUUAUCGGACACCGUAUCCUCCAGCGUAUGAUUUGAUCCCGCUUCCACAUCGGUACAAGGUACCGGAUUUUACAAAGUUUUCCGGACAGGACGACACAUCAACCAUGGAGCAUGUCAACAGGUUCAUUAUUCAAUGUGGAGAGGCUGGUAACAGGGACGAAUUGAGGGUUCGUCUAUUUUCAUCAUCAUUGUCCGGAUCGGCCUUUACUUGGUUCAUAUCAUUACCUCCCAACUCAGUAAUUACUUGGGCCGAUCUAGAGAAGCAGUUCCACAAAUACUUCUUCUCGGGGGUUCAUGAGAAGAAGAUCACCGACUUGGUCAAGUUGAGGCAACGUAAUGAUGAGUCGGUUGAGGGAUUUGUGCAGAGGAUACGAGAGGUCAAGAAUAAAUGCUAUAGCCUGGUUCUGGAUGAUCGGCAGCUAGCCGACUUGGCUUUCCAGGGUUUGUUGCCACAUAUCAGGGAUAAGUAUGCCUCUCACGAGUUCGAAAGUUUAAGUCAUUUGGUGCAGAGGAUAUCUGAUCAAGACAUCAAGCCUUUCGAGCCCAAGAGGGCAUGGAAUAAGAAAGUAUCAUUUGUUGAUGAAGCAACAAGCUCAGAUUCCGAUGAGGAACCAGUAAUCGGUUUGGCAGAGUGGGUAAAAAAUAAGAAGCCAAUGUCUUGUCCUUUUGGGCAGAAGGAACCAGAGAAGUUUGCCUUUGACACCGCCAAGGCCGAUAGGAUAUUCGACUUUCUACUUCAGGAAGGUCAAAUCAAACUGUCACCUAAUCAUGUGAUCCCAUCGGCAGAAGAGUUGAAGAGGAUGAGAUAUUGCAAGUGGCAUAAUGCAACUUCCCAUGACACCAACGAGUGCAAAGUAUUCAGACAGCAGCUGCAAUCGGCUAUAGAGUCAGGGAGAAUCAAGUUUGACAGUUCCAAAGCCCAGAAGCCGAUGAAGAUAGACCAACAUCCUUUCCCGACAAACAUGUUGGAUGCUAAGGGGAAGGCUAGGGUCUUAACAUCAGAGACAGCUGAAAAGAGUGCAUCGGUAGAUCCUCAGCAUCAAGUUACUACUGCCGAUGCAAGAAGUAAAGGCUUGGUCCAGGAAGGGACUAGCUCGGGAAGGCCUCCUCGAUCUGGUAUCGUCAUAACUCAUAGAAGGCCUCGAGAAAAUUGGCAACAACGGGAAGAUCGGUAUCGGCGCCAGCAGGAAGAUUAUCGACGGGAAGAAGAAAGACGCCGACAGGAGUGGAAUCGGCACAGGGAUCAUUGGAAUUGUCCGUUCUUCAUCCAUUGUUGGGAAGAAAAUAUCAAGCUUCCUACUGUCAGAGACUGCCCUGAGUGCAACGGUUAUGAUCGGUACGAUAGAACCGAUCGGCGUUAUCAUGAUGAUGAAAGGCGAUUUAAUGGGCCAAUCAGAGGAAGGACGUCAGUUCAUGAUCGGCUGGGGGGCAGGCUUAGCGCUCACGAUCGACUUAGUGACCGUGGCCAGUAUUUUCCCAGGAACCAAGAAGAGCUCGAGGAAAUGGCUGAUGCGCGGGUUCCCGAUGAAUUCAUAUUUUGCAGGGAUGCUAACACGCAUCGUAUGGAGUCAAGGGAGAACCGACGCCCGACGGCAAGGCAAAGGCCACUUCCUCCAUGGUGCCCUGGAGGAUUGACCAAGACACAGAAGUGGAGAUUGCAACGUGAAAGGCAGGAGGAGCUAAACAAGGGAGAGAACUCUGGAAGUCGGCAGCCGUCAGACAGUAAGAGGGAAGGUCCAUCGGCAGGCGUCAACAUGGUCUUCAUGUUGCCGAUGGAGUUUCUUGCGCCAGCCAGUGACGGUGAGUUGGAAUGUUCUGAUCAGAUAGCUCAAUUGGCUCUGGAUCCGAUGACGGCUAUCUUUGAGAAACCUGCCGAUGACGAGAGGCAGCAUCUUAAAGCUUUGUUCCUCAAAGGAAGGGUUGAUGGGCAGCCAAUGACCAAGAUCCUAGUUGAUGGUGGAGCUGCUAUUAAUAUUAUGCCGUAUGCAGUAUAUCGGAAGCUUGGGAAAGGGGAUCAAGAUUUGACCAAGACCGAUAUGAUGCUCAAAGACUUUGAAGGAAACGUGUCUCCAGUCAAGGGGGCGAUAUGUGCAGAGUUGACCAUCGGCAGCAAAACCUUGCCGACAACUUUUUUCGUGAUUAGCGGGAAAGGUGCUUACAACUUGUUAUUGGGAAGAGAUUGGAUUCAUGCCAAUUGUUGCAUCCCAUCUACAAUGCAUCAGUGCUUGGUUCAGUGGGUAGGUGACAAGAUUGAGAUUGUCCCAGGAGAUUCUUCUUAUGUUAUCGCAUCGGCAGAGGCGGAUACUUACGAAAGGACUAGGUGCAUUUCAGGAGAAGUUUGGGAGAAGGACUUUCUCAAAGUUGCCGAUUAUGAGAUUCCACCGAUCCAAGCAGUCGGUUCUGACGACGGUUUUUAAUGGAUAGAUUCGCCGAUGAUGGAAAAUUAGGCCAGGGGUUCACAUCGGCCGAUGAUUUGGUAGAAGUAGAUAUAUGUAGUGGUGAUAAGCCUAGGCCUACUUUUAUUAGUGCUAAAUUAGAUCCUGAGAGUAAGCAACAAUUGACUAAUUUGUUAAAGGAAUAUAAGGAUUGCUUUGCUUGGGAUUAUACAGAGAUGCCUGGUUUAGACCGAUCAAUUGUUGAACAUCGGUUACCCAUCAAGUCUGGAUUUCGGCCACAUCAGCAACCAGCCCGCCGAUGUAAUCCUAACAUUCUACCUGAUAUUAAGGCCGAGAUCACUAAACUUAUUGAAGCUAAGUUUAUUCGGCAGUGUCGGUAUGCCGAAUGGAUUUCCAAUAUUGUUCCGGUUUACAAAAAGAAUGGGAAGCUUCGGGUGUGCAUUGAUUUCAGGAAUCUCAAUAAAGCUACGCCGAUGGAUGGAUACCCAAUGCCUGUCGCCGAUCUGCUGGUUGAUGCUGCGGCUGGUCAUCGGGUCAUCAGCUUUAUGGAUGGUAAUGCAGGAUACAAUCAAAUAUUCAUGGCAGAAGAGGAUAUUCCAAAAACCGCAUUCAGGUGUCCUGGUCAUGUUGGGUUAUUUGAAUGGAUAGUCAUGACUUUUGGGUUGAAGAAUGCUGGUGCUACUUAUCAAAGGGCUAUGAAUUUUAUAUUUCAUGAGUUCAUCGGCAAGCUCGUGGAAAUUUAUAUUGAUGAUGUGGUGGUUAAGUCCGGGGAUUUCUCAAAGCAUCUUGCCGAUUUACGAAAAGUGCUAGAAUGCACAAGGAAGCAUGGGUUAAAAAUGAAUCCCAACAAGUGUGCAUUUGGUGUAUCGGCAGGGCAGUUUCUUGGUUUCAUGGUACAUCAGAGGGGUAUUGAAAUUAGUCGAAGAUCCAUUGACGCCAUCAAUAAAAUAGUGGCCCCUACCAACAAAACCGAACUCCAAUCCUUGAUCGGCAAGGUAAAUUUUAUCAGGAGAUUUAUAUCGAAUCUGUCUGGUAGGAUUCGUGCUUUCAGUCCUCUUCUUAAGUUGAAAGCCGAUCAAGAGUUUAUUUGGGGGGAAGAACAGCAGUUGGCUCUGGAAGAAAUCAAGAAGUAUCUAGUAAAUCCUCCAGUUCUAGUUCCACCUCAACAAGGGAAGCCCUUCAGAUUGUAUUUAUCUACCGAUGGAUCGGUUGUCGGUUCAGCUUUAGUUCAAGAAUUUGAAGGGAAAGAAAGGGUAAUUUAUUAUUUGAGUAGGAGGUUGAUUGAUGCUGAAACCAGGUAUUCGGCCAUUGAGAAACUAUGCUUAUGCUUAUAUUUUUCAUGUAUCAAGUUGAGACAUUACCUGUUAUCGGCCGAAUGCACUGUUGUUUGCAAAGAUGACGUGGUCCGAUACAUGCUAUCUAUGCCGAUUAUGAGUGGUAGGAUCGGUAAAUGGAUUUUAGCGUUGUCGGAGUUCGAUUUGCGUUACGAAUCGGCUAAGGCAGUCAAAGGACAGAUUAUGGCCGAUUUUGUGACUCAACAUUGCGGUCUAGUGGAAACCUUGGAAACUGUACCCUGGACGCUCUUCUUUGAUGGAUCUACCUGUGACCGGGGGGUAGGAAUCGGCAUUGUAUUAGUUUCCCCUAAGGGGAGGAAGUAUGAGUUUUCCUUGCCGAUUGUUGCCACGUCAACAAAUAAUCAGGCUGAGUAUCAGGCUCUUAUCAAGGGAUUGGAGUUGUUAAGAGAAGUUCGUGCUGAUGCUGUUGAAAUAUUCGGGGAUUCUAUGUUGGUUAUAAAUCAAUUGGCCGGAAGCUAUGAAUGCCGAAGUGAAGUUCUCAUAACUUAUUUCGAGAGAAGUAUGCAACUGUUAAAGGAAUUCAAGGAUUUCCGAUUGGAGCAUGUUCCCCGAUUGCAUAAUGAAGACGCUAAUCGGUUAGCGCAGCAUGCCUCGGGAUAUCAGCCAAUGAUUAGUGCGACAUCAGUAGUCGGUGCCGAUGAUUGGAGGAAAGAGAUUAUUGAUUAUCUAAAAGAUCCAUCCAAAAAAGUUGAAAGACGGGUUCGAUUUCAAGCAACCAAGUAUGUGCUCCUUGAAAAUGAAUUGUAUUAUCGAACUAUCGAUGGAAUUCUUCUCCGAUGCUUGGGUGAUGAUGAAGCUAGAAGUUUAAUGGGGGAAAUCCAUGAAGGAGUGUGUGGAGCACAUCAGUCGGCUUUUAAGAUGAAGUGGAUGAUUCGAAGGAAUGGAUAUUUUUGGCCAACCAUACUUGAAGAUUGUUUUAAAUAUUUCAAGGGAUGUCAAGGUUGUCAAAGGUUUGGCAAUAUCCAGAGAGCACCCGCAUCGGCUAUGAAUCCUAUAAUAAAGCCUUGGCCGUUCCGGGGAUGGGCCAUCGAUCUGAUCGGCCAGAUUUAUCCACCAUCUAGCAAAGGGCAUAAGUUCAUUCUAGUCGCCACUGAUUAUUUCACUAAGUGGGUUGAAGCUAUUCCUUUGAAGAAAGUCACAUCGGCCAAUAUGAUUGAUUUUGUGAAAGAGCAUAUUAUUUACCGAUUCGGGAUUCCCCAGACGAUUACUACCGAUCAGGGCACCAUGUUCACAUCGGGGGAGUUCGAUGAAUUCGCAAUCGGUAUGGGAAUUAAAGUGUUGAAUUCUUCUCCUUAUUAUGCUCAAGCCAAUGGGCAGGCUGAAGCGUCUAACAAAGGAAUUAUCAAGCUUAUUAAACGAAAGAUUGAAGAAAAUCCUAAGCGAUGGCAUACAUUAUUAAAUGAGGCAUUGUGGUCUUAUCGGAUGGCUUGUCAUGGAUCAACCAAGGUAUCACCCUAUCAAUUGGUGUAUGGGCAUGAUGCAGUGUUGCCUUGGGAAGUUAAGGCCGGAUCUAGGCGAUUAUCUUUUCAAGACCAAUUGACUUCCGAUGGUUAUGCUACUUUGAUGACCGAUGAAUUGGACGAUCUAGCAGGGCAUCGGUUAAAAGCUUUAAUGAGUAUAGAAGAAAAUAAGAAGAGAGUUGCUAGAUGGUAUGAUAAGAAAGUGAAGACUAAGGAGUUUGCCGAUGGGGAUUUGGUAUGGAAAUUAAUUUUACCAAUCGGGACUAAAAGCGCGAAGUUUGGAAAGUGGUCUCCUAAUUGGGAAGGUCCUUAUCGGAUAAGUCGAUCGGCUCCUGGUAAUGCCUAUAUUCUAGAAACUCUCGAAGGAGUUGAAUUUCCCAGAGCAUUAAAUGGCAAAUAUUUAAAGAAGUAUUACCCCAGCAUAUGGGUCGAUGCAUAAAAGUUUAAAUGCCGAUAACACUCCUAUCGGCUGGAUUAAAGUGUAUCUGGGGACGGACUUAAUGUUUCAAAAGAUGCCGAUAACAGUCCUAUCGGCUAGACUAAGACAUUAAGAAAGCUGAAAUGCAGAAGAGCAAAGGUGUGUUGCCGAUGAGAGCUUCAGAUGUUCAGCAGCGCUUGGAUUGCUGAUAUGGCGCGCAGCCGGAUCUGAUUGGCUGUUUCUAUCUCUUUGGUAUCAUCAUCGGCAGAACCUUCUAUCGGCUUCAGCUUCUUCUUCAACUGCAACGCUUUGCGACCGUGAGCAUUUCGUUCUUGCUCGAGGUGCUUGAUGGUCUCCGGCAGUUGGCUUUCUUCUUGCUGGGCCUGAGACAGAGCAUCCUCUACUUGCUUGAGUUCGGCCAACAGGGCUUCUCUUUUUGCCGAUAGAUCAGAAACUUUCUGCUUCAGCGCAUCACCUGAGGACUUUAAGGUGCCGAUGUUCUUAUGCUUCUCAUCGGCUAAGAGUUUUUCUUUCAUCAUCUCCUCAGAAAGCUGGAUUUGAGCAGCUCUAUCAGCAAGGCGUCGAGUGGCUUUCUGGUACUGCAGCUGGCAGCUUUCUAGGUAUGCAGCCUGGAAGAGGGUUUCUUCAGCAUCGGCAGGAAUUUGGCCUCUAAGGGUCUUGAACAGGGCCUUAGCUGGGUCAGAAUCGUUGACCAGUUGAGCUGUGUCUUGAUGAAGUAUGGCCGAUAGCUCUUCCAGCUUAGCCCUGGUUUCUGCUGAUAUAGUCUCAACUGCCCGAGAGGAGCUUGAUUCCUCACCUUCUUCUUCAAGGAUAUCAAUGGCGAAGGAGAAUAAGCUGUCGGGAGAAUCUUGUUCCUGAAAGUGAAGAUGAAAUAAGUCAUUUUUAUGGUCAAAGCUUCGGCAGACGAUACUAGUGGGAAAUUGGAUGACUUACUUGCUUCAAGGCAAUUUCUUGCCUUCGACUGGGAGGUGCUGAUGGAGCUACAGGUUGAUCGGCUGAGAUUGCCGAUGGAACGAUAUCAACUGAAAGAAGACAAAAGGAGUUAUGAGACUAAAUAAAAAUAAGUUCAUCGGUAGUGAUAUUGUUAAAGUAUGUUACCUGGAGGAGGAGCAACGAUUGUCUGCAUCGGGAGAACUGCCGAUGGUAUAACUGGACCCACCGGGCCAGUUGGUCGUUCACCCAUGUCAGCUGAUGUAUCUUCUGUCUGAGACCCUGUCUGCUGGGGUUCUUCUAUCCGUGGUGCUUCCUGCAUAGGUGGGGGAGAUGGUGCUUGCUGUGGCUGGGCUUCUGGAGAAGAAGGAGAAGACUCCACCGGAAUUGGAGAUACCGGAGGAGGAGGUGGAGUUGUUACCUUCUGGCGCUUUGUUCCAGUCUUAGCGCCCGUGGUGCCCUUUCUCUUUGGUUGGCUAGACUGGGGGGCAUCGGUGCUCUCAUGCCUGGAUUUCGCCGAUAUGCCGGUUUGCUGCAAUAAUAAACAAGAGUUUAUAAGCGUAAAUGUAGCCGAUAUAAAGAUAGUCGGCAUAAAGGAAAAGAUUUGACAAAUUGCCUUGAAAGCCCGCGCCAGAGUGGGAGCAGCUACCGUUGGUGAUGUCUGAGUUCUUCUGGUAGUGACUUUCCUGAGGCGUACGCCCCGAUGCACGAUGGAAGCUAGAGUGGGGGCAUUGUGGCCGAUUGAGGAAAUCGGGCCUGAUGGAAACAAGUCAAUCGGCCUGCCACUCUUGCUAACCAGUGGAGGAAUACUAUCGACCUGCAAAAGGAAUACAAGGGUAAGAUGCCGAUAGAAGUGACAUUGAGAAAAUGAAACAUCGGUUUGAGUUACUUACAGUGUCAUCGGGAACUUCGUAUUCGGAGUCAAUCAUGCCGCGGUAUGAAAGUGCCGAUCUGCAGAAUAGAUGCUCUUUCCAUUCUGCCCACCACGACUUGUAUGCCUGAGUGAUAAAAGCAGCCGGAACCCAUUCUGACAGAUCUACAUCUGUAUCGGCAUUUGGUGGUAAUUGGGCUACUCGAGUCCACUCAAGAAGGUUGUUGAUAGUUUCUCUGGGUUUUAUCACAUCGGCAUAAGGAAGUGCAAUCGGCAACUGGCCGAAAGCUAAUUGGCGAGCUAAUGCCGAUGGAUUGUAGAAUUCGUAGGUUUGGGGAGAAGUUUUUGUGCUACCAAAGAAAUUCACCGGAAUGGCCCUGGGAGUCACAAUUGCCAUCAUCGCCUCAUUGUCCCUGUCGAGAGCUUCAUCAAAUGGAUUGAAGGUCAGAGGGAGCAUGCUAUCUGGGUCAUCAUAAGCCAACCAUGGUCGUUCAUCUCUGGCCAAACCCUCAUACAGAGUCUCGAAGAAUCGGCCAAUCUGAUCCGAAUUACCCCCUGAACCAGGUAGGACUAUGACGGCUUCGCCAAAGUUCAAGGGGGCACGCGUUGCCGAUUCCUCUUCACCCAGCACGUGAUUUUCGGCUAUAUCUCUUGGGAAGUGCUGUGAGAACAAGUUGAAGUCAAGGCGUUUAUGCAGGUGCAGAUUGAGCCACAUAUUAAUAAACCACCAGGGGCCUCCCAAGUUGCCGAUGGAUUGGCCAAGCAGGAGUUUCUGGGCUACCUGAUGGAGAAGGUGGUAAACAGCGCCAAGCAAGUAUCGGCCAAGAGGAAAUUGGCCACCGUUAGCCAGUCUCUCUGCUGCCGAUAAAUAGACAGAAGUCGGUCCUGCCGAUCGACCACAGAAUACAAACUUGUCCAGCCACAUGUUCAGAAAGGUGGUUUGCUCUUUUAUGAUGACAGGCCCUCUCCCACGGUACUUCUGAAUGUACCCUGACCAACCGCCGAUAGCGCGAGUCUCCACUUUGGCACUGGGGGCGGUAUCGAAAAAGUGGGUGCUAUCGGCAGAAGAUAUAUCUAGACCAGUGAGCAUGGCUACAUCGGCAAGGGUAGGAGAAGCAGGACCGUGGCCAAAAAUGAAAGCAUUAAGGGUGUCUGACCAAAAGAAGGACGCGGCUAUCAGCAGUGAUUCGUUCCUGUGCAUAUCGGCAAUGGACAGCCUAAUGCAUUGGGCUAGCUUCCUUUCGCCCCACUGGACUUCAUAGAAUUAUUGACCCUCAAGAACCAGUCUUUCCACCCUACGGUAGGGCUGGGCCAAGAGCCAAAAGUGUCUUUCCACAGAUCUAGAGAAAAGUUUUCAGCUCUAAAGGGGAUCCUGUUGGUUUCUGCGUUGAUAAGGCUGGUUGGAUCUGAAUCCCCUAGAGGACCGAGACAUUGAAGGUGUGGUUGAUCGGUAGGGAUGACAAUUUUAUUGGACAACUCCUAGUAAUUUUGGGGGAAUAAAAAUAUAAAGAAAAAAGAAAAGGAGAAUAUUCAGUAAGAUGAAUCGCGGAUGAAUAGGAAUAAAAAUACAGAAGAUGAGAUGGAGAUCUGACCUCAGGGACGACGAAGUCAAUGGCCAUCUUGUCGUGAAGAGGGCGUUGGAGGGCACCGGAGUUGAUAGAGAGGGGUGCUUGUCGGAGAUCUUGAGGGUUGUAAAUAGCGCCGCCGCUGGAAACGCAAAGGUGGAUAGUAGAAUGGUGUAAUGGGGGAGGAGUACCCAAGAAGGAACUAUUUAUAAGACAAGAUGGGCAAGGGCAAAUCUGACUUAUCUCUUUGCCGCAUCCGAGAAACCCGAGGGUACUCAGGUGGAUAUGGUAACUGUUCGCACGGUAAUCCAGGGAUUGUGUAGGUGAUUUGACGGGAAGCGGUCAUUAUUUGAAGAUAUUUUACUGUGCGAGAUCUCCUGGUCGGUCCAUUGGCGAUAUUCUAUAACGGUCAUCUUGCCGAUGGGCGGAUAGAGGGGAGGUAAUUGUUUUUGCGAAUAUCCUGGUCAGAGCAUCGGCAGAUCUUUGCAACGGUAUUGUUGCCGAUGUACGAUCAAGAAGGAUGCCCGUUUAGGAAGUUGGGGAUUUCGAGGAAUCUGCGGAGGAUUAGGAUCGGAGUUGUUCAGAUUGAGGUUGUCGGUUCCCAGAUUAGGAGCAUUAAUUGCGGAGAAGGCAUCAUUACUGCAGAGAAUUUCGGAGCAUUAAUAGUUUUAUACUCCGAAACUGGGGGGCAUGUGUUGACACCGUUUUUGGGCACGUGUCUAGGAUGGCAGGACAGGAUGGCAGUACUAUGCGGGUUGCUGAUGAGGAUGAUUGCCGAUGAGGGAGAGUUUGAAUAUGAUUAAGUCCGCAGGCAAUAAUAUGGUGCCGAUGGCCGGAUAAAAAGGUCUGCCGAUGACUAUGGCAAGGGGAUUGCCGAUGAUGCUAAGGAGGAGUCCAGAAGCUGCCAGUUGUCAUGUGGAGAAGUUUCGGUCCGUCACGAAGGAUAGUUUUAUUGUUUCCUUAAUUAUUUGCAUCGUUUUGUAUACGGAUUCCGUGUAAUUUGGAAUUCGAAUUCUAAUCGUGUCUGGUUGUAGCUCUUUGAGCAGGGUAUAAAAUAAACCCUAGGACCUUGUAAUAAGGGAAUCAAUAAAGAAAUCAAUCAAACAUACGUUUUUACUCAUAUUCCAGCAUCUACUUUUCGACGACUUCGUCAUACUUUUUCUUUUUAUUACGAGUUCUUAGGAAUUUGUCGACUUAAGCUCGACGUGUUCUUGAGUUCCGCGUGAGUACCUCUUAGCCGUGACAUUCGGGCGCAUCGUUGUUGUCAGGACUAAAGUAUUCGAGUUAUCACCUUUGCCGAUAGUAAGGUCAAAUCGGCUGGCACGCCUUAACGUUUGAAUCGGGUAUUAGCCCUUUGUGUUUGCAGACCCUUUUUGCAUCAACACAUCUUUUACUCAUAUUCCAGCAUCUACUUUUCGACGACUUCGUCAUACUUUUUCUUUUUAUUACGAGUUCUUAGGAAUUUGUCGACUUAAGCUCGACGUGUUCUUGAGUUUCGCGUGAGUACCUCUUAGCCGUGACAUCCGGGCGCAUCGCUGUUGUCAGGACUAAAGUAUUCGAGUUAUCACCUUUGCCGAUAGUAAGGUCAAAUCGGCUGGCACGCCUUAACGUUUGAAUCGGGUAUUAGCCCUUUGUGUUUGCAGACCCUUUUUGCAUCAACAAGUGCACAGUCCUGCAUCGGUAUUACACCGACCUCAUCUCUAAGGAGGGCACCGAAGAACCCCCCAAGGACGACGACCCUCAAGGGGAGGGUUUUCCCAAAAUCAAGAACUGUCUCUUGAUCUUUGGCGGACGUGCGGCUCGCCUCACUGCGAGUCAGAGGAAGCGAGAACUCCGAGAGGUUUGCGCAGUCACCGCGGCCACGCCCUCGUACCUUAAGUGGUCCGAGAGCGCGAUCACGUUCGACCGACAGGAUCACCAGGAUCGGAUCCCCAACCCCGGGAGCUAUCCUCUGAUCGUUGAUCCAAUCAUCGCCGAAACCCGUCUCACCAAGGUCCUGAUGGACGGAGGCAGCGGCCUCAACAUCCUUUAUGCCGAGACUCUAGCCCUCAUGGGGAUGAGUAAGUCCCUGCUGAGGAACGACACCGCGCCAUUCCACGGAGUGGUGCCGGGACACCGUGCCCACCCCCUCGGACAAAUCGAUCUGUCUGUCUGCUUCAGGACCCCCGACAACUUUAGAUGAGAGGUCCUGACUUUCGACGUGGUCGGGUUCCCAGGGACCUACCACGCGAUCCUGGGACGACCAUGCUACGCCAAGUUCAUGGCCGUCCCCAACUAUACCUACCUCAAGAUCAAGAUGCCAGGGCCAAAGGGCAUCAUCACCGUCAGCACUACCAGCCAGCACGCCUACCAGUGCGACGUCGAGUGCAUUGAGCAGGCCGAGGCUCUGACUGAGUCUCUGGCCAUCCUCACCGGCCUCGGCGACUGUGACCAGGACGUCCCCGACCCCAAGCGGCACGCCACGAGUUUCGAGCCGGCGGAGGAGACCAAGCUAAUCUCCCUCGACCCCGGGACCUCUACAGGCAAGGCGUUGAGGAUUAGCUCCAGCCUCGACCCCAAAUAGGAAGUGGUGCUCGUCGAAUUUCUCCACGCAAACGCCGACGUAUUUGCGUGGAGUCCCUCGGACAUGCCUGGAAUACCGAGGGAAGUCACCGAGCACUCCUUGGACAUCCGAGCCAGCUCCAAGCCCGUGAAGCAAUGCCUGCGCCGAUUCGACGAGGAGAAGCGUCGGGCCAUCGGGGAGGAGAUCCACAAGCUGCUGGCAGCCGGAUUCAUCAAGGAGGUAUUCCAUCCUGAGUGGUUAGCCAACCCGUGCUAGUAAAAAAGAAAAAUGGGAAGUGGAGGAUGUGUGUAGACUAUACUAGUUUAAAUAAAGCAUGUCCAAAGAACCCCUUUCCAUUACCUCAUAUUGAUCAGAUAGUUGACUCUACCGCGGGAUGCAAAAUUUUGUCUUUUCUUGAUGCUUAUUCCGGCUACCACCAAAUCAAGAUCAAGAUGAAAGAGUCCGACCAGCUUGAGACUUCUUUCAUCACCCCUUUUGGAAUGUAUUGCUACGUAACCAUGCCUUUUGGCCUCAAGAACGCGGGGGCUACAUAUCAACGAUGUAUGCUCUAGGUUUUUGGGAACCUUAUAGGAAAAAUAGUUGAGGCUUACGUAGACGACAUUAUCGUCAAGUCCAGGAAAGCAAGCGGCCUGGUUGCCGACCUGGAAGAAACAUUCCAAUGCCUUAGGGCAAAGAGGAUCAGACUCAACCCCGAAAAAUGCGUUUUUGGGGUCCCUCGAGGCAUGCUCCUCGGGUUCAUUGUGUCUGAACGAGGAAUCGAGGCCAAUCCGGAAAAUGUCUCAGCCAUCGCAAACAUGGGCCCAAUCCGCAACCUAAAGGGAGUACAGAGGGUCAUGGGGUGUCUGGCCUCCCUGAGCCGUUUCGUCUCUCGUCUCGGGGAAAAAGGGCUGCCUCUGUGUAGGUUACUUAGGAAAUCCGAGCACUUUUCCUGGACCCCCGAGGCCCAGGAAGCCCUUGACAAGCUCAAGGCUCUACUCACCAACCCUCCCAUUUUGGUGCCCCCCGCCGAGGGGGAACCACUACUUCUCUACGUCGCAGCCACUGAUCAGGUGGCCAGCGCAGCUAUCGUGGUCGAGAGGAAGGAAGAAGGGCACGCCCUGCCGGUCCAAAGACCGGUGUACUUCAUCAGCGAAGUACUAUCCGACACAAAGACCCGAUACCCCCAGAUCCAAAAAUUACUCUACGCAGUAGUUUUGGCCCGACGCAAGCUCCGCCAUUACUUUGAAUCUCACCCACUCUCAGUGGUCUCGUCCUUCCCUCUAGGAGAAGUGAUUCAGAACCGAGAGGCCAAUGGUAGGAUUGCUAAAUGGGCCAUAGAGCUCAUGGGCGAUGGGAUCACCUAUGAGCCUCGGAAAGCCAUAAAGUCCCAGGUCCUGGCGGACUUUGUGGCAGAGUGGACUGGGACUUAGCUCCCACCACCACAAAUCCAGCACGAGUGCUGGACCAUGUACUUCGAUGGGUCUUUGAUGAAAACUGGGGCCAGCGCAGGCCUUGUCUUCAUCUCACCCCUCGGGGUAAGGAUGCGCUACGCAAUCCGGCUCCAUUUUCCCGCUUCAAACAAUGCAGCAGAGUACGAAGCCCUUGUUAACGGUCUCCACAUCGCGAUCAAACUUGGGAUCAAACGGCUCGACGCUCGAGGCGAUUCUAGACUCAUCAUCGACCAAGUCAUGAAAGAGUCUAGCUGCCACGACCCCAAGAUGGAUGCGUACUGCAAAACGGUCCGACGCCUGGAAGAAAAGUUCAACGGCCUCGAACUUAACCACGUGUUAAGGAAAUAUAAUGAGGCUGCCGACGCGCUCGCCAAGAUGGCAUCCGAGCGGGCCAUGGUCCCCCCGGAUGUUUUCGUUAGCGACCUCUACAAGCCUUCCGUCGACUACAAGGACGACGGGGGGUCGGACGAACCCCCAAGCGAACAGAGUUCCGACCCCAAAGACACUGCCGCUCAAGAACAGGAGGCCAUGGACAUCGAGCCAGAGCCACCUACAUCUGACGACUCGCCCAAUUGGCGCUACCCUUUGCUUCAACGCCUGGUCAACGGCACUUUGCCCCCGGACCAGGCUGAAGCAAGGCGCGUGGCUCGUCGCGCCAAGACCUUUGUUCUCCUUGAUGGGGAGAUGUACAAGCGAAGCCCCUCGGGCGUUCUCAUGCGUUGCAUCCCUCGUCAAGAAGGAAUCAAGCUCCUGUAGGACAUACACUCGGGGGCUUGUGGCCAUCACGCCGCGCCUCGGACGUUGGUAGGAAAUGCCUUCCGACAAGGCUUCUACUGGCCCACCGCCGUGGCCGACGCCACAGAGAUCGUCAGGACCUGUGAGGGAUGCCAGUUUUACGCUCGGCAGAUACAUCUACCCGCUCAGGCCCUGCAGACGAUCCCCAUCACCUAGCCUUUCGUUGUCUGGGGCCUCGACCUGGUCGGGCCUCUGCAGAAAGCCCCCGGGGGCUUCACCCACUUGCUUGUCGCAAUCGACAAGUUCUCCAAGUGGAUCGAAAUCUGACCCAUUACAAGGAUCAAGGCCGAACAAGCGGUGUUGUUCUUCACAGAUAUCAUCCAUCGAUUUGGAGUGCCGAACUCCAUAAUCACCGACAACGGCACACAGUUCACCGGGCGAAAGUUCGUGCAAUUCUGCGACAGACACCACAUACGUGUGGACUGGGCGGCAGUGGCUCACCCCAAGACCAACGGUCAAGUGGAACGUGCCAAUGGCAUGAUCCUCCAGGGUCUGAAGCCCAGGAUCUUCAACCGUCUGAACAAGUUUAGGAAAAGUGGCUCAAACAGCUACCUACCGUGGUCUGGAGUCUGAGAACCUCCCGAAGCUGAGCCACGGGCUUCACCCCGUUCUUCAUGGUCUAUGGGUCGGAAGCCGUCCUCCCCACUGACCUGGAGUACGGGUCCCCAAGAGUACAAGCCUACGACGAAAACAGCGGCAAAAUGUUCCAAGAAGACGCACUGGACCAGCUGGAUGAAGCCAGGGACGUAGCCCUCCUACACUCCGCCAAGUACCAGCAGGCCCUCCGCCGAUACCAUGCGCGACGGAUCCGAGGCCGAGCCUUUCAAGUCGGUGACUUGGUGCUAAGGCUCAGACAGAGCAACAAGGGUCGUCACAAGUUCACACCCCCCUGGGAAGGACCCUUCCCCAUCGCCGAAGUUCUCCGACCCGGCACCUACAAGCUCGCCAAUGAAGCUGGAGAGGUCUUUAAAAACGCGUGGAACAUAGAACAGCUACGUCGCUUUUACCCUUAGAACUUUGUAAAAAUUUCUUCGUUUGUUCAUCACCUUGGAGGAAUAAAUGAAAGUUUAAGUUAUAUGGCCCUUUUCUCUUAUCAGGGAGCCUCGGACCUGCCCAGCAGAGUCCGAGCCUCUCUCGGGGGCUACAUGGGGGGAAACCCCCCAACUCCAAAUCUUCUUCCUUUCCUUUUGUGCAGGUUAAAAGAACCCCGACCCAAGGUCUUCCUCCUUUCUCCUAAAAAGAUUUAAGAAACCGAAAACUCACCCCAUAAAUCUUAAGGCAUGAGCUCUAGGAAAGGUCAGCGCUCACGAGCAAAGACCACUCCUACUCACCUUAGAUUCGGGGGACGGAUUCAGACUUCUAAAUAACUACUAAGGAAAAAGGAAAAGGACUUAGGCUUGGGGACUCUGGCUAGCGCAAAACUCUAAGUAGCUCACCCGACCUCGCGCUGCCGAGGUCGGAUCGGCAUAAGGAAAAAGAAAACAAGACACUUAGGAAAAAAGCUUAAAAAGAGCAAUUACACAAAUAUCUACAUUCGACAAUAACAUUGUAUAUAUGAUACAAGGCCCACCGGCCUCAACACCCACACAAAGAAAAAAGAAAACUAAGGGUCCUGCUGCCCUGCCUCCCCAGGUCCUUGAGCCUCAAGGGACGGAAGCUCCACCUCGUCGUCGAAGAAGGCGGCCAUGGCAUCUCCGGGGGCAGCCGCGGCGUCCUCAAGCCUCUGCACCUCCUCCUGGGCCUCAAUCUCAUCAUCCGGGAGAACGUAGCCCUCACAGACUGCCGGUAAGUCAAUGCCGGCAUAGUGAGAGCUCACCACCGCCAGGGCUUUCUUCACCCCAGCGUGGAGUGCCUCCCUCAUCCUCUCCCCGGCCCGGGAGUAAAGGGCCUCGACUCGACUCCGCAGCGACGAUCCCGACGCCGACACCCCAAGCCCCUCACAUGCCGAGGUGACCACGGCCUCAAGAGCCGAACGGUCCGAAGCCUCGGCGUCAAGAGUCUUCCGCAGGGCCUCGGCAGUAGAGGUUGCCUCGACCACCUUCCUCUCUAACUCUGUCGAAAAAUAGAGUAAGAAACAAAAAGUCAGAAAAGACUAACUCGAAAGUGUAAAGGGGUCCAAGGUAAAGGACGCAAGUCUUACCCUCGGCACGCUUCUCGUGCUCCGCCGAGCUCUGAUGCCAGCGGGCCACCUGGCUCAGAGCCCCGGCUAGGUCAGUCUGAGCUUGGUUCAGGGCAAGGUCUUUUUCGGCGAGCAAAGUUUCUAGCCGAGCAACCUCACCCUUGUACCCCUCAGCCGCCACCUUCCGCACCUCAGAUUCCUGGGCAAGGACUCCAAUCCUCUCCUCCAGGGGGGCGACCUUGUCCCGGGCCUCCCGAGCCUCGGUGGCCAGUGCCGAGCACUUCUGCCGAAGCUCGGCAGAAAUCUUGCACUCCUUCACGAGCUCCCCCUCGGCCGCCUCCCUGACAACCCUCUCGUUCUCAUAAGACGCCCAGGCAUCCCUUUCCCGACGGAGAAAAACUGACUUCUCCAGGGAUGUUGCCUUGAGCGCCUACAGAAUCGGAAGUCACACAGGGAGUUAGCAUUGCAAAAUAAGAACAAAAAUACUUUACAACAUGGGUGAAAGCCUUACCUGGGCCAAAUUGAACAUGUCCCGGGCCACGAGCUGAGAAGCUCGGUUGAUGGCCUCAACGCUGGCACGCCCACAUGAUUCCAGACCCUGCCAGAGCUAAUUCUCCGACGGGUCGUCCAGAACGAAUCUGGCUCCCCCCUCGGCAACGCCGAGGUUAGGCCAGAUUACGGGGCUCUUGCCCCAUCCGGCAUCUUCCUCCCUUCCCGCUGCAGGGGCCUUGGGCGCCGCGCUGGACGCCACGAUGGCUCGGCCUUCCUCAGUAUGCGCAGGUCGGACCGCGCCUCCCAGGUUAGCAUCCUCCGGAGGAGGCGCAGCCCCGGGGGCAAGGGCCGUCUCCUCCGGUCCUUGGGGCUUCGGCGCCCCCGUGUCCUGCCCCUGGUGGCGCCCUCCCUCCUCGUAGCCCGGAGGCGGCGGCGACACAGGCCUAGCCGACCCAGGAGUCGACUGAGCCCCCCUCUUCACAGCCUUCAGGGGGGCCAGCGCCACCGAAGGCGCCUUUUCCUUACGGCUGGGGGAACAACACCAAGUUAGAAGAAAGAGAAAAACAAAAAAUCAGCAGAAGGAUCAGAAAUCCUAUAUGUACCUCGCUCGGGGAGCAGACUUCUUAUGGGAGCUCGGAGCUCCCUGGGUGUAACACCCCAGGUGUUUAUCACUUGCUAAGUACUAGGUUUGAGCUCAAACAUGACAAGUUCAAUGGUAAUAAAGAGGUCAAAGUCAAUCUAUGAAAGUAAACUCCAACUUGGGCUUGGUGUAUGCAACCUUGCUUGCAUAUAUGCCUUUUUAAAAGGUAUGCUUUGAUGAUGCUAAUGGAACCUUUUUCAUGUGUCUUAUAUCCAUCCCAAUCUAUGUUGGUCUCUGGAAAAGUUUGGUGAAGUUUGGAAUCAAGAAGUCACAUGAAAUGAUAAGUUAUAUCCUUGUUGGAAUGGCUCUAUUAAGGAAAUAGAAUCAUGGGUCACCAACCAAACCUUGCAAACUUGCUCAUAUGACUCUAGAUGAAUUAUACAACAAAAGUCGUGAAGGGUUCAUGUUGAGCUUAUGUCAAGAAAAUGCUUCAAUUGGCCUAAAAUCCUAUUUGGAGCUUUAUCGGGUUACUACUUUGACCAAAGUGAAAGAUUGACCUCUGUUGCAGUUAUGAGGUUUGACCCUAAAUGAAAGUUGUAGUAUUGCUUCUGUAGAACAAACUUUAUUUAAGGAUCAAGAGCUAGUUUGGUACCUAUCCUAAUCAAAUUGAGCUCUCAAGAAUCAAUUCAGUGCUGAUUUGCUACCUCCAUAUUUUGGCUAAGUCCCUGAAAGUGACAGCAGUGAGUUAGCUCCUUCAUGACAUUUUAUUAUCCAAAUUCAUAUGGUAACUCAAUUAUAUUCCUUAAUAUGAGUUGGAGUACUCUUCUUGAUGAAAGCAAUGGGUCAAGUAUCAUCAAUUUUGGAGUUCAGUUGGAUAUCUAAAACUAGCUCCCAAAACAGCAAAAGGUUAUUUUAUCGCUAAACGGACGUAUACCCGUUGGCAUGUCGCGUUCUCGUGUUUUUGUUAAGCAACUCAAGUUGGUCCAAAAAUGAAAGUUGUGGAUAAUUAUUUGGAGAAGAGCAUGCAAAAAGUUGUAUCAAGUUUGACAUGGUUUGGACCAUUAAUUCUUGGUUUUUCUAAUCACCAUCAAUACGUUGACACUCGUGACUUGGCAUCUAAUUAUCUCCUAAUCUGUAAGCCUAAUGACCAUGACACUUAAACGAAAAAUGUAGAGCAGCACGAGUUUGACAAACUUUGUUUUUGUCCCAUGACUCAAAUCGGCCUAGAAAUGGCCCAAAUCGGCGUCCCACUCUGGCCACACCGUCGCUCGCCAGCUGUUCGACAAAAUGCGUCAGUGGGAGAACGCGUGGACAGCCAUGCAGAGCUCGCGCCUCCUCGUCUUGCCGCGUGCCCUCCGCGUGUCCGCGCCCGCUGCUGAUGUGGGAAGCCCCGAGCAUCCUCUCCACACUCGCCAACACUCCCUCUGCCACUCCCUCGCCUCGCCCGCGCUUGACACAGCGAGAACGCCGCCGCGUCCGCCAUGGCCGACGGUCGAAGCUCGCACCCGCCGCAAUGCUCGCUGCUCCACGCCUUCUCAGCCCAAACCAAGUAGUUCAGUGCCUCCGCCGCGUCGUGCUGCUCAUCUCGCGCGCGCUCAGCCGAGGUGGAAGACCGCCGGAGUGCCACCACCACUGGCUGCCGCCGUCGCCGUCGACAUGUGCACGUGGCCAAGCCGCCACGGGCCCUCUCCCGGCCAUCCAAGGUGACCAGCGGGUGCGCGAUGACCUCCUGGUGCUUCCCCACCCCUCCAUCGGCGCCGACGAGGCUCCGACCGGCCGGAACAGAAAGCUCCGGCGAGAUCCCCUGUUUUCCUCGCGACCAGGGACCUCAAGGAUAAAUUCGACUAGAUCCAGGGGGUUUUAUGCACUGUCAUUGACUCAUAUGAAUAGUGUUUGUGGUCUGUUGCGUGAUUCGUGGAAAGUCCAGGGUCCCCGGUGAAAGAUCUGUUUUUCUUUUCCUUUGUUUUUGCAGAUUUCAUGGAUGAACUUUGUAAAUGCAUAGAAAUUCGUAGAAAAGUCGUAAAAUAGCAAAUGUGGACUUUUUGGAAUCCUUGGGAAAUUCUCUAUGCAGUAGAUCUAUAAUAUUGCAUAGUUUAGUUUGAAGUUUUAGUCGUAAAAAUAGAUUUAUGCAGUUAGAUUUUAAUUGCUUGUUAUAUUUGUCUUUUUCAUAACUGCUGUGUUGUUGCCCAAAUAAAUGUGAAAAUAUUGUGACAUGUUUUUCAUAUGGUAUUUGAUGACUGGUAAAAGUUUCAUGAAUUUAGGAAUGAUAUAUUAAGAGUUAUAAAAAUAACAAAUGCCCUGUGUUGCUUUGCUCAUAUUCUGAGUGGGUCUGCAUGUUUGUAUUGUUUGGCUCAGUUAAGUUGUGAAUCUUGCCUGGAUGAAAAUAUAUGAGUUGUAGUACUUUUCAUAAGCUUUCCAAAAAGAUAAAUAGCACAAUUUUUGGUUAAGCAUAUGUUUAGUUAUAGUGGUUUAAAUUACUGUUCCAGUUUCUGUCUAAACCCAGACAGGGUUGCAUUGUUUGUUAUGUGAGACCUUGUUAAUUGUAUAUUUAGCUCUAGAUGUUUAUAAAAAAGUUGUUCACAAUUAGAUAAGGUUUCUAGAAAGUAUAUAACCAUAAUUUAUGGACAUAUGAAACUCAUGUUAUGGGUGUUUAAUGUAGCAUGACAGAUUCUGUCUGUGUUUUGGACAGAGAUAUCUUCAUGGGAUUAAUUGACCUUGUUAACUCUAGAUUCAUAUUUAGAUGAUAAUAAUAAAGUUGUAGGUAACUUUAUAAGCUUUCCAAAAAUAUAAGAAUCAUGUUGGCUGGAGGUCUACAACUCCAGUUAUGCUUCUUUGAAUUGCCUACCAGUUUUCUGUUUGUAAUUGUACCCCUACUGUUUGGGCAGCAUGAGCAGUUUUGAUUGUGCAAUUAAUUCCAUGAUACAAAUGAUGUUUUCUGUGAAACUUGUAUAUAUAAAAGAUAUAGAUAACUUACUAAUAUAUCUUGUUGUACAGUUUCAUGUCAUUUGGCUAAGUGGUUUGUGAGUUACAGUAGUAUGAAGUUCAUCCCUUGAAAUGUUUGUUUUCUGGAAAUUCCUGGACCAGAUUAUAUGGUCAUGCAUGUUUGAUUUGGUUAACUUGUUAAUCAUAUUGAUAUGAUUAAAGAUGAAUUGUAGAUAAUUUUAUAUUCUUUCCAGAAUGUCCAAUUGCAUAGUUUUUGGAGUUGUGUAACUCCAGUUAUGAUUUAAUUACCGAGUUGCUGCAUGUAUAUCCAGAGUUUGCUGAAAAUGUAUGAAUGCUUGAUUGCUUACUUUGUGUAUACUAAGUGUGACACAUGUCUUUAGUGGUGAUUAAACAAUAUACUUGUGACCUUAUAAAACGUGUGCCAUGCUUGAUAUGUUGCUAUCCAUAUUUGGUUGUGUGAUGCUAGUUAAAUAACGUUAGAUGCAUGUGUCUUGAAUACUUUUAUGUGAUGCAUGUUGUGUUAUUAUUCUUUAUAUUCAUGCACUUGCAUCUUGCAUCUCAUCUAGGUGCGCUAGAUGAAUCACGUGAAGGUCAUGAUGUCGAAUCAAACUCAAAGAUGGUGUUUGGUGGACCUCUCCCAAAGGUGGAAGGACUAAGCAAGUGUUGUGACCUUAGAUGUCACCAAGAUGGAGCAACUAACUGAACUGACUCCGUGUUGAUCCCAGGCAAGCCCCGGAGCAUUAUAAGUCUCCCACUACUUUUGAAUGCAAUUGAGAAUAUAUGUUAUAUAUGUAUUGUUGCAUUAAGUAUAGGAUUUGGGUGAAACCCUUGCUGCAUAUAUCACUCCUUGUCCAGCAAAUAUACCUAUGACCCUAUGUAGAUUCAGGAUCGAAUCUAAAUGCUUAGCUAUGCUUAGAUCGGUAGAAGCCAGGUGAUGUCCUAUCACCUGAGCGAGAUAGGUGGAUACCUGAAAAGGUUGGCUAUAUAUGCUAUCAUGGAAAUAACCAAGUGAUGAGGAUGAAUAAUUGGAGACCGGGCGAGACGAUGAUAGAGAAGUAACAAGACAUGGAGGUCUUGGGUGCCUAUCUAUCCCCGCCUGUGUCGAUUAAGGACCGAUCGUUGACGGCCCUCUUGUCAUGUUGAACGCAUGCCCCACACUUAGCUGGAAGGAUAAGUCGUUCCGACCACGAAGCCUGAACACUAUCCGGGCCGGGAAUCGGCCCGAUGUACGCGCUGUAUUGGUGAUGGUUGAGGAGAACAACGAGGGCGCGGCGCGCAACCUUGGUAUACCUUGGAUACCUCGGUCGCCGGAACGGUCCUCGGGUACGGGCGGUGCCUGUCGAACCCGCGAAUUGGUCCUGGAUAGUGUAAUAUGGUGACCUGUAGCUCACUUUGGCCGGUGAGUGUGGUUUGUGUGGGGAAUAACUCGCCAGCUGGUCAGAAAUCGAUUCGAAUCGCCAUCGCUCCUGGAUAGUGAGCACUUGACUUGAGCUUCGUCAUCGUAGUAAUGUUUAUGGAACACUUGGAUGGUUAUGGUAUGAUGAUGUUGGAAAUGCCACAUCAAAUAUGGGUACUAUUGUUGAAUCUUAAUCAAGUGAUUGCUUUAGUACAGGUGCUAAUCUAGAUGAUAGGUUAAUGAUUAUUAACUUGAGCUAAAUACCUGAAGGAUUACUUAGUUGCAACUUAAGCUUUUUAUGCAAAAAGUGUUGUCAAGCUAGCUCCACCAAUAAAGCCUUGCAUACUCCUUGGUGUCAUAUUAUUUCUGGUUUAUGACGGGUAAGUCUAGCUGAGUACCUUCUCGUACUCAGAGUUUAUUCCCACUUGUUGCAGGUUGUGAUGUAUCAUGGCAACUGCAAGAGUUGGAUGACUCCUACCAUAUUAGAGGAGUAAGAUCAUGGGCAUGAUCCUUCUUAGUUACCUCAUCUAUGUUGCUUUUGUUGGAGUUGACCUGGAUACUGGCAUGUAUUUGAAAUAAGGGCAAUAUUAGUUUCAAAUUACUUUGCUUCCGCUACUUUUCAACUUAAGUUGUAAUAACUAUCUUGAACUCCGAUGUAUAUCAAACUACUUGUGAAAUGGAUGUAACAUGUGACUUGUUAUGUUGAAUCACUACGAUCUUGGCUUGUAAGAUGGUUGGUUUGAAAUCCCUCGUGAUUUCACGGACUACCGGGUUUAUGAGAGUUCGAUUAUGUUAAAGCAACUGCUUUGGCGGGAGUUUUUCAUAGUUGAUCUCUUGUAAAUUGGGCGGUUCUGUUACACUGGGGGUCCCCCGCGGCGCCAGGGGCCGUCGGUCGGACUCCCGCCUCGCCUGCCGACGGCGCAGGGGGCACCAUGGUGACCUCUACCUGCGACACCUCCUCCGGGGCACCGGUUCCCGCCCCGGACGCAGGGGAGGGCUCGGCCAGACUCUCCGGCACUACCGGAUGAGGGGGCUCCUCGGGCUCGGCCCCCGACGCCUUCUCCCCCCUUGAGGACCCACAGGGGCGGAACCCUCACGAGCGGCGCUGUCCUCGUCAUCCACAAUGAUGUGGGGGACGACCUGUCCGCCCCCCGGCACCUGGGUCCCCUUGGGGGCCUCCGACCCACCUCGGGCCUUUGACCCCUCCGGGGCCUCGAUCCCCCCGGCAGGGGGACUGCGUCGUCCUCCUCCAUCAGCUCGUCAAGCCAGUCGGCGUCGCCACCCCCGCCCUCUAUCUCCGAGACCGAAGUCUCGGGAGAGGGGGGCGGGGCGACCCCCGCCUUCUCGGCUUCACGGUGAUUCUUGGUGGAGAUCUCCCGCCGCUGCGCUUUCCGCGCUGCUUUGGCCUUCUUGUCCUCCUUGGCCUUCUUUUACUCCUCGUUCCGGGCCCGAUUCUUGGCCCGGAUCUCCUUGUCCUCGGGAACAGGGGGCGGGGAAUCCUUGACGACCCCCAUCCGCUGCGAAUAGUCAGGGGUCAAGAAAAAGGCAAAAAGGAAAAGAGAAGAAGACGCAAAAAAAAUUCUACACUUACCAGAGAAAUAUAGCCCUUUUCAGGGCGCAUCGGAACCACCCGGGAAUUUUUCAUGCCCGAGUGUGUCGUCUUCUCCACCCGGGCGGUGAUGUCCGAUGCCGAUAUCGGCUCGGCCAGCAUCCUCGUCCCAGCCCAGGGGACGUCCCGAGUCAUCUCGAACAUAUACGCUCGCCGCUGCGCCAGCGGAAGCGACUCCUCUUGUGGAAGGCGAUUGCCACCGUGGCCGCGGUGACUUCGGCAUCUCGCAACUUCUGAAGCAGAUUCCGUCUCGCCCGACCCCGACACUACAAAAUGAGUUUGAAAAAAGCCUUUCGAGGCCCAAAAUCCCCAGGCCAUGGCCACCUACGUUCCAGAGGUUGCGAGACUGACCUGCGACACAGGUUCGAACAGUCGCCUCAGGAUGACUGAGCGAGGGAUGACUGAAGAUGAGCACAAUAGAGGCCAAGGUCCGAGCCCCACAGGGAGUCGGCGCAUCUUUACAAGUCAUAUCCGAGACCCAUGCGGGUGUCACGUGAGUGGGAUCCCAUCGAGGGAGGCAUCGAGCCCUUGGAACCUAACGAACGGUUCCGACAUCCACCGUGACUGUCCUCAGGUACUUUUUGAGAUGUGCCCAUAAGGCCACUAGCCGACCCCUAUCGAAUGGGACUCGGACAUCCACUUGGAUCUACCCGCCUGCAGCUCCCGGGAAGCGUCGUCACUCGCCCAUCGAGGGUAGUACGGCACGACCCACCCCUCCUCCGAGCGAAAGGAAGAAUGAGAGACGUAACUAUAAGACGAGAAAGAACCUGAUCGACCCUUUUGGGGAAAGGGCUCGGGGGCUUCCUCGCACCAUGGGAACAGGCACUACAUGUAAAGAACGUGCAACCUAUCCCUCAAAAAUACUCCAGACUAUAGCUGCAAGGGGUAAAAGCCUUUGAAGGAAUAAUGCCAUUCCUCCAAAAGGCUCGGGGGCUACACCCGGCGGGUGCGCUCACGCGCACCCUCCGGAGAAAAGUAAAAAGCUCCCAGUCAACAAGCAAUCCCUGGGGAAAGAACCUCUAAAGAGGUGACCCCACCCCUUCAGAGGCUCGGGGGCUACUGUUGGAUACCAUAAAAAGGGAUACCCAAAUCAGAGUAAUAAAAAACGCAAAAAACAUACUAACCACAAUCACCAGGGUAUGGGCCCCAGUUCAUUCAACUCGUCCGACCCCCAGGGCCUCGGGCGCAAGUUCCGACUCGCCCGACCCCUCAGGGCCUCGGGCGCAAGUUCCGACUCGCCCGACCCCUCAGGGCCUCAGACGCAAGUUCUGACUCGCCCGAUCCCAUCUGGGCUCAGGUGCCGGACCCCGCUCCACCAGGUCGACAAGACUUCCACCAGUCGGCGCCCGUACCCCUGCGACCCCUACAGGGCUCGGUAACCCUCUACAGGAGCAGCCAUACUAUCAACCAUCCCCCAAGGACGAGAUGGACCAGCUUCAACAGGGUCGGGACUGUGGUUUCACCAUUCAACAGAAGAAAUCUACUCAUGUAAAAACCUGUCUUCCCUUGAGGCUAUAAAAGGGGAGCCAGGGUUCACAACUAAGGACAGGUUCAGAAGGUUCAUGCACACGCCCACCGCACUCUUUCACAGAGCAACGAUCACCACUCUGUCCACCACUAAGCCGAGACCUGGGACUUAGCCCUCUCUCACGACCAGCUUGUACCCCCUACUACAAGCACCUUCGGUGCAAGGUUAUACAGAAUCCGCGACCACACUGGACGUAGGGCAUUCUUGGCCAGAACCAGUAUAAACCCUCUGUGUCUCACUUGCAUCACCAUCCAAGUUUGGGUAGUCACGCAGACUUAUACUUGUUAGUGCCUAGACCACGAGUCUAGACGCCGACAAUUGUGUACCCAGAAUAAUACACACAAAAAUUCAUCUAUAUUAAAAUUAAAGGCUAAUAAAACACUAUCAUUAAAAUCAAGGGCCACGAUUGGAUGUGGGAAGCCAGCCUUCUCACCCUGUACCAUCCAUCUCAAGACUCGCUAGAGACCGACACGAACGAAGCCGCGAGACCAUGCACGAUCGAAUCAGCAAUGAACCCAAAAAAAUAAAAAUAAAAAUAAAAAUCUUCGUUGGAGACCUUCUAGGCUUUUGACGUAACCUGCUGGGCUGCCGACGUUAGAGACCUGCUGGGCGGCCGCCGCGUCCAUCGUUGAUCCUCCGCGGCCAUCGCGUCUAGCUGCGAUCCUCCGCGGCCAUCGCGGCCAGCUGCGUCCGUUCUUCCGAUUGGAGAUCUGCUGGGCUGCCAACGCGUUCAUCGUCGAUCCUCCGCGGCCAUUGCGACCAAGCUGCAUCUGUUGCGCCGAUCUAAAGGCCGAUCAUCCGAAGCAUCAUCAACGACCCAAAAAAACACUGAGGUGCAAGAGGUAGUUGUUACUCCAAUACGACGUCACAUGAGAUAGUAUCAGAAGAAAAAGGUAACCUCUACGUACAUGCACAACUAUGUUUUUUUUCAGCUAAGUUAGAUUACUAUUUUUAGUCAAUAAGCUAUAUUUGGUUGUUUACCAUCAUCGCAUAUACAUAAAUUUGGUCUCCACAAAUAUUUAAUAUUUUUGCUUUGCUUAUCUGAAUACAGAAGAAAAGAAAACAUAUAUAGAAACUGAGAAAACAAUUGUACCUGUUAGAAAUGCUCAGAUAAUUGUCGAGGAGGAAAUGCUAUCAGCCUCUGACCAAAAAGUGGAUACAACGGGUGAAGAAAAAAUGCCAACAGACGAGAGCAGCAGGAAGCGGAAGCGUUCUCACGAAGAUAUUGUAUGUAACAAUCUCUCGAUGAACUCACAUAUCCCAAAUGAAUAUCUAUAUAUAUGGGUCGUCACUGAUAUUCUAUAAUAUUACAUAUGCAGAUCAAUAUUAUGGAUGAAGACAAAGUGCAUAUCCAAGACAUCGUAUUGAUGAGAGUUGAUAUAGAAAAAGACAAGCAAAGAUAUUAAUCGUGCUGACAAGAAGAUUAAGGCAAUCCCUCAAUAUAAUAAACCUAAGAAGACAAACAAUGCCAAUGUCCUGCCACACGGUGAGACAUCCUCAAUUAGAUUUUUUUAUAUUUGGGAAUUAAUUAAUGUUAAUAUGAAUAAAUGUUUUAUUCGUAAAUUAUGAGUGUACACAAGAAUAUGCUCGUGUAAUUGAAUUUAAAAGUAGUGUUCAACAUGCUUACAGUGAUGUCCAUAUGAUAUUUUUUUGUUGAUUGAAACAUAUGGAAAGAAUUUAGAAAAAACUCAAAUUAUUACAGGUGUUUCUUCCGAUUAAUAUUGACAAGUAUCACUGGUACCUAGCGGUUGUCAAUGCUUUAGAAGGACAAAUACAUAUUUUGGAUUCUUUUGGAGAAAUUAUGUCGGAAUGGCAAGAUCUCGACUACGCGCGGUAUGGCUUAAUGAUUGAUAUAUACACAAAUACAUAAUAUUUUUUUAAAAAAAAUAUUAAUACCGCUUUCUAAAUCUUGGUGUUUCGGUCACAGCAGUUGAUAGGAAUGGAAAGACUAAUAAAAUAUGCAGCAAAACAUAAACAGCUGAACCAAAACAAGUGGGUAAAGGGUAUCGAAGUAUCAUCUUGGCAAAAAAAACAUAAGAUCAUGAAAAGAGUGUACAGAUGGGUAAAGAAACAUCUAACUUUUCACGUAACCUGCUUUUGACGCUAACAUUAUCUAUAUCACCCUGAUUUUAAUUUUUCAAUAUUGCACAGUGUAAGUUGUGGUUUAUGGAUGAUUAAUUUUAUGGAAUAUUGGACUUGAGCUUCUUUAUCUGACCACGUGACCUAGGUAAUUUCAUAGGAAUAUAUUUUUAAAUAUAUGAAUUUUCUGGGCUUGUUUAAUAUAUCAAGGCUUGCUCAUAUUUUUAGGAUGAUAUAAGUAACUUUAGGUUCAAACUACCUGCAAUCUUGUAUAACUCCCCAUUAAACAUGGCGAGAGGGUUACAAGAUGAUGUGCAAGAUAAUGAGACCAACCAAAAUCUGAAUGAUGGUGUCAUAAUACUCAAUGAUAUGGACGACAUAUCUAAUUUACUGUCGGGUACAAUAACAUGGACAAACAAGUAUCCAUAUGAUCGCAGAUGCUGAAGCUUCGGAGUAAGUCAUUCUAAAUAGAAUUGUUUUGUUCUAAUUUAUUUUUUUCCAAUAUUCGUGAUUGAAUUGCUACAAUAAGUAAAUUAUUCCUUGUCAUUGUUUUUUAGCAAAGAAUGGGUCCGAAGCACACAACCCACAACCAUACACAAUUUCUUUAAGUCCUAGAAAAAUUAGAGAUAUUUUAAAUGACAAUAAAGAGUUCGAUCAUGCAUGAUUGUUUCAACAUGGCUGUAAGGAUGGCUGCAUCAAACGCAUCCUUGUUGUUGGAGAAACAAAUACCACUUCAUGGAUCUUCAGUUUGUUGUAAGUUCACCUAAGUCUUAAUUGUAUAAUUCAUAAAUAUCUACUAUAAUAUAUAUAAUUGUAUAAUUAAUAAAAAAAUUAUAAAUUUUACAAACUAGAAAGUCCAUAACUCAAUUUGGACGAGAUCUGUGAUGUUGUGACAAGCUAGACAACAAGAAACUCACAAAAGUACUUCAGUGCUGGCCUAAUAUGGAUUACAAAAUUAAAAGAUUGUAGCAAUGUAAGAUAUGUUCAGUGUAGUCCUGUAAGUGCAUUCGACCCCGAUGUAGGUUUUGAUAAUUAAUGACAACCAAAUUAGGGACUAACAUGUUUAUCGAGCAUAAUCUACAGGUGUUAGUCCAUUGAUGGAAUUGAACGAAAACAUUCGGUGAAUUAUAGCACCCCUAAAUUUCUAAUGGAUGAACGGUGUUUCGACUCAAGUGGCUACAAAGUUUUUAUUCUUUGUUUGAGUUAUAGGAAAUGCCGCACUAUCAAGAGGGAUGCAAAUCAAGUUGGUAAGAUGAGGAUAAGGGUGCUCAGGUCAAUUUACUUCUUGCGCUUGAGAGACACACUUGCACGCACGAAGCACUAGGAAAUUUCUUCUCUGUCAGGGUGUCCCGGUAGUACCAACCCUCAGGGCCGGUGGUACCGGCAGUGCCAGCCUUACUCCUGAGUUUUGCGAGAAAAUGAACUACCGGUAGUACCGGGCUCGGGCCGGUGGUACCGGCCAGCACCAGUAGUACCGGUGUGAAACGCCGGUAGUACCGGCAGGCCAAAUCUGCGCUGACUUUGGUUGCGAAGAUUUGAACUGCCGGUGGUACCGGCCUUCCACCGGUGGUACCGGCAAUGGUCGGUAGUACCGACAAAAGCCCAGUGGUACCGGUAGGCUUAUUUCUCGCAAAUCAUAGAGACUUCUUACCGUUAGAUCUGAGGUAGCCGGUGGUACCGGUGGUUGCCCCGGUAGUACCGGGAGUUGUUCAGGACCUUUGUAUAAAUAGCUCUUCCCUCAUUUCUAACCGUUAGCUCUCCCAUUCCUUCAACUCUAGAUCUGAGAAAUCAGUCUCCAAGCUUUGUCUCACCCACUCUCUCUCCCUCUUUGCUCCUAGACUUCACUCCUUGAAAGAUUCGAGCUAGAGAAGUGAGAUUAGAGAGUUGGGAGCUUCGAUUUGUGACUUGAGCACUUGGAUUCUUCGUCUUGCCGGUUUGGUUUGCAUUUGUUACUCUUGGAUUCUUGGAACCCUAGCCGGCUAGGCGUUCUUCGUGGUUGCCCGUGUUGAUUCAUUUGUGAGGGCACCCCGAAGUGUUUGUAUAACCCUUUGAUUCUUAGUGGAAAUCUUGAGCUAACCUGUGUGGUUGCUUGAGGGAGGAGACCUAAGUGGUCGGACCUUCGUGGUCACCUCAACAACGGGGACGUAGGAACUCCUUUGUGGGGAUUGCCGAACCUCGGGAAAAAUAUCUUGUCUUGCUGUGGAGGUAGCAUCGACUACCCUUGUUCUUGUGUUCUUCGUGUUCUUCCUCUCUACUCCCUUUCACAGGUGAACAAGGGCCGAUCUACGUUUUGGAGAAGAACCGAGCCAAGGGAACCUCAGCAUCACCCUCUACUACAUCUAGGAGAGUGGGGUAACUCUCAGAUCUGAAAUCAAAACUCAAUAUACUCUGAUUUCGUAGCUCUCUUAGGGCGUCGGUAGUACCAGCAGUUACGUCGGUAGUACUGGCUGUCUUACACCAGUAGUACCGGCCCAAACUGUCGGUAGUACCGACAGGCAUUUAACUUCCGCAACUUGAGUUUUUAAGUUUCAGGUUUUUAAGAUACGCCUAUUCACCCCCCCUCUAGGCCAAUCAGAUCCUUUCAAUUGGUAUCAGAGCAAGGUUCCUCGUACAAACGCUUCACCGCGUGAGGAGCAACAUUGGCCAAGAUAGAUCCAAUAGCACAAAAGCAAAUUGUUGAUCAAAUCACAGCACAGAUCACUGCAUCCUUGCAGCUGCAGCAACAAGAGCAAAUGCAGAAGAUGCAAGCAGAGCUUGACAAGAUGAGAGAGCUCCUAGGCAAAAAGAAUCAUGAAUCGGGUAGAAAAGAUGAAAAUGAAGAUAGCAGCAAACCAUCAAAGAACUACAACAAAGCUAGCUUUGACUAUGAUGGUUCAAGCAAGAAUCCAACCUUGCCGAUGAUCAAUCCUGGAAAACCACCUCCAUUUGAUGGUGUAAGGUACACCGAUUGGGCUCAUAGGAUGAAGCUACAUCUCAUAGCCGCAAGAUGUUGGGAAGUGGUGGACAUUGGAGUAAAUCCGCCGCAAGAUCCAAAUGAGUGGACACUUGAAGAUGAGAGAGACUUUCACCUAAAUGCAAUGGCAGCAACCUUGAUCUUGCAAUGCCUCACUCCGGAGGACAACAACAAAGUAAAUGGUAUGGUGAAUGCAAAGCAAAUCUGGGACACUUUGAAGGUGUCAUUUGAAGGAGAUAAAAGUGUAAGAGUUGGAAACAUUGAACUCUUACAAAGUAAGAUUGAGAAUUUUUGCAUGAUUGAGGGAGAAACAACAAAGGCCAUGUUUGAUAGAUUCAUGUCCUUGAUCAACCAAAUUAGAGCACUUGGAGCAACAACAUGGGAUGACAACUCUGUAGCAAGAAAGAUAUGUAGGGUGUAUAGACAAAAGAACAAUAUGCUUGCCUCCGUCAUUAUGGAGAAAGACAAUUACCACACGAUCACACCUCAAGAGAUGCUUGCAAAGUUGAUGCAUCAUGAAGUCUUGGAUGAUGAAGCUAAGGAAGCAAUGAAUCAAAGAAACAACAUUGCACUCACAGCAUCACAUGGAAGUGAUUCAAGUCAUUGUAACAAAGGGUGUUGUGAGCAUAAGCAUAAUGAUGAUGAUGAUCUUGAUAAAGAGCAAGGUAUGCUAGUGGAAAACUACAAGAAUUACUUGAGAAUGAAGAAAGAUAAUAUGAGGAGAUAUGGAGGAAACAAGUCAUACAAGAAGAGGUUUUGCUAUGAGUGUGGUGACACCGGCCAUCUUGCAGCUGAGUGUCCUAACAAAGAGGAGAAGUCAAGAUACACCAAGCAAGGUGAUAAGAAGUAUAAGGACAAGAAGAGAGGUGAAGCACAUCUAGGCCAAGAAUGGCAAUCCGACAGUGAUAGUGAUGAUGACAAUAACAAUAAGAAGAAGAGUAUGGCUACUCUCGCCAUACAAGAGGCAUCUUCCUCAGCAAACAUCUUCACCAACAAUGCUUCAUCGACCUCUCUCUUUACUCGCACUUCUUCAUCACCUAGACUCUUCGCCAACCUCUCCGACGACGACCAUGACACUCCUACAUGCCUUAUGGUAAGAGGAUAUAAGGUACAAUUUGACUCUCCUAUUCACACCACUAGUGAAUAUGAUAGUGAUGACGAAGAUGAUGAAAACUAUGCAUCAAAUCUCAUUAAGAAAUAUGGUAAAGCUGCUGCAACUAAAAUCCUAAAGCUCAUAUAUGCUAAAGAUAAGCUUGAGUCAUGCAUUGAGUCGCAAGGGGAAUUGCUCCUAGAGGAAAGGGAGAAGAACCAAGGACUUGAAGCAUGUCUCUCCAAGGAAAAGGAGAGGGCUGAUAAGUUGAGUGUAGAAUUGUCUUUAGCCAAAAAUGCUAAUGAGCAUUUGUCUAAGGGACAUUCUUCACUUAAUGACUCUUUGGCUAGCCUAAAGAAUGAUCAUAGUUUGGCUCAAGAGAGCCUUACAAGCUUGACAACUAAAUAUCAUGAGCUUGAACUAAACUAUGACAAGCUUUGGACUAGCACCUCUACCAUUUCCAAGGAUUCCAAAGCUUCAACAAGUAAAAGCUGUGAAAGAUGCUUAAAUGUUGAUAUAAAUGCUUGUGUUACUAACCUUGUUGAGCUAGCAAAGAAGGACAAGGAGAUCCAAAGAUUAAACACAAUUGUCAAGAUUGGUUGCAAGUGCAAGGACAAGCAACCGGCAAAUGGGUUCAAGGCAUCAAGACACCCCAUAAUCAAGGAUGGCCUCGGUUACAAUAGGUAUAAUGGUAAGGCCAAUGGAAGAAACAUGAUAAAUGGGGUGGCUUGUGUGAAGUUCAACAAGAGUGUGCCUCUUGUUGACCUUAUUGACAAGGUGAACAAUAUUGCUACUCCUAUAAUUCCACUUACAAACAACAAGAACAUCAAGAAGAAGCAAGUGCAGGUGCCCAAGCAACAAGUGCCUAUUUCACGCAAUCACAUUUGUGAUUACAUGUGUUGUUGGGACAAGGAUGGCAAGAUUGUUGUGAAGUAUGUGGGUGUCCUUAAGAAGAGACAAAUCUUAAGGAGUGUUUGGGUGCCCAAGUCUUAUAUUUCUAACCCCCUAGGUCCCAUCUCGGGACCUAAAACAAUAGCUUAAUCUCGUGUUGUAGGAAUACUCCUCCGGUGGACCAAAAUGGGUGCUUGAUAAUGGAUGCACCAAUCAUAUGACCGGAGAGAAGAAAUUGUUCACCUCCUUUCAACCAAAUCAAGUUGCAUGUGAAAGGAUUGUCUUUGGUGAUAAUAGUAAAGGAGAUAUCCUUGGUUUGGGUAAAAUUGCUUUCUUAAAUGAUAAUUCAAUUUCAAGUGUAUUACUUGUGAAUUCGUUGGGAUACAAUUUGUUGUCUAUCUCACAACUUUGUGAGAAGGGUUACAAUUGUCUCUUUACGGAUAAGGGUGUAGAAGUCUCUAGAAGGUCGGAUGCCUCUAUUGCUUUUACGGGUCAACUUAAGGGCAAGCUCUAUCUAGUUGAUUUCUCAUCUAGUAGAGUGGGGUCCAAGACUUGUUUAGUGGCAAAAUCUAGCAUGGGCUGGUUAUGGCAUCGCUGUCUAGCUCAUGUUGGGAUGAGGAACUUGGCCGAUCUUCAAAGAGGUGGAUACAUCCUAGGACUAACAAAUGUUUCUUUUGAGAAAGAUAGAAUUUGCAGUGCAUGUCAAGCGGGAAAGCAAGUUAGAGACAAGCAUCCCACUAAGAACAUCAUGACUACAUCAAAGACCACUUGAGUUACUUCACAUGGACUUAUUCGGACCCAAUGCUCAUAUAAGUAUUGGAGGUAACAAAUAUGGUUUUGUAAUUGUUGAUGAUUUUUCUCGCUUCACUUGGGUGUUUCUUUUGAGAGAUAAAGGUGAAACCCAAGGGAUCUUCAAGAAGGUUUCAAGAAGAGCUCAAAAUAAGUUUGAAGUGAAGAUCAAGAAAGUGAGAAGUGAUAACGGGAUAGAGUUUAGAAACACCAACAUUGAAGCUUUCCUUGAUGAAGAAGGCAUCAAACAUGAGUUCUCGGUUCCAUACACUCCACAACAAAAUGGUGUUGUGGAGAGGAAGAACCGGACGCUCAUUGAAGCCAUAAUAGCAAUGUUGGAUGAAUACAAGAUUUCACAAAAAGACUAUUGGGCGAAAGCCAUCAACACGUCAUGUCAUGCUAUCAACCACUUGUAACUCCACAAGUUGAGGAAGAAAACCACCUACGAGCUUCUAACCGGUACAAAGCCUAAGGUGGACUACUUUAGAGUUUUUGGAUGCAAGUGUUUCAUACUCAAUAAGAAAUCCAAAAGCUCUAAGUUUUCACCAAAGGUUGAUGGAGGUUUCUUAAUUGGUUAUGGUACUAAUGAACAUGGCUACCGUGUCUUCAAUGAGACCACCGGUCAAAUUGAAAUAGCGGUAGACGUGACUUUUGAUGAAAGCGACGGCUCUCAAAAGGAGCAAGUCAAUGCUGAAAUUUUAGGUGAAGAAGAACCAUCUCAUCAAGUGAUCAAAAAGCUUGCUACCGGUGAAGUGAAACCCGUUGAAGAAUAAAAAGAUGAUGCACAUAUGCAAAUUCCUCAUGAUCCAAACUUGCAUCAUGGGUCAACCAAUGCCCAUGAUGAUACUUCCACUUCAAGAAGGGGUCAUGACUCAAGGGAACAAGCUAGUCAAGAUCCACCACAAGCUCAAGACCCAACCAAGGUGGUGAUCGAGACAGUCAAGAUCUUGAUUCUCCAAUCAACCAAGACUAUGAAGUUGAAGAUGAUGGUCUAAUUCAAACAAGAACAGCAGUGCCUCACCCAAGAGUUCAUCACUCCAUCCAAUGGGAUCAUCUCGUUGACAGCAUUUUGGGAGACACACAACGAGGGGUAACAACACACUCUCAUUUAGUUGGUUUUUGUGAAUAUUACUCUUUUGUCUCCUCGAUGUUGCCAAACAGGGUGAAGAAUGCUUUGAAGGACCCAGAUGGGGUGAUUGCCAUGCAAGAGGAGCUAAACAACUUCACUAAGAAUAAAGUCUAGUCCUUGGUGGAAAGACCCAAGCAAAAUGUGUUAGGUACCAAAUGGGUCUUCCGUAACAAAGAAGAUGAGUAUGGCAUGGUCACAAGGAACAAGGCAUGGUUGGUAGCCAAAGGUUUCACUCAAAUCAAAGGUUUAUAUUUUGGGGAGACCUAUGCACCUGCAGCUAGGCUUAAAUCUAUUCGCAUAUUACUUGCCUUUGCUGCUCUUCAUGAUUUCAAGUUGUUUCAAAUGGACGUGAAAAGUGCAUUCCUCAAUGGCCCCCUCUCCGAAACCGUGUAUGUGGAGCAACCGCCGGGUUUUGAAGAUCCACAUCAUCCCGAUCAUGUCUACAAGCUUUACAAGGCACUUUAUGGGCUCAAACAAGCCCCUAGAGCUUGGUAUGGUUGUAUCAAAGAUUUCCUACUCAAACAAGGGUUGAGAUUGGAAAGGCCGAUCUCACUUUAUUUACUCGCAAAGUCAAUAAUGAUAUUUUUAUAUGCCAAAUAUAUGUCGAUGAUAUUAUAUUUGGUAGUACUAAUGCGGACUUUAGUGAGCAAUUUAGUAGGAUCAUGACCAAGAGGUUCGAGAUGUCCAUGAUGGGGGAGUUGACAUACAUUCUUGGAUUCCAAAUCAAGCAACUCAAAGACGGCAUGUUCAUAAGUCAAACCAAGUACACCACCGACAUGCUAAAGAAGUUUGACAUCGACAAGGCCAAACCCAUAAAGACACCAAUGCCAACAACCGGACAUCUUAACCUUGAUGGAGACGACAAGGCCAUUGAUCAAAAGGUAUAUCAUUCCAUGAUUGAAUCUUUGCUUUACCUUUGUGCAUCUAGGGCUGAUAUUAUGCUUAGUGUGUGCAUGUGUGUAUUCGAAUAGGCAAAAACUCUUGUGAAAAAUUGUGUGAAUUUUUCAAAAACUAUUUUUCACAGCUCAAAAUGUGUCCAUAGUUAUGUAAUGGCUUCAUGAAAACUGGACAAAUUUGAGUUGGUUUGAGUAUACUAUGUGGUUCACCUCCUUUAGAAUUUCUGCUCACUGGUUUUUGACCUCCUGCAACUUAUGACAUUCAAGCAUAACUGGAACACAGAGGUUAUUUGUCAGUUUUGGGCCACAGUUUACAUUGAUGUAGAGCACAAGAUACUUCACUAGAUGACUGAGGACCUUCACUGUCAGUAUGAUUACCGCCAGUUCUCCCACCUUUUUGGGUUUGAUCACCAUGUCUGUGAUGCUCCUAGCUUAUAUGGUCAUUGUCCAAAUGGUGUGGGCAGGGCUGAUUUCAUUGAAGCAGCCUGAUGAUGAUCCGACUAAGGCAAAUGGUAAGACAGAAGGUCUAAAGCCCUAUUUCUAUGUGCUCAACAAUUUGCUCCGUGCUACUAUUGACCCAAAGGUUGGUGUUGCUACUUCAGUUCAGAAUCAUGAUGCAACCAUCCUUGUUUGCUUUGGGCUUAAGAAGAGGUUCAGUGUGACAGAUCUCCUGUGGCAUCACAUUGAGGAGGGUUCCUAGACCUCCAACCAGUCCUUCCCCUAUGCUCUGUAUCUCAUGUAUAUCAUUGAGCAAGUCAUUGGCUUUGCAUUCUAGCAAGACAGUAAGCACCUAGACUGGAAUGUCAGAUGUAUUUAGGCUAAGUCCAAGCAAAGGGAAAGGGCUAGCAACAGAUGCUAGUGGCAACAAUGCAGCACAGGAUGAUGAGGUGUAGUGUGACACUGAGUUUGAGCAGCAGCAGGGUUUUCAGUGAACCAGUGCCUUUGAUGAUGAUGAUGAUAUUGUUGAGUAGUUCACCUACUGCCUUUGCCCCUUGGAGCUUCAUGAAGCCUACCCUUUUUGGCAUUUGAUGCCAAAGGGGGAGUGUUAGGCUUAUCUCAUAUGGUAUUAGGCUUGGUAUCAGGAUUAUCUCGUAUGGUGAACCAUGUGGUAAACUUAAACUUUGUGUGUGAUGGUUGAUUGUAAGCUAAACACCUUUGCUUCAUUAUUAUAUCAAGCUUGUGUUAGCUGUUUUGGGAUUGUGUUGAUGCAAUGUUGUUUAUGAAUGGUUAUGAUAAGCUUUAAGUCCUUCUAUUUCUUGCAUAACCAUUCAAGUUCUUUCUUUUUAUUCUUUGUGAUAUAUCUUGUCAUAUGCAUCACACUUUAUUAUCUCACACACACUUAGGCACCCCACGGAUUGCAAAAUUUAGGGGGAGCUUGUUCUUAAUGUAUGCCAUCUUGAUUCUAAUCAAGAUCUGAAAUUCUGAAUUCAAUGCAUACAUUAAGGGGGAGCUCAACUUGAAUUUUGGAAUUCAAAAGCUUCAAUUCUUUCAAUCUUUAUAAGCCUAAGUUGGUUGUCAUCAAUUACCAAAAAGGGGGAGUUUGUAAGUGCAUUCGCCCCCGAUGUGGGUUUUGAUAAUUAAUGACAACCAAAUUCGGGACUAACAUGUUUAUCGAGCAUAAUCUACAGGUGUUAGUCCAUUGAUGGAAUUGAACGAAAACAUUCGGUGAAUUAUAGCAGCCCUAAAUUUCUAAUGGAUGAACGGUGUUUCGACUCAAGUGGCUACAAAGUUUUUAUUCUUUGUUUGAGUUAUAGGAAAUGCCGCACUAUCAAGAGGGAUGCAAAUCAAGUUGGUAAGAUGAGGAUAAGGGUGCUCAGGUCAAUUUACUUCUUGCGCUUGAGAGACACACUUGCACGCACGAAGCACUAGGAAAUUUCUUCUCUGCUAGGGUGUCCCGGUAGUACCAACCCUCAGGGCCGGUGGUACCGGCAGUGCUAGCCUUACUCCUGAGUUUUGCGAGAAAAUGAACUACCGGUAGUACCGGACUCGGGCCGGUGGUACCGGCCAGCACCAGUAGUACCGGUGUGAAACGCCGGUAGUACCGGCAGGCCAAAUCUGCGCUGACUUUGGUUGCGGAGAUUUGAACUGCCGGUGGUACCGGCCUUCCACCGGUGGUACCGGCAAUGGUCGGUAGUACCGACAAAAGCCCAGUGGUACCGGUAGGCUUAUUUCUCGCAAAUCAUAGAGACUUCUUACCGUUAGAUCUGAGGUAGCCGGUGGUACCGGUGGUUGCCCCGGUAGUACCGGGAGUUGUUCAGGACCUUUGUAUAAAUAGCUCUUCCCUCAUUUCUAACCGUUAGCUCUCCCAUUCCUUCAACUCUAGAUCUGAGAAAUCAGUCUCCAAGCUUUGUCUCACCCACUCUCUCUCCCUCUUUGCUCCUAGACUUCACUCCUUGAAAGAUUCGAGCUAGAGAAGUGAGAUUAGAGAGUUGGGAGCUUCGAUUUGUGACUUGAGCACUUGGAUUCUUCGUCUUGCCGGUUUGGUUUGCAUUUGUUACUCUUGGGUUCUUGGAACCCUAGCCGGCUAGGCGUUCUUCGUGGUUGCCCGUGUUGAUUCAUUUGUGAGGGCACCCCGAAGUGUUUGUAUAACCCUUUGAUUCUUAGUGGAAAUCUUGAGCUAACCUGUGUGGUUGCUUGAGGGAGGAGACCUAAGUGGUCGGACCUUCGUGGUCACCUCAACAACGGGGACGUAGGAACUCCUUUGUGGGGAUUGCCGAACCUCGGGAAAAAUAUCUUGUCUUGCUGUGGAGGUAGCAUCGACUACCCUUGUUCUUGUGUUCUUCGUGUUCUUCCUCUCUACUCCCUUUCACAGGUGAACAAGGGCCGAUCUACGUUUUGGAGAAGAACCGAGCCAAGGGAACCUCAGCAUCACCCUCUACUACAUCUAGGAGAGUGGGGUAACUCUCAGAUCUGAAAUCAAAACUCAAUAUACUCUAAUUUCGUAGCUCUCUUAGGGCGUCUGUAGUACCAGCAGUUACGUCGGUAGUACUGGCUGUCUUACACCAGUAGUACCGGCCCAAACUGUCGGUAGUACCGACAGGCAUUUAACUUCCGCAACUUGAGUUUUUAAGUUUCAAGUUUUUAAGAUACGCCUAUUCACCCCCCCUAGGCCAAUUAGAUCCUUUCAAGUCCUUUAUAAACUCAUUAUGUUUUAUUUAUCACUUAUUGUUUGUAUGUAUAUUUUUAGAUUCUACUACCAUAUUACUGAGAUGGACUAUAUACUUUAUUCAUAAUGAACAUGCACAAAAAACUGUGCACGUUAUAGAUCCACUUCAAAAUGAAGUAUGUUUGAAGGGUUAUGAUCAGAGCAUGUCAUAUAUAUCUACAUUUCACACUGUUGCUCAAAGAUUCCAUCUCGCCAUGAAACUAACAAAUUCUAAGUGGAACGACAAUAUUUAUGACUGGAAGCGAGCAUUUCCUACAUGUGUUACAAAAGUUUCAAAAAAUAAAGACUGCUAAUCUCUUACAAUAUGUUUCAUCUUUAUUACCAGACAUUUAAUUUAUAUAUAAUAAAAAAACUAAUACUCUUCUCCAGGAGAUUGGGAGGCUUCCUUGUGUAUAAUUUUAUGAAGUCAUGGGAUGAUGUAAGAUUGCCACCGAUCAACAAUGUAAGUAUAUAUAUACUUCAACUAUAGUUCGUACAUUGUAUGUGUGGGGGUAUAAACCCCUAUACCCUCAUGGGCCUAUAUGGGCCGCACCAUCAGAGGUGGCUCGGCCCACAGGAUGAAGACGUGCGGCGCACGACUGGUCGGCGUGCACCGCAAGGCUACAAGAUAUUGUACCAAAUAGGAUACUUUGCUUGUAACUCUGUCCCUUCAGGAUAUAUAAGGAGGGGCAGAGGUCCCCUAGAGGACAAGUCAUACAGAUCAUAUUCUCUCAACACAAAUCAAUACAACCAGACGCAGGACGUAGGUAUUACGCCAACUCGGCGGCCGAACCUGGAUAAAAAGCUUGUCCGUGUCUUGCGUCACCAUCGAGUUCGUAGUUUGCGCACCGUCUACCGAUAAACUACUACCGUGGGUAUACCCCAAGGUAGACUGCCGACCAGCUUUCGUCGACAGUGGCGCGCCAGGUAGGGGGUGUGCGUACAGCUCUCCCGACGAACAAGAUGGUCAUCAUCCCAACUUCGUGGCCAUGGCGGGCGACUUCAUGUUCACCGUCAGCUUCAACAGCUUCACCGCCACGACCACGGAGGAGCUGUAGAUCCGAUCUGCGCCAACCACUUCUUCAUCGACGUCGGCGGCGGCUUCAACCACGCUGGCUACGACUCCGACUACUCCAGCAACGUCUCCGACCACGCCGACGAUGCGUCACCUGCUUCCCUACUACAAAGAGAGGCAGAUCGACGACAUCGACCUGCUCGGGCUAACGACCAAGUUGUUUGGCCUACUUGCUCUGACCACCAGUCGCAAUAAUAAUCGCCGCGAAGAACGGCGCUACGACAACCGCGACCACCGUCAUGACAGCAAGUCAAAAAGCUCGAGGGCCAGACAAUUCUGUCACCACCGACUAGACUUUCGUCCAAAGAUAAGUACACUUCUAAUAUUUUAUUUAUUUUUGGCAUAAUAUUUUUUAUUAUCCUUCAAAAAUAACUUUUUGGUUAGCCGACUAGUUUUUUCUCCUACACGAGUUUUCUAGAGCCGGUACUGUCUCCGACUCCUCCCUACACGUGCAUGAGAUCCGCCCUCUGCGUUCCGGGUGGUCGGCAGUAGCUCUCUGGCGAGGCUGGCAAUCCCACGCAUGUCUAGGUUCCGCACCUCAUGCUGAUUGUUGGCUAGACCAGAGCUGGUACAAGCUCUAGGAUGAAUUAACUACUCGUGCUAAUUUUAUAACAAAAAAUCUAAAACUUAUCGCAGUACUGAUUUUUUAUCUAGAGUUUAUUUAUACAUCAUGUACUACCUAUUCUCUAUAUUUAUUUUUCAGGAGUUUAGUCCAGUCGACAAGCUACGCUCGGGGACUCGUCGACUAUUCCUUACGCUGUGCCCGGGGACCGCUCCGACCACCGAGCACGUUUACGUUCCCAACCACGCUCGGGGACUUGUCGACUACUCUCUACACUGUGCUUGAAGACUGUGCCGACCACCGAGCACGUUUACGUUCCCAACCACGCUCGGGGACUUGUCUACCAGUCUCUACGCCGUGCUUGAAGACUGUGCCGACCACCGAGCACGUUUACGUUCCCAACCACGCUCGGGGACUUGUCUACCAGUCUCUACGCCGUGCUCGGAGACUGUGCCGACCACCGAGCACGUUUACGUUCCCAACUACGCUCGGGGACUGGCCGAUCAGUCUCUAUGUCGUGCUCGGGGACUGUGCUGACUACCGAUCGUGCUCGGAGACUCAUCAAUCACUCCCUGCGCUGUGCUCGGGGCUUGCUUUGAUCACUCUCCAACCACAGCUUGAGGACUGUUCUUCUCAGUUACAUAUGAAUUGGACUCAUAUACAACUGAAGGGUAAUUUUAUUUUUUAGACCUUGCUACAAGGCUCAUACUUCGCCUUCCAGCAAGCUCGAGGACUACAUCGGUACGAUGCAUCUGGCGAUGCAUCUCAGUUUCAUAAUUUAUAUGAAGACUUUUUUGACCCUGGCACCACGUGCCUACGUCACCUACUACCAGGCUCGGGGACUAAGUGGGCACACUUCACCUUGCGGUGAAUAUGCUUGCUUUUUUGAGAUCUAUACUUUUCAAAAAAGUAAAGUUGACACACUUCACCAGGAAAGAAAUCUUUUUAAAUUUAGAGCACCAUGCAUUCUUCGAACAACCUGUUUCUUCGAUGUCAAUGUUGAUCAACUGUCUUUUGAGUUGGUCAAAAUACUGUUGCAACUGUUUGGGCGACUUUCUUACUUAUUUGAAGACGUCAAGCCUCACUGAUCGAAGAAGCUCAAGACGGCGUGUUACAUCACAAUACAUGGUGCUCGGGGACUAGCUGUGGGGGUAUAAACCCCUAUACCCUCAUGGGCCUAUAUGGGCCGCACCAUCAGAGGUGGCUCGGCCCACAGGAUGAAGACGUGCGGCGCACGACUGGUCGGCGUGCACCGCAAGGCUACAAGAUAUUGUACCAAAUAGGAUACUUUGCUUGUAACUCUGUCCCUUCAGGAUAUAUAAGGAGGGGCAGAGGUCCCCUAGAGGACAAGUCAUACAGAUCAUAUUCUCUCAACACAAAUCAAUACAACCAGACGCAGGACGUAGGUAUUACGCCAACUCGGCGGCCGAACCUGGAUAAAAAGCUUGUCCGUGUCUUGCGUCACCAUCGAGUUCGUAGUUUGCGCACCGUCUACCGAUAAACUACUACCGUGGGUAUACCCUAAGGUAGACUGCCGACCAGCUUUCGUCGACAGUAUGAUUGGCACAGAUCGCUUACUAUUUGCCAUGCAUAAGCCUGGGCAUUCGGGUUACCCGAUUUUUUCGGGUCGGGUAAUUCGGGUAAUUCAAAAUUCGGGUAAUGAAAAUUGUUACCCGAUAUUAGUUUCGAAAAAACACUACCCGCAAUUUCGGGUACCCGCUAAUUCGGGUUCGGGUAUUCCCGAUUUACCCGAAUUUUCAAAAAACAACACACUAUACAAAAUUUUAAUAGCAAUUUAUAUAUAAUUUCAGCAGCAAUUUGUAUAGAAUUUCAAUAGCAUUUUGUAGAGAAUAAUAUGUUACUAUCACUUGUUCAAACAAAGAGAAUUAUGUUCUAAUAAAUUGAUAAGUUCUAAUAUUUAACUAUCAACACAUGAUAAAUACAAAGAUAUAGACAAAUAUUCGGAUAAUUCGGGUAGUUCGGGUACCGGGGGAUAUUACCCGAAUUACCCAAACUAAUUUCGGGUAAUCAAAAUCGCUAUCCGAAUUUAGGAUCGGGUACCUCGGGUUCGGGUAAUUCGGGUUCGGAUCCGGGUAAUUCGGGUACGGGUAAUGGGUAUCGGGUAAUUUGCCCAGGCCUAGCCAUGCACAGCUAUCAACUACACUGAGGGAUGCAAUUCUUGGCAGACAUUUUGAAGAGCCGUUUAAAUGAAUGUUUUGACAACUUCCCUAAAGAUCUCCAAGUCAUGAUUAAGGACUUAGACAAAAUGUAACUUAGAUGGUUAAGGACUUAUGCAAAAGUGUUUUCAGAUUGUAUGCUCAAAUAUAAUUAUGUAAAAGUUAAAUUAUGGAAACAAAAAUAUUGGUUGUUUUCAUGUAUAUCCCUGAGAUAAAACCGUAGCGUUAGCACGGGCAUUAUACUAGUCACACAGAGUUUGAGAGACUCGAGACAAAAGCAAGGAUGUGUUUGGUUGGAUGCGUUCACUUUAUUCUAACCCCAUGGGCCCAUAUAAAACUGAGAAAGAAGCCUAAUUGGUUACCUGCUGAGUGGAUGUAGCCUACAUAAAUAGAUACUACAAAAUUAUAGACUCAAUCAUUCAUACAUUUAAACUAUAUUCACUAGCUAUCUUGGUUGGAUGAAUGCAGUGUUAUCUUGUACUGGCCCACAUGUCACCCUCUAGCGAAGAGUUUCUGUAUCCACCCAUAUGAGCAACCAAAUAUCUUCACAGGAUUAUUACAUACAUCCGGAGAUUUCUUUUUUUUGUGAAAAAGGUAUUCGGAGAAGAUUACUGCAUCCAUCUAUGAUCUAUACAACCAACCAAAUAUUAUUCUAUCCAUGCAACCAACUAAAUAUUAUUCUUUUGAGACCACUAUAUUUGCUGAGAUAGUGUACCAUUCAACAUCGAAAGCAACCAAACACGUCUACGACUACGAGCCCAUCCACGCACCAUACCGGUCUCCGUGCCCUCUCGUCGCCAUGGACCCAUUGCCGUUAUUAUUAUUUAUAGAUAAAUAGAUAAAUAAAUAAAUAAAUAGAUAGUUGAUAGAUAUUGCCCCCACUUGCCAUUCUCCGAUGCUCACACGGUCACAACACAAGCCGAGCCCGCUGACGCGGCGGCGGCGGGGUCUCCAUCCGGCUGGCCCGCGACGGCGGCCACACGGCGUCCCGCCCUUAGCGUGCGCCAAGCGGCGGCGCUGUCAGUCAGUCCGCCUCGCGGGUGACGCGAUUCUCUGCGCGCGAGGUCACCCCCGGUUUCCUCUUGCAUCAGGUGAACCAUCGGAUCCGAGUCACCGUGAUCGAAGCUCUCGCCGACGGGCGACUCCGCCUAUAGCUCUGACCUGACGCAACGACCAUGUGGCGGAUCCGGUGUGCUCUGGCACCUGUGGGGUUAAAUUAAUGCGUGAGCUUAUCCUCAAGGAGUAUUAGCGGGGUUGUUGAUUGCGAAACCACGGUUUGGUGUGGAUGAUAAUCUAGUACGGCUCUGAUUUGGUUGGCGUAGUUUGGUUUAUGUCCGUGGGCUGUGGCACUUGGAUUCUCUCUGGAAUCUGGACUGGAGCCGCUGAACUUUGGCCUUGUUUACUUCCAAAAAAUUUUGCAAAAUAUGAAUAGUAACGUUUUCGUUUGUAUUUGAUAAAUAUUGUCCAAUUAUAGACUAACUAGGCUCAAAAGAUUCGUCUCGUCAAUUACGACCAAACUGUGCAAUUAGUUUUUAUUUUUAUCUAUAUUUAAUACUGACGGGGAAUCUGAAAAAUUUUGCAAAAUUUUUGGGAAGUAAACAAGGCCUUUGAGGGCGUCUCCAACUGCAUAGCCAGAUGAAUUUUAUAUAUUGCUUCUGUAUAGAAUCUAGAAGUUGUUUUGGACAAGGUUUGGUUUAAACAUUGGAAAUAUAAUUUAUCAAUAAUUUUUAAAUUAUUAAGUUUGUAAAUAUAAAAAUUAUAUGAAUAGAUUUGUCUUGAAAAAUACUUUCAUAUAUAUAUAUAUAUACUAUUUUUAUCUAAAUAUUCUUUUAAAAUAAGAGGUUAAAGUAGUGUUUGCAGAUCGUGUCGCUGUCCUAAAUGACUUCUAAAUCAUAUACGGAGGAAGUCCUAUAUUUAGGAUAGAGAAGGCUAGAAGUGAAUUCGCUAGCAUCAAACAAACCGUCAUAUUCGCACACUUCCUCAUAAAGCUUCCCCAUAAAAUCUGUCUGCCUCUCUCCUCUUUAUAUGUUUUACAUGUCUGUGCUUUUAUUUUUUUAUUCUAUCUUAUGUACAUGUUGCUAGCUAUUUGUUGCAGCCCAUUGCGGACGCCAUUACGGUUGGGUUUUACGGUUCUUUCUAACCCACUUGUCGAUUUGAUUUUUUCUACAUGUACUCUGGAGUAGUUUUCCUUUUUAAAAGGAGCAAAGUACUAAUAUUUUGGACGAGUUACUUGUGGGACAAGAAGGAAUUAAAUAAGGUCAAGUUGUGUCAAGUGUGGGGGUUUGCCCUUUAUGUUAUUUAUUUGUUUAUAUUUUGAAAAAAAGGUCAAAAGCUUGAAUGUUUCGAGAGGGAAUUACUCCAAAGGCAAGCGGGGUUAGUUUGAGACGGCGAUAGCCAGCGGUUUGAAAAUGACUUGGACUCGGUUUUUGAAUCACCAGUAUGAAGCGAAGGUCUUUUACGUUGCCAUUCACUUUAACACAGCUUCGUAUUCACUGAAAAAUCUGUAUUAUAAAGCAAAGCAAGAAUAAGAAGAUUGUGACUGUGACGUGGACAAUUCAACGAAAUGGUAGAGAAGAGAACUCUUCAGGUGACACGCGAAAGAUUUUAGCAAUUAUAUUAAGAUGUUAACUAGUACGUGCAAAGAAAGGUACAGGUCAAAUGUAGGAUCCAUGCAAAUCGUCAUCACGCUACCGAUUCCGGGAUAGGCUGGCUUCAUGGGAUUGGGCCAGGUCUCAGUUUAAAGAAUGGUCUAGCCGACCUACUGCACACUUGUCCGUUUCUCAAUGGGAGAAUUCAUAUCACCAGCAUGUGUCCACAUUAGCUCAUAACUCGGCAAUGAGAUGGAAUGAAAGGGAUUAUUAAUCCGCAAAUAACAAAUUUCCACUGGCCACAAUGCAGACAGGCGAAAAUGGUUCCCGGAUAACGGUGGAAGAAACUGAUGUGUAUUUACUGUAUACGUAUAAAAUGUUACAUCUGUACGGAUACAGCCGUAUUAUUUGCACUAUUUUCAUACGAGUACAGCAUUCAGAAUUUCAGAUCCACAGAGGUCCCCAUGGCUCCUUUGGCAUGAAAUCAGGUAGCUGGACUUGCCAUUGCCAGUCUGAUGACUGGUUCUGCUGCUUCCAAGAGAAGCAGGGGCACUUAGCAACGGUGCUGUUAUGCUGCGUUUUUUCCACAAAGUUCAAGCUGCGUGACAUUCUGCGAGACUGGCUUUCUUAGAAUAGGGAAAUCAGAUCUUCAAGGUUCUCGAGAUGGAAAUGGUUCUUCUUCAGCCUUCUGCGGCGCGUGCUGCUUGUCCUGUGCACCAAACAGUUGCCAUUUCAGUCAGACAGAUAGAUGGCAACAACAGUUAAGAGCUAAGGAAACACAAUUGCAAAUUGUGAAAGGUUAUAGUCAAACUGGCAGGAAGUAAGCUCAUAACAGAAGCAACAGACGUGCAUUACAUUUGAAAACAAUACUUUUUGAAACGAAGUGAAAAGAACACUUGCGCUAGAUAAAAAAACCGUAAGUAGGACACUCACCAAUACUGGUUAUGAAACACCACGGUGUCUGCUGGAACAGGAUUCCCAUCAUGAUUUCUGUUCCACUGAUAGACAGCAUGAGUCCUGUUUUUCAGUUGUAAAAGUGAAUGACCAUAACUGGCCUCCCUGAACGCUGAGUAGUCUGGCUGGGGGUCAUAAAACCUGCAAAAUGGUGGGUUAACCUAACAGGCAAGGCUUGUAAGACUUUGAGAAAAAAAAUGAAAGCAAUAAUGUGAAGGAAAAACUAUCUAUCUCUGAUGCUAAGGUAAGACGAGACUUGAAAGUUGAAACCAUAAUCUCAACCGCAAUUUUCUGUCUAGUAGGCCAGAUGAGUGUAUGAGUUCAGUAAACAUAAUAGCACCAAUAAAACGUUUGCCGGCUUUUAGUUCCUCUCACCUUGAAGCAAGUCCUUCCUGGUUGCCUCCAUCACCAACUGUUAUGUAAACGGGAGCAGAUUUGUUUGGCACUGGAUAUCGAUUUCCCGAUGUUAUGUUGUAGUUGACAUUAGAAAUGCGGUACUGCAAGUGUAGGGUAUCAAUGAGAGAUCAACAUUCAGAUAUCUGAUUCAACUCUGAAGGAACAAAUUCACAGUCCAGACUCCAGACUAACCUCAGAAAUUCUACCAUGUGAAAAAAAAUUCAAAUGGAAGGAAACUUUGCUGAAGGGAAGAACUUACUGAUCUCUCAUAAGCAUGAACAUGCCCUGCAAAUACCAAGUCGACCUUGUACUUCACAAACCAUUUCUCAAAAGCAGCCCUCAUACUCUCGCCCUCCAUAUAAUGUGCCUCAUUGCUGUUGUACAUGGGAGAAUGCAUGAGAACGAUAAGCCAAGGUGUCUUUUCCCUGUCCACACGCUUGAAUUCGUUCUUCAGCCACCACCAUUGAGGAGUGUAUUUUACUAAUAACCAUCAGAAGUUUAGAAGUUAGGUCACAAGCUUGAAUGGGAAUAUGCCACAAAAGAAACUAACAAAUCAGGGAGCAAUCCAGCUACUAAAUCAAGCAUGUUUCUGAAUAUCUAGUAGUAUAUAUGAUGCCAAUUUAAAGGGGUUACUGUGAGCAUACUCAUUAGGGAAGCAUUAUUUGGCUAGUGAGAAAUGACUACAUUUCAGUCAAAUCUUGCCUUCUGUGCAGGCUUGCAAAUCCAAAUUCAUUCAUGAAUUUGCAAUGUUUUUGCAUCGUGCGAAGGAGUCAAUUUCCCCUUAUAAGAGCAUCUCCAAAAGAUUAGGUAAAAUUAUAUCUUAAACUACAAGAUUUAGCCAUUGUCUACAAUAAAAAACUCACUCAAAGCAUAGAGUUCCACAACAGUCUUUGUAUAGGAUAGCUAGUGAGGACAACAUGCUAUAUAUGACAAGCAAAAGUUUAGGGAUAGCAAACUUGCUAUUUUAGCAAACUAGAUAGCACACCUGUUGGAGUUUAAUUUUUGCUUUAAAAAUGUAAAAAUAGCCUAGAUAACAUGGAUAGCAUAUCUAUUGGAGUUGCUCUAAGUGACUGGGUAGAUUCUUUUGUACAAACCUAGCUUCCUUUUCCUUGUUUGUUUGCUCAGUUGUUUAACUAUUUUUUCUAAUAUAUGGAUUUAUUCAGUAGGGGUUCGCCCCUCCUGUUUGUUUCAAUUAGGGAAGCACCAACACCUAUUUCCCACCCAAUAUUACAGGUUACAACUGUUCAUCACUUAACUGCAUUUAAACUUUCACUUUUCACCAAAACCAAAGGAACCUUAGAUAUAUAAAUAAAAGUAACAAGGUGUAAGACACAAAUGACUUUAAACUUCUUGCAGCCAGAGAACUUCAUAUGUAUAGCAAAACAAAAGAAAAGCUUGAAGAGAAUGUUACCAAAUGGAGAGUAGCUAGACAACACGAUGAUAUGAGCAGAUGCACGCCUGACAGCAUACCACAUAGGAGAACUGCUCUUUGAUGCCAAAUAUGGAGUCAUAUACCUAUGCAAAUAUGGCUUGAAUGUAGAAGUUUCUCCCUGGAAAUGUCGAAUAAAAAAAUAAAGAAGUUACUGACAGAAAAGACAAGCCUGUUUUCCCCCUUUUAGAAGCAGGUUUAGGUAGUCAUGUUCAAAUGGAAGGUGCUGCAUUCUAUUAGCAAAGUUGUGAACAUAAAUUACCAGAUCAGGCCUGUACUCUAUUUCAUGGUUUCCAGUAUUCCAAAUCCAUGGCUGGUAUGCAGUACUGCGCUCAACAAAUCGACCCCAAGAAUCCCAACGAAUGCCAUCAUUAUGUUCAUAUCUAUCAGCAUACGACAAGUCCCCAACAAAAAGAACAGUUUGACCUCCAGUUUUCUCAUAAUGUUGAAGAGUUGAGAGAGAAUUAAAUGUUUGCCCCAGAUCACCUGGAACAGCAGAGAUAGAAAGAGUUGGGAUCAAUCUGCUCAAAGUGCUGAAUCAGUAAUGCUAAGGCAAUAUAAUUUGCCUAAUUUUUGUCCAUGACGACUAAUUGAUUUUCUAUUUUUCCAGAAUGCCUUUUAUGGAAGGUCAGAGUGCAUAUCAGGAGACAGGAGUUGUUUCAGAAUAUACCUGGUGAGAUUGUAAACAUAGCCAUGAGCCAGGCUUCAUCAUUAUAUAGUGUAAGCUGAUUAAAAUGAACACAUGUUUGCUGUACUCAACACCUAUAUUAUCCAUUUAGUGUAAGCUGAUUAAAAUGAACACAUGUUUGCUUGUACUAACACCUAUAUUAUCCAUUUGGGGCUCUGCUCCCUCAGAUAUGCUGACACUCUCUCUUAUCGUGGGGUGUGAGCACGGGGUGACGGGGGCAGAAUGUCUGCAUGGCGGGGUGCCAUGAUUAUUUACAUUUUCUAUGGUCACUGGUUAGUAUUGGAGAGGUACCCAAACGGUAUUGUUUGCUCCAAUUUCUAGCUAGCUAGGCAAAGUCAAAAGCAAUCUCUGACCAAUUGCAAUAUGCAGUGAUUGAAAGUAAUAAUAAUUAAAUAAGAAAAGACAAACCUAUGAUGCCAAAUGUGUAUGAUGCAUCUGGAUCAAUUGCUGGAGGUGUUUCAAACCAGAAUUCUCGAGCUGAAUCUCCGCUACCAAUCUUGUAAUAAUAUUUAGUGUUAUACUGCAAAGUGCAAACAAUAAAGUUACAGCACAUAUUUGGAAUUUUACAUAGCAUCAUGUUAGAAUAAAAUAACCUUGUACAGUUGAAAUUCGAUAAAUAAAAAUUCUGUGGCCAAUCCAACAUGGGCAUGCUAAUUGAGAGGUAGCUGCGUAAAUAGCAUUCUAAAAAGUAGCUGCAUUAAGAGAAGUUAUCUCUAUUAAAGAAGCACUGUGUUUGAGCUAUGAUAUUUGGCAGGGUGAAUAAUGUGCAGGGCAAACAUUUUGAAUAAGAAUAUAAAAUAAAGCCUGAAUUGAAGUAUAGGAAAAAAAACGAAACCUACUGGUAAUAUUACCUCAAGGCCAUCAACAAGGCAAUGGUGUAUGUAUCCAGAUUUGUAAUCGUAAAACGUAUAAUUUGUUGUUGUUCCUUCUGAUUUCUGGUCAUAUUGUUUCUCCUUGCCAUAAAACACUUCACUUGGCCCAGGUUCUUCCGGAGUAACCCAAGAUACUAUAACUGCCUUUCCAUCAUAGUCACCUUGGGUGAUAUGAACCUGGUACCAGCAUGAUGUAAGCACUAAACAGACUAUACAAUGAUAGCACUAAUAAUGAGCUGCAAUCUGGUGACAAAAUUACUUACCUGCUGUGGAGCAUUAUAUCCCUUUGGAAUGGCAAACCAUUCACUAUCUAGAGGUAUAUCUGUAGAUGGGAACUCUGUGCGCACGUAAGAGCUUGUUCGACCAGAGGCAACACCACUAACCAGGCAUGAAAGAACAUGUAGCGAUAACACGAGCAAGCCCCAACCCCUCAUUGGUUCAAGAGUUGACGUUACUCAGCCUGCUUAAGAGAUUCAUUGGAUUGCAAAUGAGCUAGUUUUCACUGAUCACACAACAGAAAUAUUACACCAAUGAACUAGCAACAAAAGACUUUUGGUCAGAAGAAUAGCAACUGAAGUUAUUAAAUUGCGUAAUAGCAGCAGAACAUAUAGAUCUCAUUAUCCUAAGAUCAUCAGUGCGGUCUUAGAUACAGUGUCAGCAGAUGGCUAAAGAAAAAUAAACCUUGAUCAUUAUUGUGAUAUUGCCAAACCAUGACACACUGCCCUUAAAUGCAAAUAUGAUCACUCAUCUAUUACAUAGUAAAAGUAGCUGGCAAGUCUUUUUGCAGAAACGAAGGAAGGAGGAAUCUUUUAGAAAAUCUCACAAAAAAGGAGAACGUCGAAUUUUCCAGCUAUUAGUCUGGUGGACCCUACCCAUGACUAAUAUAGAUCAUAACCGUUUGAGGCUACUAGGAACCUAUUUCAAUCCAACUGCAAAAGGAUAGAAAGAAUCUUGAAUCAUAGAAACAACCAUCUUAAGUAAAUCUACAGCCUGUAAUCUAGCGUGAAAAAAAACAAUGAAUAAGAGAACACAAAACCAUUUAUUGGCCUUAGAGCUACCAUUCAAGAAAUAGUAAGAACAAACAACAAAUAGAAGAAAGAAUAUACGGAGCAGCACAAGUGUACAGGUAAGGAAGGUAAGACGAAGACAAACAAGUCUUUCCAGCACCUGAUAACAUGCAACUUCAAUUUUUGGUACAGUACCUCUUUUUACUUGUUUUUUCCUUUGUGAGGUAAAGGUGUGUAGAAACUAGGAACUAUCCCAACAACUGAAUUCCUUUCUGCUUUGGAUUCCAUACUCACCAUCCAUUUAACAAGAGUAGUAAUUCUGAGUGAUUUUUCUUAACACAUCAGUAGGCUGAGGACAUAUAACCGUUGAAAAAGUGUUAAUUUUGCUUAUUAUUUCUGCACGAACAUUAGUUCGCACGAGUUUCGUUGUAUCCCCGACUUAAUUGGGCACCAAGAACUCAAGUAGUGUGGUGAAAGCCAACUAGCGUCGAUCUUGAGCGUGAAGAAGCAAAGGAACCUAGCCAAAACAUGGAUAGAUGGAUUUGUACUAACAAGGCACCACGCAGCACGCCAAUACACAACGCACCGAACCAACGUAGAGACAGAGACAGAGACAGAGAAAGAUUUGGAUCUGCUAGCGAACAAGACCAACUCUUCAGAGGAACGGAGGCCGUCCUAGGAUUACCUGCCAACGAAAGAGGAGACCAAUUGGCGCUCGGGUGGGAUCUCCGCUCCACAAAGGAGGAGAUGAGCAAUGGCCUCAGCGCACCCUGGAGCGGCAGGUGCAGGAGCCUCCCGGCGGGCUCCGUGCUCGACGGCGCUGCCGCAGCGUUGGCAAAUCACCCACCAAUCAAGUCAGUCUGGCGAGCAAACUAAAAGCCGUGACGAAACGGCAAAGAGAGAGAAAAGAGCCUCAGACGCCAGCACGGAUCGGGAUGAGUCACACUAGCUGACAAACGGGCCCCACCUGUCGACAUCCCUCGUAACUCGGUCUGGUUGGUGUUGGUUGCGCCGCUGCGGGCCCGCCCAACGUCACCUCACAGAUUCCAUUUCGCUGGGCCGGAUCUGACCGUCAGGAUGGAUCACUAGCGUAGCCCAACUAGACCCAAAUAAAGCCCAUUGCGUUUGAGCCCAAAAAAGAGCCCAUUACUCGCCGUCUCCUCGAUCAAAGCCCACGCCGAGAACACCAACCACACAAAAAAGGGAAAAACGCCGCGACGAGCCGACGAGCUCUACUUCCCCCUUCCGGCCUUGGGCGACCGUGACGAGCGACGACGACCACGGCGACGAUGGCCGCUUCCUCCCUCUGCCACGGGCACCUGCUCCUGUUCCUCCUCGUGGCCGUCGCGUCGGCCUGCCUCGGCACCGCGGCAGCGCAUCAAGCCGGGUAGGUGUCCCUGUCCUUCACCUCCGCUUGUGCCGUGAUCCGAUCGGCCGGAUGCUUUGCUGACCGCUCUCCCGAUUUGGCUCUUGUGGCUGGUGGUUCUAGAUCUGGAGAGGGGUACACGAUCGCCGGCCGCGUCAAGAUCGAUGGUAAGUGAUCCAGCUCCCGCUGAAUUCGGCCGUUUCCGUAUUUAGGUUGUUGCAGCGUUUAGGGAUUGUGUAAGUGUAACUCGGUUCUAAAUUAGUUACGCCUUAUAUUGUGCUGGGGUCGAUCUUUUAGAAUGCUCCGAGAUCUCGAUUUAGUGCUCUUUUUUGUUGCUGGAUGUGCCUGUAUUUUGUGUGGAUUCCAAACAAUUCAUUUAUCUAAGCUGCGCAUUGAAGCAGUUUCGAUUGCUAGGAAAUUAGAGGUAUGCAAACAUUCACUGACUGAGUGACUGUUGAACUUAUUCAAAUUGAUGAGGUCCUGUUGUUCAUUGGUUUUGGGAUCUUCCAUGGUAAACUAUUUUGCAAAGUUUUAGCUAAAUUUAUAGCUCACAAACUUAAGUACAGCCCUGAAUUGUGCAAGUGUGUGUGCUGUUCCUGUUGUCUGGUGUUUAAUGCAACUGAAAUGAAUCACCAGCUGUGUUCUGUGCAAAAAAAAAGGGGAGUAUACAGAUACAGAUGUAGAAAUUCUGAAGUUGACAUGAUGAUUUCUGCUAAUGUUAUUGCAGUAACCUAAUGAAUCUGCAAUAAGAUCUUGCUUUUAUGAUAGAAUGAUGCCAUGCCAGCAUGAUUUUGAAAAGUUGCCUGCAACUGGAAGGUCUCUGAUAUGUUUUUUGUUUAGCAUCUCUCUCUCUCUCUGCACCACUAAACUAGUUUUCUUGAUGCGUGGAUGCAUUGCUAUGAUAUUCUGACCAAUGCUUCUGCAAGGUUUGUCAGAAUCAGAAGUAACAAAAAUUAUACAAAUUCAACAAUGGAUGGGAUGCAUGUGUUGUUCCCUGAGAGUACUUUUAGCUUAUGGAUAUUAGUUAUGGGAUUUUUUCAGUGUAGGAUUUUUUUCGAUGUUUAUUGCACCUUGAAGCAUGCUUGGAACCUAAAUUUCAAGCUGAAAGCUACUAUCCUAUGCUGUCUAUCUGAUGUUAUCUUUGUGUUAUGGCUAUAGGUGCGAGUGCGAAGGGCUUUGGUCUUCCAGCCAAGACAUCAAACACAAAAGUGAUACUUAAUGGCGGCCAGAGGGUUACAUUUGCCAGGCCGGAUGGUUACUUUGCAUUGUAUCCUACAAAAGAUGCAUUGCCAUAAGUUUCAAGUUUAUUUUGAUUUUCUAGCAAACUCACCGAUUAGACUGGUAUAACUCGUACUAUCAUACAUUUAUCCGUUUGUUGUUGGUAAAAUUUAUGUCGAGAGAUGGGUAUAGUAUGCUAAGCAAAGAAACUGUAGCUCUCAUCAUGUGCAUACCAUUAGCUCUUGUCUGCUCUUGGGUAUAUCUUUCCUUUAUGAAAUCAUACUUCAGUGUUAGCAGAUUACUAUAUUUGUUUUAUUGUUGCUCCUUGACCUGAUAUACUUUAGCCACAACGUGCCAGCUGGAACUCAUCUGAUUGAGGUCUCCUCAAUUGGUUACUUCUUUUCCCCAGUAAGUAUUUAUUCCUUGAUAUUGUUGGUAAGGUGAACAGAAAAGGAUAUAAGUAAUUUACUCCAUAUUUCUGGUGCAUCAUAGGUUCGAGUAGAUAUCAGUGCAAGGAAUCCUGGUUAUAUUCAAGCAGCAUUGACUGAAACCAGAAGAGUUCUAAAUGAGCUUGUUCUUGAACCUCUAAAAGAAGAGCAGUACUAUGAGGUAGCUAUUGCUAUAUAAUUUUUUGUAUAUAACUUAUUUCCUCACUUCUCACUGGUGGCUCAUGUUGGGUUGAUCCAGCCUAUCCCAGAUUUCUUUUGCUUUGAGCUAAAAGGCUUUGUUGUUGUUAUUACUGUGUUUCUUCAUUUCCUUCUUUUGUCAAGUAUUAUGAAAGCAAACCUCUUUAAAUGUUUUGUUUUCCAACCUUUUCAAGGUUAGGGAGCCUUUCUCUGUCAUGUCACUUUUGAAGAGUCCCAUGGGGUUGAUGGUUGGUUUUAUGGUCUUAAUGGUCUUCGUGAUGCCCAAGUUGAUGGAGAACAUAGGUAUAUUUUCACCUCUUUUACAUCAAAUGGAUACAAGCUUUCAGUUAGUAUGUUUCACUAAAGCUUGCAAUUAGCAAACAGCAGCUUCUAAGACUAAGAGCAGUGUUGCAUUAUAUAAUGGUAGAGUUAGUUGUAUUUAUUGAGCUUUGUGCAACAGCACUGUCAAAUUUCUAGAGUAAGAAGGCAUCAAGUUUAUUAGUUUAAACUGUUGUGCUUCUGGAUUUCUUGGUUAUAAUCUGUCCUUUCUGUAAGUAUUAAUGAAAUGGGCCUUAAAUAAUGUUUUUGGUGAUGAUUUUCUUUAUCUAAAACUUCUUAUGCUUGUACUAUUUCUCUUGUACCUGUUAAAGACACUAUUUAUAUUUAGUUCAUUGUUAUCCGCAACCUAUAUACUUCGGUGUUUCAUCUUAAAAUUUCAGUACAGUAAGUUGACAAUGUUGGCAUCUCCCAAAUUCACUUGAGAGAAACCUUAGUACUAUGAUCCUAUCAGUUGUAGGCCUCAUGAUGCAUUUGUCAUUACUGGUCGUAUGUGCCCUUUUCAGUUAUUGAUUGUGGGAUGUUUUAGUUAUCGUUGAUGCUGGAAGUACAGUUGCACUUCAGUUUCAUAGCUUUCUUCAGCAUUUGAAAUGCUAAUAUUGACUGCAUUUCUAUAUCUGCUUAACUGAGUUUACUUUUUCUUCAUGGAAGAUCCCGAGGAGAUGAAGCAAGCUCAAGAACAAAUGAGGAACAACCCCGUAUCAUUCUCUGGCUUGCUAUCCAGAGCGCAGGGCUAGAAGUAGAGCAUGAGGAUACUGCAAAGGUCUAUAUACUCUAUAAUGUGAUUAAGAGCAGUACUAAAGUGCCUGACACGUCAUUCACUCAGAGUAAUUUCCUGGGGACAAGGCGGAAACUCUUUCCCCUGCUUUUACUGUAUUUUAAGCUGUAAUUUGUCUGUGAUGUAGAACCUUCUGAAACCUCUAGCUGAACUGGUCAUGUGGCACAUUAGCAUAUACCGCAGAUUGAGACAUUUUGUCCAAUAUGUGUAUUGUUUGUUUGAAUCAGUUGAAUCUUAGACACCUUGCUUAGUCAUCAGACCACGGCGUAGCCUGUUGUCAUGCUUGUUUUUAGACUUCUUGUGGUGGUGCGACUCCUCACCUGGAUGGACAAAGGGAUAGCAAACUUGUGUUACAAUUAUGCCAGCUUCCUAUCCUAGGGCAAAUCGAUAUGGAAUUUAACGGGAACAGUCAACGGAUAGGUCUGUGCCGUACUCCUGUUACGGGAACAGUCAUAAGGAUAGGUCUGUGCCGUAAUCGUACUCCUGUUUGACAAGCGCUUAUAAGAAUAAGAAAUUGCCCAGUCGUGCCAAUUUGUAGUACAUACUCUCUCUCUCUCUCUCUCUCUCUCUCUCUCUCCAUUCCCUCCAAAUUAUCUUGACGUUCUGGCUUCUCUAAAUAGACAGUGUAUAUCUAAAUGCAUAACAAUAGCUAAAUAUCUAAAAAAAAUUUGAGUAGAUCUAAGCAGGUAUGAACUUGGUUCCAUACUUCCAUUGAUGAGCUCGUAUGAUGUUUCACAAAAAGUAGAUGGACCCUGCCAAGUUACCAUUUUGCAGAUGUCUUGGGUUAAGUACGACAAUACACUGAGCCUCAGCUUUAGCAUGGGAAGACAACACGUGUAUCCUAGUCCGUGGCAGACUGGCAGUAUGAAAAUUGCUUAUGGCCUAACCUAAAGCGACAUACAGGUAUUGGUGACGGAUGACGUUGGUAUCUUUGCUAAGUAGUAUCAACAACACAAGUAUCCAACGCUUUAAAAAACUGCUACUAUUUAAUAUCAUCAGUUGUGAUUGCUUGGACCACCAUCUUUGCAUCUGUCUCGACCAUAAAUCGGCCAAUCCCCCCUCGGUACGGAAGCAAACCCUCGCCUUAGAGCAAUUCCAACUAAUUCCAUAAAUUUUUGGCUCACUAUCCUCUCAAAUAAGAGUCCCUCAUUCGUAUUUCUCAACGCUCUUCAGUUGAUCUAAAUUUUUUACUUUUAUCAUAGACCCUACUCAUCGACUCGAUUUGUCAACUUUGUGGCAAAAGAAAUGAGUAGAGAAUAGUAGAGGAUAGGCAUGGACAAAUUACCUAAUACCCAUUACUUGGACCCGAAUUGCUCAAACCUGGACUCAAACUACCUGAACUUGGUCCCAAAUUUGGAUAGCAAUUCGAUUACCCAAAAUUGGUUUGGGUAAUAAGGGUAAUAUCUUCUAGUACCCAAACUACCUGAAGAUGUGUAUGUGUCUUUAUGUUUGUGAUGUGUCAUGAGUUGAACAGUUGAAAUUAGUGUAUGAUUAUCUCUGAAUCGCUGCUGAAAUUUUGCAUAAAUUGUUACUAAAAUUUGUACAGUUCAUUAUUUCCAGUAAAUUCAGGUAAUCUACAUCGGGUACUCGAAAUGGCAGUAGUGUUUCUAUAGGCGAGUAUUGGGUAGCAAUUUUCAUUACCCAAAUUUUGAAUUAGUGGACCUAAAAAAAUAGGGUAAUCCAAAUGCUCGGGCUUAUUAGAGGAUGAGGGCCCCCUAUAUUUGAAGGUUCGAUAGAGAGAAAUGAGAGCCUCUCAUCUGUUUGGUGGACAAUGGAACGAGUUGGGUCAAAGAGUAAAGUUUACAUUUUUGGUGUCUCAAAUAAGAUAGAGUUUCAAUUAGCAAAUCCGAUUUGAGUUGCUCUUAAUGAAACCUAAAUGGUGGCAAAAAAAUGGAGACUUAAACACAUUCUUAAGGGGUGUUUGGUUGAAGGUGGUAAAAAUUUAGCAGGUACUGUAGCUCUUUUGGUUUAUUUGACAAUUAGUGUCCAACCAUGGACUAAUUAGGCUUAAAAGAUUCAUCUCGCAAAUUUCUAGCUGUAUUUAAAUUUUGUAAAUAGUUUAUAUUUAGUACUCUAUACAUGUGUCCAAGCAUUCUAUGGAUAGGUGCUAAAAUAACACGAAUAACCAAACAAUGCCCUUAUCCAGCCAGACAAGGCGAUGUAAAGAAUACAGACUCAGGCCCUGUUUGGUUCCACUAACUAAAAUUUAGCUAGCUAAAUUUUAGUCACUUUAGUAGCUAAAGUUCCAAACACAUUGACUAAAAUGAGCUAAAAUAGUUUAGUUCCAUUAGUCACUCAAUAGUAGUUAAAAUAAUUUUAGCUAGCUAAAAUUUAAUAAGGGGAACCAAACAGACCCUCAAUGGACUGCAUCCUUGUACAGCCUAUAUAGCUCAACAUUGUCGGCCCAUGGGAGUCCCUUUUUUUUUGCUAAUUCCGGCCUAUUGGAGUUCCCUUUUUUUUUUUGCGAAUGUCGGCCCAUUGAGAGUUCAGGCCACCAAAUUACGGCACGGUCCUAGUGUAAGAAGUGGGGCCUGCUGGCAGCGACGGAAGGGCGAGGGCAAAAGAGGAAUUGUGUUGAGUGAGGUGGGACUAAAACCCUAGUGGGCUGCCGGGCCUCGUAUAUAAACCGCACACACGUACCCGUCGCCCCUCAGAAGUUUCGGCGGCGGCGUAGGCAGCGGCGGCGUGUUCGUGAUCUCAGCCCCAGGCGCGCUCGGCUCCGGUCACCCGUCGAUCCACGCAACCAUGGUAAGCGAGCCUCUUCCCGUCUGGUUAAGGUUCGAGCCUUUCUCGUCUGGUUAAGGUUCGUACGCGGAUCUAGGCGCAAACUCUGUAGAGGUGCGGGUUCCUCGGAGCGUAGAUUUGCGUGGAAAAAUUGUUGAUUGGAGCUUAUGCCCUGAGGGCUGCCACAUCGCAACCGUGAUUUGUCAUUCGCUGAAUUAGUUGACUGCAAUUCGUCGAAGAAUGUAGUGACGUGCCGGGGUAAUUUUGUUGCGAAUCUAAUCAAGAUUUGUCAGCCUUGUAGCUAAAGAUGUUUAGCUGUCAAAUGCAAUAUUUGAGAUGUGCUGUUAAAACUGCGGAAGUAUUGAUCUGAGUAAAAAACUAAAAACUACUACUUUCGAACUUACAGUUAGAGAUGCUGAUUACCUCCUAUGCUGAUUACCUGGGAUUUUGCUUGGGUUUGAAUUAUUCAUGAAGCUGGGAUAUGUUCUGCAAGGAUGAUGGUUCAAAAUAUACAUCCUGAAUCUAGUCUUGUUUUAGUUCUUGAAUUGAUUUAAUUACUAUACUGAGACUGAUUUGCUGUUGAAUCGCUUCUAAGUUUUCGCUCAAAACAAUUUCUAGUUAACUUUUUCUUAGUGUAAAUCCAUUGACAGGAUAUUUAUUCUUACUGUAUUGUGCUCAGUUAGUAUGGUCUUUUGAUACUGUUAGACUCUUAAAAUCACAGCUAGUGUUGAAGUAUAUCAACUCAGGUUCACUCGUUGUGCACGGUGAAAUUGUUUCUGGUGGUGGUUAACAUGAGUAGGUUCAAUUUCAUCUGAUAGUAGUAUAUGUUGCAGUCGAGGAGGAAGACCAGGGAGCCCAAGGAGGAGAAUGUUACCCUUGGACCCACUGUCCGUGAAGGAGAGUAUGUCUUUGGUGUUGCUCACAUCUUUGCAUCCUUCAAUGACACCUUCAUUGUAAGAGCUAUAUAUUUUUUUCCCUGUGGGUGGACAUUUUCAUUCCCUUCCCCAGUGUAACUGUGAUAUUAUAAUAUGCAGCAUGUCACUGAUUUGUCUGGGAGGGAAACUCUGGUUCGGAUCACUGGUACAAUCCUACAACCUUGGUCCAUACUUGGCCUAGAUGGCAAUUGUAUUUAGUUUUAACCAUGUUGUGCUAAACUAUGUAGGUGGCAUGAAGGUCAAAGCUGAUCGUGAUGAGUCGUCGCCUUAUGCUGCUAUGCUUGCUUCUCAAGAUGUUGCACAGCGUUGCAAGGUAUUUGUAGUGAAGUGAAGAAUUUUGUUAGAGAGAUUCUACUGCAAUCACUCAUUGUUUCAUCUGUGUAUCCAAAGAUGAUGUUUGCUUAAUUAAAUUGAAGCUUAGGAUUAUGUAAGGCUGCUUAGGUUGCUAUCCAGAUAAGUAAUUUGUGAGUUGGUCUCCUUUCUUCAGGAGCUUGGUAUCACUGCGCUGCACAUUAAGCUUCGUGCCACUGGAGGCAACAAGACCAAGACCCCUGGACCUGGUGCUCAGUCUGCUCUCAGGGCCCUUGCUCGUUCUGGGAUGAAAAUUGGACGCAUUGGUAAGAAAUCUGAAUCUUGCAAGGGCAAACUGUACCGGUUUGCCCAAUUUCAUCGAUGUUGCGUCAAUUAUCAAAUGCUUUAUUGUCUCUAUAUGUUAAUGGCAACAUUUGUGUUAUGUGCAGAGGAUGUUACCCCGGUUCCCACUGACAGCACUCGCAGAAAGGGUGGUAGGAGGGGAAGGAGGCUGUAGGCGUCUUCUCCUUGCUAUUUGCCAUCUCCUGGCACUGGCCUUUGGGUAGUGUUGCUUUUGCUAUGCUUGUCAAUAGGAGCAUAUUUUGCUCUAUGUCGAGGAGCAAUUACUGUUAGUCGAAUCUAUGAUGUGCAUGGAUAAUGUUUUGGUUGAGGAAUUGACAUUUAUGCUAAAGAUGCAUUUUUCACUCUAUAGGACCGGGCAUUUAAUGCCCUGUUUUGAUGAGGUGCAGCUGAUUUUUGCUGUCUUGCUGAUCGGAACCUGCUUUCUGAUUGCGAGAUUCAGCGUGUCAGGUUCUGUUAUUGUGUCGAGGUUAGUUUCUAAAGAUGAUGUGGAUGUUUGCUUGCCUGCUAUGGGCCACGCAGGCGCAACGUCGACCGUAGUACAACUACAACCAGACGCGAUGGUGCAUGUAAGCCGCAAAUAGACGUAGCAUUUCUCUAAUAUGGCGGCUGAACCCCAAUCACAUGGAAUGGACCAUUAAGAACUCGCAACCAUGAAUUCUAGUUUUCCCUGCAAUAGAAGAUUCUCCCAUAUCUUCAUAUCUACUGCAGUACUCUCAUUUUCGAACUUUGAGGUCCAUUCACAGUGGUACACCGAUCUCACUUAAAACAAGCCUGGCCUGUUAAAGAGCCAAGCAACCAGAUCGUCUCUCCCUACAUUCCAUCAAUGGAUUGAUCGAUUCAUUGAUGUAGUAACCAGGUUUCGACCUCAGAGAGUCAGAGUUUGGAUUUUCAGAUUUUGGCUGCUUGGGCCUUGUUUAGGACUUGUUUAGUUCGCAAAAAUUUUCAAGAUUUCCCGUCACAUCGAAUCUUUGGUCGUAUGCAUGGAGCAUUAAAUAUAGACAAAAAUAAAAACUAACUGUACAGUUUACCUGUAAUUUAUGAGAUGAAUCUUUUGAGCCUAGUUACUCCGUAAUUGGACAAUGUGUGUCAAAUAAAAACGAAAUGCUACAGUAGCCAAAAACAAAAAAAAUUGCGAACUAAACAAGGCAAAUGUAAACGAAAAUAAAAAUUAAUUGCACAAUUUAGUUGUAAAUCAUGAGACAAAUCUUCUAAGCCUAAUUAGUGCAUGAUUAGCUAUAGUUGCUACAGUAACCAGCGUGUGCUAAGACCAUUCUUAGUGGGGGUUUUAUGAUUCAGUUUUCAACACAUUUAUAUUUUGGAAACAGUGUAGAAGAGUUUCAUCUCUACGAAACUCUCUCUACUUUCAUGAAUCUCUUAUCACCUCUCUUUUCAUUAAUACGGUACCACAACAACAUAUUUAAUGUCUAUGAAACUCUAAUAAAAUAAUAUUAAGACUGGUAUAAUGGUAGAUUAAUUAGACUUAAUAAAUUCGUCUGGCAAUUUUCAGACGAGCUAUGUAAUUUAUUUUUUGAUUAGUCUAUGUCUAAUACUUUAAAUGUAUGUCGGCAUAUCUGAUAUGAUACCCAAAAAAAUUUCUUUUCGUGAACUAAAUCCUUGGUAUUGAACUUCCCGUUCCAUAUAUCGAUCUAUGUUCACCCACUCUCCAAAUAUAUCCCUUUUUUGAAACACUUAAGGCGCGUCAGAACACUUUGGCAAGGAAAAAGAAUCUCCGGACUUGGCUUUUGCUUUAAGAAUGCAUCCAUGAGGACAAUAUUUCGUCCUUAACACUCGCAUAGGGAGUACAGUAGGAGACGCCACACCUAUUUUGCUAGCAUUGCUAAGUUGAAACUAUGCAUAUCUCGAAAGCACAUAUCGUCUUUGUGUUUUGGUUUGCAAAGUUUCCAUCAUACUUGCCAAUGAAUUUUUUUUUUCUUCUCAUUGUCAUCGCCCCACCAGAAUUGCAAGAUGGCAUUGGUACUUCCUUUACAAAAUUUUUUAGAACUUUGAAUAUCGUCAUUGCAUAUAGUAUACUAAUAUAGCUUGAACUAUAGAUUUUCUCACCGGUUUAGUCUCCUCCGCCGGCAAUAACCUCUUUUGCUGCGCUCGUUGAACAUGUGUCAUGUUAGCCAAAUGAAUAAGGCGCGGUGUUCUCUCUUCUCACCAACUACUUGGACUUGUGCGCCUCCAGACUGCUGAAAAUGACCGUGCAGGAGUUAACACACUAUAGUGUGAAUUCAGACGUUCACGUCUCUCCAACUUUUUAUUUUAUGAUAUACACAAACGCGUGUGAUUACCCUUCAAAGCUCUCUCCUAGGUGAUGUAAUCGAUGUUUGAUACAUUCCUGUCUACCCUUUUCUGUAUGAUGAGUAAGCAGAGUUUGGAAAAGUAGGUGUGGUAGUCUGUAAUAUAACCCUUGUGAUACUGUCAUACUGACACAAGAUCGAUCGCUUCACGCAUCUUCUGUAGCUUCCAACGAAAUUGUUAUAAAUAGAUUUAGCCUUGUUUGAUUUCCCUUGCUAAAUUUUAGUCAGAUAAAUUUUAGUCACUUUAGUAGUUAGAUUUUUAAAUACAUUGACUAAAAAUAGCUAAAAUAGUUUAGUCUCACUAGUCACCAAGAGUAGCUAAAAUAAUUUUAGCUGGCUAAAAUUUAGCAAGAGAAACUAAACGGAGAAUGGCUAGAACAAAAGGUAUAUGGUCGAUAAUGUUGUCAUGAUUUUCUGAAACCUUGGCGAAAGUCAACUGCUUGAACCACUCGAAUUGACAUCGUCGUAGCAAAAAAUGAAACCUGAUGGAAAGAAAGUGAAAGUUUCUUUUUUUUUUCUAGAGAGAGAGAGAGAGAGAGAGAGUAACCUUUAGCAUGAACAACAUUACAAUGGCCACAGAACAUGUGUUCUACUAGUAGAGUACAAUCUAUGAACUAGGAGCUCACUACAACAGGUCAUUCGAUCGUUCUCAAGUCAGAGCCAUGAGAAUUUGUGUCUUCCAGUGGCGUCAAUGGAAGCCGGACAACGCCUGAACCAGAUACAACGCCUGAACCAGAUUGCGCCUCGGGAGCCUGAAAGAGACAUGCUACGUUCACAGAAUCAUCGCAAGCCUUUUUCUGUGCUGGAGAAUAUUUAUAUGGCUCCAUCCUUUUGUUUUGGAUUAUUUGCCUCCUCUCCUGGCAUUUUCUUGCCAAAACAGGUCUGUUUUCUGGGCGGAAAAGGCUCCGAAAUUUGGCCUUGUUUUGUUCUGAGUUUUGAGACACAGGAGGUACUACACACAGCUGGGUUGGGUCCAUGACUGUGAUGGCCUGGCGUGGUCCGUGCUGUGCUAGCUAGCACAAGCGAUAUGUCGUCGCCGUCGUCUUCCAUGGCGUUCCAUGCGAGAGGAAUUUGACAUUUCUUGCUUUCCAUUUUGCCUUAAUAAUACAGUAUAGAAAAUGAGAAGCCACAUGCAGUCGUAAAGGCUGUGAUAGGAACUAGGAAAGAUGGUGAUACUGAUACAAAGCCAUGACUGAAAAUAUUGUUCGCUGAGCUCAAGCGAACAGGUUUGAGCUGUAUCAACAACAGUUGUUUCAGGCUUCUUGCUGUGCACUGAGCCACUGACUGUACAUUAUAAACAACCACCUCCUGCUGCUGGUGUUGCCUUCCUUGUAACAACAACGAAGAACAUGCCAGUUACUGUACAUCGAUAUCGGCCUUUUCAUUCUCUCUAGAAAGACAGACAGAAGUAGCAUCAGGAGUAAUGGAAGUUGUCUACCAAUUGACCACACCUUUGCCGUGUUGAUUCUCCUAUGUAGUACUACGUAUUAACCAUUAAUUAUUGCAGGCAGGUCUCAUUCCAAAUCUGACCAAACUGUUGUGCUGUAUUUAACCCUACUUUUUAUCUUUAUUUAUUAAUGGUUCCUUUGCAGAGAACAAAGUGCCGGCACCACCGUGAUGCAUGGCAAAUUGGCAAUCUGCUGCUCCCAUGAAUCUAGAGGCACAUAGGCGUAGCAUCACUGUCAAGUGCCUCACCUGCCAUUACUCCAAGACAAAGCAUGAUGAGAAUAAUUAUUAAAUCCAUCAAAUAAAUAAAACCUGAAUUCAUUGUGGGAAGAAAAACUGGACCAGGCUCCUAUCCCUCUAGAGAUACCUGCACCUGCUGCCUACCAUCCAUGGCUAUGUGUAAGAGACAGAUCAUCUAUCUGUACACAGAUGUGAACUGCUUUGCGUUGUCAUAUGCAAAGAGUUUACUUUGUGUUAAAUCACGAGGUGAAAUAUCAAACAUAUGCUGCUACUGGUAAGCAUCUCACAAGCAUAUGCUCACAUGUUAGUAAGGCCUUGUUUAGUUCACCCAAAACAAAAAACUUUUCAAGAUUCUCCGUCACAUCGAAUCUUGUGGCAUAUGCAUGGAGCAUUAAAUAUAGAUGAAAACAAAAACUAAUUGCUCGGUUUGUCUGUAAAUCGUGAGACGAAACUUUUAAGCCUAGUUACUCCAUGAUUUGACAAUGUUUGUCAAAUAAAAACGAAAGUGCUACAGUAUCAAAAUCCAAAAAAAAUUUGAAUCUAAACAAGGCCUAAGAUCUUCUUGAUCCCAUUCCUUGACCCCUCAACUGUAGCAGUCUGUGUGAAGAAGUCUUCCAAGUUUGAUUGCUUCUGUUCGGCUGUGCUACUACAGUUGCACUAGCACUACUAGCAUUACCCAAAAAAGUUCCUAUCUAUUAGAUCUCCGAAUUGAUCUGAAGGCAACAUCGGGCGGGUCGCGCUCGGUUCAGAUCCGUGAAGCUGCAACUUACAACUCAUUGCCAACUGCCAUGAGUCCAUGACAAUGCACUCAUGUUAUAGAUCCACAUCACACACAAAAAAGUUGUAUUUAAAACGAUUAUCUUAUUCCCAUGCCAGACAAGGUUCACUUUAAUUAUUUUGUCAUUUAAUUUUGUAUGUGGAAAUUCGCUGCACAUAUAUAAUGGAAAUAAUUGGUGCUUACAUUGCAAGAGAUAUAUUAGAAAAUUGUCGGCUUUAGAGCAUGAAUAAAUUCUAUUGUAAUAUGGUAGAUCCACUUUUGUUGCAGCAGGUAUAUUGUCUUAGCAUGACACAUAACAUGUGUUAGUUAUAAAAAUCUUGGACCUAGAUCUACCAAUUGUUAGGACAUGUGUUGCUGUUCCGGUGAUGCAACUGAUGUUUCAAUUCCUCCAAACCAACCAACCAACAGAAGCCUUUACAAAAUACUCCAUCCGUCUCAAAAAAACUGAUGUUUUUUAUUCUGACCAAUUAUAUUUGACUGCUCGUCUUAUUUAAAAAUUUUAUACAAAUUCUAAAAUAGAUAAAUCAUUAUUAAAGUACCUCUAAUGAUCAAAUACGUCAUAUCAAAAUAGACGAUAUUUAUAAAAAAAUUAAUAAGACAGAUAGUGAAAACAAAAAUGUCUGAAAAUUAACAACAACGAUCUUUUUGAGACGGAAGGAGUAGUUAACUCGCCACCAUGUGAUUGUAUCCUCCCAUCUCCUCACACUGCUUUCCCUUGAGAACCGUGCUGGUUAAUCCGUCUUCGCUUUUUAAGCAAAAAAUGCUGUGAACCCGUGUGAUGCUGCUGCUCUUCACUGAGCAUAAAGGCAUAUGCAUUGUGUAACAGUAGUAUUAGUGUAUUUGAGUUGACAUGAUUUUUUGUCUGCUCUCUCUUGACAUGCAUGGUCCUUGCUACUAUCUGCUGCUCUUUCCAUUCAAAAUUAUAAGAUGUUUUGACUUUUCUCGAUACCUAGUUCUUACUAUGCAUUUAGAUAUACAUUAUGUCUAGAUACAAAAUAAAAACAAUGUAUUAGAAAACCAAAAUAUCUUAUAAUUUAGAAUGGAGAGAAAGUAUAAGCUAUAUGUCACCGGUUUGUGUUGUAUCUACUUUUCAAAAAAAAAGGAAACACAAAUUGAUUAACGUUUACAUAUUGUGAACCCAUCUUUCUGUUUUACUCGGUUUUUAAAUGCAUGAAGGGCAAGCUAAUUAAGGAGUUAAAGCUGUUUGGAGCCAUACUAAGGGCGUUAGUUAUGAUCAAAUUUACAUGUUCCGGAUCAUUAGAAUAUAGGAGGAAAAACAAUACACACGUUCAGCAGGACGUACCUUUCCAAAGAGCAUUUGAUGAAUGUUUGGGAGCGCAACAAUAGAGCAAAGUUGUUAGCUACUAGGCUAUCUAAGGGUCUGUUGGCAGAGUUCUACUUGCUAAUUCUUAGCUCCAACUCCUUGAUUCUUUGAUGUGGUCCUAUUUGAUUUGGUGGGGAGCAGAGUGGAGAGUAGGUGCUAAUUGAUCCCUAUUGGGGAUUUAAUAGGGAGUAGUGAAGAGCGGGUUUUUUUUAGCUCCUAGCUCCCAGUGUAAAUGGAGAGUAGGCGAUAAUUGAUUCUGGUGAUGAUUGAAUCUCGAGUAGCGAAGAGCAAGGUUUUUAUAGCUCCUAGCGAUAAUUCAUUCUUGUCUGCUCCCACCAGAAUCUAAGUGGGAUUUCACUGCUUGGUUGAUGAGGAGUAAGUAUCACGAAAAAUCUGCUGCAAAAAACGUUGUCCACACAAAGUCCACAGUACUAUGGAGUUACAAUUUUUUAUCCUUUAGAUGUCCGAAUUUUAAGAUGAUUUCAAAAGACAAUCUUAUACAACUAACAAUAACAAAAUAAAUUAUUAUCUAACGACAACAACAAGAAUUUAGAUGCCUAAAAUAUAGGAGAAGUGUCUCACUACUGUGGGUGAGAAAUGGUCAAAAAAACUACAUCGCACUUUUGGAGUGACACCGUGAUCCAAAGUUCCAAAUGCGCCGUCAUCACAUAACGAUCACGGCGUAGGGCGUACCCUGUACUCCUCCAUUCUAAAUUAUAAGAUAUUUGAUUUUUUUUUAUUUUAAAUUUGACCACUCGUCUUAUUUAAAAAAAAUUUAUGCAAACAUAAUCAAAUUAAGUCUUUUUGAAGAAUUUUUAUUAAUAAACUAAGCCACAACAAAAGAAAUAAUAUUUUACAUAAAUUUUUGAAUAAGAGAAGUGGUUAAACUUGAUGUUAAAAAAAGUCAAAUGUCUUGUAAUUUAGGAUGGAUUGAGUAGAUCAUAGUCCCUGUAAAAUUACCAACAGGCUACGUACCCCACAAGGAUCAGUAAAGUAAUCUAGAGGCAGUAUACUCUAAUCAUUAUGUACUAUGUGCACUUCUUAUCCUGGUGCGCGGCAGCAACUAAACUUUUGCAAAAGUGAACCUAAUGGAUGGAAUUAUUGAGGAGUGGAGUGCCAUGUGGAAUUCGCUCUGCCGGCUCACCUCGGACAUCAUAGAUGCUAUGCUUAGGCUUUCUCCUUUUGUUUGUGUGUGUGUUUCGAUUAAGAGGUAAAAAGUGUUGUGAUUCCUACCUACAACAUUUUCUAUAUAGCCUACGAUUCCUUUUACCAACACUUCUCUAUAAAAUAUCUUUGAAGUUAACAUCCCGUACAAGUGAAACAAUUCCUCCUAACCCAUAUGAAUUGGAGUAGAUCUUAAUUGAUAUAGAUGGAUUAGAAUAUAUUCCUUAUAAUACAAUGAUUAAUGUAUUAUAUCAUGUUACUCUUUUUAAAACUGCAACUUAGUUCAUCGUGUUCUAGAGAAAAAUUUUAUAUUGUCAUAUGGAGUAUCUAUGUACGUGCUUAUAGGUGGUACACGGUUUUUCUAGUUUUGAUAUCAAGUUCAGGUUGUAUCUAGGAAUACAAAUUUAUUUUUCUCUAAUUUUUUGCUUUCUGUAAGUAAUAAUUUUACAUGGCAUUCAUAUUAUGGAUUACUUUACUGUAUGUAACAACAAUCACAUGGAGGAAUAUUUGGUGGAGCUCUACUCCUUCUAAUUGUCCACUCUAAUCCCUCGCAACCUAAUUGGAUUAGGGCAAAUUUGGGUGCAAGAAAAGAAACACUUCUUCAGACCCGUAAUGUAAUUCACUCAUCUUUAAUUACUUGCACUAGUCUUUAUGCAAGCUAGCACUCUUCUUGAACUAACCUCAACCUGCGUCCUACAAUUUAACCACAUAAUGUCUAUCCAACUAUUUUAGGGAUCAAGAUGAUAAAAAUGACUAGAUUUUGAGAAUCUAAACGAGCAGUUUGGAGCAUCUCCAAGAGUUUGGCAAAUUUACUCGGCAUCUAUGUAAAUUUAGCAAAAGAAGAAAUUUAGCUUGCAACAGUUUGUCAAAUGAACUUUGGCAUUUUACACACACGCAUCUUUAGGCAUGCAUACUCGGCUUGGCAUCUCCUCGUCGCGCGCUGCUGCCUCAGUUCCCCCGCGCGCGAAACUUCUCUGCUAUGUUUGCUAGUUGUUGCCUGGUCAGUCAUCGAAUGUUGCUGUACUCGUCGAAUGUGGCCGGCACACCUGCACAUUCAGGCCUUGUUUAGUUCCAAAAAAUUUUCAAGAUUCUCCAUCACAUCGAAUCUUGCGGCAUAUGCAUGAUGCAUUAAAUAUACAUGAAAAUAAAAAUUAGUUGUACAGUUUACCUGUAAAUCGCGAGACGAAUCUUUUAAACCUAGUUACUCCAAGAUUGGAUAAUAUUUGUUAAAUAAAAACGAAAGUGCUACAGUGCCAAAAAUCUAAAGUUUUUACGAACUCAAGGCCUCACUACUGCUAAAAGAACAGGAAAGUGCUCCGCUCCUUGAGGCCCACAAAUCCUACUCGUCACUUGAUGUAAUGCAACACUAGUUUAUAUGUGCAGAUUGAUGAGCACUAUAUGUGAAAAAAAUAGUUUGUGAACCUUCUUUUUUAAUUUUACCAAGUUAAAAAUGUCAAACUCUUAGAAAUUUUACUUGACAUAUGUUUUUAAGAUUUGACAAAUCACAAGAUCGAUUUGCCGAGUAUAAUUUGGAAAACUCUUGAAGAUGCUCUAGAACGACAACAAAACAAGUUGAAGGAUCCAGAUGAGUUUAGGGGCUAUAAACAAUGGAGUAAGGCCUUGUUUACUUUACCAAAAACCAAAAAUUUUUCAAGAUUCUCCAUCACAUCAAGUUUUUAAACGUAUAAAUGGAGCAUUAAAUAAAAAUAAAAAAUAAUUUUAUAGUUUGCCUGUAAUUUGCGACACAAAUUUUUAAGCGUAGUUAAUUUAUAAUUGAACAAUAUUUGUCAAAUUAAAACGAAAAUACUACAGUUUUCCAAAAAUUUUCAGGGCAGCAACUAAACAAGGCCUAAGUAUCUAAAUGAACCAUCUGUGAAUAUAGUGACCGAAAUGACACUGUGUCGAACAAGCUUCAACCCGGUAAUGGUAGCAUAUAGUAUAUGCCUUUUUUUAAAAAGAAAGUAUAUAGAUUUGUUUCCAACAAGUUGCGCGUGGUUGAGGCUUUGCUUUCCAACACACGCAACGCAACAGGCGUUGGAGCCGAGUACAGUAGGAGCCAAAGGCCAAAGCCGCCUUCUUUCCUCGGGAUUAAUUGCUCCACGUCAGCACCACGCCAGCGGAACGGCCGCACCCGGAGGGGAGGUAGACGUCGCCGCACGCUGCCGCUAUUUACUGCCACGUCACUUCCUACAGUGCUUCUGUCUUUUCCUGGAGUAGUCCUGCGGGCUUGUUUAGUUUCCAAAAAUUUUCAAAAUUUUCCGUCAUAUCGAAUCUUGCGACACAUGUAUGUAUUAAAUAUAUAUAUAAAUAAAAACUAAUUACACAGUUCAUCUGUAAAUCGUGAGACAAACUUUUUAAGUCUAGUUACUCCAUAAUUGAACAAUGUUUGUCAAAUAAAAACGAAAGUGCUACAAUGUCGAAAUAAAAAAAAAUCCAAACUGAACAAGGCAAGUAGUAGACUCGCUACGCACAGAUUUCCCGUAAAAAAAAUCUCACCAAACGUUAUAUACUCCUUUUUAUUAGUUUCUAAAAAUCUCUCCCGACAUCCUUCCGACAUAUCCGAUGUGACAUCUAAAAAAUUUACAUCAACAAUCUAGACAGGGCCUAUAUGAUUUAGAUGUCGUUUGGUUUAGCGAUACGGUCUCCAAAACACUACUUUAUUCUUUAAUUUUAUAAAAAUAAUUAGGAAAAAAUAAUAUAUGUAUACUUUUAUAAAAAAGUUUUAAGACAAAUUUAUUCAUAUAAUUUUCAUAUUUGCAAACUCAACAAUUUUAAAACUAUUGAUGAUUUAUAUUUUUAAUGUUUGACACAAAUAUUGUCUAAAACGAUAUGAGAGAGUACAUAUGUUUUUACUCACCGCACUUGAAAAUAUUAAACUAGCUAAAUAAAAACAAUCAAAAGUCUUUACAGAUACUUAUAGAGAUAAGAUUUGUAUAUAUAUAUGUGUUCAUAAAAGUAAGUGUGUCAUGAGUGUACGAGUUAUAUAAUGAAAUCACAAAAAAACAAAAAAAAAGGAUAAAAAAGUUUUCCAUUAGAGAAUGGUUAUUCAAACAAACAAGAUAUUGAAAAUAAAUACAAUAUGAUUUUUGCUUUGUGCAAAUUUGCGAAGUGCUUCUAGAGAUGAGUUUGUGAUGCGCAAACAAACUAGCAUUAAGUCACUAGUACAUGAACAUUAAAAAUAAAAAUGCCUCACUAGCAAUCAUGCAUGGUCUACUAGAAGGACAAAGAUAUUCGACUUAAGAAAAAAAAAUAGGCACUAUAUUUUGAGAUUCUUUUGCUCAGGCCUAAUUGCAGUUUUCACACUGUUUGUAAAAUUCGCGUUAGAGCAUCUCCAACCAUUAUGUAUUUGAAGUUAUAUAUUUUAGGCAAAUUGCAAACCCCCAAAUGAAAAUGGCAAGGCUAAAAUCGGAUGAUCUCCAACCGUUAUGCAAAAUGCCAAGUCCAUCAUCUUUUUUUUCGGAAAUUUUGUUUCGCGCCACUCCUUCCCGCGCGGCCAAUCGAUCCCGCGCCAAACAGCCCGCCGUCGUUUCCCGUACACCAAUUCCCGCGCCAAACAGCCGCGCAGUACCGAUCGUGAGCUGCGCAGUUCGUCGUUCCUGUUCGCAGGACCGAUCGCAGUACCGAUCUCCCGUUCCGUUAGUUCCCGUUCACGUACCAGUUCGUCGUUGGCCAUCAGUUUGCCGCCAUCAGUUCAUCGUCAAGGCAGGUCGCCGCCGUCAGUUCGUCGUCAAGGCGUCCUAUUGUGCGCUGCUUCGUCCAAAUGCGCCCGCGAAGCUGGCGAAGGAGGACGCGCGAUGCUUCUCCUAUCGCGCGAAGUGGUGGCAGCGCGAAGGGAAACCGCGCGAAGGGAAACCGCGCGAAGGGAAGAAAAAAGCCCGCGAGGUGGAACCGAGAAUCCCGUGAUCUCUAUUUGCAUAGCCGGACUCCUUUGGCAUAUAUGCCAAGUUUCCCCCUCCAAAUGCAUAGUUAUGUAAAAUGAAGGCCUUGUUGUUGUAACCUAUGCAAAUUUAAGGAGCGUGAUGGUGGUUCUUAUUCAGACUGUUUUUAGUUAUCUUUUUAGUCAAAACUUAUACUCUCUUCGUUCUAAAAUAAGAGACGUUUUUUAUUUUCAGACAUCUUAUUUUACUUUUCUCUCUUUUAGAAACGUUAUAUAAUAUAAUAUCUAUUUUUGUUAUGACUUAUUUAUUAUUAGAGAUAUUUUAAUAAUAAUUUAUUUAUUUUGUAAUUUAUAUUUUUUAUAAGACGAACAAUUAAAUAAAGUGAAAGUCAACAACGUUGCUUAUUUUGGGACAAGUAGAGUAAUUAUCAACCGACAACAAAUUCUCUACGUUCCAUAACAGCUCGUGAAUCCGUCGUGUGCAAGUGUGCAUUGAUAGUUUUCUUUUUCUCCAAAGAAAAGACAUUGUGGAAAGGGUAGUUGAGAAACGAGAUGGAUGAGCUCAGUCAAGUAGAGUUCGCCAACAUUGACCAAACAUGAGUAAGUGAUGAGUCAUCGCCGUUUCGUUUAAGCAACUGUUGAAAUUAAUAUACUAGUACUACCCACUUAUUAUGACUUGCUUGCUGCACGUUUUAGCCUCGGGCAUAGUAUAUCUGUGGCAGUAAAGAACAAAUGCGAGGAUUUUAAAACUCAUCAGCUUGUUCGUUUGAAUUUAUCUAUCAAAUUUACUAGCUAUUUAGUAGUAUUUUUUUACAAUAAAUCAAUAAAUAAUAUUGUCUGCCAUAGCUUAUCAGGCAAAUGAACAGACUCGUUAAAGACAAUCAAAUGGGAUAUCAUGGAUUCUAGAGCAUCCCAAAAAUCUAAUCAAAUUUACUGACUUAGCUACUCUAUAAAAUAGAUGGCAAAAUAUUUAGUGCAAACUACAUCUUCGAUGCAAUCAUGAAAACCAUUUGCAAAAUUAUAUCUAUGAGUUUUCAAAAAAAUUUAAAACUACGCACACUAAUAAUGUAUCUGAGUGUAUUGUCACAAAAUUUAAGAUUCAAACUUGUUUUGAAAAAAUUAUAUAAAAAUAACAAAUUUUAUUUGCAUAUACACUAUAGGACGAAUUUUGUCCUCUAAUGCAUAUGCAAAUAAAAUUUGUUAUUUCCUUAUCCAUUUUUACUAAAGGAGUUUGAAUCUCAAAUUUUGUGACAAUGCACAUCUAUAUAUGCAUUAUUGGUGUGAUUACUUCAAAAAUUUUGAAAACUCUUAGGUAUAAUUUUAAUGGUUUGCACUGAAUAUUUUGCCAAAAUAGAUUUGAUAAAAAAAAUUAUAGUACUUCGACAAACUCUAUAAAUGAUGGCUAGUGAGGUAGGUUAUCCAAAAGUAGAGAACAAAUAAGAUGAGAUGAAGAGAUACUAAAUCUAGAGAGUCAUUUAUAGAGUCUAAUGAAGAUAUUUUUCUUUUAAUAAUAGCAAAUUUACGUUUAGAAAACAGUUUACUAAUCUCUUAGAGAUGCUCUAAUUAUGGAGAAAUAGAAAAAUAGCAUGGGCUAGUGACAGAAGAUUUAAUUGGUGUGUUUAUCCACUUGUUCGUCCUCCUAACUUAUCCGAGAGCCGUGGUAGAUGGAUAGAGAUGAGGUGAAACGGAGGGGAUUCUGAUCCAACAUUUCUCCCUGCCGGAGCCGUUGGAACAAGCUCCAAUAGCGACGGGAAUGGCCGCAUCGGCUAGUGAAAACAAGUCUGAAUUAAAUUAGAAACGCUUCAUCAAGUCUAUAAUUUGGAAAAAGUCAUUUGCUGAGAGAACAAUCAGAUAUUAGAAUCUUACAUGUGUGCCCUACGGAUAAAUUGAUCACUCUACUUAUAGUCACAGUCAUAAUUAUGCAGUUACAUUUUACUUCACAAGAAAGAAGAAAAUAAAGAAUACAUAAUACUCCAUUCCCCUUCACACAAGUAUCGGUCAACCCCAAAUUAUAAGACGUUUGACUUUUUAAACAUCAAGUUUAAUUAUUUGUCUUAGUCAAAAUUUUAUGUAAGAUAUCAUUUUUUUUGUUGUAGCUUGGUUUAUUAAUAAAAGUUUUUUUAAAGAUGACUUAAAUUUAAUUAUGUUUGCAUAAAUUUUUUGAAUAAGAUGAGUGGUCAAAUUUGAACUAAAAAGGUAAACGUUUUAUAAUUUGAGAUAUAAGGAGUACAAUAUUGUAACACUCUCGAAUAGUUUAGUUAUUUAUCUGCAUCCAUUCAUCAUGGAAACACAUUGUAUUAAAGAAACAAACAAAGAAAACCCAACACCGAGAGCAAUUUCAAGAGUUUGGCUAAAUUAGUAGCUAAAUUUUAUUGUUUAGUCAUUUUAUAAAAUAGGAAACUUCUUAAAAAAGAAGAGGUUCACAAUAGUCUUGCUAUUUUUCAAAAUUAGAUGGCUAGUGUUUGGUUGGCUAUAUAUGACCCCGAAAAUCAAGGGAUAACUACCUUUCUAUUUUAUAAAAUCGGAUAACAUAUAUGUUGAAGUCUACUUUUUACUAUGCAAAUUCUAAAAUAGCUUCUACAAUAAAAACAGUCAAGCUAUUGGAGUUGCUCUUAGCUGCUAGAGAUUUAAAGAGUCCAACUAAAAGAUCAGCUAAAAUGUAGCUAUUUCAACUCAGUUAAAUCCAGCUAAAGUUUAACUAGAUCUAUUAGCUGGAGGAUCUAAACAUCCAGCUUUAAAAAUUUUAGCUAGUUAAACUAGUUCGGUAGAACUAGAAAAAAAAAACGAAUAAAAACGUUCAAAAAUUAUCGAAACACCCUUCUCAUCCUCAUCAUCUACGCUCCCUCCUCUUCUGGAGAAUCCAGUGGCCUCGCCAGUCGCCUCUCCUAUAAAACGGCUGCUACCCGUGUCAUCCCCGUGCGCUCGAAGGCACGAAAUUCUCCGCGUGAAGUGGUGGGGGAAGCAGCGAACCCCUAGCAGCGUGCCCCGGAUCUCGCCGCGGGGGGGCAAGGCAAUGGCCGCGUCGUCGGCGUUCCUGCCCGAGCUGGGCACGCAGGUGGUGGUGCCCGUCGCGGCCGUGGUCGGCAUCGCCUUCGCGGUGCUGCAGUGGGUGCUCGUCUCCAAGGUGAAGCUCACCCCCGAGCCGCCGCGCCGCGGGGACGGCUCCGCCGGGAAGAGCGGCGGCGCCGGCGCCAGCGAGUUCCUCAUCGAGGAGGAGGAAGGGCUCAACGAGCACAACGUCGUCGUCAAGUGCGCCGAGAUCCAGAACGCCAUCUCCGAAGGUGAGAACCCAGCGCCCGUGCCGGUGUGUGUAUUUUGGAUUUUGUGGAUCUGAGGGCGCUUAAUCGUAGAUCUUGCGCUCCUCGCUGUUUAGUGCUUGAUAAGCUCCACUGCUUCGGUGUUCGGUGUCAAUUCUGCAGUUUUUAUUGUUUUUGUUUGCUUGCGCCGUGGACUCAAUAAGUUUACUUAUUAGUUAUUACUCGUCGAUAUGAUUAUGAGGCAAUUGAACUUCAGGCGUGUGAAUUGAAUUUCAGGCGUUUCUUAGUUUUAGUCAAUUCAGUCUAAAACUGUGCUCUCGAUCAGCUGGUGUCCCCGUGUUUGUUAGUUUGUUGCUUGCAUGGAUGUCUCACUAUUUUUUUUCUCCUGCAGUGCGUUUUGCGUUGUUCUAGCUGUGCGCCUGGGUUAUCUACUGUUAUAUUACUACUAGACACAGUUAGAUCCAACAAUAAAAUACUGAUGCUCCCGCUUUGCCCAACACAUCUUAUAAUAGUUCUUAGCUGUGUCCUGUGUGUGUCCUAUGGUAAAUAAACUCUUGGUUGUCCCUAUUAGAUAUUUUUUUUGUGAGAUAUUUGUAGUUGGGCUGAUGUGUUCAUAUAGAACUAAUGGUAGUGCUCUGUUCUGAAGAGGUCCCCGUAUAAACCCCUGCUGUGGGCUGUGGCCAUCCUGAGGGGAUAGGAUAAGUUACUGAGGCAGCAGAUACGUCGUUUGCUGCACCUGUGGUCCUUGCUGCCCGAUGUAGGAUAGAACUUUCCGUGGAUUUGCAUUAUUGUAGCAGGUAGGAAUUUGUUUUGUUUUGUUUUCAACCGCAUCCGCUGAACUUGGAAGGAAUCCUAGAACGAACGCACAUGGACCAGAGAUCUUGUGGUCCAUUCAACAGUGUCAUAUAAGGUAAUUAUUGGUGCACAGUGCCUGUCUGAAGGUGCCUGCUGCAGUGCUUGCAUUAUUGGCUGCCGCAUGUUGGUAAUGACAUUGGUUGGAUUCUGCCCAUGUCUUUGCUCAGGAUUUGUUUCUUCUAAUACGAUUAGCAUUAUGAUGCUUGGGUUAUGCUUCACUUUUGGAGCCAUACUAUGCUCUACAAGAAUCAGCAGAGUAGACGUAUGAAGACGUAUGGCUCUUGUCCCAUGAUAUACGGAUCCUAUUAGUUACUUUAGUAUUGCUACUGUCUGCUUUGCUUCCCUUUCCCAUGAGAAGAUGAGGAUUACAGUCCAUCAUUUAUUUAUUUAUUUACUUAGGUACUGUUCUGUCUAUUUUGAUGUUGACAUGCUUCUUGGGUGACAUGUCCGGUCCUGUUGUAGUUAACAUCACAACAAUAAAAGAGGAUAAGUACUGCUUAUCAUUCUAUUGUAUUAUUUUACUGCUAUGUCUAUCUUCAGUAUUUGAUAGUUCUGUCAUCAUUUUUAUUAUUUUUAGGCCUUCUCUUACUAGUGGUUAUUCUCUGCUUUUAUUGUAUAAUUGUAUUCACACUUGUGGUUCUAAAUAGCUUUGCUUUGUUUUAAACAGGAGCAACUUCUUUCCUUUUCACUGAAUACAAGUAUGUGGGACUAUUCAUGGGCAUUUUUGCUGUCCUGAUCUUCCUCUUCCUUGGUUCUGUUGAGAGCUUCAGUACCAAGAGUCAGCCAUGCCACUACAGCAAGGGCAAGACGUGCAAGCCUGCCCUUGCCAAUGCUAUCUUCAGCACCAUUGCCUUUGUGCUUGGUGCAGUCACCUCUCUUGUUUCUGGUUUCCUUGGAAUGAAGAUUGCAACAUAUGCAAAUGCCAGGACAACUCUUGAGGCUAGGAAGGGUGUUGGAAAGGCAUUCAUUACUGCUUUCCGCUCUGGUGCUGUGAUGGGCUUCCUGCUUGCUGCUAGUGGCCUUUUUGUUCUUUAUAUUGCAAUCAACUUGUUUGGAAUUUAUUACGGUGAUGACUGGGAGGGUCUUUAUGAAGCUAUCACUGGUUAUGGUCUUGGUGGUUCUUCUAUGGCUCUUUUUGGUCGUGUUGGUGGUGGGAUAUACACCAAAGCUGCUGAUGUUGGUGCUGAUCUUGUUGGGAAAGUCGAAAGGAACAUCCCUGAAGAUGAUCCGAGAAACCCAGCUGUAAGUAUUCUAUUUCUGAAGAGUCACAUCUUAAACAUGCGUUAAUUUAAUCCCUUGUGUUGAAGCUCUGUAACAACACGUUAUUGACCAUGGUUAUGUCGUUUUGAUAGUUUUACACCAUACAUUGAAAAUUGACCUCUGCUUCUUGCAGGUCAUUGCAGACAAUGUUGGUGACAAUGUCGGAGAUAUUGCUGGAAUGGGGUCAGAUCUCUUUGGCUCCUAUGCUGAGUCUUCGUGUGCUGCUCUUGUCGUUGCCUCAAUCUCUUCUUUUGGGAUCAAUCAUGAAUUCACCCCUAUGUUGUACCCACUCCUCAUUAGCUCUGUGGGUAUCAUAGCUUGCUUGAUAACCACUCUUUUUGCAACGGAUUUCUUUGAGAUCAAGGCUGUAGAUGAAAUUGAGCCGGCUCUCAAAAAGCAGCUUAUAAUUUCCACUGCUGUGAUGACUGUUGGCAUUGCACUUGUCAGUUGGUUAGGGCUUCCAUAUACAUUCACAAUCUACAACUUUGGUGUGCAGAAGACGGUGUAUAACUGGUACUGCCAUUUCUUCAAUUGAUUUCCGAUAUUGUAAUAACAUUUUUUUCUUCAAUUGAUUUCCUAUAUUUUAAUAACAUUUUUUCCUUAAAUACAUGAUCUCACUUUGAUCUAAAUUUGGUAGGCAAUUAUUCCUAUGCGUGGCAGUUGGUCUGUGGGCAGGACUAGUUAUUGGAUUUGUUACGGAGUAUUACACGAGCAAUGCAUACAGGUGCAUACAAUUUUGAUCAUAUUUAUUACUGGCUCUAAUUUAUAUAUUGUUUCAAGCAUCUGACUACAUGAAUUUCCUUCUGCAGUCCUGUACAGGAUGUUGCUGACUCCUGCAGAACUGGAGCUGCUACUAAUGUCAUCUUUGGCCUUGCUCUGGGAUAUAAAUCUGUCAUUAUCCCUAUUUUUGCUAUUGCUUUUAGUAUUUUCCUCAGCUUUAGCCUUGCCGCCAUGUAUGGUGUUGCUGUGGCUGCUCUUGGAAUGCUCAGCACAAUCGCCACCGGCCUUGCCAUUGAUGCCUAUGGCCCUAUCAGUGACAAUGCUGGAGGAAUUGCUGAAAUGGCUGGCAUGAGCCACAGAAUCCGUGAGAGAACUGAUGCCCUUGAUGCUGCUGGAAACACUACUGCUGCCAUUGGGAAGGUAAAUGUCAAUUUCACUGUUAAUUGCAAUGUGUUUCUUCAGAAUUGGCCAUCAAUGCAUUUGUUUGUUUUUCUCUUUAUAAAAUGUGCAUUUUGAAGUACUAAAUGCUCACUCCAAUGAUUUUGUGCAUGUAGGGUUUUGCAAUAGGUUCAGCAGCCUUGGUGUCUCUUGCCCUCUUUGGGGCUUUUGUCAGCCGUGCUGCCAUCUCGACUGUUGAUGUUCUGUCACCUAAAGUUUUCAUUGGACUGAUUGUUGGUGCCAUGCUUCCAUACUGGUUCUCAGCGAUGACAAUGAAGAGUGUUGGCAGUGCAGCACUCAAGAUGGUUGAGGAAGUCCGCAGGCAGUUCAACACCAUUCCUGGGCUCAUGGAGGGCACUACCAAGCCUGACUAUGCGACGUGCGUCAAGAUCUCUACUGAUGCAUCUAUCAAGGAGAUGAUCCCCCCUGGUGCACUUGUCAUGCUCACACCUCUUAUUGUUGGGAUCUUGUUUGGUGUUGAAACUCUCUCUGGAGUUCUUGCUGGUGCUCUUGUUUCUGGUGUCCAGGUUGACACUCUUUCCAUGACUGCUUUCAUUGUUGUAAUCUCUUACAAUGUUGCAUAUGUUUCAUUCAUAAUCUAUAUUGUUUCUGUUCAGAUUGCCAUCUCUGCAUCCAACACUGGAGGUGCCUGGGACAAUGCAAAGAAAUACAUUGAGGUAAAACCUUUGAAGACGAUAGCAUAUCAGUGAGAAGGUUUCUUCCAACCCCAAUAUUUGCUCAAGUGGAUUAAUUUUGGUUAUCUUCAUGGUUUUACAGGCUGGUGCAUCUGAGCAUGCAAGAACUUUGGGCCCGAAAGGUUCAGACCCACACAAGGCUGCUGUCAUCGGUGACACCAUCGGUGAUCCCCUCAAGGACACCUCAGGCCCCUCGUUGAACAUCCUCAUCAAGCUCAUGGCCGUCGAGUCCCUUGUCUUUGCUCCCUUCUUUGCCACCCAUGGAGGCAUCCUCUUCAAAUGGCUUUAGAGGAAGAAUGGAAGAUCGAUGGGUAAUUUAUUUUUGCCGGGGGGAGAGCACUAGAUACCUAUGUCAUAGAGAAGUUUCAGUUUACCCAUAUGGUGCAUUUCUUCCUUUUUGUUUCGCUUGUACUGUGUCGCAGUCUUGUUGAACUUGUCAGCCAUGGUAUCACCUAGUUUUCGGGUCUAGUUGCAGUAGCCGAGUGCAGCAAAAAUGUAGUAGCAUUCUACAGGAUGGAGUCUGGACAUGGGUGUAUUGGGAAGUGUGAUAUUGCCUGUAGAUAUUUCGAUGAUGAUGAUCAAGAAAUGCACAAUUCAGAUUUCCUGUCUUCAUGAAACAAUGGAGUUUAUGUUUUUAUUUAUGUGAUGAUGAUUUGGAUGUCUGUCUACUGCCUUUUCUUGUCCGACGUUGCCACGUAGGUCACAAUGUUGCAUUCUUCUGUUACAAAUUUUAAGUUUUUUUACCUUUCUAAAUCAAAUUUUUCUAGUUUGUACUAAAUUUAUAGAGAGUUGCAUAAACAUUUGCAACAUCAUCAGGCUAUAUAAGCUUAAGUUUGGACGAAACUAAAGGUGACUUUCAAAUUGAAAAUAGAGUGACUAGUUUUUUGUUUUUGUUUUUUUUGGUUACAUAUGUAAAGUGAAAGACAAGGUUAACGAAAUUAAAACCGACUUGCAAUUUCACAAUGGAGUUUUUGUCGUAUCUAUAGCUGUAAAUUGAAACAGGAGAAGCUGUACUUAUUAUUCUUGAAGCUGUACUUAUUUGAUACUCCCUCCAUCCUAAAGUGUAAGUCGUUUGACUUUUUUUACCCAAGUUUGACCACUCAUCUUAUUUAAAAAAUUUGUACAAAUAUAGUCAAAUUUAAGUCAUUCUUGAAGAACUUUUAUUAAUAAACCAAUACACAAUAAAAAAAAGUGAUAUUUUGUACAAAACUUUGAAUAAGACGAGUGGUCAAACUUGAUAUUAAAAAAGUCAAACGACUUAUAAUUUGGGAUGGAUUGAGUACAAGUAAUUGUACAUUUUUUUUAUAAAAAAAUUACUCCUAAAUUUGGCAGCUGCUGUUAAGCCCAUGAAGCGUGUCACAGGGGAAAAAAUGGACAAACGUGACCCAUGAUGCUUAGGCCUUGUUUAGUUGGCGCUAAAAUCCAAAAACUUUUCAAUAUUUUUUGUCAUAUGAAUCUUAUGGCAAAUGCAUAAAACAUUAAAUAUAGAUAAAAAUAACUAAUUAUACAGUUUAUCUAUAAUUUUGAAGACAUAUCUUUCGAGCUUAGUGAGUCUAUGGUUGAACAAUAAUUGCCAAAUAAAAACAAGAGUGUUAAGAUACCCAAAAACUUUUCGCUUCUCAACUAAAUAAAGCCUUAGUCCAUGAAAGUUUGGCCCACAUUAAAUUUGUUUGUUCCCUUUACUAAAUUUUAACUAGUUAAAAUUAUUUUAGUCACUCUCUCAUUUUUCUUUUUAGCUGCCUCAGAUUUUAGCAAGGGGACGCCGCAAAGGUAUUCUCUCUUCUCUUGGCCGAAAUCCCAAUCCAAAAUUCUCCGUGAAAACGCCAAAUUCCCCAUCUCCCGCAGUCCGAUGCUCCUCCCAUCUAUGAUCUAUCCUCCUCGAUGGCUGCAGAUCGUGGGAAGCGUACUACGGAGGUAAUCCCUGGAGAUUGGGAUACGUACGUGCGGGUCCGAUGGCGGCGGCAUCUCCAAAGCCAGUCGCUGCUCUGCUAUUGCGAGGCUGGCGCUCUUUGGUGUUGGUGCUUGCAUCGGUCAAUCCAAUAUCGGAAAAGAGUCGCACCACCAACUGGAUUAGACAAGAACAAGAAGACACUGGAAGAAUCGGAAUGGCGGAUAAGCUGACUGUGGGCUCCGCUGUGACAAGUCGCAUAUGGAAAUGGAUGAGCCAAUUUCAGAAGGUAUGGGGAUUGGGCCUCAUUCCGUGUGGAACCCUAGGAUUGAAGAAUUCCAAUGGCCGGUGAGAAUUUCCUGUACUCCUCCCUCGGUGCAUACUAAGUGUUACCAAGUACCAACACAUUUGGAUGCAUCGAAGGUCUACAAGAUAUUUUCCUCGGGUGCAUCAUCACGAUUGGAUCAAUGACAGGAGCAAUGCAAAGUUCCAAACUUCCAACUGUCGGCCGGUGCUAGCAAAGUCCAACUGCGGCAUUUCCAAUACAAUGCCCACAUCGAAGAGCGGACAGAGUACCAAGCUCACCGGCGCGGCGCUAGCGCUCCCUCCGCCGUUGCUUCCCAGCUGAGCCUGUGCGUCCACCGCUUUGUGCUCCUUUUCAACCCCAACGAAGUUUCGUGUAGACUUCGGUUUCAAGGAAAGCUUGGCCGACAACAACAAUAUAUCAUGGUAUCACACUGUAAGUUCAUAACAUUCAUUUGAUUCUUCUUUUUACGUUUCCUGAUUUGUUGUACUUAUAGUUUCUACCUUUUUAAUAAAUUUCAGUAGGGGCAACCCUCCUGUUUCAUAAAAAGAACAUCCAUUCGAUCCCUGUGAAUCACAUCUCUCGCCUCUCAUUCUCGUUUCGAUUUGCACUUUCCACUCCACAGAAAACUGCACUGUCAAAUGAAAGUUCGUAUGGACAACUGGAAUUUUCGAUUGUGAAAACAAAACCUCUAAAUAUGUUGAUUUGGUUGUUUGUUUCAGGAGUGGUGAAAAGCACGCUGUCAAAGCGAGAGCAAGUAAAGAGUUGUGAAAAUAAAACCUCUAAAUAUGUUCGAUUUCGUUUCAUAAAUCACAGAAGGUGCUUCGGUGGCAUUGCAAAAUUUCAAUCAUCGUGUUCAUCCAGCAGGUGCAGUUGUGGUCAACCCUGACACUGUGCUGAACCAUGCGUCACAUCUAGUUGUCCUCUGCUCCUGGAAUUUCAGAUCUCGCUCUAUAAAUCAAUGAAAUUCAGCAGCCUAUUUCUUUCCCGUCAUAUCUGACAAUGGUUGCGGUCGGGGAGUUGCUAGCUAAGCUCGCCUUCAACGCCACCUGGAACGAGAUUGCUUUGCAGCUGAAUUUCAGUAAAGAUUUGAAGAGCAUCAAGGACAACCUUUCCUUUGUCCAAUCUUUCCUUGAGGACGCGGAGAGACUGUCGUCAAGGUUGGAGAGCGUCCGUCACACGCUUAAGAAGCUCAAGGCUGCGGCUUAUGACUUGGAGGAUAUGCUGCUACUCUUCGAGUGCUGGACCACCCCUCACAAGGGUGAAGGCCUUGCGCUUAGCGCCAAGGCUAAAAAGGUGAGUUGCCACUUGCCAGCUAUAGUACUUCAAAGCUAAACUACAUUAGCUUAUGAAUUAUGAUGAGCUUGUUUCUGAUCCAUGCAAUUUAUUGACAACAGGGGUUAGUUUUAUGCUUUGAAAGGUUGAAGAUGCCUCAUAAAAUGAGAAAAAUGAGGGAAACCAUAGAGGAGAUAGUAGAUCUCCAGAAUAAAUUCAACUUCAUCAAACACACUGGCAACAAUGAUGAAGAAGUAAUCAGGAAACGGGAGACAUUCUCAGAUGCUGAUGAAGUCCCCGUUGGGAGGAUGGAAGAAAAAGAAAGAUUAAUCAGUAUGUUGCAAACAGAUGACUCAAACUGCCUUAUUGUUUUUAUCUCUGGCUUUGCAGGAGUAGGUAAAACUACUCUUGCCCAGAUGGUGUUCAACGAUGAUAGAACAAGACAAUUAUUUGAAAUCCAAGCGUGGGUCUAUGUCUCUCUAAAAUUUGAUAUCAAUACCAUCGGUCAAUCUAUCAUCUCCCAACUGGAUAAAUCAAGCAGCCCUUCUGGUAUCCCCUUACAAGCUACACGUGGCCGACUGAAAACUAUUGUAACAGGGCAACGGUUUCUUAUUAUUCUCGAUGACAUAUGGGAAGAAGAUCCACAUGAGUUGGAAAAACUAUGGACAUUGCUGCGGGGUGCUAAAGCAGGCAGCAAGAUCAUUGCAACCACACGCAGUGUAAAAGUUGCUAAGCUAAUGAAUGGGAGUUUGACAAUAGAAUUAAGUGCUUUACCAGACAAUUACUGCUGGGAGUUGUUCCGAAAAAAGGCAUUUCCAUAUGGAAAGGUGGAUGUUGAUAAGGAAAGUAUAGGAAGACAGAUAGUCAUGAAAUGCAGAGGAAUGCCACUAGCAGCAAUUUCUCUCGGAUACCUUUGCCGGACAACUAAUGAAUGGAAAGCUAUCCUGGAUAGUGAUAUCUGGGCAGAAAAUGGAGAUGAUGGACGGUUACUCAAAGAUACGAAAGUGCUACCAUCACUGAAGCUUAGUUAUCAAUGCAUGUCUUAUCAUCUCAAGCUCUGUUUUGCAUAUUGCGCUAUUUUCCCCAAAGGCUGGUAUAUAGAGAAGAGUAGCUUGAUUCAGCAGUGGAUUGCCCUUGGAUUUCUUCAGCUCCAUGGCGAAUCGUUCACUGCACAACAAGCUGGAGAAAGAUACUUUGAGGAUCUUCGUGAAAUGUCUUUUCUUCAGGAUGUAGCUGGAAUGUCUCCAACCGUAAGACUUUCAUUUUUCUUUAUUGCUUAUCUUAUUGGAGAUCGAAGUUCUAUUUACUUAACCUCAUCUAGUUCGGACCCCUGCCCCACCCCAAAAAAGCCAAUCCAACCGAUUCAUCUGUACGUGAUGACGUGAUCUAGUCACCCUCUGUUAGAGAUAUUUACCUCCAUGAUUAUAAUAUAUAUUUUUAUUCCAUGUACUCAAAUCUUAUAGCAGUCACAUAUGAUUCUAAUAUGUUAUUUUAGAUAUAUGGACAUUUUGGAUUAAAUAUUUGCGUUGUAGUGGUGUGGGCAAUUCCUCAAAAUGCAUAUGGGUACUUUUAUUUUUCCACGCCAGGAUACUUUGAUUUUGUUUUCUCUUAUUAAGUUAGUAGUGAAUUCUAGGCCGUGAGAAUUAAUGUGGAGGGUUCUUUUGUUGAACAAAUACUUACAUAAUAUACUCUGAGUACAUUAGGACAUAGCAUAUUAAAUUCCACUAAACAAAUUUGUUAGGCAUAGCUUUAAUAACGAGGGAUACAUGUGUCUUGUCCUAUCUGUAUUAAACUGUCCUAACAAUCUCAGAAUCCCUUGUAUAGUUGUAUUUGUGGACUGAAGUAUUUAGUGAGAAUUUCUCUAAAAGUUCAUGCCCAAUUUAUGUUUACUUUUGUUUUUUUAUAAUAUAAAUACUAGUUAAUAUAUGUCUGAACUGCAGAAGGUAGUUGACUAACAUGGUACAUUUCACUUUUCAGCCGUUUGCAAGAUAUAACAAACCUCGAGGUGUAUUAUUCCAGAUGCAUGAUUUGGUUCGUGAGCUUGCAAGAUUAGUUGCGGGUGACGAAGUUGUUGCCUUUGACACUAGGAAGCAAAAUCCUCCUACAAAUAUAGACAACUGUCGAUACAUGUUGCUCUCAAACUUAUGUAACUCAUCCUCAUCUUAUUGGUCUAUUCCUAGCACAUCAAGAGCUCUUCAUUUUAAGGAGUGCAGCAUUGUUCAGACUACUUUAAAGUCUCUAAUGGGAGCUGAAUUCCUACGUGUGCUGGAUUUUAGUGCAUGUGCUAUUUCUGAUCUACCUGCUUCUGUCGGCAAUUUGAGACUCUUGAAGUUCUUAAAUAUAUCUGGAAUGCAAACUGGUCUGCUGCCUAAGCCCCUGAGCUCAUUGCAUGGUUUACAAGCAUUGAACCUUUCUGAAAAUACUUGCCUUAUUGAACUUCCAAGUUACAUUUCUGAAUUUGUCAACCUACAAUAUUUGGACCUACAUGGCUGCUCAAAUCUUGAAGAGCUGCCACAGGGCAUUCAUAAACUCAAAGAGCUACUACACCUGAACGUAUCAAGAUGUGGUAGGCUACAAUUUCUGCCUGAAGAGUUUGGGGAGCUUCGGAAACUUGCAUUCCUCAACCUUUCAUAUUGUUCCCAGCUUCAAACGCUGCCUUCAAAUUUUGGUGGCCUUCAGGAUCUUUCAUAUCUCAAUCUAUUGCACUGUUACAAACUUCAUGGGCUGCCUGAUUCUUUCAUCUACCUAGCAAAUAUGAUACAUCUAAAUAUGUCCUUCUGCCGCCAGUUGAAACUGCUGCCUAGUGGGUUAUUUAAGUACAUGAAGAAACUUCUAGUCUUGAAUUUGUCUGGUUGUACCUCUCUUGAAGUUCUUCCUGAAUUUUGCAAUAUUGAUGCUGGCUGUCGGAUGUUGAAAACUUUGGAGUUACCAGAUUGUACUAAUCUGGCUGUCCUUCCCAAAUCCUGUACCAGUCUUUGUGAGCUCCGGUGUUUAAAUCUAUCAGGUUGUUCUCGAAUUCAGAACUUUCUAAAUUUGAUUCCGCAGUGGAAAUUCGGUAAGUUGGAGUACCUAAAUCUCUCCGAGGUCGGUGCAAAAGCUUAUUUUGAAGAUCCAGGAACCUCUGCGGGAAAUGUAGGGAGUUCAGAAGACCCUAAUAGAGAACUAGAGUUAGGUAUGCUGCAAGAGGAUAUUGUGACCCAACGUUUGGUUUAUCUUAAAUACCUGUCAGUUGGAGGGUUCACACUCUUCUCAGAACAAGGCAUUGCAAGCUUGGUAGACCUUCUAACCUUGCCCAAUUUUGAUGUACAGACACAACCCGGUGACAACCAAAGCAAUAUUAAGCUUCUCCAGCAGAUUCUGGAUCUCACACAUCAUGAGUUAAACAUCAAAUGCCUUGAGAAUGUGGUAUCACCAGAGGAAGCAAAGCAAGUGGAACUGGGUAGGAAUCAACAACUUCAUUUCUUGAGUCUUGAAUGGUCCUCAUCUGAUAUUGGGUCUUCUAUUGGAAAGGAUCGUCUAACAAAGGCUACCGAAGUGCUGGAACAUUUGAAGCCCCAUCAGAAUUUACAGCAUCUCUCUAUAAAAGGCUACAGCGGCACAAUAUUUCCAGAUUGGAUUAACAAUAUAAAUGAUGCACUCCCGAAUCUGGUGAAAAUAAUAUUGUCUGAUCUCAAGGGAUGUGACCACAUUCCUGCAUUGGGAAAUUUGCCAAAUCUACAAGAACUGGAAAUCAAUGAUAUGCCCCUGCUUGGCCAUGUAAGAAUUGUACCAUGCAAGAAGCUAAGACGACUUGCAUUGGUUAAUCUGCGAGAAUACACCACUGUACAUAUAUUUUAUGAUGACAACACUGAGACUCAAGUAAAUGAGGUGGUGGAAUUAAGUCACGACUGUGAUAAGGUAGAGAAACUAACAGGAGACGAGAUAAGACUACAUGAAGUUGCAUCAAGUUGUGACUGUAGUGAGGAAGAGAGGAAAACAGCAGAAAAAACUGACGAGUUAGCUGGUUCUCUUCCUUCAAACAGGCAAUCUAAAAGAAAGUGGCAUAUCAUGGCCUGUGAAGGCCAAGACCUAAAGUCUAUGGUAGGAGCCCGAGCUCUGCGUGUGAAGGUCAAGGAUUUGUUGAAAGGUCCAUAUUGUGGCAAGUGGAGGGAAACAUACAUAACACAGGACACUGCAGGUGCCGGAAAUGACUCACCUGCUGUAAUGAGCAGCAAGCCGGCACUAACUCCAGGUCCAUCUAAUGAAACAACAGAACAAGCAGCAGUCCCUACGCUUGAUUACUUCAAGAUAGAAAGCUGUCAGAACCUACGACUGUAUCCAUAUUACAUCCCAAUGUGUGAAGAGUUGUUCAUCAAUGAUAGCAGUAUCGACCUGGAUGAUAUGGAACAGGAGUCAUCUGAGUCACCUGCAGUUACCAGUAGCAGGCCGGCACUAACUCCAGGUCCAUCUAUUGAAACAAGAGAACAAGCGGUCCCUAGGCUUGAUUUGUUCAAGUUAGAAAGCAGCCAGAACCUACAACUGUAUCCAUAUUACAUCCCAAUGUGUGAAGAGUUAUUCAUCAAGGAUAGCAGUCUUGAUCUGGAUGAUAUGGAACAGGAGUUAUCUGAGUCACCUGCAGUUACCAGUAGCAGGCCGGCACUAACUCCAGGUCCAUCUAUUGAAACAAGAGAACAAGCAGCAGUCCCUACGCUUGAUUACUUCAAGUUAGAAAGCAGCCAGAAUCUACAACUGUAUCCAUAUUACAGCCCAAUGUCUGAAGAAUUAUUCAUCAAGGAUAGCAGUCUCGAUCUGGAUGAUAUGGAAUCAGAGUCACCUGGAAUGCUCGGACAGGAGUUAUCUUACGGAAUGUAUGAAGGGGAGUUUGGUUCCUUAAUGCACGGACGAGACCCCACUUCCAGAAGGUACAGAUCGGAGUCUAUUUCUGGAACCUCACGGAAACUCAAGAUAGCAAAUUGCAACCAGCUGUCUCUUGGUCGGCUGUUGCUUUUAUUAAAAUCAUCACUACAGGAACUCGAAAUUGAUAGCAUGGAAAGGAUCGAUGACUCCAUGCGCGGACGGUACAUGGACAAAUGGGAGUCUAUCUCUGGAACCCUACGGAAACUCAAGAUAACAAAUUGCAACCAGCAUAUUGUUAACCGACUGUUGCUUCUAUUCAAAUCAUCACUACAGGAACUUGAAAUUGAUGGCAUCAAAAGCAUUGAUGCCUUGCCAUCAAAUCUGUUCGAAAUGACCAGAUUGGAAAAAAUCACUAUAUCAUCUCUUGAGCUUCAAGAAGCAAAAGGGAGCAACAAUAUUAGGAAACAACUGUACGUUUCUGGAAUUGCAUACAUCAAUACAAGACAUGUAAGUUGCCGCUAUUUCUUUUUAAUUAAGUAAAGCCCACUUUUCUUGGAAUUUGAGAAAGAUAUAAAAGAAACUCCACCAAAUUAAGAAAAUAAGGCCUUGUUUAGUUUCCUCCCUGAAAAGUUUUUGGGUACUAUAGCACUUUCGUUUAUAUUUGACAAUUAUUGUCCAAUUAAGGCCUAACUAGGCUCAAAAGAUUCAUCUCGCAAAUUACAGACAAACUUUGCAGUUAGUUACUUUUUUAUCUAUAUUUAAUGCUUUUGCCGCAAGAUUCGAUGUGACGGAAAAUCUUGAAAAGUUUUUGGAUUUUGGGUGAAACUAAACAAGGCCUAAAUUAAUUUACUUAAAAUAAAAACUGUCAUGCACGAAGUAAUUUAAUUGCUAUACAUCGAACCGUGCCAUAUGACUUUAGCUCUUAAUUAAUCUUGCAUGUGGUAUGACGCAGGUGGCUCUUUUUACUGUGAGACCGAAGCAAGGGGGUUGGGUGGGCUCAAGCCCCACCUACAUCCGGCAGACCGAAGAAGAGGAGACCGAAGAAGAAGAGACCGAAGAAGAAGAGACCGAAGAAGAGGAGGAAGAGCACCGCCUACACUUUGCCGCUGGUUCCAACACCAGUUGCUCCAGUAACUUCUCUCUUCUAUAUCAGUAUCUUGAUAAUGAAAUUCAGUCGCUAAUGAUCCACGGUCUUGAGCAUAUUGAUGAGACAGUAGAGGAAGUAAGCGAAUGCAGCGAGUUGGCUCAAUAUCGGCAACUGCAGUCACUGAUUUUGAUGUGGUCCAGAAGCAGUUUACCACAGGAUUCAAGCAUAGUCAAUGACAUUGUGGUUCUCCGGAAACUCCAGCCUCAUGGGAACCUAGAAACACUUGAAAUACAAGGCUAUAGGGGUGAUACAUUUUGUUCCUGGGUAACGAAUAUAAGUUAUUUCCUUCCAAAUCUUGUGAAAGUUGAGCUUUCUAACAUAUUAUGGUGCCAACAUAUCCCUUUAUUAUUAGGCCAACUAUCAAACUUAGAAGUGCUGCACAUCUCAAAUAUGCCUAGCAUCAGAAAAGUUGGUGGUGAUAUAUAUGGGGCUGACAGGGCAUUUAUGAAACUGAGAGAACUUACGCUUGCAAGUAUGGACAACCUGGAGGAGUGGACGACCACACUAUCAACUCGUGAUGAUGAGCAGAGGCUUCAGGAAAUCCAUGGAGAUGAAAUAUUAUUUCCUAAUCUCCAAGUACUUACCAUUAGAAACUGCCCCAGGCUGAGGUUUGUUCCAGCUUUCCCUGGAAGCCGGAGCUGCAUCAUAGAAAGAAGCAGCGAUGUACUAUCAUCUGAGAGAUACAUUGGAAGUUCGAAUUUGGCAUUAUUGAACUUGCAAAUACGGAACUGUGGCAUUUCUUCAGAUAUUUCCAAACUUCUUCAGUACUGUGUUAAUCUGGAAAAACUGAGUGUUCAUUCCUGCACGGACCUUAUCACCUUGCCAGAAAGCAUCCGAAGCUACUGCUUCCUCAGGGAACUGGAGAUAGUAAACUGUUGGGAAUUUUCUGCUCUACCGGAUUGGCUUGGAGAACUGACGUCGCUACAGAAGCUGACAGUGCACGCUGCCAAACUGGAGGUUUUACCCCAAUCGAUCCGAUACCUGACUACUUUGGACACGUUAGUUCUCAAGAAGAGCAAUUUCAGAAUCCUUGAGGGUUGCACACUGGGAAAGGACUUUGACAAUAUUAAACACAUCAAACAUAUACGUUAUAAACCUCAGGUAAAUCACUCCAGGUCCUAAAUUACCAACCUCAACCCCUCGUUUUCUCCCUGGGGACUGUAGUAUUUAUAUAUUUUUUAUUUUACAAUUGAUGAUUGCAAUAUUUAUAUGCACGUGAUAGCUUAUUGAUGUGAUAAAUAUUUUUUGUAUGUAAGCAUUAACAUUAUCAGUAGAUAUAGCUUUGCAUUUUGUUAUAUGGUAAAAUGCACACCAAACCAAGUCUGAGAACCGACAAUGCAUUUUAAUAAAAACGACAACAACAAAGCCUUUUAGUCCCAAGCAAGUUGGGGUAGGCUAGAGUUGAAACCCAACAUGAGCCCCUAUUCACGGUUUAGUCCCUUUUGUUAUCUAAUAAAUCAAUUUCGCUGCUGACUGUUUUGUCCUUGCAUGCUUUACCAUUUCAACAUGCCUUACUACUAUUUCCUCAUGUUUCUUGUGAAUGCAGAGACCUGUUCUUUCCUUCUGCAGAAGUGGCCCUCAUAUUGUUGAGCUACAAAUUGAGGAUCUUCAUCUUGUCAACCGAGCAGAGGAAGCAGAGGAUUUGAAUUUGAUUGGGAAAAAGAAUCUGCGUUCACUGAGUUUGGACUGGAGUUCUUAUUAUAAAGAAAGCUUACCUAAUAAGCUUGUUUUAGAAAAGCUCCAGCCAUAUGAUAGCCUCGAAAUACUUUGUAUAAAUAAUUAUACCGGUGUUGAUUUCCCUCUUUGGAUGUCAUCACUCUCAAACCUUGUCAAAGUGGAGCUCUCCAAUGUGCGAAUUGAGCACCUGCACCUGGAUCAGUUACAGAGUCUGGAAGAGCUGCACAUUUCUCGGAUACAGAGCCUAGGGUCGGAAGUUUGCAUCUGGUGCACCGAACCACUUAGAAAGCUCCGAAGGAUUGUCUUGUCCGCAUUAGCCAAGCAGGAGUUGAAAAUAUCCAUGAGGGAGGAGCUGGGUCGCGACGAGAAUUUAUUCCCACGCCUUCAGGAUUUGGAGGUACACUGUUGUUUUGGAUUGAGGUUCGAACCAUCAAUCCCAAGGAGUGCUAGGUAUGUAGUAUCAGGUAGGGAAGGAACACAACGCCAAGGUCUUUUGCCAUCUUUCCAUCGAAUCAUGGGGCCAUCUGUCCCUGCUUCGUUAUCUAAAAUGGAGAUCAGGUGUAGCAGUGGGUUGUCAUCCGCAUCCUGGAACGACCUACGACACUUUGACAUCGGGGAAUUGAUUAUUGACGACUGUUCUGAUGAGAUGCCUUUGCCAGAGAGCAUUCGGGGAUGGAGAUCCCUCCAGAAAAUACAGAUUUUGAACUGUGACCAAAUUACAACACUGCCGGAGUGGUUGGGCGAGAUGACCUCCCUCCGGGAGCUCACGGUGGAGACCUACUUUAUGAAAACUUUACCUGCAUGCAUCCAACGGCUCACUGGAUUGCAGGCUUUGACCCUGUCAAAAUGCGGAUCAGUGCUUGUGGAAAGAUACAAGUUCGGGGAGGACAAGGAUAAGAUAGUACACAUUCCAAAUUUACAUAUAGAGCGGAGAAAAUGGACCUUCUCUUCUUCAACAUCCGCGCUGUAAACAUAGGUUUGUUUUCUUACACCUUAAUAAUUCCUCUUGUACCUCGCCAAUUGAUGAAUUAUAAACAUAGAUUGAUCUUCAUCCUAUCAUAACUUUUGACCCUGCUCUAUCCAAAAUGCGACUGAAUUGAGUUAGCAAGUAUGUGUAAUAAAGACAAGCUCCCUCUGCAUUUGCAAAGGCCUACGCAAUCUGCAUGCUUUGCUCUGUUUUUGUCUAGCAGUUCUCAUCCCGUGCCUAACAUUGCCCUUCAGGAUCAAUCUUCUCCAGCAUCACAGAAGGUGAGAAGGGAUCACGCGCUGUUCAGCAUCAGGACACCAUCCACCGAAAUCAAUAUCCAUGUCCGAAGCAGCCUACAGAGAUACUGAGCAUGGCAUCAUUUGAGGCUAAGUCAAAGGAUAGCAAAGAGCCAAAGAUCAAUGAUGAAGCUGGCUAGAGAACUAGAGUAGUUGAUGGGACAACACUAGCUGUUACUUAUAUGUGAUGAAGACAAAAUCAUCUUCUUAAUUAGGUACUACUAAGUUUGGAUAAACAAUAGAGUUAUCAGUAUCACAUCAAUUCGUGCUCCAGCAAAUCCCAGAAUACCAUGUUACAUAAAUAUUGAAAUUCUUGUGAUAAAUUUUAAUACAUUAAUUAUCUUUACUCUAAUCACCAUCCGAUUAUUGAAAAUUUAGCAAAAUACUCCCUUCCAAAUUGUAGUCAUUUUGAUUUUUUUUAAAAAAUUCAUAUUUUUACUGUAACUAGACAUAGACCCUGUUUUGUUCCUCUUGCUAAAUUUUAGCCAACUAAACUUUAGUCACUUUAGUAGCUAAACUUCCAAACAUACGUGAGCUAAAAUAGUUUAGUUCCACUAGUCACCUAAGAAUAGCUAAAAUUUAGCAAGGAGAACCAAUCAGGACCAUAAUGUGUAUCUAGAAUUCUAUCAAAAGCAAUGUAUUUAAAGAAAACCCAAAAUAUAUUAAAAUUUAAAACAGAAGGAGUACUCUAUAUGGGGUUUUUAUCCUUGCAUUACACAUCUGUGGUUUUAAUAUAUGGGUUUUAUUAUAAUACCCAGAAGUAACUGUGAUCUGUUUAUUUAUCCUUUGCAUUACACAUCAUAUAUUAUCUUCUAGGAGGUAAUAGAAUACAUUUUAUACCUUGAUAAAGAGUUCUACGGUAAAUAGACCAUUUUCAUAAAAACUGCACGAUUCUUAAAGCAAACAAUGUAACUUCAGCGGCCGCCAUAGCGCUAACCUGCAGGUCUUCUGUGGCGGUUGUGCAACAGAACGUGACUGGUCGGCGGCACAGGGGAAGAAAUGUUUGUCAAAGUGUUUCCGCCAUGGAACAUGACUUAUCGCACAACAAAAGGUGGCCAAAACGGAUCGGCAGCGGUUUUGGAUGAGACGUGGGAAUCGUCUAGGCCCAAACGAUUAAUUAAUUUGCUUUUAGGAUUCGUGCAGUUCUUAUGAAGAGGUAUACGGGAGCAUAACUCAUGUUUGUAGAAAAGAUAUUAGAAAAUUGCUUGUAGGGCCCCGUGAAACUCACCUAAUUCUUACAUGGCUUUAAAAACUUCAAACUUCAUUAUAUGGCCCUGCGUUUGAAUUUCAGUGCCCUAUACGCACUGUUGCGAAGAAUGUUCAUAAAAAAUGUAGGCCUUCCCUGUCAGAUGAUGUGGAAAUGACCAAAGUACCCCUAUGCCUAAAAUAGCCAGGAGAAGGAAAGAAGGCCGCCGGUUCAUCUUCUUUGUCUCGAGCAGUCGAGCUUUUGAGCCUCCCUCGAAACCCUAGAUCCUGUGAGACAAAAGCUCAUGUUAUCCAUGCCGGCUGGCCUUGGAGCCUUCGGCGGUGUUGGUGGAGUGCCUGCUGGCCUGUGAGCCUUCGGCAUUGGUUGUGUUGCCUUCGGACCCCCUACAGACUGUUUGUGUGAUCUGGACUGUUUGUGUGUUCUGGACUUGGGGGACUUGCUGUUGCUUUCGGCACCGACCCUACAAGUCUAUGUAGUUGAACCUUGCUUUAAUGUCAACCAAGAACUGUAACCUCCUCUGUUGGAAUGUCAGAGGCUUGAAUGAUAGUGCAAAAAGAGCCUCUGUUCGAAACCAGAUUAGGGCUACUAGGGCCAGUGUCGUUUGUUUUCAAGAAACAAAGAUCACCAAUUGGACAAGAAAUCUACUAGUGGACAUAUAGUCAGAAACGAGAUGGCAAAUAAUGCGGUUUUCCUGCCCUCUGUGGGAGCCAGUGGGGGUAUUCUAAUUGCAGCCGCCGAGCGUUUUUUCACUUUAAGCCACCCUCAUCUUACCCAGCAUACAAUCUCGGCAAAAGUAAUGGUGCUAGCAGAAAAUAAAACUUGGACCAUAACAGGAGUCUAUGGUCCGCAGAGUGAUGGAGAUAAAAUCCAGUUCCUUCAGGAGCUCACUAACCUACAGACACAUAUGCUUCCUACUUGGCUAGUGCUAGGGGAUUUUAAUCUUAUCUUGAACGCACAUGAAAAGAACAAUGCACGGCUGAACUUGUCCCUGAUCAAUAGGUUCAAGGCAACGGUGGACAAUCUACAGCUUGCCAGGAUCGAACUAAGGGGGAAAAAUACACCUGGUGCAAUGACCAGCAAUCACCAACAAUGACUAGGAUUGACCAUCUUUUUGCAUCGGCGGAUUGGCUAGAACUCUUCCCUAGAACAGACCUCCGUGCUUUGGCAUCUCUGGGUUCAGAUCAUAGCGCGUUGUUCCUCCAAGGUGAUGUUAUUUUUUACUUCUAUAGAGGUUUCAGAUUUGAGUCCCAUUGGAUCUAUAGGUCAGGCUUCAUGGACACAGUGAAGGAGGCAUGGAGCAAACCUGUUAAUACUCAGGACGCCAUUUUACGACUUCAUGUCAAAUGCUACGUACUGCCAAGGCCCUCAAGAACUGGAGGCGCAAAUCCAUGGGUGGCUGGCAGCUAAGCUGGGCGAUUUAACGUUAACUUUAGCGAAUCUGGAAAGAGCGCGCAGGAGGAGAGGGCUCUCACAGCAGACGGACUAGAGUUCAAAAAAAUACUUGCAAAGCAAAUAUCUAGGGAUGGUGGCGGUACAAAAAUCCCGUGCCAGACAACAUUCAAGAUUGACAUGGAUGCGGAAAGGGGAUAGUAACACAAGGUCUUUUCAUUUACAUGCGAAUAUGAGAAAAAAGAAAUCAUUCAUCUCCACAUUAACUGGAGAGGCUGGAACUGCCAUUACACAAGAAAAUAAAUUAGCAUUGGCUCAUAGUCACUUCUCCAAUCUGUUGGGUACCUCAAGUCUUAGGACCCGAGCGAUAAACUGGAACGAACAACAUGAUCUGGAAGACCUCGACGUCCCCUUCACGGCCCAGGAAAUUGAAGCAGUAAUUAAAGACAUGCCAUCCAAGAAGGCGUCGGGCCUAGACAGAUUUAUAGAUUCUUUCUUUAAGAAGUGUUGGUCGGUCAGCAAGGUGGACUUGAUCUAAGCGAUCAUGUUUUUCUUCAACAAUCAAACCUCAAAGCAACACCUGAUCAAUACGGCAAACAUUGUACUCUUACCCAAAUCAUAGGAAGCCACAGCUCUGGGCGACUACACCUGAUUAAUAGUGUUGCUAAGAUCAUCAUAAAAAUUCUUGCGAACAGACUUGCACCACACAUGAAUGAUCUGGUCUCCAAUGCCCAAAAUGCUUUUAUAAAGAAGCGGUGCAUCCAUGACAACUUCCUCUAUGCACAACGGGUGAUACAACUAUUUGAAAGGUCAUAAUAUGGCUAGAGGGGGGUGAAUAGUCUAUUUAAAAAUUCUACAAACUCACUAGAGCAAGAGGUUAGUAAAUAAUAAAGCGAAGUUUUUUGCUCUAGCUCUAAUAGGGUGUUUGCAAGCCACCUAACCAACAAUUCUAGUUACUAUAAUCACUAGGCACACAAGAUCUAUGUCACUACAAGCUACACUAGUAAACUAUGCUACACAAGGCAAGACUAGCAACUAAACUUGUUACACUACUUUGCGGUAAGUAAAUGGAAAGGAAGAGAUAUUUAUACCACCGUGAAGGGGAUGAACCAAUCACCAAUAUAUGAACAAUCAAGCACUGGAGAAUGCCAAUCAAACACAAUUGAGACACCAAAUUUUUCUCCCGUGGUUCACGUGCUUGCCGGCACGCUACGUUCCCGUUGUGUCGACCAAUACUUGGUGGUUUGGCGGCUAAGAGGUGUAGCACGAACCUUGUCCUCACUAGAAUACCGCAAGAACCUACCCACAAGUGAGGUAGCUCAAUGACACGCGCAAUCCACUAAAGUUGCCUUUGGCUCUCUGCCGGGGUAGGCACAAAAACCCCUCACAAUCACCGGGAGAUGACCACGAACAAUCAUUAACUCAUGCCAAUGCUCCUCCGCUACUCCAAGUGCCACUAGAUGCAAUCACUCAAGCAAAUACACUUGGAAUCACUCUCAAUCUCACAAAGAUGGCUAAUCUAUGAAGGAGAUGAGUGAGAGGUGUUUGCUUAGGCUCACAAGGAUGUCUAGUAGUCAAGAAUGCCAAGAGUGAGCCCAAAGCCAGCCAACAACUAUUUAUAAGCUCCUCAAACAAAUAGAGCCGUUGGCUCUUUCACUAGGAUAAAAUCGAGACCACCGGACACUCAAGCAGGAGCCAUCGGACGCUCAUCCCCUGCGUCCGGUGCUCUAGAGCACAUCCACGUGUCCACGGAGUGAACCACACGCGUCGAUCUCUAACGGUAAAAAAUGAACCACCAGACGCGCUCAAGUUAGCACCGGACGUGUUCGGUGCACACCGGUCACGUAUGCAGAGAGGUCUGUAAAAACGCAGGAGCGCUGGACUCACACCACCGGACUCACUCUGAGCGUCCGGUGCUCUCAGUCAAACUCACUACUAAAGUCAAGCCACACCGGACACACAAAUAGGGUCUAACCCGCGUCUGGUGCUUGGCGUCCGGUGCACAACACUAACGGCACCAGGCACUGACAACACACCGGACGCGCAGGCUCAGCGUUCGGUGUCUGCUAUGACCGGUUAGUCCUCAAGCUUUCAUAAAAAAAUAUUACCAUGUCUUGAACACAUGGAAUUUUACUAUGGUUUGGACACCUAAAAGUAAAAAAAGUCUAAAAUUUUACCAUGGUUUCGAGUCCUAGACUUUUUUAGCUGUAAUAGGCUCUCUCGAGCUGCGAUAGGGUCCCUUUAGGUGAUAGGGUCCCUCUAGCUAUGACCUUUUGGUCCUUAAGCUUUCACAAAAAAAUAUUACCAUGCUUUGAACACAUUGAAUUUUACUAUGGAUAGACACCUAAAAGUAUGGAAAGUCUAGAAUUUUAUCAUAGUUUGGAGUACUAUAUUUUUUCAACUAUGAUAGGCUCUCUCGAGCUAUGAUAGAGUCCCUUGAGGUGUGAUAGGGUCUCUCUAGCUAUGACCUGUUGGUCCUCAAGCUUUCACAAAAAAUAUUACCAUACUUUGAACACAUGAAAUUUUACUAUGGUUGGACACCUAAAAGUAAGAAAAAGUCUAAAAUUUUACCAUGGUUUGGAGUCCUAGACUUUUUUAGCUGUGAUAGGCUCUCUCGAGCUGUGAUAGGGUCUCUUGAGAUGUGAUAGGGUCCCUCUAGCUAUGACCGGUUGGUCCUUAAGCUUUCACAAAAAAUAUUAUCAUGCCUUGAACACAUGGAAUUUUACUAUGGUUUGGACACAUAAAAGUAUGAAAAAGUCUAGAAAUUUACCAUGGUUUGGAGUCAUAGACUUUUUCAGCUGUGAUAGGCUCUCUCGAGCUGUGAUAGGGUCUAGCCUAUGACCGGUUGGUCCUUAAGCUUUCAAAAAAAAUAUUACCAUACCUUGAACACAUGAAAUUUUACUAUGAUUUGGACAUAUAAAAGUAUGGAAAAAUCUAGAAAUUUACCAUGGUUUGGACUCCUAGAUUUUUUCAGCUGUGAUAGGCUCUCUCAAGCUGUGUUAGGGUCCCUUAAGGUGUGAUAGGGUCCCUCUAGCACAGUUUGGUCGGAAUUGACAAGACGAAUCUUUUGAGCCUAGUUAGUCCAUGAUUGAACAAUAUUUGUCAAAUACAAACGAAAGUGCUACAGUAUUGAUUUUCCAAAAUUUUUUAAAACUAAACAAGACCUAAAUAUCCUGUGGGGUCAACAGGCAUCAUGUUCAAACCAAUACUGGCGCACCUAUCAGGGGUAUUGGGCCAGAGCCAAGGUAGAUUGGACUCGAAGUCGAAGGUGCGACCGCGCUAUCACCUUGUUACGAGUAGAAUGCGAGAGUACGAGAACAGAGAGGAAUAGAAUGAACUCGGGGUGUUUGUUUAUUCAUUGAUCACGGGUAUUUAUACAGUCGGGGGGGAGAGGAAACUCUCGCCCCAAGUAAACUCGUGCCCACGAUGAGUCGUGGGUGAUAUCACGGAGGUGGAACCGGUCUCCACGGGUACGUGCGUAGUCGUGGGUGAUAUCCCGUAGGCCGUCGUGGGGGAAGUCGUAGUUAGGAUAGAUCUCCCGUAAAGGGAAUCCGAGGAGAUGAGAUCACCCCGGAAAAUAUCCGUAACACUCCCCCUUGAUCGAAUCACUUGUUGAGAUCAAUGAAUCGUAUUGCUCCUCCAAAAAUUCCUGUAGGAUAAAAACGAGGAAAAAUACGUGUGUAUAUGUGCUAUAGUAAAACUCCUUAAAACCGCUUGGGAAAAGAAGGAGAAAGUUAUAGCACUUAAUGAUUGCCUCAUUGUAAACUAAUAUGAGAAAACCUUUGCAGGAGAAAAACUCAUGUUGUAGUUUAGAGGACAAUAUGUGUCUUUGAUACUCCUUUAAAAACCCCUGUGGGGAAAACAAGGAAUAUGACACUCUUGUGUUAAUAUUAUCUCAUUAAAAACUCCUUAUGAGAAACCUUGUGAGGAAAGACUCAUAGAGAGAAAAGAGUAUAAUAUGAUGGUGUAGACAGGCCAAUGUCUAGGAGAUUUCUCCCCCUGAACUUUGCAAAUCCCUAAGUCGUCGCAUACCAAUUCCUUUGACACAUUUUUCAAAUGAGGAAGCUGGUAGGGACUUAGUGAAUAGAUCAGCAAGAUUGUCGCAUGAUUUGGUUUUCAAGAUAUCAAUCUCUCCCUUUUGUUGUAAUUCAUGAGGAUAGAACAAUUUUGGAGAGAUGUGUUUGUUGAUAUUGCUCUUGAUGUAGCCUGUCUCCAUCUGUGUAACACAAGCCGCAUUAUCUUCAUAGAUAAUGGUUGGAGCUGUGAUAGCUUUAAGACCACACGACUGUUGUAUGUGGUUGAUCAUUCUGCGAAGCCAAACGCAUUCACGUGAGGCCUCAUAUAAUGCGACUAUUUCAGAAUGAUUCGUGGACGUUGUUGCCAAGGUUUGCUUGGAUGAUGUCCAUGAUAUGGCGGUUCCGUUUUGUAAAAAUACGAAACCGGUUUGUGAUCUGCCAUUAUGGGGUCUGAUUGAUAUCCAGCAUCGGUGUAUCCUAUCAUCUCGGAAUUUGUUCCUCUUUGGAAGAAUAAUCCGAGAUCCCUUGUGCCAUUAACAUAUCUGAGGAUCUGUUUUACUCCUGUCCAAUGUCUCUUGGUAGGAGCGGCACUGUGCCUUGCUAGCAAAUUCACUGCGAAAGCGAUGUCAGGCCUGGUGCUAUUGGCAAGGUACAUCAGUGCUCCGACGGCACUAAGGUAUGGGACAUGAGGUCCUAGGAUUUCCUCCCCCUCAUCUUGUGGUCUGGAUGGAUCAGUGUUUAGUCCCAAAGACCGAACAACCAUAGGGGUUUUGGAAGGAUAUGCUUUGUCCAUAUUGAAUCUCUCCAAUACUUUCUGGACAUAUGCAGAUUGAUGCACAAAGAUUCCAGUUGAAAGAUGCUCAAGCUGUAGGCCUAAGCAGAAUUUGGUUUUACCCAAAUCCUUCAACUCGAACUCCGUCUUAAGAUGUUUGCAUGCCUCAUCAAUAUCUUGUUUGUGGCCGAUGAUAUUUAAAUCAUCAACAUACACCGAUAUGAUGCAGAAUCCCGUUUGGGAUUUCUUGAUGAAGACACAUGGGCAAUCAUCACUGUUGGAGUAGCCCUUCUGCAGAAGGUACUCGCUGAGUCGGUUAUACCACAUUCUUCCCGACUGCUUUAAGCCAUAGAGUGAUUUCUGUAGCUUUACACAAUACAUGUUGCGAUUUGCGUUUUGAUUCGGUAUUGGGAUUCCGUCAGGAACCUUCAUGUAUAUGUCCGAAUCGAGUGACCCAUAGAGAUAUGCAGUCACUACGUCCAUCAACUGCAUAGAUAGACGAUUUUGUACAGCCAGAGAGAUUAAGUAUCGGAAUGUUAUUCCACCCAUGACUGGAGAGUAUGUUUCAUUGAAGUCAAUGCCGGGUCUCUGCGUGAACCCUUGUGCUACAAGCCUCGCUUUGUGUCUCACCACCUCAUUGUUCUCGUUCCGCUUUCGGACGAAAACCCACUUGAAUCCCACAGGGAAUACUUGUGGAGGUGUAGGUAUUACUUGUGAGAAUACCUGUCUUUUUGUGAGCGAGGAUAUUUCUGCUUGGAUUGCAUCCUUCCAUUGGUUCCAGUCCGAGCGCGUUUUGCACUCUGCCAUGGUCUUAGGAUCUGGAUCAUUUUCAAGGAUUUCGGCAAUCAUUGCGGAGAAAUAUGAGUCGACAAUUGUAGUCUUUCUAUCAAAUGACUCUCCAGUUUCUGCAUAGUUGAUGGAAAUUUCAUGGACCCUUUCCGAUGCAUCAUCAUUUCCCAAGAUGGUCGCAUCAGGGUAUUCCGAUGUCCCAGCAUCAGUAAUUGAGUGCACUGUUGAUGUGGGAUGUGAAGGUUGAACCUCCACUGGGUGUUUCUCAACAUGAGGUUGAGCUACAUUUACUGGAUCAGAAGAUUUUGUCUUCCGUUUCCUUUGCUUGCUAGAAGCUGUAUCCGUGGAGAUAGCCGUACUUCUCCCCCUCUUACUAGGGAGUUGAGUAGUUUUGUUUGGUACCUCUACUCUUUCCGGUACAUUUCUCGCUGGAUUAUAGGAUUUUGUAACACCCUUAUAAUCAGUAAAUGCGUCUGGCACGUUGUUUGCAAUGUGUUGCAAAUUUAUGAUUUUCUGAACUUGGAGUUCAGAUUCUGAAGUACGUGGAUCUGAGUUGGGUAUGCAUGGGGCAUCCCAAUUGAUUUCCUGGCAUUGUUUGUGAUGUGGUAAGUCUCCCCCUAAUGCCGGAAAAUGAUCUUCAUUGAAGAUACAAUCAGCGUACCGGGCCGUAAAGAGGUCCCCUGUGGUGGGCUCCAGAUACUUUAUAAUUGACGGAGAUUUGUAUCCCACAUAGAUCCCCAAUUUUCUAUGGGGGCCCAUUGUUGUACGCUUCGGUGGUGAGAUCGGUACGUAUGUAGCGCAACCGAACUUUCGCAGAUGGGAAAUGCUUGGGGGAUUUCCAUGUACUAGUUGCAACGGGGACGUUGCAUGGUAUGCAGUUGGUCGCAAUUGAAUCAGUUCAGCAGCGUGUAAGACUGCAUGACCCCAACAUGAGGUUGGUAGAUUGCAAUUCUGCAAUAGCGGUCUAGCAAUGAGCUUGAUUCUCUUGAUGAGAGACUCGGCUAACCCAUUUUGUGUGUGGACAUAUGGGACAGAAUGCUGUACUUGUAUUCCUAAGGCCAUGCAAUAGUCAUUGAAGGCUCGAGAGGAAAAUUCAGCAGCGUUAUCCAUCCUAAUGGAUUUUAUUUGAUGUUCAGGAUGUUGCGCUUUGAGUUUGAUAACUUGCGCAAUUAUUUUGGCAAAAGCAUGGUUUCGUGUCGAUAGAAGAGACACAUGAGACCAUCGUGUGGAUGCGUCUAUUAGAACCAUGAAGUACCUGAACGGUCCCGAUAAAGGAUUUAUCGGGCCACAUAUGUCCCCUUGAAUGCGUUCAAGGAAGUUGAGUGGUUCAACUUUGAUUUUGAGGGAAGAGGGCCUCAAAAUUAAUUUCCCUGUUGCACAUGCGGUGCAAGUAUAAUCUGAGGAUUGGGGAAAUUUUGUAUUGGUUAGUGAGUGACCAACAGAAUUGCUAGUAAUUUUUCUCAUCAUCCCUAUGCCAGGGUGACCAAGGCGAUCAUGCCAAGUUUGGAAUGCAUUGACAUUCUGAAAAAUUACUUUGUACGCAACAUGUUGUACGGGUUUUAUGUAUGAAUAGUACAAUCCAGACGAAGUUGAGGGAAUUCUUUCGAGAGUAUCUCUGCCAUAUCCGUUAUCCUUUGUAAUGAGGAGGAACUCCUCAUUAUUUUGGUGAUGGGUUUCGAUAUGAUACCCAUUUUUGCGGAUAUCUCUAUAACUCAAUAAGGUACGAGUUGAAUCAGGAUACAGAAGUGCAUCCUCGAUUGUAAUCGUUGUACCCAUAGGAAGCGUAAUAAUGGCUCUUCCAGAGCCUGCUAUUACAGCAUCGCGUCCAGCGAUUGUUAAAACAUUUCCUUUGCUCUUUGUGAGAGUUUGGAAAUAUUUUAUUUCCCUGAGUAUAGAGUUAGUGGUGCCACUGUCCACUAGGCACAUUUCCUCAUCCAUCGGAUUGACUCCCGUACAAUCUAUGAAAAUAGAGAAUAUAAAAGAGAAUGAAAUUCUCAACAUGAAUAUAUAUGAAAUAUAAACAUUUAUUGAUGUUGAAUUGUGCAUAAGUCAAUGAACAUCAAACAGAGUGUAGCAAAAACAAAUUGUCAAUUAUUACAAUCCCGAAGGCGAAUGAUGAAACUAAAAUUUCAAAUGACUAUCAAUCUAGUUGUAGUCGCCGAACAGAUCAUCAGAAUUGUAUUCAAUGAUCAUGUUGUUGGUGGAGUCAUUUGCCAUGCCAUCAGGUGGAAGAGGCGCCAUUGUGUUGCUCGGUCCCGCUGGGGCGGGGUUGGAACAUCCUGGGGCUGCCAGAUCGUUGAAGUGUGCUUCAGACGGUUGUCCACCUUGGUUGGAGCGUCCUUGGUUGGAGCGUCCUCGUCCCACGGAAUGCAAGUACAGUUCCACAAGGUGCUUAGGGGUGCGGCAUUUCUUAGUCGGGUGGUUGUAGCAACCACACUUUGUACAAGUUGAGGACUUGUCUUUUGACUUAGAGUUGUUGCCUUUGCCCUUAGCACCUCGAGGCUUACGGGGUCCCUUGCGCUUGUUUUUGCCUUUGGAGGAUCUAGGAUUGCCAUUCUUGUUGGCAUCCUUUGGUGUCUGUUUCUGAGCAUUUGCAUGUACUUCGGGCAAGGGCUUGGCACCGACAGGGCCUUGAUUGGAGUUCCAUAUGAGGAGCUCAUUGUGCCUCUCAGCCUGAAGUAAUGUUUUAAUGAGAUCAGAAUAGACUGUGAAUCCCCUCUCACGGUAUUGCUGUUGGAGGAUCAUUUGAGCGGGAAGCAUGGUAGACAAAGUCUUUUCAAUUUUCUCCGCAUCAGAUGGCUCCUUUUCACAAAACCUCAGUUUGGAACUGAGUUUGUGCAUGGCAUGGUUAUAUUCAUUCACAGAUUUGAAAUCUUGAAUGCGGAGGUGGUUCCACUCAUGAGUGGCCUCCGGGAGAAUAACUGCCUUUUGUUGCUCAUACCGCUGUUGCAAAGCAAGCCAGAGAGCCCGUGGGUCCUCUUCCAUCAGAUAUUCAGCUUUGAGAUCUGAAUGGAUGUGGUUCCUUAUUAUGUAUAAGGCAUGGUACUUGGAUGGUUCAGGCAAUGGAGCAUCUCCCUGUUUGGGAGUGUCAAUUGCCCUAUACAUUCCGCGUAACGAUAGACUCACUUUGAGAUCCAUCGCCCAUGUAGGGAAGUUGUGUCCAUCAAGAGCUAGCUCGGCAAAUUCCUUCUUAGAAGAAACUUGGGCAUCGGACUCUUUGGUGGCCAUUGCCUACAUGUUUAUUUGCAUAAACUUAAUUAAUUGCGGGGUUGUAAAAUUAACAAGAAUGUAAUUGCAUAUUUAUAUAACAAUGUAAAUUGCGUAUAUAAAAACAAUGUAAAAUUGUAUAUGUAAAGCAAUGUAAAAUUGCGUAUGUAAGACAAUAUAAAAUUGCGUAUGUAAAGCAAUGUAAAAUUGCGUAUGUAAAUAACAAGGUAAACUUGUUUAUGUGUAGCAAGGUAAACUUGCAUAUGUUUUAUGGUAUUUUGAUUUCUCAUUUUGUAGAACAUAGGUAGUCACCAUGGAGGUGUAGACCAUUUUAUGUAUUUCACUUUGGGAUGUAGUCCUUGUAUGUUUAUUAUUAAAUUUGGGAGAGCACUUUGAAGAAUAAAUCCCGCAGUAGUAUGAGUACUACCUUGUGGUCGCCAAAAUAAUAAUAAAGUAAGGUGACAUCUAGUGAAAAAUAAUAUUCCAAAUAGGGAGAAAAAUUGACCAUAAAAAUAUUUACAUAUAUACAUGUGAUAGGGAAUUGUAAAGACAAAACACGUUCGACAUGUAAUAAAUUUUUUUUUUUUCAUUCAUAAUAUGAUUGCGGAAUGUAAAAAUAUUUACAAUGCAAUUUACACCAGGGUCUAAAUUUACAAGAAAGUUAGACUAACAAGCUGAUGUAAUUUAGGGAAUGAAAAAUGCUAUGUAAAUAAAGAAAUUAGCUAAUUCAGAAAAUAAAAUAGCCAAUGAUAACUGGCCCAGGCUGAAAGCUCGCAGGCCCCAACCUGGGCCUGGGCCACCAAUUUGGCCCAAUUUGGGGAGGGGGGGAGGUGGGCCAUAUAUAAACCAGGGGUUAGGGUUUCCAAACCCUAACCCCCAGCCCAACAGCCGCCGCCGCCAGGGUGCUGGGCGGCUCCAAGCCGCCGCCGCCGCCAGGGGGCGCGCCCCUGCGUGUGGGCCCGCGGGGCCACCUCGUGCCGCGCGCCCUUGUGGGGCCAGCGCAGAGGAUUGGCUGGCCAUUCCGGUCGGGGCACAGAGGGCCGCGUCGUCGCGAGCUUCGCAGCCGCGGGCGGAGUCGCGCGCUCGCCGAGGCCGCCGCCGUCGUGCCGCGUGCCGCUCGUGGGCCGCACCGUGCGGGCGCGUGGAGAAGCCGCGGAGGCCGCGCAGCUUCGUCGAGCCCCCGCCUUGGUCCCCAGUCACGCUCGCGCACGGGUCCGGCGAGCCGUUCAGCCGCGGCGAGGUCGCGCGCGGCCGCGGUGGCCACCGGGCACGCACGUCACCCGGUGCGGUUGCGGGUGCAGCCGCGUCGAGGAAGGCGCGCAGGGGCCAGGCGGUGCCGCGCCAAGCCGCGGCGAGGGGAGGGGCCGCCUGCUGUGUCAUGGCCGCGAGGGCGGCUGCCGAGGCCGCGGUCAGGGCCGCGAGCCCAGGGUCGAGGCCGCAACCGCGUGGAAGACGGCCGAGCUGAGCAGCCGUAGCGCCUCCUCCUCCCCCUCUCCCCAUUGACGUUCUCAGGCCGACGGAGCGCGUCCUCGAGCCGAUGGCCCGUGGGGGACGCUGAUCCACGUGCGGCGGAGACGCGCAGGAGGAGGUGGUAGCGGCGGUGGUGGUGCAGCGAGCGCCGGGUCGACGAAGUAUGCUGGCAGACGAGUCGGCGCCGACAUCCGCGCCGCGAUGGUUGGUGGAGAUGGGCGGCGCGGAGGCGGGCUGUGUGCAGCCUGCUCAGAAGACGGCGUCGGCGUCGGGUACCGAAUCGGCGACUGCGGCUCUAUGCCCAGUGACAGCCAUUGGCUGGCCACCAUGGAUGGUGGCGGUGGUGGGCACGGGCCGUCGCCGUGGAGCGGGCACCGAGGCCGGGGUGGAGCCGGCAAGGCGAGGACCGGCGCUGGAGGCGCCGGUGGAGUUGGUGCCCUCGAUGGUGGCGCCGCGGGCGGAACCGCGGAUGGCGCCGCGGGCGGAGCCGCGGAUGGCGCCGCGGGUGAAGCCGUGGACGACACCACCGAACGUCGUGACGGAGGGCCGACGUUUGCAUGUCGGUUUCCCCCGAAACGACGUCGUACAGGAAAACGCCCGGGGUUCCUGUUGAGAUCACGGCGUUCGCCACGAAGGCGAUAGCCGCGAGCCUCGCCAAGGAGUUCCCGGAUGUCCUCCAGUAGUUCCGCCUGAAGGCGGUUGUUGCCGAAGUGUGUGCCCAAUGUCCGGGCACGGUUCAUCGCCAUCCAGACGAUUUGGAGGAUGAGGGAAGCCAUUGAGGCAGGAUUACGGCGAGGGAAAGGCAUGAUUCUACCUUGGGGUGAUGCCCUAGGCGAAGGUCGAUCCCUCGACGAUGUUCUAUCCAACCGAGCUAUUCCCCUCUGGGGGAGGGGAGAGCGAUGUGCUGAUAACGUGUUACGAGUAGAAUGCGAGAGUACGAGAACAGAGAGGAAUAGAAUGAACUCGGGGUGUUUGUUUAUUCAUUGAUCACGGGUAUUUAUACAGUCGGGGGGGAGAGGAAACUCUCGCCCCAAGUAAACUCGUGCCCACGAUGAGUCGUGGGUGAUAUCACGGAGGUGGAACCGGUCUCCACGGGUACGUGCGUAGUCGUGGGUGAUAUCCCGUAGGCCGUCGUGGGGGAAGUCGUAGUUAGGAUAGAUCUCCCGUAAAGGGAAUCCGAGGAGAUGAGAUCACCCCGGAAAAUAUCCGUAACACACCUCACUGCGCUCCUGAAAGUGGCAGCGGAUCAUCCUAUUUUGACCUUUCGUUUGGUUUGAGGCAUUGUUUAGUUUCGAAAAGAUUUCGAAUUUUAAUACUGUAGUAUUUUCGUUUGUUUGUGGCAAAUAUUAUUCAAUUAUAAACUAACUAGGCUUAAAAGAUUCGUCUCGUAAAUUACAGACAAACUAUAUAAUUAGUUUUUAUUUUUUUCUAUAUUUAGUGCUUCAUGUAUGUGCCAUAAGAUUUGAUGUAACAGAAAAUCUUAAAAAGUUUUUGAAUUUCUAGGUGAACUAAACAAGGCCUGAGAAACGGAAAGUACUAAAUAGUUCCUAGAGAGCAGGUCAGCUAGUGUCGACAAGUGCACUGAAUCUUCGAUGCUGUAACAGGCCAUGACAUUAUUUUGAUGGACCGACCGAAUCAAUGUUAAAGAUUAGGCUUUCUUCGAUGAUGAGUGUCUUCUCAAGUUUUCAAGGUCCUGAUUUCACGUACAUGCAAAUAUUGUUUAUUAUACGUGAUAAAAGGAUGGAUUGUUCCUACGUAACUUAAGUUAGGUCUUGUUUAGUUCAACCAAAAAUAAAAAACUUUUCAAGAUUUCCUGUCACAUCGAAUCUUGUGUCACAUGCAUGUAGUACUAAUUGCACAGUUUGCUUUUAAAUCACGAGAUGAAUCUUUUGAUCCUAGUUAGUCCAUAAUUAGAUAAUAUUUGUCAAAUAAAAACGAAAAUACUACCGUGUCAAAAUCCGAAAUCUUUUCGGAACUAAACGAGGCCUUAUUUUCUUGGGACGUACGAUUUCGGUUGCAAUGGACAGCCAGUAUUCGCUAGUCUGUCUAGUGGCUUUCACGGGGGCAGGUCUGACGGGCGAAGCCACGAAGGUGACUCCAAGAAACCAAACACCAGAGUACGCACGCAAUGGAUGCGCGAUGAACUAAACAGGCUUCAUCCUAGAGUUUACAGUUGUACUCCCUCUGUCCCGUUACGGGACGUGUGCCAGUCCAACAUUGUCAAUUUUGAUUAGGUUUGUAUAAAAUAAAUGUUAUAUUUUUAUCUAUAAAUAAAUUUAUUAGAAAAGUAUAUCAACUAUCUAUAUAACAAUAUUAAUUAUGUAACCUAAAUAUUAAUAUUUUUUAUAUAUAAUUAAUCAAAGUUUGGAAAAGUUAACUUAUCUUGAAGUGAGAAUGACUUCUAUUUUUGACAGAGGGGGUAGGUGACAAAGUGGAAACUGAAAUUCACCGCAAGGAUUUAACAAUUGUACUAGGUGACAAAGUUGAAAACUGAAAUGUACACGAAAGAUAGGAUCUUUCUUCUUUUUUUUUUAAUAUAGUCGAUAGUUGUCUACUUUGUUAACUAACCCGUUCACUUUUAUCAGCCGUACUUUUUAUAUCAGCUAAUAAUAUUUUUCUCUUAUAAUAAAUCAACCGACAAUAAUUUUAGUUAUGAUUUUUUAGACGAACGAACUUGCUAACCGGUUCUCAAACUCUUACCCUGCUACGAGCUCUUCUGCAUUUUUUUUAAUUGCUACAUGCUCUUCCGCUUUGCAGACUUAACGCGUCAGCUCUCACUGUCACUGCUUUCAAGCUGCCGGUCAAUUGACUUGACUUUGCGAGCGCAAAGAAUGGAUGUAGGGGCUUAAAGUUUACUUCACGUCACAUCGAUUGUUGUAGAAUUAGACAUGAGCUAAUUAUAAAACUAAUUAUAGAAACCAUGGCUAAUUUAUGAAAAAAAUCUAUAAACCUAACUAAUAUAUUAUUAACACAUAUUUACUAUAACACUAUAUUAUUAAAUCAUACGCUAAUUAGAUUUAAUAGAUUUAUCUUGUAAAUUGGUCGCAAUUUGUAUAAUUAGUUUUGUAAUUAAUCUAUAUUUAAUACUCUAAAUUAAUAUCAAAAUGAUAAGGAGAACCAAAUACUCCUACUCCGUAAGCUACAACAGUGACACCGGCAGUCGGCACACGGAUGACUUGACCAAAGAGUCAUGGUCGGCGGCGCAAGUGGCCAAGCGCAUGCAUCGAAUUUUCGGGCGGGGUGCUCUCUGCUCUGCUUCGCCCGUAACGCCGUGUGGAGCACGGUCUGGAUUUUUCAUCGUGAGAAGAUAACAACGUUCCCUGUUCUGCUUCGGCCAUAAAGUACUCCCCAUCUCUUCUGCCAGGCCCCAGGGUACGGUAACCCGGGAAGAGGAGGCGAGGAGACGGUCACCCAGCCGGGUUGCCUCCCGCACUCCCGCAGGCGUUGCCGCCUGGCUCCCCGAGCACGGCGAUUAGCUAGGCCAAGACCGCGCGUCGCCUCUCCUACUCCUACUACUGCUAGUGGUAAGAUGAAAGGCCUUCCGCCUCCCUAGUUCCUCUAGAUCUGAUGUACGUAAGGGAUGUCCUCUGCAAUCGUUCCUUCACACUCCUGCUUUGGAGCAGCUUGUCUAAUGAUCAGAAUAAAGGAAUGGGAACCGUGGGCACGGAUUAUAAACUACCAUCUACUGGGCUGGGCGAUCUCCUUGCUCUAAGAGCAUCUAGGCCUUGUUUAGAUGUGUUUUUUUUUUGAUUUUGCUACUGUAGCACUUUCGUUUGUUUAUGAUAAAUAUUGUCCAAUCAUAGACUAACUAGUGUCAAAAGAUUUGUCUCGUGAUUUUACAGGCAAACUAUAUAGUUAGUUUUUGUUUUCGUCUAUAUUUAAUGUUUCAUACAUGUGCCGCAAAAUUUGAUGUGACGGGAAAUUUUGAAUUUUUUUUAUUUUUAGGGUGAACUAAAUAAGGCCCUAAUUUAGUAGUGGAGACAAAAACUCAGCUCCAUUAGACCGCUACUAGGCCCCCUAAAUUUAUUGGCAUCCUAUUUAUUUCUUUAUUCUUGUAAGAGUAUCUUGAGCACUGCUAUCUAAAACAGAUCCUCUACUUUCAUAUUUAAGUAGCCAAUCUACUUUUAUGGGCCUGUUUUUUUUCCUAUUUUUUACAAGAUCUAUCUAAAUCUGGGUCCUUAAAUUUAUCCUAACACAUGAUGACAUAAGGGGUCCACUUAUCAUACUCUCCUCUUCCCUUUCUCCAACUGAGGAUGGUGAGCUACCAUGGAGGCAGAGUGCCGACGAUAGGUGCCUCGCUGCCUCCCCUGGGAGCAGGACUGACGGAGAGAGAAUAAAGCCUUGUUUAGUUUCAAAAAAUUUUGGAAAAACGACACCGUAACAUUUUCGUUUUUAUUUGACAAACAUUGUACAAUCAUAGAGUAAUUAUAUUUAAAAGAUUUGUCUCGUGAUUUACAGACAAACUGUGUAAUUACUUUUUAUUUUUAUCUAUAUUUAAUACUUCAUGUAUAUGCAGUAAAAUUCGAUGUGACGGAAAAUCUUAAAAAAUUUUGAGUUUUUGAGAUGAACUAAACAAGGCCUGGCUGCAAUUGAGGCUAGAUAUGGUGGCGAGGCAUAGGGUGGCGGCAUGAGAAGAAGCGAGAGUGGGAGUUCGCACGUGGGAGAGAAACUAUUGAAGAAAAAAAAAAUAGGUGCUCAUCUCUUAGACGGGUGUUCGGUUGAAAGUGUUAAAGUUUAACAGGUACUGUAGCAUUUUUUUAUUUACUAUUUUCGUUUUAUUUAGCAAUUAAUAUCCAAUCAUGGAUUAAUUAGGCUCAAAAUAUUUGUCUCGCAAAUUAUUUUCUAGUUGUUUCUGUAGUUUCGUAAAUAGUCUAUAUUUAAUACUUCAUGCAUGUAUCUAAACAUUUGAUGUGAUAGGUGGUAAAGUUUACCGCCUCCAACUAAACAAGGUCUUAGGCCAACAAAUGUGGAUAGUAGGAGAAAAAAAAAGUAAGGGGCAACACAAGUAGAGUCCUAGUAGGUAGACUGUUAAAAUAUUUUUUUUGCUUCAAUAUUCAAAAAUAGAAGGGUCCUGUGUUACGGCCUUGUUUAGAUGUGGAAAUUUUUUGGAUUUCGCUGUUGUAGUACUUUCGUUUAUUUGUAACAAAUAUUGUCCAAUUAUAAAAUAACUAGGAUUAAAAGAUUCGUCUCGCGAUUUACAGACAAACUGUAUAAUUAAUUUUUACUUUUGUCUAAACAAGGCCUAAAUAACCUACUCGAAUGCUCUCCUACGUACUCAGCCACCAAUUUUUUUCCUUCAACCUUUCUUCCCAACCUGAAACUGCUCCCGAUGCGCCCCUUCCGCUCCACAGCCUUCCCUUCCCUAGCGCUUCCUAGGCCUUGUUUAGAUACACCCAAAAACCCAAAAUUUUAUAAGAUUCCCCAUCACAUCGAAUCUUGCGGCGCAUACAUGUAACAUUAAAUAUAGAUAAAAAAGAUAACUAAUUGCACAGUUUACAUGUAAAUCACGAGAUGAAUCUUUUAAGCCUAGUUACUCUAUGAUUGGACCAUAUUUGUCAAAUAAAAACGAAAGUGCUAUAGUGUCAAAAUACAAAAAGUUUUUAGAUCUAAACAAGCCCUAGUCGGCGUGGCGACCUUCCUCGACGGCUCGAGGCAGCAGCCAUGGCUCGCACGUGGGUGCAGGCGCGAUGUGUCAGCCGUGCCCCUGCGCGGACGCAAGCGCACCUCAGAGCAAAGAUUAUAAAGAUUAUAGUGGGUUGUAAUGCAAAACCCUUGAAGAUGAGGGUUUUGCAUUUGAGGUUUGCAUUUGAGUAAUUUGCUAAAAAGCUUUAAAAGAGGUAUCCAACGGUUUUGCAUUUGGAGUUUGCAAUUUGGACAACUUGGCAAAUGAGAGAGCAAACUUGGUAAAAAUGUCAAGCUAUGGACGACUUUGCAAACCCAAUCGCUCAAGCAAAGUCACGCGCGAGAAAAGCGCGCGCGCCUGGAGACCUUCUAUUUUUAUCCUUUGCCAAGUCCAAAUGCCAAUUUCUUUGGAGAUGAUCUAUUUUUAUCCUUUGCAUUUUGUUAUAGGAGUUUGCAAAUAGCAACAAAUGCCAAGUCAAUUUGCCAAAGCCUUUGGAGAUGCUCUUAAAGCUGGCUAAAUAUUGAGAUGAAGAAGAAAAGAGAGGAGAAAGAAGAGAAACAGGCUAUAAGGUUAUAAACAGCUUAGACACAGGAACAAAAAAAACUUUGUGAGAAAUAUAAGUGAGACCAUAUAUUUAUAGUGAAUAACUAACUAUUAUAUGAGUAGACUAAAAUAAAGUAAUAAAAAACCUUACAGCCAAUAAAUAGAAUGUAUUAUUAAACUUGCUCUCAACUCCUCGCCGCCACCAUGCCUCGAUUCCAGCACCUCGACACUGGCGACCUCUCCAUGAUGUCUAUGGCAACAACAUGAAAGAGGAUCACAUGUGCGUCCCACGUGUCAUUCUCUACUAGCAUGGGUUUGAGAGGUCUAUUUUAGGUAGGCCUUGUUUAGUUCCUUUCCGAAAUUUUUUCGGUACAUUGUAGCAAUUUCGUUUGUUUGUGAUAAUUAUUGUCCAAUCAUGAACUAACUAGACUCAAAAAAUUCGUUUCGUAAAUUUCGAUCAAACUGUGCAAUUAGUUUUUAUUUUCGUUUAUAUUUAAUACUCUAUGCAUGCGUCUAAAGAUUCGAUGUGACGGAGAAUCUUGAAAAGUUUUUGGAUUUUGGGUGGAAGUAAACAAGGCCUUAGUUCACCCAAAAAACUAAAAACUUUUCAAGAUUCUCCAUCACAUCGAAUCUUGUGGCACAUGCAUGGAGUAUUAAAUAUAGAUAAAAAUAAAAACUAAUUACUCCCUCCAUAUAAAAAAGAAAGUCGUUUUAGGACAGAAUUUAGCAUACCAAGGAGAGAUUAAUUAGGAUGAAGUUUUUCCUGUUUUUCUCUAAUAAAUACAGCUUCACGUGCAUUCUUUUUAAGAAAGUUUCGUAGACCAACUGGCUAGCGACGACGUUUUUUCCGUAAUCCUGUUCCGAGGCAGAACGACGUUCUUUUUUUAUAUGGAGGGAGUAUGUAAAUUACUCAAUGAAUCUUUUAAGCCUAAUUACUUCAUAAUUAGACGAUAUUUGUCAAAUGAAAACAAAAACGCUACCGUGUCAAAAUCUAAUAACUUUUUGAUCUAAAUAAGGCUCUAGUUUCUCUAGAGAAAAAAUAAAAGAGUAGUAUUCACAUGGGUGGUUACCUAAACAGUAGAGGAGUGAUUUAAAAAAAUAGCAGAGGAUCGGUCUGGGAUUGCAUUGGAGGAGAUGCUGAUGGUGGAGGGGAGCUUGGCAGACAGCUAGAUACUCCAUACCUAUACUUCUAGGGCCUAGUUCAUCAAAAACCAAAAACUUUUCAAAAGUUCUCGUCACAUCAAAUCUUGCGGUAUAUGUAUAGAACAUUAAAUAUAGAUAAACAUAAAAACUAAUUAUAACUGUCCGUAAAUCGCGAGAUGAAUCUUUUAAGUCUAGUUAUUCUAUGAUUGGACAAUGUUUGUUAAAUAAAAAAUGGUACAGUAUCGAAAUCUAAAAUUUUUUCGGAUCUAAACAAGGCCUUGUUUAGUUCCCAAAAUAUUUUGUAAAAUUUUUCAUAUCAAAUUUUGAAGCACAUGCAUAAAGCUAAAUAUAGAUAAAAGAAAUAACUAAUUACAUAAUUUACCUGUAAUUUGCGGGACAAAUCUUUUGAAUCUAAUUAAUCUAUGAUGGAUAAUAUUUAUCAAAUAUAAACGAAUACUACUAUUUUUAUUUUGCAAAUUUUUUGAAAGUAAACAAAUGGCCUCCAAAAUCUUCACAUAACGCGCGCGCUGUGCACAACGUCGUCACGUACAGAAACGAUGCCGGGGAGGAGGAAGAAGAAGAACAGUGCACCGGCAAGGUUAGGGUUUGGGGUGUAGCUUGGGUACCUCCAAUGAACUCCGGGCUUAGAAGAGAAGGCCUUGGGGCGGCGGUUGGACGGGCGGUGUGAGACAACCAGUUGGCUUGACCAGUUGACCGCUUGAGCCGGCGAUGGGGGCGAGGACCGAGAGGAACAAGAUUUUUUUUCCUCCUAUAUAGGGAUUAGGUGAGGGCGGGGGUGGGCGGCGCAACGAUUCCGAUUCAGAUUAGGGGAAGGCGGGCUGGAGCGACGGAGGUGGUUGGCUGGCGGCGCGGCCAGCGGCGAGGGCGCCGCUGGCUGGGGGCGGCAGCGGGGGAGCAGAAUGGCUCCACAAAGAGGAAGAAUAGAGGAAGAACAGGGAAGAAGAAAGAACCCGUGCGCUGAUAAAGAGUCCUAUGUGGCAUCACCUCUGCUGCUAGUUCCUUACUCCACACACGUUCUGGUUUCCGGCAGGGUACUCGUUCGCGUCCGACGAUGGACGCCGUGGUGGAUUUGUUCAGCAAGCUCGCUGAUGUCACCUUUAACGCCGCUUGGAAAGAGAUUACUAGGCAGCUGAAAUUCAGUGAAGAUUUGGGGAGCAUCAAGGACAAUCUGUCCCUCAUUCAAUCAUUCCUCAGGGACGCGGAGAGGCAGUCAUCAAAGCUGCAGAGCGUCCGACACACGCUAAAGAAGCUCAAGGCUGCAGCUUAUGACUUGGAGGAUAUGCUACUGCUCUUCGAGUCCUGGACCACCACCCACAAGGGUGAAGUCCUUCCACUUAGCGCCAAGGCUACAAAGGUCAGUUGCCACUUGCCAUCUAUAAUACUUCAAAGCUAAACUGUGGUAUCUUAUGAUGAACUCUGUACGUUGUGUGGCAUUUAUUGACAGCAGGAAUUAGUUGCAUGCUCUGAAAGGUUGAAGAUGCCUCAUAAAUUGAAAAGAAUGAGGGAAACAAUAGAGGAGAUAAUAGAUCACCAGAACAAAUUCAACUUCAUAGAAGACACUAGAAAGAACGACGAAGAAGUGUUCAGGAAACGUGAGACAUUUUCAGAUGCUGAUGAAGUCCCCAUUGGGAGGAUUGAAGAAAAAGAAAGAAUAAUCAGUAUGCUGCAAGCAGAUGAUUCAAACUUUUUCAUCGUUUUUAUUUAUGGUUUUGGAGGAGUAGGUAAAACUACUCUUGCCCAGAUGGUCUUCAAUGAUGAUAGAACAAUGCAAUUCUUUGACUUCCAAGUGUGGGUCUAUGUCUCUCUAAAAUUCGAUAUCAAGACCAUCGGUCAAUCUAUCAUCUCCCAACUGGAUAAAUCAAGUAGCUCUGCAGAUAUCACCUUACAAGCUACACGGGACCGCUUGAAAACUAUUGUUAAAGGGCAACGGUUUCUUAUUGUUCUGGAUGACCUAUGGGAAGAAGAUCCAGAUGAGUUGGAAAAACUAAGGACACUGCUGCGGGGUGCUAAAGCAGGCAGCAAGAUCAUUGCAACCACACGCAGUGUAAAAGUUGCUAAGCUAAUGAAUGGAAGUUUGACAAUAGAAUUAGGUGCUUUGCCGGACAAUUGCUGCUGGGAGUUGUUCAGAGCAAAGGCAUUUCCACAUGGAAAGGUGGAUGCUGAUAAGGAAAGUAUAGGAAGAGAGAUAGUAAAUAAAUGCAGCGGAAUGCCACUAGCAGCAAAUUCUCUGGGUCGCCUUUGCCGUAGAACUGAUGAAUGGAAAGCUAUACGGGAUAGUGAUAUCUGGGCAGAAGAUGGAGAUGAUGUACCUUUCAUAGACACCAAAGUACUACCAUCACUGAAGCUUAGUUAUCAAUACAUGCCUUAUCAUCUCAAACCCUGUUUUGCAUAUUGUGCUGUUUUUCCUAAAGGCUCCCACAUAGAGAAGAGCAGCUUGAUUCAGCAGUGGAUUGCUCUUGGAUUUGUUCAGCUCCCUGCUGCUUGUCAGUCGUUCACCGUUCAACAAGCUGGAGAAAGAUACUUUGAGGAGCUUCGUGAGAUGUCAUUUCUUCAGGAUGUAGCUGGAAUGUCUCCAACUGUAAGUCCUUGAUUUCUUUUACUUCUUACUAUUUGAUGUCAAAGUUCUAUUUAGGUAGUCUCAUCUAGUUCCACUAUAAAAAAAGGCAAUCUAUGUCAAUUAUGUUCUUCUUUUUUUAUAAUACAUGCUACCAUGCAAGUUAAUUAUGACUAAACUUGGGCAAGGUAGUUUACUAACAUGGGUUCAAUUUCAUCUUUCAGCCAUUUGCAAGAUAUAACGAACCUCGAGGUGUACAAUUCCAGAUGCAUGAUUUGGUUCAUGAUCUAGCUAGAUUAGUUGCAGGUGAUGAAGUUAUUGCCUUUGAUGCUAAUAGGCAACAAAAGCCUCAUGGUAAUACAGACAACUGCCGACACAUGUUGCUCUCAAAUUUAUGUGACUCAUCCCUAUAUUAUUGGUCUAUACCUAGCACAGCAAGGGCUCUUCGUUUUGAGAAGUGCAGCAUUGCUCAGACUAGUUUGAAGUCUUUGAUGGGAGCUGAAUUCUUACGUGUACUGGAUUUAAGUACAUGUACUACUAUUGCCAAUCUACCUGAUUCUAUCAACAAUUUUAGACUGUUGAAGUUCUUAAAUAUAUCUGGAAUGCAAACUGGCCUUUUGCCCAAGUCCCUAAGCUCCUUGCAUGGUUUACUAGCAUUGAAUCUUUCUGAAAAUACUGGCCUUGUUGAUAUUCCCAGUUACAUUUGUGAAUUUGUCAACCUACACUAUUUGGAUCUACAUGGCUGCUCAAAUCUUAGAGAGCUGCCACAAGAAAUUCAUAUACUCAAAGAGCUGCUACACCUGAACCUAUCAGGAUGUGGUAGCCUACAAUCUCUGCCUAAUGAGUUUGGGGAGCUUCGAAAACUCUCAUUCCUCGACCUUUCAUAUUGUUCUCAGCUUCAAUCGCUUCCUUCAAAGUUUGGUGGGCUUCAGGAACUUUCGUUUCUCAACCUGUUGCAUUGUUACCAACUUUGUGAGCUGUCUGAUUCUUUCAUUUACCUUGCAAAUAUGAUACAUCUGAAUAUGUCCUUCUGCCACCAGUUGAAACUAUUGCCUAGUGGGUUAUUCAAGUACAUGAAGAAGCUUCUAGGUUUGAAUUUGUCUGGCUGUACCUCUCUUGAAGUUCUUCCUGAAGUUUGUGAGAAUGAUGCUGGCUGCCCGAUGUUGGAAACUUUGGACUUAUCAAAUUGUACUAAUCUGGCUGCCCUUCCAAAUUCCUGCACCAGUCUUUGUGAGCUCCGGUAUUUAAAUCUAUCAGGUUGUUCUCGAAUUAACAACUUUCUAAAUUUGAUUCCACACUGGAAAUUCGAUAAGUUGGAAUACCUAAAUCUCUCUGGGUUUGAUGCAAAAACUUAUCCUGAAGCUCCAGGAACCUCUGUGGCAAAUGUAGAGAGUUCAGAAGAUCUCAAUAGAGAACUAGAGCUAGGCAUGCUGCAAGAGGAUAUCAUCACCCAACGUUUGCAUCAUCUUAAGUACCUAUCAGUUGGAGGGUUCACACUCUUCUCAAAACAAGGCAUUGCAAGCUUGGUAGACCUUCUAACCUUGCCCAACUUUAAUGUACAGGCACAACCUGCAGACAACCACAGCAAUAUUAUGCUUCUCCAGCAGAUCCUGGAUCUCACACAUCAUGAGCUAAACAUCAAAUGCCUUGAGAAUGUGGUGUCGCCAGAGGAAGCAAAGAAAGUGGAACUGAGCAGGAAGCAACAGCUUCAUUUCUUGAGUUUUGAAUGGUCUUGUUUUUUGUCUUCUUUGACACCUGAUGGGACUGGUGAGGAAAAGGCUAUGGCAGUUUUGGAACAUUUCAGGCCCUAUUACAAUUUACAGUGCCUCUCUUUAAAAGGCUACAACGGAACCAGAUUUCCUAAUUGGGUUAACAAGAUAGAUGACACACUCCCAAAUCUGGUGAAAAUUGUAUUGUCCAAUAUCAAAUGGUGUGACCAUAUUCCUACAUUGGGACAUUUACCAAAUCUACAGGAACUGGAGAUUAAUGAUAUGCCUCUGCUUCGGCAUGCACGAAUUGUACCAUGCAAGAAGUUAAGACGGCUGACAUUGGUUGGACUGCAAGACAUCACUGUACUUAUAUUUUAUGAUUACAACUCAGAAACACAAGUAAAUGAUGUGCACGAGACAGGAGUACAUGAGGUGGUAUUAUGUUGUGACUUCGAUGAGGAAGAGAGAGAAACAAGAGAUUCUCUUCCCAUAAGUAAGCAAGUCAAAAGAAAGGCAGCGGCAGCAGGCCUUGUAGCAAAGGUUAAGGGUUGUUUAAAAGCUCCACGCUGUGGCACGUCGACAGAAACAAAGAGAAUACACUACAUUGGUGCUGGAAAUGACGCACCUGCUGUCACCUGCAAGCCAGUACUAACUCCAGCUCCCUCUAAAGAAAGAAGAGAACAGGCAGCAGGCCCUACACUUGAUUAUUUGAAGAUAGAAAGCUGUCAUAAUCUAAAACUGCAUCCAUAUAUCCCUAUGUGCAAGGAGUACUUCGUCAAGAAUAGCUUUCUCAAUCUGGAUCAUAUCGAGGAAGAUGCCAUAGGUAUCCAAAGAUAUGAUAUGUUGCCUUUGAAUCCCACAUUCAAAUCAAAAAUGUGGAUAGAGGACUGUGUUGAAAGACAUGAUGAUUCUGUAAAAUGGAUUAUGAAAGUAGUUACAAACACCAACGUGGAGGAGCUUUUUAUCACUAGAUGCUACAUCAUUGCCAGACCGCCCAUAAUAGAGGAGCGGCCUUUUGGAACCCUUCGGAAAGUCAAGAUAACAGAUUGCACGGGGCCGUUUCCUAAAAUAUUGGCUCUAUUCACAUCACUACAGGAAAUUGAAGUCAAUUCCAUCCGCAACUCCUUCUGGCGUGACUCACUGCAUAAAAUGACCAGAUUGGAAAAAUUGACUACACCAUCUCCUGAACUUCUUGUUUCAAUGUUGUCCGGUUAUCAUCAUAUUCCGUAUGUCAAUACGAAGGAGGUAAAUUGCCCCUAUUUCCUUUUUUAAAAGAAUUAAAAUGUUUAAUUUACUUCUUGGCCCCAGCACAGGAACAUUGUCCAGAAAGCACCCAAAACUAACUUUAUGUUCAAUUUAUCUCUCAAGAUAUUUCAGUUGGUCUAAUCUACCAUUUAGUAAGAUUUUCCUUUCUUGUUUCUCCACAUGUAAGUUGAAUUUUAAGUUUCAAUCUUGUAGGUUGAAAGAAAUCAUAUUUUAUGUUACAAAAAUAUAUUAUGAAUGUUCACCAUUAAUUUUUAAUAACUUAGGCGUCUAUAAUAAAUUAAUCCUACAUACAAAAUUGUACAAAAAUUAUGAUGAAAAUGUGAAUGUAUUUUUCUAACAUAACUACAUAAGUUAUGAUGUUUGGUACUGGAAAACAUCUCAAGCAGCCCCCUUAGUUUAAAUAUAUGCAAUUCAUGUACAAAUCCCGCGCACCUUCUGAAAAUAUCUCCCAAGACUAAGCACAAAAUUUAUAUACAUUAUUACCUCAUUCUAAAACAUAAGAAUUCUUAGUUUAUCCCAAGUCAAAUUGUUUUAAGCUUGACCAAUAUAAUAAUUUUUUGUAUUGAAUGGGUAUUUUGUCAAACUUAUGACAAUUGAACUUUGGACAAACUCAUGUUCCCUUGUAUUUUAGGACGUCCAUACUAAUAGAGUAACCAUUUGUGAAAAGACUUGUCCUAACCAAACAAAGCAUAGCUUGCAUUCUGUCCUAUGCACAUUAAAUCAUUAACCAACUGCCUCGUUUAGCCCUGUUUAGUUAAUCCCCUUUCCAAUGUGAUUCGAGAGGAUACAGGAGAUUUUAACUUAUAAGAAAUUUAUUAAUCCUCCUCAAUUCAUUUUCAUCCCUCUAAUCCCUUCAAACCAAAUAAAUAGCAUUAACAAAGUUGAAGGAAGGGUUUGUUUUCCUUAUCCACAAAAGAAUAUCUUCACAUAUGUGUUUUUUUUUAAAAAAUACCAUUCAAAAAAUAGAUUUUUAAAAUAACCUACCCUCAAAAGUAUUUUAAAAUAUAAUCCGUUUGGCCACACCUGUCCACUUGUCGCGAAAAAAAAAAACGCUACCAUGCCACAUGCAUUGGCUCGGGAAAUCUGCCACACUGGUGGCAGGUGCGUACAAAGCGUGCUCAUGUCGUAUCAGAGGGAGUGACGUGACAAAAACAUAGUGUCAUGCCAUAAGGAUUUGCCCAACAGGAUCGAUUCAUUUCCCCAAAAAAAAAAUAGUAAUCAGACUUGAAAUCCUACGAAACCGACAUGUGCAUUGUACAUAGUGUAAUGUUCCAUUUUGGUGAUAUGCACAAAACCAAGCGUUAUAAUUUUUGAAAUAUCUAAUUUGAAAGUAGGAUGUAUUAAUGCUGCGACGAGAGAAUGAGUUUCCCAAUAUUGGAAAUAAAUAUUCAAUCUAUUAUCCUUUCCUCAAAUUUAUUUAGGUUGAAUAUAAAUAUUUUAAGAUUUUGAUUGGGUUGCAGUAUGAUAUGUAGUUGUUCCAUUUUAACUAUAAUGACAUCAUCAAUUGUUGUAAAAUUAUAGUUAUUUAAUUGAAUUGUGCUAAAAAAUAUAUCUAAGUUGGACUAUUUAUCAAAGUUUUUAAUGAUCGAAUAUUUAGAUACUCUUAAGAAAUUGUAAGAUCUACUCGAAUUUAAUCAAAACUCUGACAUGGAUAAAAAUUUCGGUGUGGUCAUUCAAUUUCGCUAACAUACACGAUAGCAUUUGUAUAUGUUCAAAAUCGCCAAUAUCACCAUGGGAGUCGGAUGGCUAUCGUAUGCAUACUAAUGUCGGUAGUAGUUUAUUUAGUUUUAAAUGUUGAAUGUGGUACAAUGCAGGUGGCUCUUUUUAGCGUAAGACCAAAGCGGAGUUGGGUGUACAGGAAUCCACUUUUAAUUUUUGACAGCUACAGGCAGCAGCUACAUUGGAAAGAAGCACUGGAGGAGGAAGAAUUAGAAAAACUAGAAGAAGAGGGAGACAAGAAAGAGGAGGAAGAUCCCCUCAGGCACUGGGUUCACCGGAAAAAAGAGAUGGAAGAGAAUGAAACACAAGGGGAAGAGCACCCCCUACAGUUUACCACUGGCUCUGCCACUAAUUGCUCCAAUAACUUCUCCCUUCUAUAUCAAUACCAUGACUACAAAAUUGAGCAGAUAACUAUCCAGAAUCUUGAGCAUGUGGAGAGAGCAGAGGAAGUAAGCGGGCAAGGCCAGUUGUCCCAAUAUCGGCAACUGCAGUCACUGAGUUUGAUGUGGUCUAGCAGCAGUUUACCACAGGAUUCAAGCAUAGUUAAUGACUUUCUGAUUCUUGAAAAACUCCAGCCUCAUGGGACCCUAAAAACACUUCGAAUACAAGGCUAUAGGAGUCGUACAUUGUGCUCCUGGGUGAUGGAUAUAAGUAUUUCCCUUCCAAAUCUUGUGAAAGUUGAGCUGUCUGACAUGAUAUUGUGUGAGCAUAUCCCUUUAUUAGGCAAAUUAGCAAACCUGGAAGAGCUGUGCAUCUCAAAUAUUCCUUGUGUCACCAAAGUUGAUGCUGCUAUAUAUGGAGACAAGACACCAUUAUUUAGGAAACUCAGAGAAUUUACAAUCAAGAAAAUGAAUGGCCUUGAGAAGUGGGAACUUCUUCAGUACUGUGUUAAUCUGGAGCAACUGAGUAUUCGUUCCUGUAUCGACCUUACUACCUUGCCAGAUAGCAUCCGAAGCUGCCUCUUCCUCAGCAAAUUAGAGGUACUAGAAUGUUGGAAUUUUUCUGCUUUACCAGAAUGGAUUGGAGAACUCGUAUCACUGCGUGAGCUGUGUGUACAUGCUGCCAAACUCGAGCGAUUGCCCCAAUCCAUUCAAGACCUCAGUGCUUUGGAGAAGCUGGUCCUUAAGAAGUGCAACUACAGACUCCGCAAACGUUGCACAUCAGGAGAGGACAAAGAUAAGAUAAAACACAUUGGAAGUGUAGAUAUAACUCAGGUAAAUUACUCUGCAUGUCUAUAUGUAUGACUUAUAUUCAGCUGUACAUAAAAUAAUAAUUCGGCCAUCCCUUUUAUUUCUUCUUGUCUUUGAAAAUGCAGAGCCCUUUUCUCUUGGUCCGUUCAAAUGAUAUGUUUAUGGAGAGGAUUUGUAGUCCCCAGCUUAUUGAAAUACAUAUUGUGUGUUCUAAAUACGAUAAAGUAUCCUCGCUUGAUGUAAAAAAGCUUCACCCUUAUGACUCGCUCGAAAUACUUAGCUUAAAGGGAUAUUAUGGUGCAUAUAACCCUCUUUGGAUGUCAUCACUCCCAAACCUUGUGAAAUUAGAGCUCACUAGUGUGGUACUUGAACAUAUCCAUCUGGAUCAGUUACCAAACCUUGUGAAAUUGGAGCUCUCCAGUGUGGGAUUUGAACACCUCCGUCUGGAUCAGUUACAGAGCCUCCAAGAGCUACACAUUUCACGGGUACAGAGCAUAGGGUCAAAAGUCUGCAUCUGGUGCACAGAACCACUUAGAAAGCUCAGAAGAAUUACAAUGUCCGAAUUAACCAACCAGGGGUUGCAAAUAUCCAUGGAGCGGCAGGGUCAUAGCAAUGAGAAUUUGUUUCCAGGCCUUCAAGAUCUGGAGAUACACUGUUGUUCUAUGUUGAGGUUUGAACCAUCAAUCCCAAGGAGUGGCAGGUACAUCUUAUCAGGCAGGAAAGGACAACCAGGCCAAGACAUGUGUCCGUCUUUUCAUCGAAUCAUGGGGCCAUCCAUCCCUGCCUCAUUAUACAAAAUGGAGAUCAGGUAUAGCAGAGGGUUUUCAUCCACAUCCUGGAACGGUCUACGACACUUUGACAUCAGGGAAUUGAUUAUAGACGACUGUUAUGAUGAUAUACCUUUGCCAGAGAGUAUUCGGGGAUGGAGAUCCCUCCGGAAACUCGAGAUAUUGAACUGUGACGAAAUUACGGCGCUGCCAGAGUGGCUGGGCGAGAUCACCUCGCUCCGGGAGCUCAAGGUGGAGACUUACUUUAUGACAACUUUACCUGCAUGCAUCCAACAGCUCACCGGAUUGCAGACCUUGACCCUUUUAAACUGUGGACCAGUGCUUGAGAAGAGAUGCAAAUCUGGAGAGGAUAAGAACAAGUUGGCACAUAUUCCAAAUGUGACUAUAUUAUAGCGGAUGAAAAUAAUGGAAAGUAUCAACUGUAGUAUAGACUGAGAUAACUCCCCACCAUCAUCGGCGUCCAUGGAUGCUUAAUAUUCGAAUCCGGUAAGAGGUUUAUCAUUUCUCCUGUUUCCCCCUGAAUUAUUGCCAACAAAAUGAGGUGCAAGCCUAUGCUUUAAUGUGGAUCAUUGUUAAAUGUGAUGGAGAAAUUUUUUAACACUUUUCAGGACCUUGAGUUGAGUCGGAGGGAUGCCAUGGGCUUCAUUCCUGCUCAGUUACUCCAAGCCGGUGAGCGGUGAGGACCCUCUCAUUUCUUUCCCCCUGUUCACGGUGAAUUGAAAUGUUCAGUUGAUAAGAGCUGAACGCUUAUAUUGAAUAAAGAUCCCAUAUAGAGUAUAUAUAAUUCGCUGUAGAUAUCCUUUCUUUGUGCUCAUGUUUGCUCCUCCUGUUGUUAAUGAGUUGCAAGUGUAGGUUUGUUUGCAUCCAAUCAUGAAUCUUGGCCCUCCUGUCCUAUAUAUGAUUAUUUACCUGUUCACAAUAGUGCUUGUAAGUGUCUCUCAUCACUCAUGGUUGAUGAAGUAGAAGCAUAGAUUGAUUUGCGUCGUAUCAUGAAUUUUGACCCUGGUCUGUUCAGAUUUUGAAAUGUGACUGAACUGAUGUACUAGAAAGCAGGUUGGUGCCAAAAGUGAGGCCUCCCGUGCUUUCUGCAAAGGACCAAGCAUCCACAUGCUUACUUUGUUUUCCAUGCACCUCUCAUCCGGCCUUGUUUAGUUCGUGAAGGGAAAAAUUUCGCGACACUGCAGCACUUUCGUUUGUUUGUGGUAAUUAUUGUCCAACCAUGGACUAACUAGGCUUAAAAGAUUCAUCUCGUCAAUUUCGACCAAAAUGUGCAAUUAGUUUUUAUUUUCGUCUACAUUUAAUACUUCAUGCAUGCGUCUAAAGAUUCGAUGUGACGGAGAAUCUUGAAAAAUUUUGGGUUUUUGGGUGGAAGUAAACAAGGCCUUAAAAUUUUUCCCCUUCUGUAUCAAUCUUGUCCAGCAUCAAAGAAGGGACUGCACGCUGACCUGCAGCAUGCUAUCAAUAUAUAUCCACAAUUCCAUACCGAAGCAGCCUGAAUGGAUAGUGAAGAGCUGAAAUUGCUAAUUGUAACGGAAACAUGCUUUGCUAUAUAUUUUUCGCGGUGAAGAAUGAAGGACGAACCAGUGUGUCGUAUUUACCUCUUGAUGAGGGCUUGAAUUUUAACCGCAUGUGGUGGUUGAUUCUUCUUCGCCACUGGACACUGGUGUAGUGUGUUUGCCUGUACUUCGUACAGUGCAUGAAUGCCUGGCUAUAUCAUGUUGGUUUUUUGUUUUAUUUCUAAAAUAUAUGUAAGUUAUUUAAGUACUACUUCAGUUUCAAAUUAUAAGGUAGUUUGGCUUAGUUGAUAAGCGCAUAAAGGGUCAGAAGAAAGGAAAAGUCCGUCAGAAUAGCCAGAGAGAUUAAGCAAGCAAUCUUGAAAUCUCUGAAACAUAGCAAUGGUCAAGGGAUCACAUCUCUACAAGUUAAUCAGGCAUUGCAUCUGCUCUCCUGGGCAUGCAUGCGCUCUUCCAACUGCUGCGCACACGCUAUACUAGCUUGCUUGGCACAUCGCAACGGCUAUUUGUGAACAAGACAGCAUGGGUAGAUCAUAUAAUAAUGAUAGCAGCUAGCCAUGCUCUGGUAGCAGCUUGUGCCUUGUCCACAGGGGUGCGGUUUAGAAAUCCCUUUAACAGUUCCUUUAUUCAUCCUAAAAUAAUUGAUAAAAAUAUAGAUUUAGCUCUAACUGAUACAUACUAAAAAUAUCUUACACUAUUUGUAGCCCUCUCUUUGAGGUAUUUCUGGAUCCGCCACUGCUUGUCCAAGUACUUUAUUCAGGGUGUCAAGACGAUGGCCCAGCGGUGCAGUAGCGGCAACCAGCGCCGACCAUGAAGGCGACCGUCUCGUCAUUCGUGGUGCCCGACUUGGAGUCCAGUUGACGCAGCCACGCAGAGAUCAAGGAUCCCGCGCACAGAUGGAAGGUGCUUCGUGAUUUCUGGGUAGAGUUCAUGAUAUAUGUUGCAACGUCAGAGGAUACUAGGGCACAACUAAAAACUUAGGUGAAUUCAUCACACAUCUUUGGGUUUUGCUUUACUCUUUGGGUUUUGGCGUUGGUAUUUCCUUUCGGAACAUAUUUUUUUGACCUCAUUUUUCAGUACCUAUAGAGCGGGGCUUGGGGCUCGUAGACGAUAUUAUUAGUUAUUUUUGAGGUGGUAGAACACUAGCUGACGGUGGAAUUUAAUUUUUACAGACGGUUUUAAUUAAAAACGCCUGUAAAAAUAAAUUGGCGGGCCCAACUCAAAAACCGCCUGUGAAAAUCAAUUUUCACAGGCGUUUUUCCUAAUAGGAGGUUCUCUUAAAAAACCACCUGUAAAAAUCAUAUCUGUACAGGUGGUUUCUUAAGAAAUCCGCCUGUAGAAAUAAUUUCAAGUUGAAUUUUUUGAGUUUUUCAAAUGACCUCGUUUGAAAAAACUAUCAAAAUAAAAGUUGUAGAUCUCGAAAAGUUAUCAAACUUUGUAGUUGAUAAUUUUUUCAUUUGAAAUCAUCUUGUCGUCAAAAACUACGUUUGAAUUUCUCAAAUUUAAAAUUUAAAUUUUGUAAAUGACCUCGGAUGGAGAAACUACCAAUAUAAAAGUUGUAGAUCUUGAAAAGUUAUGAAACUUUGUAGUUGACAACUUUUCUAUUGGAAUCCAUUUAGGGCCUCAAAUAAUCAAUAUAUGCUCGGUUUAGGAGAAUAUGUGGGGAACUAAACUCUAAUAUAGUCAUGAGUGAUAGGUGGAGUGGUAGAGGAGACUACGCGCAAGGGCAAGGUCUUAGGUUCGAAUCUCACCAGCCGCGAAGCACGCGAUUUUACACGGAAAAAGCGAGAUGGGUGGGCGAUUAUCCAGUGGGGCCUUCCCUGUAAUUAAAUCUUUUUUUCUAUUUUUAAAAGUCGAUUUUGUAUUUUCUAUAAAAACAUUUCUACAGGCGGGUGGCAUAAUUGAACCGACGAUUCACAUAACUGAACCGCCCGCCUGUGAAAAAGUUUAUUUCCACAGGCCAAUAGCGCAGGCGGUUCGUCAAUCUGCCUGUAGAAAGAGGUUACGAACCGCCUGUAUAGUACCUCUGUGUACUGGUGGAAAACAAGUCCAUGGUUGAGGAGGCUUUUCUCUAUGUGUCAUUAAAAAAGAUGGUCCCUUUCUUUAUGCCAUUAAAAAGUUAGGGCGAAUCUAUAUGCCAUGACAAUUAUUUUUUGCCCCCCGAGCCAUUCUGUCCUAUCACGUCGGUCCGACUAGAAAAAAUAUCCAAAAUGCCCCUUAUCUUCUUCCUCUCCUUCUCAUUUUGCUCAGCCGGCCUCCACCUUGGACGACGGCAACUGGUGGUGGCCGUGGCCCCCGUUGCUCGACGCUGGCAGGGACUACCCGAAUGGGACGUCGCUGCAGGAGCGCCGGUGCAUUUUGCGUGGGCCCUGCUGCUGCUGCGCCACGUGGUCGAUGGCCUCCAUGCACACGUCUCUGCGCUGCAGCGCCGCGAACGCCUGCGACAGCGUCGGUGGCAGUCCCAACGCCGACGGCCUAGUCAGCUUGGCGCUGCCCUGCUCGGCCAAGAAUGCCGCCAUCGCAGCGACAUCCCCGCGCCUGCUGCAUCAUCGCGGCCACCUGAGUGUCGCCGAUGCCGUUCAUGCUGCGGCGAGCGCGGCCUGCACGCAGACGCCCGCACUCCACAAUUUCCCGCUGCUCAUCCACAUAAGGGCUUGUUUGCAUGUAGUCGGAUUCACAUCAAUCCACGUAUGUUGGGAUGGGUUGGAGUGUAACUUAAACUAAAUUCCACCUCAAUCCACCUCAACCCAUGUGGAUUGAGUUAAAUACAACAACAUCCAAACAAGUCCUAAAGCGUCAGGGACGACGUCGGUGGCGUGGCCGUGGCAGCAGCGGACACCUCGGCUAGGCUCGCCCCAAGCCCCAGCGUGCUCUCCAAAUGGCUAGAGAUGGAGCUCGCGGGCGUUCGCUAUAAGCUCUGCUUGCCAGCGGCAAGGCAGAGGGCACAUCCGGUGACCGGUGGCGGGCCGGGUAGGGCUUUCGCUGUGAGCUCGUUGGGUGGGGCCGCGCGGCCGGUGGCUGGUCAUGUGGGGUGUACCGGAGGAACGUUGCGCUGGUUGAGACGUUCAACUCCAUAAGCAACGGCGGGUGCAAGCUGGCCGACAACAAGUUCGUCGACUUGACGAACCACAAGUUCAGGGCCGUAUUCUCUUUCUCUCUGAAACUAUGAGCUUGCAUCGUCAGUAAUAAUAGCAUCACAGCAAGCAUCAGUUACUGUUGCGGCCUUCGAGAGAAAGGAAGAAGGUUGCGUGGCUGACGAACGGGCCUAAGGGUAUCUAAGUCAUUUGGUUGUGCUGUUACCUACCGUUAGGAGCAAAAUCGGACGGAAUGAUAUAGUGGGCAAAAGAGAUAAGUGUCGUAGCAUAGAGGUCCACUCCAACUUUCUAGUGACAUGAAGGAAGAAACCAUCUUUCUUAAUAGCACACAGAAAAAAGCCUCAUGGUUGAGCUGACCAAUUUAAGGAAGGCCCUAUGGUCCGACUGAGUCGUCACCAAGCAGCGCGCCGAACCUCUCUCCGCUCGAGGAAAUUAGAAAAAGGUUCAACUUUAACAAAAUUCCGAUUUUCCUUCCUCAACUGUAAAAUUGGCAAAAUCAUCUCUCUCAAUUUUUCAAAUCGUAUAUUUUACCUCCGUGGAGCGGUUUCGAAGACUGUUUGCUACUGUAAAUAGUUGUUUUUGCUACAGUGACUAUAGUUUUGUCUUUUUCUUUUAUUUAUUUAUUUCGGCUAACUCUUUUAUUUAUUUAUUUCGGCUAACUCUUUAAAAAAUAUAGUAAAUCAUAGAAAAAAAUAUAAAAUAGAAAAUCCAAUUUUGUUGGACUCCGCAUGAACAUAUCUAUACAGUGAACAUAUAAAAUAGAAAAUUAGAUUGCAUGUUUUAUGAUUUUUCUGUUAUUUACUAUGAUUUUUUAAAGAUUCAAUGAAAUAAAUAAAAAAGAAAGAAAAAGACAAAAAUUUUAUAGCAAAAACUUUAUAUUAAAGCAUACCAUAUUAUAUGUUUACUACAAGAACAUAUAACAAACUAGGAGCAUAUAUAGAUAGAUCAUAGAACAUCACAAAAAUAAAUCAUAUAACAUCACAAAAAGUGCAGUGCAUCUAUUAUAUGCUACGUGGAUAUCACAAAAAUAAAUUAUAGAACAUUACAAAUAUACUACACGAACAUCGCAUGAAUACCCAAACCUAAUCAUGGACCAUCUAUUAUAUGUUAUGUGAACAUCCAUAAAUAAAUUACAGAACACCAUAAAUAUAUUAUGCGAACAUCACAAGUAUCUCAUCCAAUAUAGGAAAUAAAAAGUAAAACAUGAACAUGGAAAUUUUGAAAUAAUUAGUGAGAGUAAAAUAACAACAAAAAAGGAAAACAAAUUUCCAAUAUUAUGGAAUAUAUAAAAAAUAACUAAAAUAAAAGGAAACAUUAAUAGAAGGUAGACAAAACACAAUGAAGGCAACAAUGAAAAAAUAAAAAAACACAUAAUUAAUUAGAAUGAAAUAUAGAUAAAGAUUUAUAAAAUUUAAAAGAAUGAAAAUAAGAAAAUCUACUAAAAAUAGAAAAAAAAAGAGAAAUAAUAAAUAGAAUAGAAGAAAGAAUAAAAAAGAAGCUAAAAAUAAAUACAUGAAAGAAAUAAAUAUGUAGAAUAAACAAUAAAAUAAAGAUUGAGAAGGUAGAGAAAAUAUAAAUAUAAUAAAAUAUCGUUGAGAACAAAAAAAGAAAAAAAGAAAUAGAACGCAAAAAAAACAAAAGAAUACAUACCUCGGAUAUUGGAUGGAGAGACACCGAGCUCGUAGAAACGUAGAUGGGCCAAGGCGCAAUGAAAAUAGAUCGGCUGCGCUCGCGCUCAUGGGAGGAUUUGGUCCGACUACUCGGCAGCGAUGGUUGCGGCAAUUCUAAGACUUCAUUUCGUGUCGACAUUAUGGAUAUCGGUUCUGAGCUUAGCAGCGCGAGUACGGGAACGUGGGCACGUUCGCGGAACGAGGACAUCGCUGGAUCGGAUGCCGUCCCAACAAGCGACGGAACGCGACUCGCUGGCGAUGGUUCGUGUUCUCAUCGGCUGCUCGGACGUCGAGCUUCCUCUCACGCAGCGCCCCAUGGCUAGAAAGCACCGCAGCGUUGCUGCUUCCUCUCUGUAACGCUGCUUGGCUCUCGCUGCCUGUCUUGUCUCGCCGUGCCGCUGUGACCGUGCGCUCGUAUGUCUCGAGUCUCGUGGUCGUGCAUCGGUGUAUGGCAGCGGCGACCAGCUGCCUUGCGUUGCGUGGCGUUGCGUCGUGCCCAUGCGUGGUGGCAGGGGCAAGCUGCUGUCAGCUUCCCAAGAUAGGCGAUGGGUGCAUGGGCUUUAAUGUGGGCCUAGGGUUCAAUAAGUGAUGGCUCAAUAUAAUAAGACAAAAAAAAACAAAUGAUAGGAAAAAUUGUAACACACACGGGAGUUAAACUCGGCACAUAUCAGAAUGACUCUUAUCUUGCAUGCAACAACUAUCACGUCCCCAACACGUCCCGUAAGAAGUUGGUACGCGUCCCUCCAGUUAAAGGAACGAAUCAAAGCUGUAUACCCCACAACUUUUGAAGAUGUUAUAUCACGUACCACAUUUUCGUACCACGUACUUUACGUUCCAAGAACAUGGCUGCUAAGGUUCUGAGUCGGAGUCACGCCGGAUCCCAACCGGGUCAUGGCUAGGUUAGUUUCUGCCCAUAUAGCCGAAGAGAGAGGGAUCCGGAGCGUCGCCGCCUCCCAUCAGGUCUACAAUCUGGCUUCUGACAUCACAUCCACAUACAAUCCGGUCGAAAUUUGAGAUGGCCAGCCGGUGAAAUCAAGGCGGAUCAAGCCAGCUCCGUUGACGGCGAGAACCCUGCUAAUGCGGUGGAGGUGGCGGCGGCCACUGCCACCACUUACGGAGAUGAUGGCGAAGGGGCUCCGGCCACAAGGGCGUUGGGCGGCAUGGUGAAGAAGCGGAUGCCAGAUACGGAGGUUCAGUCUAUCCUCUUUCGGGAGAGGAGGGAGUUCACGCCCGAUACUUCUAACAUGUCGGAGGAAGAAGUCGAGAUCAUUCGCGGGGGCAUUGAGGCGUUCAAUAUCCUCUUCAGACCCAGAUCUGAAUCCCCCUUGCCUUGAUCUACCAUUCCAUGGGGUUUAUGGAUAGGUUCUGCUACUUCCUCACAUUCUUGUGGAUUCGGAGUUCCGCGCGCGCCCCUAUAGCUGCCAACCCAGGAUCCACUGCCAUGGCCGCCCCUACACCUAAUGCUAUCUGCAAUGUUGUUGUCGGUCCCACCGUGCACCUCGGCGCGACCAAGACCAAUGAGCAGCUGAUGGAGGAUGAGUUUCUAGUCCUCGUCGAGGAUGUCAUGGAAGGCGAGGAUGAGGUUCGAUACGCGGACGACGUUGCGGCUCCUACGACGGCUGCAUAGAGUCCCUUUUUGUCGUUGGCGCCGAUGACACCAGAUCCUGAUGACGCGGCCACCUCUGGCUGCAUCAACGUCGGAGCUACGAUGGGCACCUCCACGAUGCGUGCGGUCAUCCCCGGCCUCGCUGUCAUAGGCUCCUCCCUCUCCCCAUCGGCAACUCCCUUCCUAAGGCUCUUCGUUGGUCACAGGAUGGCUACGACUGCUCCAACGAGGACCACUCCCUCGAUAAGUGUAAGCCAAAGGCUCCCUCCUUCGUCGACGUUGUCUGCCAGUAGUCCCAUUUGGCCUCCCCUCUUCCUUUCCGGGCACGACUGUGUUCUAUUGUGGUUUGGGGCCCUGACUGUGCUGCCGUAGGGAAGUGUGGCCCUGGUGGAGGCAGAGAGGCCAUCGAGCCUUACAAGCGUCGUUGGCGUCGGCUGCGUCCGUAGCUCAUCCUUGGGCUACCUAACCAGGUUGCGUGCGAUGUCGCCCAGCACGUGCCAGUCCAUUAGAGGUUUGGGCCUCGGGUGGCCGUAGGCUCUCUGUGCCGCUCUCAACUCUUGAUGCCGAUGGUUGGCCGAUGAUGCUGGUUUCUAGGCCUUUGGUUGGUUUGGAGGAACGAAGGCUAGCUCCAACAUGCUCGAAACGACGGGGGCGAGGUGCAUUUCGGAGGACUUGUGUAGCAAGUGCUUCAACUGCCUCUCCUCGUCGCAUCGAGUAGCAACCUACAAGUUGCCAUCGCGCUGCCUGCACUGCCGGCGUCUCGGGCACCUUGCGCGUCAUUGCAACCGACCGCGCCAUGGCAGCUCGGUGCCCAAGGGCAACGGUGGUCAUCAAGCCCAUCACUCUGUUUGUGUUGCAGAUGGUGUCGCUAUGGGUGUAGCUCGGCCUGCGACCCAUGGUGAUUCUUUUGACUACGGUGGUGUCCGUGGUCGGAGGCAUCAAAAGUGCAAGCGGAAGCAUAAGCUACCUAUUGUGCAAGUGCAACCGAGGGAGUCACGAGUUGGCACAGGUUAUUAGAAGGUAGCCAUGGCUAACACUGCCCGCCACGGCUAUGUCACCUGCCAACCACGGCGAGCCACGUCGUGUUGGGAUGUCCACUAGGAUCCUUUCUGAUGUUGACCUAUCGAUGAUACCUUUGUGCUUUGAUGUUGGACAAGUCAGUCGGAAUGUUGCGAAUGAUCUGAUGUUGGUGGAGCUCAUCGCGUCGCUCUGUGUCAUCCAGACAGCUACAGCCCCAGCAUUGGUGGUCGCGUCUCCUGGACGUGUUCAUGUUGUUUCCUCAGAGGACGAAGGACCUGGACUGUUGACUUUACCCAGGCAUAGUUGUGGCCCACCGCUGGUGGAUGAGCUACCAUCGGGUGGCUUUGGGGAUGGCAUAGUAACACUACGCAGUCUUUCAUCGAAGCUUUCAAACGGCCGCUUCAACAGCCGCUGAUUGCAUCCCCACCAAGGCUAUGCAUCACCAAAGAUCUCAAGAUUGCCGUUGAUAGCGAUUUCCUCCCCAAGCGCAACGCUCGGUUAGCUGCUAAGAGUAAGUUCAGAGUAGCAAAGCCGGAUGCCUAGACAAGAAAAGUGCUCAUGAAAAAGCUCGGGCUUGAGGUCAAGACGGACAAGCCCGAUGAGACGUCAUUUGAGGAGUUUAGGAGGUUGUCGCCAGAACACCGCUUCAUAUAAGGCGGGAAGUCAUGAAGGCUCUCUUUCUGGGAAGAUGCUUUAUUCGUGGUCUGGUGAGGGACGUUGAAUAGGCCAAGCGAUUCUACGCUUUGCCUAGAUGUAUUCACGAUCGCAUUCUAUAGUGCCAUAUAGUUCUUAGAUUGUGUUGUAAUCGCUAGACUCUUGCUCUAGCUUGUUGGCCUUCUUAACUGGUCCCGUAUGUUAUUGUCUUGUCAGCGGGUAUGAAACAAUGAGAGCUCAUUGAUAUCGUGUAACUUUUAAAUUUUCUUAUCCUUUUAAUGAAAAACAGGUUAUGACCUAUUCGCGAAAAAAAUCUGUGCUACUUUAACGAUCAUGUGGAUCUGGCUAAUGGGCUAGGUCAGGCAAUCAAGGCCCUGUUUAGAUUGGAGAUGAAAAUUUUUAAAACUAAUAAAAAACAAAUUACAUAGCUCGUCUGGAAACUGCAAGACAAAUCUAUUAAGCAUAAUUAAUAUGUCAUUAGCACAUGUGGUGUAGCACUUAAGGCUAAUCAUGGACUAACUAGGCUUAAAAGAUUCGUCUCGCGAUUUUCAACCAAACUGUAUAAUUAGUUUAUUUUUUAUCUACAUUUAAUGUUUCAUGUAUGUGUCUAAAAAUUCGAUGUGAUGAAUGAAAAAUUUUUAGAUGGGGAACUAAACAGGACCCAAAUAGACCCAUUUGGUCAUUUGGUCCACGCAAUCAAACAUGUCCAGAAUUGGUGCACUUAGGAAGAAGUCCACUUCAGUCUCUCAACUUUUGCAAAAGUCUGUUUUUCAUCCCUGAACUUUAAAACCGGGUAAAAUACAUCCCUCAAUUUUUGAAACCAUGCAUAUUACAUCCCUGACAUGUUAUGAGCGGUUUUGAAGGCAGUUUUGUCUUUUUUAUUUUUAUUUAUUUUGGUUAAAUAUUUGUAAAAUUAUAGUAAAUCACAUAAAAUUCAUAAAAUAGUAAAUCUGAUUUUGUUGGACUCUAAAUAAGUAGAUCUACAUAGUGAACAUAUAAUAUAGUACACUUUAGUACAAAAUUUUUAUUGUAGCUUUAGAUAUGUGUUUUUCUAUAAUUAAUUAGAAUAAUUCAUAGCUAUAGUUUGUAUGGUACACUUGUGGUGAAUUUUUUUAUGUUGGACUAAUUAUUAUAUGUUUAAACUAUGGUAAAAAUUUCAUACUCAUUAGGUCAUGUAUAACUUAGUUAUAGAUUUAUUAUAAUUUAACAAGCAUAAACCUAAAUAAAUCUAUAACUAAGUAAUACGUGAUUCAAUGAGUAUUAAAUUUUUACUAUGACUCAAACAUAGAAUAAUUAGCUCACCAUAUAAAUUUCAUCACAAUUGAACCAUAGAAAAUGUAGCUAUAAUUAGUCUAAUUAAUUACAGAAAAACAUAGAUCUAUAGAUGCAUCAAAAAAAAUUUGUACUAGAACAUACUAUAUUAUAUAUUCAAUGUGUAGAUCUACUAAUCUAAAGUCCAACAAAAUUGAGUUUUUUAUUUUAUGAUUUUUAUGUGAUUUACUGUGAUUUUUCAAAAAAUUCAGCCAAAAUAAAUAAAAAGAAAAAAGGUAAAACCGCUUUCAAAACCAGGUCAAGGAUGUAAUGUGCACAGUUUAAAAGUUGAGGGGUGUAUUUUGUCCAGUUUUAAAGUUUAGGGACGAAAAUCAGAUUUUCGUGAAAGUUGAGAGACGUAAAGUAGACUUUUUCCGUGCACUUAAAUCCUCAAGUUCUGAGAGGCCGAAAUUUUGAAACGAGAAAAAUCCGGGGUCCUGACAUGCAAAAUCCGACAUCCCAUUUCGGCCCAACCUUCCCUCUCGUUCUCCGCCUCCGGCUCCGGCCACGCACCUCACGAGUCACCAGGGACAGGGACAAACGCUACGCAAAAUCAACGAACGCCCAGCGCCCAGUCAAACACUCGGACCCCUUCUCCUCCCUUCCCCCCCUCGCCGCCUCCCCGGACCCCGUCCCGAUCCCACCGAACCCAUGGCGUCGGAGAUCGAGGUGCUCGAGGACACCACCACCUCCUCGACCUCCCUCGUCGCGGCCGCGGCCGCGGCCGCGGCCCCUUCCGCCGCGGAGGGCGCGGGGGCGCCGGCGGAGGACGAGUCGCUGAAAAACGACGUGUACACCGCGGCGGCGUACGGCGAUCUGGAGAAGCUGCAGCGGCUGGUGGAGGGGGAGGGCCGCCCGGUCACCGAGCCCGACGGCGGGGGCUACCACGCGCUCCAGUGGGCCGCGCUCAACAACCGCGUCGCCGCCGCGCAGUACAUCCUCGAGGUUGCCCUCUGCCCCCGCUCCCACGCCCCCUCCAGCGCCUCGCAAUAUGGCCUUUUAUUUAUAUGUAUAGUCGUUCGCUUUGCGUUGCUAUUGGGGGAUUUAGGGUACGUUCCAGAAGGCUGAAUUGCGAUGCAAUGAACUUUCUGAGCUGGAAUUUUGUGUGCCAGAACCGUGGGCUGUUUGUGUAAUUGCGUGAAGGAGCUAUGCACAUUCGGUGGUCAUCAUUCCGGUCAGUUUCUAUGGCCGAGGCAUCCUUGUUUGUAGGUGUGCUGCUGCGAGCUGAAUGCUUUACCAUGCUGAUGGGUUUGGAAUUUCAGAGCUGGUUUAUCUGGAGGGAUUUGGAUGGGUGAAGGUUGUUAGUACAUCUGGAUCAAGUUUACUUGCUGACAGUUGCAACAGGACAGUUCAGGAAGAAUGCAGAUGGCUUUGCGGUGUCAACUAGCUACUUCUAUUUAUGCCUUCAACCAUUUCAAUUUAUAUCAAAUGUGUCAAUAGUAUGCUUAGGAUAUAGUCUAGACCAAGAUGAUUACUACUCAUGAUAUGCCUUUUAUUGCAUGGAUGCAUGAUCUCACGCAAUACCCAUAUUGUGAUGAUGCGGUUUAUUUUGUAUCUUCAUGUCAUAGUAGAUAGCACUUUGUUAUUCUGAUCACGUGGUUGUGGUUGAAAGGCAUAUUAACUACUUUUGGUUGAUGACUGUUGUUGAUUGAAUUUCCUCGGUUCCCUUUGGUGAUGAUUUUGUGCUUGUAUUUGAAUAGCAUGGAGCAGACAUAAAUGCUGUGGAUCACACUGGACAAACAGCACUUCACUGGAGUGCUGUACGUGGUCAUAUUCAAGUUGCUGAACUACUUCUGAAAGAAGGAGCUAAGGUGGAUGCUGCUGAUUUAUAUGGGUAUCAGGUCUGUAUCCUCUUCCCUGCUGUGUCUUUGCCUCUUUGGUCCUUGUUGUGUCGAUCUCCACUUUUAGCUGCCUAUCGCCGCCGGUAGCCAACUAAAGCAUUUUUUGGAUGUAUAUCUGCCAGCUGACCAAUUACCAGGUCAGAGGUUAAUAGUAGACUAAAAACAUACUUUGGUCAUGUGAUUGUUCCGCAUUAGGGGAAAAAAGAAUCACUGAAGUUGAUUAUGCAGAGAAUUUCUCGCAGCUCUUUAAGUUCAUAUACUUCUGUGUUCAGGCGACACAUGUUGCAGCACAGUAUGGUCAGACUGCAUUCAUUUACCACAUUGUUGCGAAAUGGAAUGCUGAUCCAGAUAUCCCUGAUAAUGAUGGAAGGAGCCCUUUACACUGGUUUGUACUUGUGUUAUAUGUUUCUAAUUUGCCUCGUAAUUCCUGCUUGUGCACUUUGUAACAUACUGCCCUGCUGAAUUUUAACAUUUUGCUGCUUAUUUCUCUCUCUGUUUUUACAUAUUACCUUCUAGGGCUGCUUAUAAGGGAUUUGCAGACUCCAUACGGCUUCUUUUGUUUUUGGAUGCUUAUAGGGGACGGCAAGACAAAGAAGGCAUGUGUAAAUUUAUAUCAUGCCUAUAUUAUUAUGAUCAUUCCUUUGGUAACUAUAUCAGCUUAUUUGGUUGCUGUCCCUUUUAACUGCAAAUGCUACUCUUAGGUUGUACUCCUUUACAUUGGGCUGCUAUUCGGGGGAACCUUGAGGCAUGCACUGUCUUAGUUCAGGUUGGCAAAAAGGAUGAUUUGAUGGUGAAAGACAAAACUGGCUUAACUCCAGCACAGCUUGCUGCCGAUAAGAAUCAUCGGCAAGUUGCAUUUUUCCUCGUGAGUAAAAUUAACCAUGCCAUUUAUAUUUCGUAAUAUACUUGAAGUCCUGUUUCUGCAGCAUCAUAAGAGUCAAAAGUCCCAAUGUCCUAACAUUACCAUCUGCUAGGUAUUAUGGCAGCAAGUUCCUUACUAUGGUUUUGCAUGCAGACGUGUUAUAACCACAAAACAUUUUGUCUUAAGCAAGUUGGGGUAGGCUUUAGAUGAAAUCUGACAUGAGGCACAUGAACUACUAAAAGAGCAAUAAAGUAAUGAAAUAAAAAUGGUAAUAUAACACUAGACUACUAGCUGCUAAUGAUUGUUGUUUAGGGUGCUCUAUUUUUAAGUUUUGAUUGUGGCACAUAGAUUGCUAAUAUACAGACAUGUUACUGUUAAGGAUUAAUUGUUUGGAUCGUUGUAUGUUUGCAACUUUGUAUGCCUGUUUCCCUGUAAAUUAUUGUUAACCGAUUAGGAGCAUGAUAACAUGCUGUCUAAUCUGUUUAGUGGUAAUUUUCCUCUGAAUUUUGAAGUAAGAACUAUGUGUUAAAAUACUGAAACAGAGGUAACCAAGGAGGAAAAAUGAUUUGGUUUAGUUUGACUUGGCACCUUUCUAAUGUUGUAAAUGGUUAAAUGGUUACCUUCUACUCCCUCCGUCCGCUUUUCAUCAUCAUAUUUGCCUUGGAAAAGUGUCCUGGUUUGAUCAUUGUUAAAAGGCUUUGGCGCCGAUCUUCCUCAGUAUGAGCGGCAACGUUCACUUCGUUUCUCAAACGCCAACAUGCAGCUGCCCAGAAGUUAAUACGCUCAUGUCAUCUCACUCCAACAUUCACUUGCAGAUGAGGAUAAAAAUCCUGCAUGAUCUGUGCAGGACUCAUCUAGUACUACUCGUGUUCUAGCAAAAAAAAAAAAAAACAGCUCCCAUCAACGCCUUCAACCACCGUGCGAGAGGCCAUCAGCCAUGGAGGAAGGUCGCUUGCGCGGAGUAAACUGGGCACCUGACUCCAGUGACGAUGAAGCUGAUGAGAAGAAGGCCCCUUAGGACUGAGAUGGGUGGCUUAUAUAGAGCCAUUGAUAGCCACAGAAAAAAAUUGAAAUUGGGGAGGAGAAUGGCGCUUGGCUGGAAACAAAGGGCCUUGCGCCCUUGCCUCCAAAUUUUCACGUUGAUUUGCCUCCAAAAUUUUGGACAAGAGAAGAAAUUGGGGAGGAGAAUGGUGUGACCAAAUUCCUUCUCGCAUGGCUUGAGCAGAAGGACGCAGCGCGCGUGCGGCGCGAACAGCUGGGCAGGCGAGUGACGAGGAAGGGAGAUACGAAGCGUUUUUGUGCCUUGAACAAGACUGGAGUUAAUGGGACUUAUGGGACUUUAAUCCUCUCCUUGCUCUUGGUGAAACGAUAUUUUAUGAUGAUCAUAAGUGGACGGAGGGAGUAUUUACCACUUAAGCUGGAUAAGAGUGAUCAUAUUGACCAUGAGCUGCAAUGUCCUUUCAUUUGUUUAUUUGUAUUACCAAUACUUUCAGGACAAUGCUAGGAGGGUACACGACAGAGGAUGUGGUGCAAACACCAGAUUUGGGAAAUUGUCAAAAUUAGGGCUUGCUCCUCUUCUUUGGUGCACCAUUAUUGGCAUGCUUAUUAUUUACAUGCACUCUGUUAUAUCAGGUAAAUUUAGUAGCAUCUUUAUGUUUUUUCACUAUCUUGAUCUUCUGUAAUAUGUUAUUGCUGGUCUCUUCAGGACAAUAUGCCACAACUAUGACAGCACCAUUUGGGAUGUUCGCAUGGUCAGGAGUUUUUCUUGCAACAGCUGGCUUGGUCAUGUUCUAUAAAUGUAGCAGGUAGUUCUAAACAUUUGCAUUCUGUUGAUAGUUAUAAGAAGGUCAAACCAGACCUGAGGGCAUUGAUCACCGGUUACUACUUCCUCUGAUCAGAAAUGUAAAUUGAUCUAGGUUUUUCCUAAGUCAAACUAUUUUAACUUUGACCACACCAAUAUCUAAAAUAUCAUGUACAUUGACAAUUCUAGAUUCAUUAUGUAAAAUACUUGGAUAAACCUCUUUUUCAUUUUGUGUAGAUAUUACUAGUCAAACUUUUUUUUUUUACUUAGGACAAACCUAGAUGGACUUUAUAUUUCCGAUCGGAGGAAGUACUUAUUACUUCUUGAUAAUAUUGUGGGUCUCUGUUUUUUUAUGUGGUCACACUCUCUCAGUUUAUGGACCUUGUGGAGCAUGGAAAAUUAAAACUUUGUGUGAUAUAUCUUAAACCCAAAUAUCUAUUGAUUUUGUUGUAUGAUUAUCCUACUACUUUCAUAUCAUGCACAAGAUAUAGAUAUAUAGGCAGCCUUUAUCAUUCAACACCAUCAUGACAUUGACUAUAUUGCUUUAUGCAGGAAAGAUCCAGGUUACAUCAACAUAAAUACAAGGGGCUCACAAAAUCAAAGGGACGAUGUAAGUUUAAAAUAUAAGUACACAUUAAUUAAUGUAGUUUCGUGCAUGUAAUUUUAUCUUCUGAUUGAACUUUGGUUCUUUUAGCUUGAUGCAUUUCCAGACUUCAAAAGUCAAAACAUAAUCCAAAUUUUGCUGUCUAAAUCAUGAACGUUUUUCCUUCAGGAACCGUUGCUGAAGAUGGAGUUAGAAAAUCCUGCACUUCUUUCUGGCAACUGGUCACAACUUUGUAUAACCUGCAAAGUAAGUCACUCGAUUGAUCAAUUCAGUUGUCUCUUUCCUUGAUUGUUAUUCUCAUGGAUCAGAGUUCCUAACAUCUUCAUUACAGAUAGUCAGACCUGUUCGUUCAAAACAUUGUUCUACAUGUGAUCGUUGUGUGGAGCAGUUUGACCACCACUGCCCUUGGGUAUCUAAUUGCAUAGGAAAGGUACAUGUUUCUGUUGUGAUUUUGUAUUUGCGUAGUUGUGAUUUAAUGUAUCUGCCUUCUCAAUUGUAUUUGAGUUAAGAUACUCAAGCAACAAAUCCCGAAAGCUUGACACCAACUUAUAAUCAACAAUGAAAUUUGAUAAAAGUUGACAUAAAAAUCAUGGUAGUCUCUCUCUCUCUCUCUCUGAAUCUUACUGAAUUACUACCUGUAACAUUAGAAAGAGAAUUCUGGUCUUCUUUUUAAAAAAAACAUUGUUUUUUCAAUGCCAGUGUGUUCUUUCAUCUGAUCUAUUUGUGAACUUAACUGCAGAAGAACAAAUGGGAAUUCUUCAUGUUCCUCACUCUAGAAGUUUUUGCAAUGAUCAUUACCGGCUCUGCUGCCAUUAUAAGUAAUGCUUUGAGUCCUUUAUCCUAAUUAUUACAUUGGAAGUUCUUGUUGCUUCAUUGCUGUUUUUGUUGCAGGAAUUGUAAGGGAUCCAGAUUCUCCAUCAUCCUUUGGUGCUUGGAUUCAUUAUUCUGCGUUCCAGCAUCCUGGGGUGGUUUCAUUUCUCGCACUGGAUUGUUUCCUUUUCUUUGGUGUUGCAGUGCUUACAGUUGUUCAAGCAUCACAGGUAAAGUUUUUUUUUUUUGAAUUUAUAUUUCUUUUGCCAGAGAAACUUGGUUAGCUUUUAUGUAGUGAUUUUAUAUUGUUUGCAAAACUGUAAAUAUUUGAUCACUAACUGGAACAUCAACUUUGAUUAGACACCAUGAACUUGUAAGAAAACUGAUACUGCAGGGGCUGCAGCCAUUUGUGUUUACCAUCGAAAUCUUUGAAGCCUUGUUGGAUUUGUUGUAUCGUUUAUGCCAUUUUCAGCCUUUUCAUGAUUCAUAAGUGUAUGGCUUCUGAUAGUAUACACUAACAUCUAGUACUGAUCGUGGUUUCGAACUCUAGAAUGUCAAGAAUAAAACUGCUAUGUAAUUUCGGAUUCAUUAUGAAGUAAGAAGGUUAGGAAUCCAGUUUGCUUUCUCUGUAGGAAGUUGCGUUCCAUAUAGCUAUCCAUUCCAUCAAUUAUACAUGAAAGGCGUACCUGCAUCUACUCCUACUGUUUGUACUGUGCUCAUGCCUUGCUUCCAUCUCACUUGCAGAUUGCAAGGAACAUUACAACAAAUGAGAUGGCAAAUUCCAUGAGAUAUGCAUAUCUCAGAGGCCCAGGUGGCAGAUUCAGGAACCCAUAUGAUCAUGGGAUUCGCAAAAACUGCUCUGACUUCUUGUUCAAUGGAUACAAUGAGGACACUGAACGGCUAGACCAGGCAUUGCACACUGAUGAGGAAAUGGGAAUGAUACAGAUGACAAGUGCAGUUUCACAGAAUGGUGACAAUCAUUUACAUCAUGCUAAUGGCACCGACCAUAGUUGCGCUGAUUCACAAGCAAACUCAAAACCUCAUAGCCAAGUGGGUUCAUCUCAGUGUUGUGAUCACAGUAAGAAGACUGAUAGGACACCGUUGGGCCUAGGAUUGGGCCUUGGGCGAAACAGUGCGUCCCGGCAGUAUGUUCGGUCUCUUAUCCCAUUGUGAUCCAUCAUUUGGAGAUCAUGUGUUUGUUUUGCUGUAGAUUGGAUUUGUUCACUGCUCCGGCUCCAUCUUCUGUUAUACGUGCCCUUGACAUGGUUCACCAUGUAGCUUUGGUUGGGCAGGGUUAACAUUGUUGGGCCAUUAGCUCAGGAAUACUCUCAGGUAUAUCUAGUGUUGUAGUUUUGCGGUGAACUCAGAGAAGUUGAAGGUAAGAAUACCAGAUGAUCUGCAGUCAGGAAACACCAGAGAGCUUGUGCAGAAAAGGUAACAAGUUAUGGGCUUAUGGCAGAUGCACUACCAUGAGAUGUCUUUAUAAUUGUUGUGUACAUCAGAUUCGGUGGUACCCCCAUACGAGUUUGGAAAAGGUAACUGUAAAUUGAGAAUUGUAAAUUGAUCAGUAAGCUCAGUGCAGUGCUAGCUGUUUUCCUACUUUCCAUUCAUUUUUGGGUCGGGUUAUUGUUAUGAACCACGGAAAGAAUUUUCAGUUUUUCGGUAUGGGUACCCCAGUUACAGUUAGUCUGGUUAUUGGUACUGGUGGUGCACGAUUGUGUGAGUGCUUCAGAGUUUAGGAUAUUGUUGUCACGAAACAUGUUUAUACUGACAGAAAGAUUGAUGGAAGUUGUAUGGUAAAUAGCUGUACUUUGCCAUGUUACUGUGGCAUGACUAGUCACUUCUCGCGUGAGUUCUAUUCUAGGCUCUAGUUUACAUCAAAAUUUCUUGGUACAAAAGGCACCCUCAUUAUUGCUGUAACUUUUUCAAAGCUAUUGUUAUUCACUUACUCUUCACCUGGCAUUCGCUCGUUUCUAUAAAUUUCUAAUCAACCUUGAUGUUCAUACAUUGAUAGUUUAGUGCUGUUUAUAAAUUGCUGUGCAUCGAUUAUAUUCGGUCAACGCCUGUGAAUGCGCCUAGUGAAACAAGUACACAGCGUCAUUUACCCAUUUUAUAGACAGUGUUACUCUGUGGAUUUAGUGGUGAAAAAUUGUACUUGCUUUCAUUUGAAAACCGAUUAGGGCCUUGUUUAGUUUCCACCGAAAUUCAAAAAGUUUUAAAAUUCCUCGUCACAUCGAAUCUUGCGGCACAUGCAUGAAGCACUAAAUAUAGAUGAAAACAAAAACUAAUUAUACAGUUUGCCUGUAAAUUACGAGAUGAAUCUUUUGAGCCCAGUUAGUCUAUGAUUGGAUAAUAUUUGUCAAAUAAAAACAAAAAUGCUACAGUACCGAAAUUCGAAAUUUUUCGGAACUAAACAAGGCCUAGAACGUAUAAGUGAAAAAUCGAAUCGAAUGAAGUAAAGACAUGUAAGUUUACGUAGUGGUGAAAAAUCGAAUCGAAUGGAGUGAAGACUUUUAAUAACCGAUUAUAGAAAUGUAAUAACGAGGUAUAAAGUGUCGGAGGAAAAAAAAGAGAGAAAAGACAAACAUUUCAAAAAAAGAAGGGGGUGGGAGAAGAAACAUGUUUGGGCUCGGCCCGACCCGGUUCAGCAGCUGCCUCGCGCAACCCAACCCACCUCACACGCCCAACCAAACUGACCUACCCGGAAAACCCCCGACCCCCGUUCCCCGCCUCCCGCCGCCGCUCUGCCUCCCAAACCCACUCUAAAACCCUCGCCGCCGGCGCGCCCGCCUCCUCUCCUGCGUUGCAAAACCCUAGAAAAAGCGGCGGCGACAGGAGUGGCUGCAGUCGCCGCCGGAGGAGGAGGGGGGCUCCACGACCGGAGAGGAGAGGGAGAGGGGAUGGGGAUCUUCGAGCCGUUCCGUGCAAUCGGCUACAUCACGGCGGGCGGCGUGCCCUUCUCCGUGCAGCGCCUCGGCACCGAGACCUUCGUCACUGUCAGCGUCGGCAAGGCCUUCCAAGUCUAUAACGUAAGUCGCCAGCCUACAGCUCGUCCCGUCUGUUCUGCCGUUAAAAAAUCGACAAGGAUUCGUGCGUCGAGGUGGCGUGGUUUGCUCUGCUGGAAUUCAGUAUCGUGAAAAGUGAGAGCAAGUGAAUGUAGUAAAUCACUAGAAUCUGUUUUUGAGCUGGUGCGGAGCUCAGAGUUUAUUUACUGGUUGCUCCUAGUAGGGGAUAAAUGUAGUCAACCGAGCUGCGUGACUGUCAUUUGAGCCUUACUCUGCUCUGUAGUUCCUAUUACAUGCCUCCUUUGCAACCGAAUUUCAUUCUAGAAGCUUGCGAUGCUCAUUUUGCUUUUUUCCCUUUUGUUCUGCAGUGUGCUAAGCUGAAUUUGGUUCUUUCUGGUAAGCCUGUUAUUUCAGUUCAUGUAUUCUUUUUAAUCUUCCUGUUUUUUCUUGUCGUUUAUGAGUUUCGUAUGUUAUCAAAGGCCCCCAACUGCCCAAGAAGAUCCGUGCUAUUGCAUGCUACAAGGAUUAUACAUUUGCUGCUUACGGAAGUGAUAUUGCAGUUUUCAAAAGGACUGAUCAGGUACGGAAAUUGCUGUGCUACCAUUGCCUAAACUUUCGUUAUCUGUCCAACAUAUUGCUCCCUUGGCUGUCCAAAAUCAUUCUUUACUAGAAGCCUUGUUCAUUUUUAUUAUUAUAUUAUUAUAAAGUAUUCAAGAUGUGCUAUUAUUAUGUGAAAUUAUGACUUUGGUAUAAUGCUGAUCAUCUAUGAGCUUGCAAAGGGAGAUCCAUACCUCACCAUAUAUACCCAUCAACUGCUACAUGGACAAACCUUAAAUGUAUGUUUCCCACAUUCUUUUUCAAUCAGGUGGCUACUUGGAGUAGACAUGAAGAAAAGGUCAACAUGCUAUACCUGUUUGGAGAAUAUGUUCUAAGUGCAGAUGCUAAAGGUAAUGUAUUCAUGUGGGCCUUCAGAGGAGCAGAACCAAACACUGAACCAGUUGGAAGCAUAUCAUUGGGAGACAAGUUCACCCCAACAUGUAUCAUGCAUCCUGAUACUUACCUAAAUAAGGUGCUUGAAGCUAUCUGAAGUUUUGCUUCAGAAAUAGUAUUCAUUCCAAACCUCAUCUGCAUUCUGUUUCUUUUCUGUUAACAAGUCUGUUUCUGCAUCAGGUAAUUGUUGGUAGUGAAGAAGGCCCCUUGCAGCUGUGGAAUAUCAGCACAAAAAAGAAAUUGUAUGAUUUCAAUGGUUGGAACUCGCCGGUUCGGUGUUGUGUCUCUUCGCCUGCCCUGGAUGUAGUUGCUGUUGGAUGUUCUGAUGGAUCAGUUCAUGUUCAUAAUGUAAGAUAUGAUGAAGAAUUGAUGUCUUUCAACCAUCAGAUUCGUGGUGCUGUGACUGCACUGUCAUUUCGAACAGGUGAUGUAAUAAUAUAUUGUAAAAUGAAAAAAAAUAGAUAAUGGAAUUUUAAUUAGUGUUUACUCAACUACAUUGUAUAUGCUUGUCUCAAGCCCUAAAAUGGUUCCGUAUCAAAAUUUUAGUUUAGUGCACCCAGUUUGUUAAUACCUGAGAUCCAACUUAGUCAGUGUACCUACUAAUUAUCAUUUUGAUUAUUUUGUUCUUUGACUGCUUGGAGCUUGAACAAGAUUUUAAGGAUAAAAGCUGUGUUGAAGAGUCUUCCCUAGUUUGAAUCAACUUUUACUGCUUUAUUGACACUAAAAUUUUGUAAAAUUAUAGAGCCCACAACCCACAUUUGGGUUAUUAUGGAAACACAUCUGGAUUUUCUUAUAGCUGGGCAGAUAGCCAGAUACUUUACUGGCAUCAAUGUUUUAUUUUUCUUUUUGGUAAUGAUGCCUUUGACUUUCCAUUUUGGUAAAUAAAGUUGCACUAUUGUAAUGUUAUACCACUUUUGUAUCUCAGACUAGCUAAAGCGGUCUUUCCCAAAUUUACCUUUUUCCAGAUGGGCAACCCCUUCUGGCAUCUGGAGGUUCUUCAGGCGUUAUCAGCAUAUGGAAUCUUGAGAAGAAACGGCUGCAUUCUGUGAUUAGGGAGGCCCAUGAUGGUUCUAUAGUUUCACUUCACUUUUUUGCGAACGAACCUAUUCUGAUGAGUUCAGCUGCUGAUAAUUCAAUCAAAGUUAGUGCCUGUUUUUCAUUUCACUUCUCAGUUGCUGUUAUAGUAGAAAACUGCAUGCACUGUGUACUUACCUAGCUUCACCAGCUGUCCAAUCACUUGGAAGUUGCAAAACUUUGCACGCUUUAUCUUCAUAAUGAUUCAGGCCAUUAUGCCUCACAUUGAGUAGUAUUUUCUUGUAUAGUUGUAUGUUUGCAAUAUUUCAAUGUUAGCCUAUCUCGCCUUACAUAUUUUAAUUGGGGUGGGGGCAACAUGAAUUUUCUUUGUGGAAAUUUGCAUCCGGCUUGAUAGCCUGCUAAUAAGUGCAGCUAAUAAAAUAGCCGGGACCAAACUUACCAUUCCCUUAACAAUGUUUACCUGUUAAUUGCCUCAUUUAACUUUGAGGUCCUAAUCUAAUAUGCUCUACCAGAUGUGGAUAUUCGAUAGUAAUGAUGGAGAUGCUCGUCUGUUACGAUUUCGAAGUGGUCACAGUGCUCCACCUAGGUGCAUAAGGUGCAGCUUCCCUCCAUUUUGUGUCCUGUCUUUUGCUUCCUGUCAGUUGUGCUUUUGCUGAGUCAACCUACUUUUGUUCUUAGAUUCUAUGGGAAUGGAAAAUGCAUAUUAUCUGCUGGUCAAGAUCGUGCAUUUCGUCUUUUCUCAGUUAUCCAGGUAACUGAUUGCACCAUAACUUUGUAAUAGUGUUUUUAUAAGAACGUCUCAAAUACCAGGCUGCUUUGAUAUUUUCAUUCUGUUUUGAUUCUCGUGAAGUAACUUUUCUUAACAGGAUCAACAAAGUAGAGAGCUUUCUCAGCGGCAUGUGGCCAAAAGAGCAAAAAGGCUAAGAGUAAAGGUGCAAAUCUGGGUUUAUUCAUUUAUUGUGUUCAAUCCCCCUCCCCAGGUUUGGGUGUUGAAAAGUUCCUCUUUUUCCUGCAGGAGGAAGAGAUCAAGCUAAAACCAGUUGUUACAUUUGACUGCGGUACUAUUUUGGUUUCUUGCAAGUUGCAAAAUUUCUUAAUACUGUGCUUAUAUUGUUAAGAAAAUUUACUGAUAUCCAGGGGAGCCGGCGUGCCAAUAGUGAAAAUAGGAUCAUUCCAACAUGUUGGAUUGUUUAAAAGAUUACAUAAAUAUAUCAUGUACAUAGAACCUGCAGAAAUUCACUUCAGAUUUCACCUUUGAUAUCAAGAUUCAGAAAAGACAAGUGGAACAAUAUUAGCACAUGAUCAGCAAUGCCACACCUCAUGUGAAUUUGAAAUUAGUUUUUUGCAGGUUGUCUUAACAUCGUGUCCUGGAUACAUGAUUCUUUUAUGAAAUUUUGGAAGAUUGCAAAAUGCUGAAUUUGCCGAUGGCAGCGCCAUAACCCCUGGAUAUAGAAUCCACACUUAUCAUACAAAUUCUGCUGCUUUGCAUAGCAAGUUUUUUUUUUGGAGCAUAUAAAAGCAAGAGGUUUAAGAUAUAUUUUUGUGUCGAAAAGUGUUACUGUUGUCUAAAUAAUUGGUUGUAAAGUUAUAUUUCAUCCUACAAACUGCAUGAUCUUCAUCUCAUUAUAUGAUAUAUACUGUUACCAAAAUGUGGAUAUUUUGGGAAGGGGUGGGAGGAGAGCAGUAGCUGAAAUAUAAUUUGCAGAAGUAGGGGUAAACUUAAACUAGGAAGCACCUUAGGCUGGCAUAUCAUAGGAACGAACAAUCUCAGUGUUAGAACUUCAGUUUAACAAAGAUUGGUUGAAGUGACUUCUGAUGCUAUCCAGUAUGGGCCUUCUAGUAUCAUCCAUCAUCUUGUUUGUAAGAUACCAGACAUGGCAAUGGCAGACAUGUUGCCUAGCUCUCAUGACAUUGCAAAUGCUACCCGAGAAAUCAUUUCACGUGUGCUCUUAGCCAUUUGCUUACUUGGUAUGCAACAAACUUACUAAAUGUGGUGAUUAUCUACAAUAAAUGCCACAACCAAUGGCACAGCACUGCACUGCUAUCACCUAACGGAUUAAAUUUUGUGAGAUGUUAUUUAUACAUCUUUGACCUGUAAGAUAUUUCACAGAUCGGCAUAUCUUCUGUUUAUAUACUCUGCUAUGCGAAUCUAACCUUUAGACUGCACUCUCUUUUUCAGCUGAGAUACGUGCACGUGACUGGUGUAAUGUUGUCACAUGCCACAUGGAUACUCCGCAGGCAUAUGUAUGGCGUCUUCAGAACUUUGUUAUCGGUGAACAUGUUUUGACACCAUCGGCAAGCACUGUGACACCGAUUAAGGUAAUGCUUGUUUUUGAAGUUUUGCAUCUAUGAAAUUUCAUUGUAGACUAGAAAAUGUGAUUCCUAAAAUUCAAGUGUUUUUUCUUUUUUAAGCAUCAUUUUCUUUUUCUGGCAGGCUUGUGUAAUAAGUGCAUGUGGUAAUUUUACUAUCUUGGGCACUGAAGGUGGUUGGAUCGAAAAAUUUAACCUUCAAUCAGGGUUUAGUCGUGGUAGUUACAUUGACACUUUGUUGGCAAUGCAAUGUGCACAUGAUGGUGAAGUUGUUGGGUUAGCUUGCGAUGCCACAAAUGGCUCUCUGAUUAGUGCUGGAUACCAUGGUGAUAUUAAGGUAUGACCCUCUCUGUUGUGCUGUAGUGUGCUUCUUGUUGUGAGCAGACAUGAACAUUACGUUUACGGAGAACUGUGCUCUUCAUUUUCUGUCCUAUCAACCAGUUGAAUUGUUUCCUUGGCAUUUCCAUAUUAUCUUUCAAAAUCUUUUAACCCUACAAUCAAGAAUAGUUGUGUAUGAUUCACCUGUUUUUUUAAUCAAAUUUACUCACUUUUAAACUUUUCUUUAAAAGUCUCAAUGAAAUUUCAGACACAAUUAUAUUAACUAUAAAAUUGUGUAUCUUGCAGGUAUGGGAUUUUAAAACUUGCAAGCUGAAAUCCAGAUUGGAUGUUGGUAAAUCUGUCACUAAAAUUGCAUUUCACCGGCCAAAUGGUAGUAAUACUAGUGUUCAACAUAUUUGGUAUUCCCAUGAGGAAGUUUUCAGACAACUAACCAUUAUUUGCUAUUUAUGGCAGGUCUUCUUGCUACCAUAGCAGGUGACAUGGUACUUAUAUUGUUUGAUACGGUGUCCAUGAAAAUGGUUCGUAGAUUUGAAGGACAUACAGACCGUAUCACUGAUUUGUGCUUCAGUGAGGAUGGAAAAUGGCUCAUCUCGUCUAGCAUGGAUGGGACUCUUAGGAUUUGGGACAUCAGUUUAGCAAGGCAGAUAGAUGCAAUGCAUGUUGAUGUAUCUAUAACAUCUGUCUCUAUGUCUCCUAAUAUGGAUGUGUUGGCAACCACUCAUGUUGAUCAAAAUGGUGUCUACCUCUGGUAGAGUUCUGUUGCAUCACCCUAUGCUCAGCCUAUUAUACCACCCAUGCAUAUCUCAAUUUAUUUUGUAGCUAUAUAUAGUUCAGAAAAAAUAAAUCAUGAGGUUGGCCUUCCAGCGGGUGCAAUUUCCACAAAUAUAUUAUUCAUCUCACUUAUAGCCAACGGAAUAGUAUUACCAGUACACUCUGUUUCAACAUAUGCACCGAAUUAGAGUUGUGUGGCAUAGCAUGCAAUUUUAUACGCGGUCAUGAUAUAUAUAGUGUUCUUCCAGUUUUUUUUUUCAUCUGUGGUCUCAGACAUGUGUUAUAAAUUUGACAGGGUUAAUCAAUCUUUAUUCUCGGCCUCAACAAAUACUGAAAAUUAUGGCAGUGGUAAACAUGUACGGAAUGUGUGUUUGCCAGCUGUUUCAUCUAUAGAGAGAUCCGAGGAAGAACAAGUUCAGAAAUCAGGAGAGUCAUAUAAGUCCAGUAUUAAACCUUUUGUCAUAAUGGAUCAUCAAAUACCCAAUCUAGUCACCCUAUCCUUACUUCCAAAGAGCCAAUGGCAAAGUUUGACAAAUCUUGACAUUAUAAAGGUAAUAUGCUUGUCUUGGUUCUAGCUUUCAGGUUUCAACAUUGCAAAGUUAUGAACUAUGUGGCCUAUAUUGCUUGCUUAUAUCUUAUAUACAAGAGCUUUAUUGUGUUGAAAAACUAGAUUAAAGUCCUAACCUUUGUAUUAUGUCUUUAGGUUCGCAAUAAACCAAUUGAGCCACCUAAGAAACCUGAGAAGGCACCUUUCUUCUUGCCUUCAGUUCCAUCUCUUUCUGGGGAGAUAUUGUUUGAGCCCCCUGCUAGCACAAAAGAAACAGACAUCAGUACCACUAAAAAUACAAAUCAUAAGAUGUCUGAGCUCUCCUCUCAUUUCAGUCAGCUGUUGCAAUCUUGUGGUGAAACAAAGAACUGUGAGUAUUUACUAUUAUCUUUACUCAUGUAAAUUUUCCUUAGUAACACUUGUAAGGCUUAGCUUGUUAAUCCUAUAAAAAGUUGCUGCCAUACUGUCAUUAUUGUUCAAUCCAUCUUUACUCAAGUAAUUUUUCCUUAAUAACACCACUUGUAAGGCUUAGCAUGUUAAUCCUAUAAAAGGUUGCUGCUAUACUGUCGUUAUUGUUCAAUCCCAUAUAUCUGAAUACUCUAACCAUCGUAUGCAACCAGAAAGAAGGAUAAAUAUCUGGAGAUAUAUUCUCACUAUGUUGCCUUUAGAGGCUGAUUCUCGUUAUUUUAAGCACUGACCUCAGAUCUUUUUUGCAGAUUCAGCUUUUACCGACUACCUAAAAGGCCUGUCACCAUCAUCUUUAGAUAUGGAACUGCGAAUGCUACAAAUAAUAGAUGAUGAAGAGUCUGAAGGUCUGGAGCAAAGACCUGAGCUUCAGUCCAUUUCAUUGCUGUUGGAUUAUUUCAUUCGUGAACUUGCCUUGAGGAAUAACUUCGAGUUUGUCCAGGCUGUUCUGAAAUUGUUUUUGAAGGUAUAUAAUCUGUGCAUUGUUUCGACUGGUUUAAAAUUAUGUUCAAAGGCAUGUGAUAAGUACAUAACAUCUUAACCCAUCAAGUUUGUACUUAGAAAUCUGUAUCUUUUCUGGGAAGCAGAUACAUGGUGAAACAAUACGACGGCACUCGAUGCUUCAGAAUAAGGUGAAGAAGCUUCUUGAGGUCCAGAGCUUAGUUUGGCAGAAGAUUGAUAAGAUCUUUCAGGGUGCACGAUGCAUGGUUACAUUCCUCAGUAACUCACAAUUUUAGUAGCAGGUGAUUUCUUGUCAUUUGCUUUGUGAAACAAGUUCGCUUCAUUUACUGACUGCUUAAAUUUUGACCUUCCUUUUUUCUCACAACAUAUGUAAAUUGUAAUGCUGCAUUUUUUUUUUUGGGAGAUAGAAUAUUUUCAGAGUUCAACUUACCAUUGACAUUUUGGUCGUCUCAUUGAGCUUCUUUAUUUAAUCUAUUUUCGUUUGUCCCUAAAUAGGCCAGAGCUCCACAUACCAGGGUAUACUUGGUGUCUAAUACCUGCACAAAUUGUGGCCAUUGGAUUGAGCAAGUGGGUAUAGUUGAGUUUUGGAGACGGCAGUAAAACAGAUUUGGUUGUUCUCAAGCAUGGCAGUCCAAGCUGUCCGCACAGAUAUUGGAGCAUCGUUCAGCAGCAGCCAUGGCUAUAUACUUUAUGCUUACAGUUUUGAUGUUGCAGUAAAGCUGCAAGGAGUUCACUUGGUAAACAUUGAUAGCUACCAAAAACAGCUCCAUCUCAUGAUGUAACAUUUUUGUAGUUUUACAUUUCUGUCAUCCUUUUGUCACAAACUGAUGUAUCAAACACCGUGUUGCAAGAAACGCGAAGCUUUGUCAUUGCUAUUUGAGCAAAAUUCAUGUCUGUAUGUUCAGCAAGCUUAGCUUCUGCGCUGGUCUUAUGUUGCGGAGGAUACCAGGUGAAAAUAUCCAAAGUGUACCAAAGUUUGUAAAUAUUUUAGAAACACUACGUAGAUUUCUCCCCCAAGAAUCUGUGAAAAUAAUCACCGGCAAGAGCAGUUAUUUUGCGCAACAAUAUAAAAGGCAAGAGCAAACUCAGAUCGUGUUUGAGAUUUUGAGAUGCAGGAGGUGUGAACAGUGUAGCUUUGUUGCACCAGAAUUUUUCUACCCUAAUAAGUCACAAAUCUAAUCGACUUUGUACCUGACUUUUGCGUGGACCUCAUACAUAGCCUCACAUAUUCCAGUUUUUGAUAAUUUUGAAAGUGCUGUGUAGAGUGUUUGCAACUUAGAUGCACCCGUUUCUAAAUAUGGGGUGUUUAAUGAGAAUAUACAGUCAUGAAAAAUGCUGAACAAUUUUCAGAGCUUCAGGCUGAUAAUCAGCUGUGCAUAAGUAUGAACCAGCAUCCAGAAAAUGAAAAUUUAAUGUUGCAAACUUCUUGAAUUUCAUAACACAGCAGACAAUGUGUCACUGGAGGCAUUUUCGUAUAAAAAUUGUGUUAAGAAUUGUAUGCCCCCAAACAGCCUAACUUAAUGACUUGGGGAAGCAAAUCUUCUCAAAGUACAUCAAAACCGAUCUUUUUUCUGUUGCUGAUCAAAAAGUGACUCUAGAGCCCUCAUGUAAUAAGAACACAAAUACACAAUCAAAUCGAUACAUUGAAGAAUCUGGUCCGAAGUACAAAAAGAAUUCCCUGGAGGAUGGUCCAGUGUUAAACCUCUGAAGUAAAAAUGCAUAUAGGAUCCUGAGGCUCUCUUAAUAUCAUUUUUGACCUAGUGUAUAGUCGCCAUGUUUACACGGUCUGUUUGCCUGUCAUUGCAACACACCAUGUGUCGUCAUGAUGUAAAGCUUCCUCUAACCCUAGCUACCAACCUGUCCAUCUUCAAGAGAUCAUUCAGACUUACUCUUCAAGGUGUAUACAUUUCCAACGACUCCGAUGACGCUAACAACUAUUGAUAGCCCCAGCAACCCAAGUGACAGGAGCCUCUCCCCAUGUCCCAAGCGACUCCCUUCCUUGUCCAGCCUCAAUGCCACCAGAGCCGGGAACAUGAAACCCAACGCUAACCCUGUGGUAGCUCCAGUGAACUUGAAGGCCAUCCAGAUGUUCGGUAUCAUUGUUGAGCCAAGGUAGAUGAGCGCUAGAAGCACCACUGUCAGUGUGAGUGUUUUCUUCCUGCUAGGGGUCGCCAGCUCCCCAAAGAUCAGUGCGUCCACUGUCUGCCUGAGCGAGAAGUGGACAACUGGGAAGACGAGGACCAGGUGGAUGACAUACCCAAUCCUGACAAUGUAGUUGAGCAAAGAGCUGAAUCUGAUCCCGAGAUCCUUGUCGAAGUUGGUGAGCACAUCGGACUCGGUGUCCUCACCGAACAAGAGAUACCCUGAGAGGGCAGUCAGGGCAUACACCACUACACAUAGCACAGUGCUGAUCCUCCCAACCUUGUACAUGUUCCGUGGCGUCUUCUCCUUGAGUUCAUUGUAGAUCGGCUGCACAUUGAAAUGGCAGAUGAAGGCAUUAGUCAUGAUGGGUAUCACGACGAGCAGGUCUAGCAUUGCUGCUCGCGAGCUGAAAUCUGGCCCCAUCCUCGGCAUACUGAUCUUGCCCUCAGCGAUCUUGAUCAAAGCAAUGAUGCAGGACACAACCACAAACACAACAGCAAGGGCAACUGACGCAGCAGAUGAUAAACUCAGUGAGUCAAUCUUCUCAAGCGCGCACAAUGGCGCAAGGAAGAUGACAAGAACCACCAAGAUCAGCAGCUUCCGGUUAUCCCACUCGCCAUGGCCAAUCAGUUGAUCCAUGACGCCGAUGUGCUUCAGUGACCCUGACAUCACGUCUCCGAUGAUAAUCAGAUACACCACCAGGACGCCUGCGUUGUUGAUGAUGACGCACAUCUGCGCCACGACGCUCGCUGGCCGGCCCAUCGCCCUGUGCACGACCUCGCCGUACGACAGCGCGCGGCAGUAGGCCGAGAACCUCACGAGCAGCUCGACGGUGAUCUCGGAUAGGACCCCCAUGACCAGGAUCGAGACGAGCCCAGCGGCGACUCCAAGCACCUUCAUGGUGGCCGGGAGCGCCAUAAUGCCGGCCCCGAUGAUGGAGGUCGCGAGGUUGAACACGGCGGCGGGCACGCCGGACCCCUCUGGCGGCCCGGCGGGCCCGUCGCCGAUGAGCGGCAGGUCGUCGUGCUCACCGGCCCCGCCGCCGCCGUCCUCCACCUCGCCCAAGAACGAAUCUUGCUUGGAGAUCUUAGCGUGGCCGUUGACGUUGGCAUUGGCGGAGGCGUUAGAUUUGGCCUGGAGCUCGAUGGAGGGGGAGGUCAAUGGGAGCGCCGAGUAAUUCGUGUUCAUCUCGCCUCUUGGCGCAUCAAAGAUGGAUCAGGAAGCCAAGAGGGGGUGGAAAAUUCUUGGCAAGACCGGAUACAGGAACAAAUUGCGCGAAGAAUAAAAUCCGAAUGCCUGAAUCUCCGACGAAUGGAAGGAAAUUCGCGCCCAAUCUACGACUAAAAAACACAAAAUUGCUUGCUGUAGAAAGGGGCGUUGGAAAUCAAAACAACAAAAUAUAUUCCCUGCGGAGGAGAUUUGGGGAUACAACGGUGGAAGAAGAUGAAUCUUGGUGAGCACCAAAGGGGCUUGGGAGUUGGGAAGCACCAAAGGGUGGACUGAGAGGGAGGAUUGGGGCGUUGAACAGUGGCGAGAGAUCUGAGCUUUAUCUCUCUUGCAUACUACUGAUACUAUUUGUAAAAAAAAAAAAAUUACUUCUGCCACUCCUUCCGUGUUCUUCCUUCUCUCGGAUGAAGAGUACCGUACUCUUAGGCUUGUUUAGUUCAAAAAAUUUUACAAAACAGGUACUGUAGCAUUUUUGUUUGUAUUUGACAAAUAUUGUCUAAUUAUUGACUAACUAGGCUCAAAAGAUUCGUCUCGUUAAUUCCGACCAAACUAUGUAAUUAGUUUUUAUUUUUGUCUAUAUUUAAUACUCCAUGCAUGUGUCUAAAGAUUCGAUGUGACGGAGAAUCUGGAAAAUUUUGCAAAAGUUUUUGGAAACUAAACAAGGCCUUAACAAAAGAGCACAGUCAAUUCACGUUAAUUCCGAAGUACGGAUGGCUACACCAACCAUGGGACACUCGUGUUCUCCGUAGAUACUUAUGACGUGUGGGUCCAGACAGAAGCGGGGCCAAGUGACAGUGAGAGGGCGCUCUAGUUAUUGGUGAGUGCUGUCUGCGUUGGGCCCACGCGUCGGGCCACAUGGGUACGCGACGUGCGGAUACAGCUCUUCGAUCUGAUUGGCCGGCACCCGGCAAUCUGAAGUCGGAGCUGGACCCAUUUGCUGGCUAGUGGUGGCACCUACUACCAUCUGCCCCACCUGUCGGUGAGAAAAAUAUCUUUCUCCUGAUAUUUGUAAUUUUCGUAUAAACUUUUCGAAAAUAAAUUGAACUCCAAUUGGAUUAUUUUUUUUGUUUCCAUGUUAUGGGUUUUACUUGAACAUUUUUUUUACUGGAGUACGGUUAACAAAAGUGAGUACUACUAUUUAGGCCUUGUUUAGUUCGCAAAAAUUUUCAAGAUUCCCCGUCACAUCGAAUCUUUGGUUGCAUACAUGGAGCAUUAAAUAUAGAUAAAAAUAAAAACUAAUUGCACAGUUUACCUGUAAUUUGUGAGAUAAAUCUUUUGAGUCUAGUUACUCUAUGAUUAAAUAAUAUUUGUCAAAUAAAAACGAAAAUACUACCGUAGCCAAAAACCAAAGUUUUUGCCAACUAAACAAGGCCUUAGGUUGCCUUGAACGUUGAAACCUUCAAGUCUUCCUUGAAAUAUCUUCCUUUGACCUGGUACAGCUCGAAGUUCCUUCGCACAGAAAAUAUCAAUUAGCUUUUGUUUUGUUUGGCUACAACUCUACAAGUACAAAGCAUGUGAUAGAUCACUGGCAAUGUCUAGUUGUGAUGUGGAAAUGGUACGUGUAGUCAUCUCAAAUCUUUUUGAUAAGAAAGCUUUUUAUAUUUAUGUUUUAUAAAUUCAAACAUAAUCUUUCAUUUACUCCCUCCGAUAAAACUUGUCUUAUAAAAAUUUCAGAAAUAUUUGCAAAUAUUAGCGUGGAACUCAAAUGACCACGGCGUCUGAAAUUCCCACGUUCUAAACAGAAAUAGACAUCUCCUAUAAAAAUUAGUUGUCACGUGGGUAUUGGCUCAGUAAUUGUCCAUAUACAAAUAUAAUGAAGGCAAAUAGAUAAAAGAUAAGGCUUUGAUUUGAUAUAUAUGGACCUCACUGGCUGUCUAAAGUCUACAAUGACAAGUUUUGUCGAACAAACUUUGAAUACUGCAAUGAUAAGUAUUUUUUAGGACAAAGGAAGUAAAUAAAUGGUGAAACUUGUAUUUAAGGAAUAUUUCCAAAUAUCACUUUCCCAGGAAGUGUUCGUGAAUGUAUUCCCCAAGCAUUGAAGUGCGUGGUUCUAAGCUUUGUAUGACACUGUAAAUAAAGCUGACAAAAAAGGAAAAUUAUCAAGAGAGCCAAGACAUCCUAACAUCAGAUGAUUUUCUUUGGGCGAGUUUCUUGAUCUGCAAUAAAAGAACAUGUGCCUUUGCUUUCUGAGCACUCUAGCCCACGAUUCCUGAGAUUUGUUUGCCAAAGAUGAUGGUCAAUAAUUUAAGUCAUCCUAUAACAAUUAAACAAUUGUCCACUAGACCUCCGAGUUGUCUUGAUUGGUACUAAAAGUCUAGUGCUUUUUCCUCUCACCUCUAGCAGAUUGUUUGUCACGCCAGAGCAAUAGUACUUCGAGAAAAAGUUACUCACACACAUAAAUUUAUAUGCACAUAGUCUUUUCAACUACACUAUUACAGGGCACUAGGUUAUCGCCAACAUCAGCCUAUAGUCUUUGGUUUUCCUUUUCGAUUCGACAAUACAUCAAUAGAUAUCGAGUCACCGACGAAGCCAUGGAUUCAUUGGGUUUUGGGAGGAAAUAAGGAGAUGGUGGGAGAAUUAAAUGGCACCAGUGAGAUCCAGCACAGCCCUGCGGUGCUCACCUGAAGUGGUGAAGAUAUGGUCAGUUGCUACAGCACCGGCGACCAGGAGGAAGAGCAGCACGGACAUCGGACCAGCGAAGCCCAUCGGAGACGAUAAAUAGGUCUUUGCACCUCGCUUCGACACCCCCUUUGGCUUCCGUGGUGAUUUCUCAUCAGUGUCAUGCUGUCAGCCAUCUGUCAGGUGAAGUUGAGCCCUGGUGUCUAGCCAUAAGGUCGUGCGCCGAAUCGAACGAAAACAAUUUUACGCCUUCAACUCUAAAGACCUAAUUACUCCUUUUUGGAGCAUUUACAGAAAUUCGGUCUAAAUAAACACGUUUGUAUGCAUAGUUGUUGCAGUUAAAAGGCAUACAUAUAUAACGUUUAUACUACUAUAGUAUUUGUUUUUGGCAUUCUUGCUUAGCCAUGUCUACCUGAUCUCACCUAGCAAAGAUAGACAUAGCAAGAAAGGGGAAGUUCUUUGGUUCUCUUGUCUAGUUUCCAUGCCAUCUUCUUCUCUCUCCAUUUUCUAGCAGGGAGCAAGAAAGGGAGAGUUGAUCAGAAAAUCUUACCCUAGCGGCAGAGCCAAAUUGGCUCACCUUGGUGAGCAAGGGUAUCCUCGCCAGAGUGGAUGAGCUUGCUCGGCGAAGCAAGGGUUUCAAGUCGUACCAAACAAUAAUUCUCGCUGAUCGAGAUGAGGCAAGAGGCUUUUCUGCCCUUGGUUUCUCUAGAUAGCUUGUCUAGCCUGGUUGGCACGGAGCAUGAGAAGCUUGCCCAGCUAGGAGAGCCAAUUUGACCCUCUCAAGCAGGCAAGGCAAAGCUUGCCCACAUUGCCCUAAGGUGGCUAGGUAAGAUAUCCAAACAAGCAUGUUUGUUUCAUAUUCUUGCUUAGUGAGGCAAAACAAUACCUGACAAAGGAACCAAGCAAUCCCAUUGUGUUCAUCUAUUGUGAAUCUAAGAAAAAUGGAAGGUGAGUCACAUAUAGUCCCACAUGCGCUACAACAUGAACUGGAAUGUGUGGCUAAGCAAGCAAUGAACAACGUGACAUCAAAGGUUUUUGUAGCUCUAAACUCAAAUAUAAAACAAAUGUGAGUAAAGAAUGUGAUUGAUGAAAGAUGAGUGAGUGAUUGGCACUUAACUAUAUGAGUUAUGCUGGUCAAAAAAAAUUAAGUUUGACCAAAUUUAUAAUGAAUACUAUUAAUAUUUGUGUCACCAACAAUAAAGUUUACCAAUUAAUCUAACAGUACUUAUUUUGUAUCUCAAAUGCUAGUAUUUUUAUAUAAUUUUAGUCAAAGUUUAAAUUAUUUAUCUUCUGAAAAUUGCGUAGUAUGACCUCUUAUGUAUAUAUGUGAAAAAAACAGUGAAGGUCGGGCUCGAGCACGUGAUAGUUGAGUACGUGACUUAAAACUCCAUUAGUGGCGAUGGAGUAUGAGCUGGAACAGAAUUUGACUGCAAAUUUACUAGGCCAAGAAUUAGAGUAUGUUUGGAUGUAAGGAUUAAUUGUUAGCUAGCUAAAAAUUAGAUAAAAUUAGUUAAUAUAUAGUGCAUCCAAAUGGAAGAGUUAAUAGGUGGGCUAAUUUUUAAGAUUCGACUAUUUAGCCAGUUUAGACUAAUUUAGCCUCAACUAUUAUCCAGCCAUGUGUAUGAAAUGGGAGCUUUGUACCUGUAUGCCAUUAUGAAAGAUUGACCAAACCAGGAAGCCACUAAAAAGUUGUUUCGCACCGCUAUGCCCAACUUCAUCUUCGGCUAUACCUGUAUGUCAUUCCGUCUAUUUUGAAGUCUAACGGCAGUUAAAUGGUCUGGCAUUUGACUUGAAUGCUCCUGGAUCAAUUGGUCUAGACAACAAAAUCUUCUUGUCCCCAGUGCCACUGAGGCCUUGUUUGCUUCCAAAAUUUUUGGCCAAAUGAGCACUGUAGCAAUUUUGUUUGUAUUUGAUAAAUAUUCUUCAAUCAUGGACUAACUAGGCUCAAAAGAUUUGUCUCGUCAAUUCCGACUAAACUGUGCAAUUAGUUUUUAUUUUUAUCUAUAUUUAAUACUCCAUGCAUACGUCUAAAGAUUCGAUGUGACGGAGAAUCUAAAAAAUUUUGCAAAAUUUUUGGGGAACUAAACAAGGCCUGACUACCAAUUUCUACGGUGAGCGCCAAAAGUGCCACUGACUACCAAUUUCCAAGAACACCACGCCAUACAUACUACGGGCAUGAUCUAGUACUAAUUAAUUCGUUGUCAUAUAUACCUAUCUUGAUCGACGACGGCCCAGGAUGUUCCAAGAAGCUGGUGAUCUGGACAAGGACGUGCACCACCUGAAGCGUCAGGUCAUGGCACACAGGCGGCUCGUCCAGCAUCUCAGCAUCAACUGCCUGUACUCAUCGUCGUCAGCAACUCAGCAUCGAUGGUACUACCUAGCUCCGGCGCUUCCAAGGAGGAGGAGGGCGCCGACAUGGACGGAAUCUUCCUCCCAGACCAUCAAGGCGAACGCGACGAGGACCUAGAACUGGACGAGCUUCUGUCCGAGCACCGGAUGGACGAGGCGCUCCAGCUCCUGGAGCUGCGAGGCCGAGCGCUGCAGACGAUGCAGGAGCAGGCCGCCGCCGACGACGGAGCGAUCGCGUUCGCGUCGAGCGUGCGCGCGCUGUCCGCCACGAAGGCGAGGGUCGCCGCCCGCUUGGCCUCCCUGGCGGAGAACCCGCGGACGCCGCGGCCCGAGCUCCUGAAGGCGCUCUCGGGCCUCUGCAGGCUCGGCGACCCGGAGCAGGCGAACCACCUGCUCUUCCAGGUGCACCGCGCGAGCGUCGUCCGCGGCGUGGAGGAGCUGCGCGCGUCGCGAGACCACCACCAGAGCAUCGCCGGCGCCGGCGCCGGCGGCAACUACAUCAAGGACCUGGCGCGCGUGGUCUUCGCCUCCAUCGUGCGGAUGUCAAGGAGCUUCGUGGCGCUGCACAGGGACCCGUCUCCCUACACCCCUCGGCUGGUCCGGUGGGCGAGGGAGGAGAUGGAGGACCUGAGCGCCGCCUUCUCCGAGUAAGUGAGAAGAGCAGCCCAGGGGAGUCGAGCAAACCAGAGGGCCGAGGCCGGGGGCACGGUGAAGACGGGCGCGCCAGCGGACGCCGAUGCUGGCGGAGCCACCGAGAGCGCCGGGCCGGCCCUGGCGACCCCGCUUCCUCCUCGUCCCCUCUCCGCCUCAUGCUGCUGCUGCGGAGGCGGCGCGAGGGAGCUGAUGAGGAGCUGCGUGAAGGUCGUCGUGGCCCCGAAGGAGGAGUUGGCGUCUCCGCCUCCGCCGCCGUCGCUGUCAGAAGAGGGGAAGAGCGCUGAGGCGAGCGUGAGCGGGCCCGGGCUGGCGUCGCCGGCGCCCGUAAAGAGCGACUCCGCCGCCGAGCGCGGUGGCAGCGCCAGGCGCCGGCGUUGACUUUGUUUUGGGAAGAGGCCGAGCGCGGCCUCGAACGCGGGCUGGAGGACCGCGUGAGGGGCGAUGGACUGGAAGGGGAGAAGGACAUUUUACUACCAAGAUCUACGUGUCAGACCCCUUAAACGUCACGAAACAAAUAGAAUGAGGACGGAAUGACAUACGGAUAUAGUCGAAGAUGAAGUUGGGCACUGCGGUACGAAACAACUUUUUAGUGACCUCCUGGUUUGGUCAAUUUUUUAUAAUGGCAUACAGAUAAAAAGCUCAUGAAAUGGGCCCUUACAACUUAUCGUGUAUGAACCAGCCUGAGUGGUGACAGAAUCAUCGAUUCUACUCUAAGAUUGGCACAGCAGGACACAAUAAUGAUUAGGGCCUUAUUUAGUUCUUAAAAAAUUUUGCAAAAUUUUUCAGAUUCUCCGUCACAUCAAAUCUUUAGACGCAUGAAUGAAGUAUUAAAUAUAGAUGAAAAUAAAAACUAAUUGUACAGUUUAGUCGGAAUUGACGAGACGAAUCUUUUGAACCUAGUUAGUUCAUGAUUGGAUAAUAUUUGUCAAAUAUAAACAAAAGUACAACUAUUCCUAUUUUGCAAAAUUUUUUGGAACUAAACAGGACCCAGCUCGGACGCACAGUAUUGUGUCUUCCUCCCUGACCCUGAGCUAAGGGGUGUCAAAGUUUAACAGGUACCGUAACAUUUUCAUUUUAUUUGACAAUAAAUAUCUAAUUAUAAACUAAUUAGACUUAAAAGAUUCGUCUCGCAAAUUACUUUUUAACUGUGCUUUUACUUUUAUAAAUAGUAUAUAUUUAAUACUUUAUAUAUAUGUUCAAAUAUUUAAUGUGACGAAAAACGGGCCUAACCUUGCACGGGGGCAUGCUAAUUCUGCACCGAGAGCGAGCUGCAUCAAAUGUAGUUCUGCUAGCAACUCAAGUUGCGGUUGUUUGGCAGCUCACCGUUGGUGUCGGCAUCCAAGCCAAGCGCCCAGGCCAGGGACCAGGGUACCAGACCGCCUCCCUUCCGGCGCGGCGCCGCGUGGUGGCGCUCAUCACAAAACAAACCGCGCGCAACCCCUGGUCGUCCCGAUCCAUCGCCCGCUGAACAAAUGCAGCCUACGGAGCAGUGGCGCAAACUGCCCGUCGCGGGCGUUGCUCGCCGCGUGCUGCUAUGCUCGUGCCGUCGUGCGCGGGGUUAUAGGGCGGCAGAUCGAGCUAGCGCUCCGGAUCGACGUGGAUUUAAUUUCCAGCACCGGACGGCGAGCAAUCAUUCCAUGUCAUGGCCACCGCACGUCUCGAGGAAGGCUGUGUCGACGGAGGAGCCGACGGCGAUGCUGCUCUCCGCGGCGGCACAGGAGACGACGACGACGACAACAACGAGGGUCCAGUGGAGCAAUGCAGUCAAGAAGCUGCCGUGGGAGCUGAGGCGCCUCCCACCAAUUAGCGGCGGCGGCGGCGGCGGCGCCAGAGCGGACAGCAGGAGGAAUAACGGCGCCAGUGGCACGGCGGGCACGGACCUCGCGGAGCGCACGGCGAAGGCGUGGAUCCGGCAUGCGCUGGCGAAGCGGGUCGCCACACGCAUGCUGAAGCGGAGCACGUCGUCGCCGCCGCUGGUGGCAGUGGCGGAUGAGGGGAGCAGCCGGAAGACGAAGGUGAUCGUGUGCUGCUGCGCGAGGCUCCCACCGGGUCUGCGCUGCGCGCUGCACCAGGAAGACGCACAAGGCCAGGCCUGGAUGCGCGCGCAGCGCGGCGACGACGGCGGCAGGGAGUGCGGCGAGGCCGUGGCGGUGGCACCGCCCAAGGCGCACGGGUGGGCGUUCCGCGAGUACGCGCGGUGGCGUAGACACGUGUGGAUGCCCAGCCGGUUCUACUUGGAGCGCGUUGAAACCGAGAAGCACUGUGCAGCGGCAGAGUGGCUUCGUGUCGUGACUCGUGAGACACGUGUAGAUUUUUAGUGCGUUGUGUUUUUGUUUUAGGCCUUGUUUAGUUUCCAGAAAAUUUUGCAAAAUUUUUCACUUUUCCAUCACAUCGAAUUUUUAGACACAUGCAUGAAGUAUUAAAUAUAGACAAAAAUAAAAACUAAUUAUACAGUUUGGUCGGAAUUGACGAGACGAAUCUUUUGAGCCUAGUUAGUCUAUAAUUGGACAAUAUUUUGAAAUACAAACGAAAGUGCUACAGUGUCGAUUUUCCAAAUUUUUUCGGAACUAAACAAGGCGUUAGAGCAACCUCAAUGUAUAUGGACCAAGUAGUCCAUAUACAUGGGGCCUACACAAGUAGUCUAUAGCUAUUAUUUUUUGCUCACAAUGUUCAGCCAACAAAGUAGUCCAUAAGAUAGGGUCCACUAGAGAUUAAAAAUUAUUUUUUCCAACCAUCUCAUGUAUUAUGACACAAGAGAGAGAGCAUAGAGAGAGAAAAUAACAUUUCUUUAUUGCUUAUGGGUAGUCCAUAGGACUAUGGGUAGCUUUUGUUAUAGACUGCUAUAUGGACUACCUCCACAAUGUUUCAGUUAGCUGAUAGAGAGUAUUUUAUUUCCUAUGGACUACUUUCUCUGAACAUUGUGGUUACCCUUAGGCCAUGUUUAGUCUCAGAAGUUUUCUUUGAUCUUAUCAUAUUAAAUCUUUAGACGUACAUACAACAUUAAAUAUACAUAAAAAUAAUUAAUUAUACAGUUUCUAUGUAAUUCGCAAGACGAAUUUUUUGAACCCAAGUAGUCUAUAAUUAGACACUAAUUAUCAAAUAAAACGAAAAUACUAUAUCAGUCAAAUCGAAAAACUUUUGCGAACUAAGUCCUUAUUUAGUUUCGAAUUUUUUUGGGUACCGUAGUAUUUUCGUUUUUAUUUAGUAAAUAUUGUUUAAUCAUGGACUCACUAGGUUCAAAAGAUUUAUCUCGCAAUUUAUAGACAAAUUGUGAAAUUAAUUUUUGUUUUCGUCUAUAUUUAAUGCUCCAUGCAUAUGCCGUAAAAUUUGAUGUGACGAAGAAUCUUAAUUUUUUUUUUAAUUUUUAGUUUUUGGAGUGGACUAAACAAGGCCUAAUAAGACAUUAGAUACGCUUACCGGAAAUGGACGUGGACAUGAGCAAUGGAGGCGCGUUCUAUGUCGUCGUGUUUCAAAGUUUCACCUGUAUAUCACAUCCCUACAUUUGCGGUAUAUUCUCUGUGUAUAGGAUUUAAAAUUCAUUUAGGAUAAAUCUCUUAUUUUUUAAAAAAAAAUAGAACAAAAUGGAAUUUGUGUAUUUUUAUGAAAGUACUUUUGAAAGCUAAUUUAUUCAUAUAAUUUUCACGGUCAUAAACUUAUUUAAAAGUUAUUAAUGAUUUAUAUUCUCAAUAUUUGAUCCAAAACUUAUCUAAAAUGACUUCUAAAUCUUAAAUCUUAUUCAGAGAGCGUGUUGAGGCCGAGGAGCACCGUGAAGCGGUAGAGCGGCUUCGUGUCAUGACUCAUGAGACACGUGUAGGUUUUUAGUGUGUUGUGUUUUGUUUUAGAUACGAUUAGAAAUCAGAAACGCAUCCUGGAAAUGGACGUGGACAUGAGCAAUAGAGGCGAAGGACUAUACCGUCGUGUUUCAAAGUUUCACAUGUAUAUCUGUUCUAGUAGAUCACUACAUUUGCGGUAUAGAUACGAGUGUAAAUUCGUAAAUUUGGUUCUAUUUUUUAAACUAGGUAUAAUCUCAUUACUCAAUGGCUAACAAAUCAUUAGCGACAAUUACAUGGACAUUCUCAGUGACAGAGCUUAGAAUUGGCUCAUCCCAAUGAUUACACAAAAGAGCCAGCUUGGCUAGCUCAUGAGCAGCCAUGUUACAAACUCAGCUCUUGAAAGAGCACUCAAAGCUAAUGAAACAAGAAGACGCAAGAGAUUUUAUCUCAGCUAUCAAGACGCCGACUGCAGUAGCAUGUAAUCAUCAGUUGUGAUUGCUUGGACCACCAUCUUUGCAUUGUCUUGGCCAUAAGCUGGCCAAUCCUCCCUCGGAACGGAGGCAAACCCUUGCCUUAGAGCAAUUCCAAUUAAUUCCUUAAAUUUUUGGCUCACUUCCCCUCAAAUAAGAGUCCCUCAUUCAUACUUCUCAACGCUCUUCAGUUAAUCUAUUUUUUUUCUGUUUUACAUUACUUUAUCAUAGACCCUGCUCAUCGACUCCAUUUUGUCAACUUUGUGGCAAAAGAAAUGAGUAGAGUGGGAGAGGAUAGGCAUGGACAAAUUCCCUGAUACCCAUUAUUUGGACCUGAAUUGCUCGAAUUUGGACUCAAAUUACCUGAACUUGGUCCCAAAUUUGGAUAACAAUUCGAUUACCCGAAUUUGGUUUGGGCAAUAAGGGUAAUAUCUCCUAGUACCCGAACUAAUCAAACUGCCUGAAGAUGUGUAUGUGUCUUUAUGUUUGUGAUGUGUCGUGAGUUGUGCACUUGAACUCAGUGUAUGAUUCUCUCUAAAUCACUGCUGAAAUUUUAUGCAAAUCGCUGCCGAAAUUUUGUAUAAAUUGUUACUAAAAAACUGUACAGUUCAUUUCAUUGUUUCCGGUAAAUUCAUUACCCAAAGUCCCAAACCCGUCCCCAAUCAUCGGGUACCUGAAACGUCAGUAGUGUUUCUACAUGCGAAUAUUGGGUAGCAAUUUUCAUUACCCAAAUUUUGAAUUAGCCGACCCAAAAAAAAAUCGAGUAACCCAAAUACUCAAGGCUAUUAGAGGAUGAGGGGCCCCUACAUUUGAAGGUUCAGGAGAGAAAAAUGAGAGCCUCUCAUUUGUUGGUGGACGAUGGAAUGAGUUGGGUUAAAGAGUAAAGUUUACAUUUUGAUGUCUCAAAUAUAAGAUAAAGUUUCAGUUAGAAAUCCGGUUUGAGUUGCUCUUAGCGAAAACCUAAAUGGUGGCAAAAAAUAGAGACGUAAACACAUGCUUAUCCAGUCAGACAAGGCGAUGUAAAGAAUACAGAGACUCAAUGGACCGCAUCCUUGUACAGCCCAUAUAGCCCAACAUUGUCGGCCCAUCUUGCGUUGAGUGGGGUGGGACUAAACCCUAGGGGGCUGCGGCCUCGUAUAUAAACUCGCACGCACUCAUCCGUCGCCCCUCCGAAGUUUCGGCGGCGGCGUAGGCAGCGGCGGCGUGCUCGUGAUCUCAACCCCCAGGCGAGCUCGGCUCCGGUCACCCGUCGAUCCACGCAACCAUGGUAAGCGAGCUUCUUCUCGUCUGGUUGAAGUCCGUCUGUCCGUGCGCGGAUCUAGGCGCAAGCUCUGUAGCGGUGGGGGUUCCUGAGAGGUUAGGUUUGCGUGGAAAAAAGUUGUUGAUUGGAGCUUAUGCUCUGGGGGCUGCCAAAUCACAAUCGUGAUUUGUCUUUCGUUGAAUUAGUUGACUGUGAUUCCUACUCCUUAGUUGAAGACUGAAGUGAUGUGCUGCGGUACUUUUGUUGCGAAUCUAUCACGAUGUGUCAGUCUAGAUGAAGAUGUUUAGCUGUCAAAUGCAAUAUUUGAGAUGUGCUGUUAAAAUUGUAGAAGUAUUGAUACGGCUAGAAACUACUACUUAUGAACUUGAGUCAGAGAUCUGAUUACCUACUGCUUACGAGCUAAGAGUUAGAUAUGUUGAUUACCUGGGGAUUUGCUUGGGUUUGAGGAAUUUACGAAGAUGGAAAGCCAUGUUUUGCAAUGUUUAUUUGUUUAUUGUUUCCCAGUAUACAUCGUGAUGCAAGUCUAGUUUUAAUUUUUUAAUGAUUGACUUGAUUAGUAAACUGAGACUGAUUUGCUGUUGAGCGGCUUCUAUCAGUUUGUUUGCUCAACAUAAACUCAUAACAUAAAUCCACAGACAGGCUAUUAUUCAUACUGCAUUGUGCUCUAUUAGUAUGGCCUUUUGGUCCUCUUAGGCUCUUAAAAUUAGAACAUGAGCUGAAGUAUAUAUCAACUUAGGUUCACUUGUUGUGCAUGGUGAAAUUGUUUCUGGAGUCUGUUAACACGACAAUAAAUUCAUUGUAAUCUGAUAGUCAUAUAUGUUUGCAGUCGAGGAGGAAGACCAGGGAGCCCAAGGAGGAGAACGUUACCCUUGGACCCACUGUCCGUGAAGGAGAGUAUGUCUUUGGUGUUGCUCACAUCUUUGCAUCCUUCAAUGACACCUUCAUUGUAAGUGCUAUAUUUUUUUCUCUGUUGGUGGACUUUUUCAUUCCCUUCCCCAGUGUAACUGUGAUGUUAUAAUAUGCAGCAUGUCACUGAUUUGUCUGGGAGGGAAACUCUGGUUCGCAUCACUGGUACAAUCCUAACUUUGCUCCAUUCGUGGCUUAGAUGACAAUUGUAUUUAGUUUUAACCAUGUUGUUCUAAACUAUGUAGGUGGCAUGAAGGUCAAGGCUGAUCGUGAUGAGUCAUCGCCUUAUGCUGCUAUGCUUGCUUCUCAAGAUGUUGCACAGCGUUGCAAGGUAUUUGUAGUGAAGUAAAGAAUUUCGUUAGAGAGGUUCUACUGCAAUCACUCUUUGGUUCAUCUGUGUAUGCAAUGAUGAUGUUUGCUUAAUUAAUUUGAAGCUUAGGAUUAUGUAAGGCUGCUUAGGUUGUUGUCCAGAUAAGUAAUCUGUCUCUGUGUAUCCAGGGAUGAUGUUUGCUAAAUUAAAUUGAAGCUUAGGAUUAUGUAGGGCUGCUUAGAUUGCUGUGGCUAGAUAAGUAAUCUGUGAGUUGGUCUCGUUUCUUCAGGAGCUUGGUAUCACUGCGCUGCACAUUAAGCUUCGUGCCACUGGAGGCAACAAGACCAAGACCCCUGGACCUGGUGCUCAGUCCGCUCUCAGGGCUCUUGCUCGUUCUGGGAUGAAAAUUGGACGCAUUGGUAAGAAACUAUGAAAUCUGAAUCUUGCAAGGGCAAACUAUAUUGAUUUGCCCUAUUUUAUUGAAGCUACAUCAAUUAUCAAAUGUGUUAUUGUUUCUGUAUGCUAAUGACAACAUUUUUUGUGUUAUGUGCAGAGGAUGUUACCCCGGUUCCCACUGACAGCACUCGCAGAAAGGGUGGUCGGAGGGGUAGGAGGCUGUAGGUGUCUUCGCCUUGCUAUCUGCCAUCUCUUGGCACUGCCAUCUGGGUAGUGUUGCUGUUUCUAAGCUUGUCAAGAGGAGCUUUAAUUUUGCUCUAUGUCGAGGAUCAUUUACCGUUAGUCAAAUCUGUGAUGUGCAAUUGUGCAUGGAUAAUGUUUUGGUUGAGGAAUUGACAUUAAGCUAAAAAUGCAUUUUCACUCUACUAUAGGACCUGGGAUUGGAUUAAUGCCCUGUUUUGAUGAGGUGCAGCUGAUCUUUGCUGUAUUGCUUUAUGCUGAUCAGAACUUGCUUUCUGAUUAAGUUUCAGCGUGUCAGACUGUCAGGUUAUGAUAGUGUGUUAUUGUGUGGAGAAUUAGUUUCUAAAGAUGUGGAUGUUUGCCUGCCUGCUAUUUCCCGCAGGCAGAUACUAGUGCAACGUAGACCAUAGUACAACCAGAUGCAAUGUUUCAUGUAUUUAUUAUUCCAAAAGUAGACGUAACAGAUCAUCUCAGCCUCUCGGGAAACCAACAUGUACUGGCUCUCCCAAGUCAUUUCAAACAUCUUGUAUAGUCAAAUUAUCUCAGGUUUGAUCAAAUUUAUAUGGUAGAAUAAUAAGAUUUAUGAUAUCAACUAAGUAUCAUUAUAAUCUUCAUUAAUUAUAUUUGAUGCACACUUUAAGAUUAUUAAAAUGAUUUAUAAUUUAAUUAAUAUGAAGGGAGUAACAACCAGUGGGUUAUGUACUUAUGUCAAGCUGUUAGUGGAAGUUAAGUGGUGCUGGAGACAGCGCCGUCCGCAGCGGCAUGGUAGGUUGCGCUAUCAACCUGCCAGGGGGCUAUGGCGAGCUUCUUUUUGUUUUGAGAAAUCGGGUUUGUAUUUCAUUUAUAAAAUUUGGUGAUUACAGCCCGAGCUUCUUUUGUUUUGAGAAAUCGGGUUUGUAUGUCAUUUAUAAAAUUUGGUGAUUACAGCCCAUUUCUUACAAGGACACCCUGGAAAGAAAAUAAAAAUAUAUUCCCUUGUAAACUCCUGGUCUUCCUCCGCUGGCCGCCUGGUCAGAGCGCAGAGCUUGAAGCCGAUCUCCUCCUUGGCGAAGAAAAACAAUUUGUUGUUGUCGUCUUGAGCAGCAUAUUGCAUCUGACAUAUACUAUGAACGCUGAACGACCCGGCCAAAGAUAGCCAUUGACCAUCGCAUCGCCAGGCAACGAGGAAUGUGACGCCUCAAAGACUAACGAAAACCCCCAUUUGCUGGACGACGAGUCACCCUGAAGGUGAACUGAACCAACAAACCUGAUUUUUACUUCAUGUUGGUAAACAUACCUUCCAAGGUCAUCGUCGAAGAAGCGUGCAUCAACGACAAAGACAAGAAAGUGACAAAAUAACCCAACUAGAUCUGGAGUAAGCCCCAGAAUUCGGUACUCGCAUCUCAACAACUCAUCACUAGCCCCAGAAGACUCACCAGCGCGGCGGAGAAGGAGCUAGAUGCCCUUAUUCCAUAGUCGCAGUGCCGCCUCCACGCAACGAACAGUUCCUAGAACCAAACGACCUAUACUAUAUAUGUACACCACCUCAAUCCCCAUUCACCAUCCUCUCUGGUGCCGAUCUAGCCACCAGAGAGGAAGGGGGACGAAGGAAAUCGAUGUCGGACGCAGAUCACCCCUUUAUCGCCUCCGCUCAACUGUAGUUGUGGAAGGAGUGAGAAGAAGAUCGAAUAUGAUUGCUGCUACGAUGAGCUUCUUGGGCGUGCUGUUGGCCUCGAUGUUGCAUGUCUCCUAGGGCCGUCUCAACAGUUCAGAAGAUAUUUGGUAAGCAAAAGGGUCUAGUGAUCUAAUUUUUGUAUGGCGGUUAAAUUAUCUCUAUUUGAGUCUACCUACAGGUCUCCUGGUUUUAAUGACAUAUGCAGAGCAUCUUAUAGUCUGGAUAACUAGAAAUCCUAAUCUAAAUAGAUAUGAUCAUGUUUGAUAUUGAACUGAAAUCUUAAUCCAGAUAGAAAAGAAUAAUAAAAGAAAAAGAUAGACAAAUAUACAACCUUUGUCCUCGUGUUCUUAAUGUUUUUUUGUUCGCAAGUUUUUUUAUCUAGUCUGCACUUUCUAUUUUUCUCCAAAUUUUGCUCUUUUCUGCUAAGGUGUUUUUUGUUCCUAUUUUUUUAUCCGCAAGUUUUUUAUCUAGUCUGGACAUUCCUCAGUUGUGCACCUAUGGAAACUAGAACAAUUUAUAAUUUAGAACUUUUAAUUAUACCUGAAAACAUACAUGUUUUUUUUUAUGCCCAUAGGUCUACUUAGCACAAUCUAUCUCCAUUAGAAGAGAUAUUCAUUCAUUCCCCUUAUAGGUAUGCAAACUUAUAGAUGAAUAUUUAUGAUAAUUAGGCGGAUAGAAUGUUUAGUUCUCAUCAUCGCUAUAUGAUUUUCAUGUGCAAACAUGACCAAAACUCACAUAUGGCGUCAAAGGCCUACGCCACAAACUACAACGUCGUUGCAUAUUCAAUGUGACAAGCGGUGGUUGAUAAUCAAGCAUCCUUAGAGUUUUGUUUGAUUUUUUUCUCAUGAAAAAUACAUAAUAUACUGGAGUCGUUUAAAUUGUAACAAGAGAGAUGAGGAUACAAGAAAAAUACUUAAAAUCAUACCAAACGCAACAAAUAAUCAUAAAGAUUAGGUUUUUUUUCGAAUUACACAGUGCAAACACUCACAAUGUACGUAUACUCACCCCUAAGAACACAUGCACGCAAUAUGGAGUCUUCUUAGAAAACUUUGCAUGUAAGACGCCUUGCCCCUAGGGAUAUGAACAAUCCAUAUCUUGAUUUUGUUUUGGUGACGCUUCUCGAACAAUACCAACAAUCUUAUGAAAAUUUUGUAGUGUACACAUGGAGCAUACAAAAGAUAUAGAUAUAGAUGCUAAUAUUGAAGGUUAGCUUUUGUUUACUUCCGUUUAAUGCGAUUGUUCAAGCUCUAGCGCGGUUGGCCAUUGGAUCGCAUAAAAUUAUUACACCCUCUAUUCUAAAUUAUAAGCAUUUCUAUUUCUAACUUUUCUAAAUACAUAUCUUAUAACUACUACGGAGUAUCAUAUAUGUAAAAGCCAAAAUGUCUUAUAUUUUGAAAUCAAAGGAGUACUCCAGAUAGGCUUUGCGUAUGCUUACCCCUUCUUGGUUGCUAUGGCUGCUACAAGACAACUACAAUUAGCUUUGUUGAACAUGCCUAUGAAAGCAGGAGCAACGUAUAGUUGUUUCAAAUGUAUAAACAAACAUCUCAUUUGGACCUUGUUUGAAUAAAAAACACUCUGGCUUAUAGUUCAGCUAGUGCUUCACUUGUCUAGUAAAAAGGUUAUAUUUCUCUCACCCGAAUAAGAAUCACGGUGCAGAAAUAGGUGACUUCCUUUAUCUUGCACCGGGUGUAAACCAUAACACUACCUACUGGUAAUUAUUUUAACUAGUAUUACUUGUCCAGUGAAUUAUACCGUGUCUAAUAUUUCAUCUGUCCGGCUAACACUUUUAAAAGCCAACGCUGCAGUUGCUUUCUUGACUGCUUGUACUACGCGCGCGACUGUCGACGAAAGCUAGUCGGCAGUCUACCUUUGGGUAUACCCACGGUAGUAGUUUAUCGGUAGACGGUGCGCAAACUACGAACUCGAUGGUGACGCAAGACACAGACAAGCUUUUUAUCCAGGUUCGGCCGCCGAGUUGGCGUAAUACCUACGUCCUGCGUCUGGUUGUAUUGGAUUGUGUUGAGAGAUAAUCUGUCCUAAAGGGGUCCCUUGCCCCUCCUUAUAUAGUCUGGAGGGCAGGGUUACAGAUCCGGAAACUAAUCCUAGUCGGUUACAAUUGCCAUGGAUAAUUCGAUAUCAAUUCCUAUUCUAACCGACUAGAAUCCUGCUUGAUCUCCACAUCUUGUUUCCUUGCGCAAAACUCCAAGCUGUCGGAUCAAGCCUUGAACUCGUCUCGUAAUGGGCCAAGCCUCCUGGCUCAAGUCUAGCCGUAAGGGUAUAGGGGUUUAUACCCCCACAGCUAGUCCCCGAGCACCAUGUAUUGUGAUGUAACACGCCGUCUUGAGCUUCUUCGAUCAGUGAGGCUUGACGUCUUCAGGAAAGUUGCCCAAACAGUUGCAACGGUACUUUGACCAACUCAAAAGACAAUUGAUCAACAUUGACAUCGAAGAAGCAGGUUGUUCGAAGAAUGCAUGGUGCUCUAAAUCAAAAAAGAUUUCUUUCCUGGUGAAGUGUGCCCACUUUACUUUUUUGUAAGGUAUUAUUCUCAAAAAAGCAAGCAUAUUCACCGCAAGGUGAAGUGUGCCCACUUAGUCCCCGAGCCUGGUAGUAGGUGACGUAGGCACGUGGUGCCAGGGUCAAAAGAAAAUUCCCCAAAGUAGUUUUGAGACUGAGAUGCAUCGCUAGAUGCAUCGUACCGAUGUAGUCCCCGAGCUUGCUGGAAGGCGAAGUAUGAGCCUUGUAGCAAGGUCUAAAAAAUUGAAAGUACCAGUCCGUCUGCAGUUGAAUAGACUAAUCGACCAGUCCCCGGGUGUACAAAAGUAUGACAACCAGGCCCCAAGCACCAAGCGCACUCCUUAGAAUUCUGAGUUGCUAUAUUGGGCGACCAGUCCUCGGGCAUCGAGCGUUCAGUGGUCGCCGGAAUUUUCGAAGUUCCGGGCUGAUAGACUGGGCGACCAGUCCCCGAGCAUCAAGUGCUCGGUGGUCGGUGCAGUCCUUCACAUCCGAGUUAAUAGACUGGGCGACCAGUCCCCGAGCAUCAAGUGCUCGGUGGUCAGUGCAGUCCCUGAAUUCUCAAAUUGAUGGGCUGGUCGACCAGUCCCCGAGCGUAUAGUGCUCGGUGGUCCGUGCAGUAUAUUAAAGUUCGGAGCUGAUAGACUGGACGACCAGUCCCCGAGCAUCGAGCGCUCAGUGGUCGGUGCGAUAUAUUAAAGUUCGGAGCUGAUAGGCUGGGCGACCAGUCCCCGAGCAUCAAGUGCUCGUUGGUCGGUGCAGUCCUUGAAGUUCCGAGUCGAUAAACUAAACGACCAAUCCCCGAGUGUCAGGUGCUCGGUGGUCGGUACAAUCCUUUGCAUCCGAGUUGAUGGACUGGUCGACCAGUCCCCAAGCAUCAAUUGCUCGGUGGUCGAUGCAGUCCCUGGAUUGUUGACUCUGCCAUAUUUGUCUUCUUGUUUUUGAAAAAAUCUUCCCAGUUAAAGUUGACGUGACGAGACCUUCUGAUGGUGUGUCAGAUGGAUGCAUGAAAAGUUGCGCCUGGCAACUGUGCAGCCGCCCUUUGCGUGGUUUGAGAAAAGGAAACCAUCAAUUGGUACGAAAAUUCCACCGCAUUAAUUGCCUAUAAUCAUUGAAAACCGAAAUACCGCAUCCGCCGCAUGGCCCGCCCACUUCCCGAAAAUACAGGAAGUGGGAGGGAUGGAGUUGCGGGUUAUAAGAGGUGGACAGUUCCGCCCGUACUGCUUACCCUGCCAUUGCCAUCAAGCCUUUCUCUUUUGCCUCCUUCAAUCACCUUCGUCCUCGUAACCCAAGUCCACUUCCUCACCUCCAAUGGCGAAGAGCGACUCCAAGAAGAGAGCCGAACUGAUGGCCAAGGAGUGGAAGAAAUCCCGCAGCACCACCAAGUCCCUCGGUGACCUCGUCGACAUGGGACUCCUGCACAGCUCGGAGCUCGGCGGCUGGAGAGCGCCGGAAGGAGAGAGCUUCCCGGACCCUCGUGCCGGUGAGAUCGUCGUGUUUGAAGAUUUCAUUAAGAGAGGCUUUGGGGUUCCUGUUCAUCCUUUUCUUCAAGGUCUUCUUUUGUAUUAUGAGAUCGGGAUUUGCAAUCUGCACCCGAACUCAAUUCUCCUCAUUUCCACUUUUAUCCACCUGUGCGAGGCCUAUGUUGGCAUAGAGCCGCACUUCGAUCUUUUUCGUUAUCUUUUCUGCUUGAGGAAGAAAGGAGCGGUUGGAGGCUCCAAGGUUGCAGGUGGAGUAUACCUCAACCUUCGUGAUGGAAUGAAGAAUCGCUACAUGCACUGUCCAUGGAACACUUCCUUGACCGAAUGGUAUAGGAAGUGGUUCUACAUCAGGGAGGAACCGGGCAGCUCCACGUUCUGCGACGUGGGAUACAUUCCUGAGAAGAGGCUGAGCUGGACCGACCGCCCAGAGUUCGACGGUCAAGUGGCGGAUCUCAUGAAGCUGAUCGACUGGUCGCGCCUGGACGGGCUUGGCGUGGUCGGCAACUUUAUUUGUCGCCGGGUGAUGCCCUGCCAGAAGAGGGUGCACUCGGCGUACGAGUAUGCCGGAAGCGCGGACCCGACCAGGAUGCGGCCGGAGAUCUUGGAGAAGGCGGAGGUACAACAGCUGUUGAACGAGCUGUUCAACUUCGCGGACGGAAGCUUCAUCCGUGGCAGUGAUCGGGUGCAAGCGUUCAUGUUAGGACGACCAGCACCAAAGGUAUGUAGCAAAUUAUUUUGUUUUAGGAUUCGUUUAUCGUCUGCAACCGACUUAUCUGUGUUGCUUUUGUAGAUCGGCGAAGUCGACCGGUGCAUAGUGUAUGUAUCACUGGCACCGGGGAUGGAGAAUCCUGCGGGAGAGGACCCGCCAGAGGAGGACGCUGCUCGGUGUACUUAUUACACCAGCAGAGAGGACCAGGCCCGCCCCGCCCCGACCAUCGAGGAGAUGGUGGCGGGGAAAAGGCCACUGGUAGCGGAUCCUUUGCCGGUGCCAACGUUGCCGGCGGAGAGCAGCCAAGCGCCGAAGCGCCGUCGGCUCGUGCGGAUUGUUGACGACGACGACGAGGAGGAGGCCGUACCGUCGCUAGUUCGACGACCUCGGAGCCGCCCAGAUAGUGCGCCAGCCACUACUGAUCGGGUGGCCAGCGACCCUCCUGCACCGCGCGUUGUCGAGAUGGGAGCGCAGAUGCCAAUUGGCCGGACGAGGAGGAGGUUCACCGCGACCCACCGUCGAUCGGACCUGUAAGUGUUUGACUUACGUAUUUUGGCAUUAUUUUGUUUUUUUUAAUUAUACUUUUGUUCUUUUAGCGCGGCGUCGGAUGUCAACCCUGGCCAUGCCGCCGGCCAGGAGACGGGUGAGCCUGCCUGUGCUGCUGAAGACGCGGCGCCACAGACCACGGAGCAGCCUGCGGCUGCAACCGUGCCUGUGAGCACCGAGGAGCCCCCAGCUGCGGCACCGACCACGUCGAGCAGCCCGGCUAGGGCUGAGGGGGCUACAGAGGCACCUCCCCCAACGAACGCCGCAGAAGGGGAGAGGAGAGGCCCGACCCCUCCUCCCGCCGAGGAGAGCGAAGCCCCCACGCCGCCCCGAGCAAGGGCCGCUUCGACUACAAGCUCCCCUGGUCUAGCCCGGGGGCCAGUAAUGCCUUCGACUGCUACUGGGGGCAAUACGACGGGUGAGGAGGAAACCCAGGCGGCCUCCGACGACGAGGGGGAGGAGAUUGAAGGUCGUCCUCGCGAUGGCCGCCAACACGUGUAUGUGUGGCGCCAACGCGGGGAUCACUUCAUCGGGCAUGAAGAGCUUGCCGAGACCGAGGAGGCCACCAGGGUCGAGCGUGCGGCCAAACGCCUUGUCGACGAAGUCAAGGUAAGCGGUUCUUUGCACUGUCGUACACUCUGUGCAUUGUCUUGCUUGGUUGUCAUAUGUUCGUUUUGUAGGGCGCGAUGAAAACGGUGAAGUACCGGAAACGGUGCUUCGACCAGAUAGAAGGCGUUGUGGCCGAGAACAAGGCCCUGGCCGCAGAGGUAGACCGGCUGCGAUCGGAGGUUGGGGAGAAAGUGGCCGAGAUGAAUGCCCAAGAGGAGCGUCGUCUCGAGCUUACCCGUCGCUUAGCCGACCAGUACCGUCAGCGAGAAGGUUAGUCACGCGCUCCAAGCACCUCCUCGUAGCUGUGUAGUUCGCUUUGCUGACCGGGUUAUGACUCACUUAGACCUGGAGGAGGAGGUGACGCGCCUCCGACAGGAGAAGGAGCAGCUCAGCCAAGAGCUUGCUGGAGCGCUGGAGUCCGGGCGCCGAGCAGGAGAGGAGUUGGGUCGUAAGGACCGGGAGCUAUCUGGUAAUACGCACCGCCUCGUUAUCUGCCGCUUGUCGCCCCCAUUGUUUUUUUUUGAUAUGUCGAAGAUAACGUCCUGCCUGACUUGCAGUGCUCAAGGUGAACGCCAAAAAGCAUCUGGAUGAGCUGGCUAAGGACCGGGACUCCUGGAAGGUCAACUGUUGUAAGAUCUGGAAGGGAGUAUCCCCGGUCCUGGAUCUGAUCAGUCCCGAGCUCCCGGAGAGCCAGCCCCGCGCGCCGAAGUUGACUCCGGUGGAGAAGGCGCAGCGGGCGUGGGACUGGCUCCAGCAAUUUGUAAAGGACGCUGGUGAGUUCGCCGGCGCGCAUGUCCUUAGCAUGGUGCGCGCCCACUACCCCCUGGUCGACUUGACCAGGCUGGAGAAGGGGUACCCCAAGCAGGUCGGCCCGCAGGAGGCGGACGAGCUUCGGGGUGGUCUGCUGGACUUGUCGUCGAUGGUGAUCGGCGACAUCAAUCUGUGCGGAACAGCCACUCCCCCCGACCAGCCAGGCUCAGACAGGUCGGCCAGGGAGCUGUCGGGCGCGUCUGUUGCGGGAGAUGGGCGGUCGACGCCUGCGGUCUCGACCAGCCAGGCGCCGGUGGCCCCGACCCCUUCGUCCGGGCAGCAGGGCCAAACGGGUGAUCAGCCCGAGCAGUUAGGCCGAUAGGGUAGUCUGUAGGAGUAGACUAGCGUCUGCCCGUCAGGGUAUUUAUUGUAAACUUUGUAUAUGUAAAGUUUAUAAUAAAGUUUGCUUUUAUCAUGACUGCUAUUUUGAGCGCUGUACAAUUUUCUGAGUGACGUGUCACCGUAUUCGACUUUGUAGUCGUUAAGAGCUUCCAUUGCAGAAGGUUUGCCAAGAGUUCUGCGUGCAACAAAGUAUAGGCAAAAUAGAAAACUUUAUUAUUGACAAUUAUAAGAUAUUUACAAGCGAAAGUUAUUAGAACUUAUGGGUAAAAUCGUCGAAGUUUGUCUAUGUGCCAAGAGUUAGGCACGCGUGUCCCGUCUGGGUAUGCCAAUCUAUAGGACGUGGGUCGUGUGACUUCAGCGACCACGAAGGGUCCUUCCCAGGGAGUGGAGAGCUUGUGCAUUCCCUCUUGACUUGUUCUCCACCUAAGUACCAGGUCGCCGACCACGAAGGAACGGUCCUUGACGUUCCUGUUGUAGUAUCGCCUGACUGCCGCGAGAUACUUUGCUGUUCGGAGACAGGAAUUCAAACGCUUUUCCUCCAUGCAGUUGAUUUCGAGUUCCCUGGCGUUGUCGGCUGUCGCCUGGUCGAAGUGUUUAAUCCUAGGAGAUCCGAAGGUUAUGUCAGACGGCAGGACUGCCUCAGAGCCGUAGACCAUGAAGUAAGGAGAUACUCCUGUGUUUCGACUGGUCUGAGUUCGGAGGCCCCAGACCACGGCAGGUAACUCUUUCAUCCAUCGACCGGGUGCUCUGUCGUUCUCGGUGUACAGUCUUUUGUUUAGGGCGUCGAUGAUCAUUCCGUUUGCGCGUUCAACUUGACCAUUGGCCCGUGGAUGUGCAACUGACACAUAUUUUAUGACUAUGCCCCUGUCAUCGCAGAAGUCUCAAAAUAUGGUGCCAGUAAACUGAGUACCUAGGUCGGUGAUUAUACUGUUCGGGAUACCGAAUCUGUGUAUGAUCUGGUUGAGGAACUCUACAGCCUUCUCGGAGGUUGCUUUGACCAGAGGCAUGUAUUCAAUCCACUUGGAGAACUUGUCGAUUAAUAUGAAAACAAACUUGAAGUUGCCGGGAGCUGGUUUAAAUGGCCCGAUCAUGUCAAGCCCCCAGCAAGCGAAGGGCCAGGACGCCGGGAUGGUUUGAAUCUCGUGAGCGGGUACGUGGGUCCUCUUGGCGAAAAACUGGCAUCCCUCGUAGUGUCGGACCAGUUUUUCUGCAUCGUUGACCGCGGUUGGCCAAUAAAAACCUGCUCGGAAGGCUUUUCCGACCAACGUUCUGGAUGCGGCAUGAUUGCCGCAGGAUCCAGCAUGUAUGUCUUCUAGGAGCUUGAUACCAUCAUCUUGGGAUAUGCAUUUGAGCAGUACCUCAGAGCUUGCAUUUUUUCGCAUGAGUUUGCCGUUGACCAGGAUGUAGUUCUUUGACCGUCGAAUGAGACGCUCGUUCUCUGUUUUGUCCUGAAAGCCUGUCCCGUCUGUUAUAUACUUGAUGAACGGGGUACGCCAGUCAUGACCACCUUUUGUCGGAGUGGCAUCGUCUAUGAGCAUUGCCUCAGUGGGUUGCUUGUCGACCAGGGGAGAGCCUACGCUGGGCUCGUGGAUGUCCUGGACGAAAAUACCCCGCGGGAUCUGGGCCCGAGAUGAUCCUAACUUUGACAACGCAUCUGCUGCCUGGUUCUUAUCCCGGACCACAUGGAUGUACUCUAUGCCGUAGAAGUUGGUUUCCCAUUUGCGGAUUUCUUUGCAGUAGAGAUCCAUCUUUUCGUGGGUUGCGUCCCACUCCUUGUUGAGCUGAUUGAUAACCAAAGCAGAGUCGCCAUAGACAUAGAGGCGUUUGACUCCCACCUCAACGGCUAGCCUUAUGCCGUGCAGGCACGCUUCGUAUUCGGCGACAUUGUUUGACGCCGGAAAGAGGAUCCUAAAGACGUAACGCAGUUUGUCCUUGUUAGGCGACACGAACAAUAUCCCAGCGCCGGCACCGUUGAUGUUCAAGGACCCGUCAAAGAACAUUGACCAGUGGUCGGAGACAUCGGGAACGGGAGGCUCGUUGAGAUCCGUCCACUCAGCAAUGAAAUCGACCAAGGCCUGAGACUUAACUGUGGUGCGGCUCUGGAACUCCAGGGAAAAUGGGCAUAACUCCAUUGCCCAUUUUACAAUUCUGCCGUUAGCAUCUUUAUUGCGCAGAAUGUCUCCGAGAGGCAAACUGGUGGUCACCAAGACUCGAUGGCCGUCGAAGUAAUGUUUCAGCUUUCUUGACGUUAUUAGGAUAGCAUAUAUGAGCUUCUGUAUCUGUGGGUACCUGGCCUUGGACUCGUUUAAGACCUCACUUAUGAAGUAAACGGGUCUCUGGACUUUAUAGGCAUGACCUGGUUCAUCUCGCUCGACCACUAUUGCUGUGGAAACAACUCGGUCGGUUGCAGCAAUGUAAAGUAGUAGGUCUUCAUCGGGCUAGGGCGCUGUAAGGACAGGUGGCGAAGUGAGAAAAGUCUUGAGCUGAGUGAAUGCGGCGUCGGCUUCCUCUGUCCAAGAAAAUUUUUCCGACGCUUUCAAGAGUUUGAAGAAAGGGAGGCCUUUUUCUCCUAGUCUUGAGAUGAAGCGACUGAGGGCGGCCAUACAUCCAGUAAGCUUCUGAAUAUCCUUGACAUUCUUGGGUGGCCGCAUGUCGAGUACUGCUUUUACUUUUGAAGGGUUUGGUCGUAUGCCGUCACGACUGACAACGUUGCCGAGCAGUAGACCAGAAGGAACACCAAAAAUGCAUUUUUGGGGUUAAGCUUCCACUUGUACCUAUUAAGCGCCUUAAAAGUUCGGUCUAAGUUGUCGAUUAGGGUGCUCGCGUCCCUUGUUUUUACGACCACGUCGUCUACAUAGGCCUCGACGAGGUCAUCACGAAUCUCGUCGUGGUGGCAUUGCUGGAUAGCCCGUUGAUAAGUGGCUCCAGCAUUUUUGAGUCCGAAGGACAUGGUCGUGUAGCAGUAUGCGCCAAAGGGAGUGAUGAAGGAUGUUUUUAUCUGAUCGUCUUCCUUUAGCGAGAUCUGGUGAUAACCAGAAUAGCAAUCUAGAAAAGAGAGGAGUUCGCAUCCGGCCGUUGAGUCGACCACCUCGUCGAUGCGAGGGGGACCAAAAGGGUCUUUAGGACAGUGUUUAUUGAGAUCAGUGUAAUCAACGCACAUUCUCCAUUCAUUAUUCUUUUUGCGUACAAGAACCGGAUUGGCGAGCCAAUCGGGAUGAUACACUUCUUUUAUGAAUCCGGCUGCUAGAAGCCGUGUUAUUUCUGUCCUAAUAGCCUCCUUUUUGUCACGAGCGAACCGUCGCAGCUUUUGCUUGAUUGGUCUUGCGGUUUUCGAGACAUUUAAGGAGUGCUCGAUCAGGUUUCGUGGGACACCGGACAUGUCUGCGGGUUUCCAUGCGAAGACGCUCACGUUAUCCCUUAGAAACCUGACGAGCGCGUCUUCCUAUUUUGGAUCCAGAUUGGCCCCGAUGAGGGCCGUCUUCUCGGGGCUGCCGUCGACCAGCUGUACUUCCCUGUACUCCUUGGAUUUUGAAUUCUUCCUGGCUGUCUCCUGCUCGGGUAGUCGAAGCUGGUCGGGGGGCAGCUGCGCGGCUUGGGUUGCUGUUUCUGCCAUGCGGAUUGAGAGGUCUAUUGCUUCGGUGAUCUUGAAGCUCUCUUCUUCGCAGGUAUACGCGGUGUAGACGUUGCCUCUGACGGUUAGGACACCCUUCUCCGUAGGCAUCUUAAGGACCAGGUAUGAGUAGUGCGGGACUGCCAUGAAUUUUGUCAGUGAUGGUCGGCCCAGUAUAGCGUGGUAGGUCCCGUCGAAGUUCGCGACCACGAAGUUGAUGAACUCUGUCCGAAAGUGGUCGGGUGUGCCAAAUUGGACAGGCAAUGUUAUCUGUCCGAGGGGCACUGAGCUCUGACCUGGCAAAACCCCCCAGAAUUGGGCAUCGUAGGGUUUUAGUUGUGCAGGUGAUAUCUUGAGAGCAGGCAGGCUGUUGCGGAAGAGAAUGUCGAUGGAGCUUCCCCCGUCCACGAGCACGCGCUCGAAUCUGAUGCUGUUGAUGCAAGGGUCGAGGAUCAGAGGGAAACGACCUGGCUCUGGGAUAGCGGCCCACUGGUCCUUCCUGCUGAAUGAGAUCUCCCUGUGCGACCACGGGGGAAAUUUUGGGUCUGUGAUCAGCACGUCCGUGCUGUCUAUGUUGAGGCACGCUCUCUUUAGUAGCUUUCUUUCUCGCUUAGAUUUGGAGACCUUGCCCCCGAAGAUGGAGUGGACCACGUCAGUGGGGCUGACGUAUUGGUGUCGGGGGUCCCUAUCUUGGUCCUCAUCCUCGUCUUCGUGGUCGUGCCCGUCUCGCUUGCCGUUUUUCUUAGCGGGGUCGUCUUGGGCGGCCCGCCGUGUAUAGAUGCUUUUGAGGACGCGGCACUCUUCCAUGGUAUGAUUAGACUUUGGAUGUAGUUGGCAUGGUCUCUUCAACGUUUUGUUGUAGUCUUCUUGGUAGUCCCGCCGGCCGUUAGGACGCUUGACCGUAUUUACUUCGUGGUCGUAGUCACGGGGGCGCUUUCCUCUGAAAUCGUCGCGGUUGUCGCGCCGCCGAUCCCAACCUUCUCUGUGAUCGCGGUUGUCGGGGCGGCGGUUGUUCCUGUUGUCGUAUCGACCGCGACUGUCAUCUCGCCGGGGAGGCUGGUCGGGACCUCUCGCAUCGUCUCGGAUUAGUUUUUCUGCGUCGUCGGCGUCGGCAUAAUUUUUAGCUGUGGCGAGGAGCUCCGCCACCGUUGUUGGCCGUUUACGCAACAGCUUGUUCCUUAGCGCUUCAUGGAAACGCAGGCCCUUGAUGAAGGCAGAGAUGGCCUCGUCGUGGGAAAUCUUCGGGAUCUUAAGGCGCAUAUCCGAGAAUCGUCGAAUGUAAUCGCGCAGAGGUUCGUUCUUACUGUCCCUUAUUCUUUCGAGGUCAUACUUAUUUCCAGGCUGCUCGCAUGUGGCGAUGAAGUUGUCGAUGAAGGCCUGGCGUAGCUCUUUCCAAGAGUCGAAGGAGUCCUCGGGCAAGCCAAGAAGCCAUUGAUGACCAGCCUAGUCGAGGACUACGGGGAAGUAGUUGGCCAUGACGUGCUCAUCUCCCGCUGCUGAUCGGACGGCGAUUUCAUAGAGAGUGAUCCAGUUCUCUGGAUUUUCCUUGCCAUCGUAUUUUUUAAGUUUUUCGAGCUUGAAAUUGCAGGGCCACACGACCUGGCGGAGGUGUGAGGAGAACUGUCUUAGGCCCGGGGGGCCAUGGGUUGCAUCGUACUCGAUACGGCGCAGGUUUUCGUUGACUGCUCUCUCUGUGGCGCGCCUGUUGAUGCGGUCCCGGGCAUCUUUGGGAGGGAUGUUGUGCCGGAGAUCCCUGUGCUGGUUUACUUCUCGACCGCGUCUGCGGUUCUGCUCGUGGUGACCGUCAGUGUCACGACCACCAUCGUCACGCCGUGAAUCUUUUCGACGGUUGUCGGGAGAGCGACUGUGGUGACGCCUGCUGGGAGGCGGUGAGGUCCGGCUAUGAUUAGUCUGGUCGGAGGUGGGUUCCGUGUAAGAGACGUCCUGGACUCUCUUGAGCAGAAUGGCUGUCUGUCCCAUUGCGGCAAUCAGGUGUGCUCGGAUGCUGGUCCGAACUCCCUGGCACUCAGGGGUAUCAGGGAGCCGAUCUAAAUUAGCCAUGGCGACAGCCACGUUGGCGCUUGGUGUCUUGUAGACUGGCUGAUCCCCGACCAUAUCAAAAGCGUCAUUAAGAUUAUGCGGCGGAAUUUGUUGUUGCUCGUCUGCGCGCCGUCGGGCGCGAUCGGCGUUGCGCUGUUCGCGGAGUUGCCUCUGCUCAUUAGUUUCUCCAUCAACGACCGGCUCGUCGGCGCUGACGUUGAAAACAAUAUCCCCUCGCCGGGGGGGAAAUACCGGGAAACGAGAGAAACCCGGAGGGUGUGAAGGCAAAUCCAGGUCGUAGUCCUCUUCUUCGGUGUUUAUAACUUCGGUGGGGACGGAACCGGUGCUUGAGUUGGUACUGGAAGCCUGACCGUUCCGUAGUUCUUGGACUGUCACCAUGUUGACGUAGUGACGACCGUUGCUUUUUGGCGACCAACCUGCUUUGCUGAAAACGGAUUGGAUGUGCCGUGAGUAGAGAGAGGCCGAGUUGUUCAAGCCGCAAGGAUAGUCUCCCUUCUUGAGCUUGACGGAUCGUCCGGAGGGAGUUGAGGUUACCGUCAGAGACGUUCCUAGCCGUUCGUGUGUAACGACACGAGUUGGCCGACGAGAUUUGAAAAAAUCCGUUGGGGCAGCUUGAUCAGGCUGGCGCAGGACUCCGUCCACUAGCUGGGAGGCUUCAAGUAGCUUGGAAUCGGCGCGAUCGAGCGCUUGGAGAAGGUCCGAGCAGUCGAUCUUCUUUCCCUUGUAGAGCGGGAGCGGUGGUCGGGCGCUUGGUUCCGCCACACGGGUGGUCGGAGUCGACGUGUUCUCAGAUUGGAUCUGAGUUUCUUUCGGAACCGUGGUCGUGAGGCCGUCGCUGCGCGUCGUCCACGUGAUCUGGCCGACGGUGAACGUGAGGCCUUCAGGCACGGCCGCGGAAGCUGGGAUCGUGACCAUCUUGUUCGCUGGAGAAGUUGCACGCACACCCCCUACCUGGCGCGCCACUGUCGACGAAAGCUAGUCGGCAGUCUACCUUGGGGUAUACCCACGGUAGUAGUUUAUCGGUAGACGGUGCGCAAACUACGAACUCGAUGGUGACGCAAGACACGGACAAGCUUUUUAUCCAGGUUCGGCCGCCGAGUUGGCGUAAUACCUACGUCCUGCGUCUGGUUGUAUUGGAUUGUAUUGAGAGAUAAUCUGUCCUAGGGGGGUCCCUUGCCCCUUCUUAUAUAGUCUGGAGGGCAGGGUUACAGAUCCGGAAACUAAUCCUAGUCGGUUACAAUUGCCAUGGAUAAUUCGAUAUCAAUUCCUAUUCUAACCGACUAGAAUCCUGCUUGAUCUCCACAUCUUGUUUCCUUGCGCAAAACUCCAAGCUGUCGGAUCAAGCCUUGAACUCGUCUCGUAAUGGGCCAAGCCUCCUGGCCCAAGUCUAGCCGUAAGGGUAUAGGGGUUUAUACCCCCACAGCGACGAGAAAAGAUAACUUGACGGCUACUGCAUCUGCAAAAAUUGAAAAAUAAAAAGGGUAACUUGACGGCUACUUCUUGUUUAAAAAAAAGAACGACAGCCAACAUCUGCGAAAAUUGGAAAAAACUAUAGUAUAUACCCCUCUGUCCCUUUUUAAUUGUCGCCGUUGGUGUGCGUGCCACAAGUUUGACUCGAUUUGUAGAAAAUACGUACAACAUUUGUAUCUUCAAAUAAAUUUGUUAAAAAACUAGAUUCAAAGAUCUUUCUAAUGAUACUAAUUAUAUAUUAUAAAUAUUAAUAUUUUUUAAUAUAUAAUUGUCGAUAGUUGUUUUUCGGGAAGCGCAAGCGACAAUUAAAAAGGGACGGAGGGAGUACUUUAUACGGUAUAUAUAUAAGAGGCCGGCGUUCUUUGCCAGUAAGGACUCCAUUGGAACGAUUUCAGGCUGGAACCGUUAGCUAAAACUAUACUUUUAGCUAACUCCCUGAAAGAAUUCAGAGCCUCAUUCUGCCGUAGCCCUAAAUUAGACGAUCUCGAGGGAUCCAGAUGAAAACAUUGCGUUCGGAUUCGGACCGUCAGUAGCACGUCAGCUGACCUCUAAACCCUCGUCUUCCCGUCCCAAACGUCCAUCCCCUGCCUUUCGCCGCCGCCGCACCAUCGCCCGAAACCCUAACCCCUUCGCCGCCUCGCUCGGAAUCCCAGCCCCCUUCGGCGCCGCCGCGACCGCCGGAGCGGAGGCCAUGGACGACGUGUGCGAGGGGAAGGACUUCUCCUUCCCGCAGCAGGAGGAGCGGGUGCUCCAGCUGUGGGCGAAGCUCGACGCCUUCCACGAGCAGCUCCGGCGCACGGAGGGCGGUGAGGAGUUCGUCUUCUACGACGGGCCCCCCUUCGCCACGGGCCUGCCCCACUACGGCCACAUACUCGCCGGCACCAUCAAGGACGUCGUCACCCGGCACCAGUCGAUGCGGGGCCGCCACGUCUCGCGACGCUUCGGGUGGGACUGUCACGGACUCCCCGUCGAGUUCGAGAUCGACAAGGCGCUCGGCAUCACCAACCGGCAGCAGGUGUUCGACCUCGGCAUUGGCAAGUACAACGAGACGUGCCGCAGCAUCGUCACCAAGUACGUCUCCGAGUGGGAGGCCAUGGUCACGCGCACGGGGAGGUGGAUUGACUUCAAGAACGACUACAAGACCAUGGACAUCAACUUCAUGGAGAGCGUCUGGUGGGUGUUUGCCCAGCUCUGGGAGAAGGACCUCGUCUAUAAGGGCUUCAAGGUCGCAUCUCUAACCUCACCCAUAGCUAUCUCGAGGCUGUUGAUUCUCAUAAUUCUGAGUUGUAUACAAAGUUUGACAAUCUUAGGAUUCGAUGGACUUAGUUUGACAAGCUUAGCAUUCAUUGAAUUGGGAACUUAACAGUGUCUUUGACUGCACAUUUACUACAUUGCAAAUUCUGCUGUGUCUCAAUGCGAGAAGUACAUCUCCUUCCGUAUUUUACUGUUAUCAUGCUGACAUGCUGUUUUGAUUGUUUAGAUCUAUAAUUUUAUAUAUGAACUUGUAGCUUGCUUUGAAUAUUGCUUCUGUAAGGUAAGAGAAUGCCGUUUUUAUUUUGUUGAUCUGAGCUUGUGACAGCACACAUAUUUCUUUUGGGCUGUGGUGUGGUGUGGUGUGGUUGUAAUCUUGGGAGUUGUGUGGCUUGUAGGGUAAUCUGUGCACUGUAGUUGCUGCCAAUCAUUGUAGUUGACAGCAAGUAUUAUUUUUGUACAAGUUGUUUUUCAAUCCUUCUCGAAUGAAGUGAAAAUAAAAAACAAACAAAUAGACUAUCUGGCAAUACAAAUUAUCCUCUCUAAAACGAGGAAAUGGAUCUAAGUUCUAUUUUUGUUCAUUGUAUUGCAGGGAAUUCCUUAAAACCUCAUGAAAUCUUUGUUCUUGGUAUAGGUCAUGCCUUACAGCACAGGAUGCAAAACUGCACUGUCAAACUUUGAGGCAGCACUGGACUAUAGGGUUGGUUAUUGGCUUCCUAGUUGACCUAGCUAAUUUUAUUGUUGCUGUUUAUAGUAACUGAUUUUUAAGUUUUAUCCUAGACUGUUCCUGACCCAGCGGUGAUGGUAUCCUUCCCUAUUGUUGGUGAUGCGGACAAUGCAGCUCUUGUUGCAUGGACUACAACACCCUGGACACUUCCAAGUAACCUAGCGCUGUGUGUCAAUGCCAAUCUCACGUAUGCAAAGGUUGGUACUUCGCUGUUUUUGAACCCUAUUUUUCUUUUCACUUUGUAAUUUUGGCACGCUGUCUUCCUAUUCUGCUGCAUGUCUACAGGCCACCCAGUUUGUUAGGUCUUUACUGUUCACACACUUCUACUUGUAAACUGCUGUUUAUUGCAUUCCAUUGAGGACACUUACUGUGUACAAACAGGUUAAAGACAAAUCAAAUGGAGCAGUAUAUGUUAUUGCAGAAUCUAGGCUUGGGCAGUUGCCAGUUAAGGCGAAAUCUUCAGGAAAGAAGCAGGCACCUUCAAAGGGAGGCAAUGCUGAAGCUGUUCAGGAUGGUUUGGACAAGGAAUCAUAUGAGCUGUUGGCAAAGAUUCCUGGGGCAUCCUUGGUUGGCUUAAAGUGAGUACUCUUUUAAAUUUAAAUCAAUUUUGUAGUUGGACUUGUUUCUUCAUCACUUACCAGCACUUCAGUGUUAGAACUUGUGAACUAGAAUUUCCAAUUCUAUUUACUCAAGUUGUGACUGGAAUACAAAGGUCGUCCUUAGACUAGCUUCCUGUUAUCCUUAUGUUAGCCACUGGUUUGUUCUGUAAGGUGUUUCCUCUCUAAGUUUGUAACUCCAUAUAGCUUUGGACUUUGGACAUCCCUCUGCACUUUUAGAAAACAUUCUGCAUUUGGAUAUCUUGCAUUGAUAUAGCUAGCUUACUCCAACAACAGUUCCACUCCAGUCUACUGAGUACAGAAGUAUUGUAGGUUGUGGACACUAUUCAUUUACCAAAACACUACCACUCUUCAGUCUUAAUUGCUGAAGAUUGUUUGAGAAUAUCAAAUUCAUGUGAUAGCAAAGAAUUACUGUAUUAUGUAUCUGGAGUUUUUUUGGUUCUUAUGGCUGUUACCCUUUUUUUUCUGGUUGCAGAUAUACUCCUCUAUUCGAUUUUUUCAUUGAACUUCAAGAGACUGCAUUUAGAGUGAUUGCGGAUAACUAUGUCACGGAUGAUAGUGGAACGGGUGUUGUCCAUUGUGCUCCUGCUUUUGGUGAAGACGACCAUCGUGUUUGCCUUGCUGCUGGGAUAUUUGAGGUUGGAUUUAUUUAUUCUUUAAUUCAUGUAUAUCCUCACGAACUGAUGUGCCGUUACGGCUAAGAUAUUCAGGGUUGAAAAUAAACCAGCAAUCUCCUUUUUCAGAAACUUGGGGGAAUAGCCCUAUCUAUUUAAAUAAAAUGACACUAUCAAACCAAUGAUGAUCUAACAGUAGGGUAAUUUUGGGAAAGGGACAUGGUAGUGCCCUGCCUCCACCCUUUACCACUAUUCGAUCAGCAUGCUGCAAUUCUAAAGCUACAACAUAAAUGCUGAAUACCUGGACACUCGUUUUUUCUAGCAUCUCCUCUCUUUAACAUACCCCCCCCCCCCCCCCCCCCCCUAAAACAUAAGUGAAGUACAAACUAUGCACAUUUGAGUUUGAAUCUGAUUAUAGAGCUAGAGGUUAGUUUGGUAUUUUCCUAAUGUUCACAGUUUGUCUUGAAUUACCUUAUUGCCACAACAUUGUUUAUUAUCAUGAAUGAAAUCUUGUCAUGCUUCUUUGAUUGAUGCAAACCAUCUCUUAGGUGAUGGGAUGCAAUGGUCCUAUCUGAUUUCUUGUUCUUAUUUCCAAUUUGGAAGAAUAGUCCUUAUCUAUUAUGACUUUAUGCAUCUUUUUGUACGUUCUAUCUCUUGCCAGCUGUUUCUGCUUAUGCAAGCAUGGCCUUGCUUUAUUUAUUGUUUUCUAUUUUUACCCUUUCCAAUGCUUCACGUGCAGACUGCUGGACUUGUUGUUGCUGUUGAUGACGACGGGUGCUUUAUUGAAAAAAUAUCUGUUUUUAAAGGGCGAUAUGUCAAAGAAGCCGACAAGGAUAUCAUCAAUGCUGUUAAGGCAAGUUGAUGUUUCAGUUUUCCAUGGACUAAUAUCUCAUCUCAGUCUUUAAAUAACCUUUUCCUCUAGUUGUCCAAUCAGCAUUCCUUUACCUCUAGUUGUCCAAUCAGCAUUCCUUUACCUACAGAUUUCAUAUACUUGUCAAAUAAGAUAAAUGCUAAAAUAUUUCAGUUCCAAUGCUAAUAUGAUCGACUAUUUUUUAUUUUUCCUGAGGAUUGUACUCUGAAAAGUGAUAAACAACAUGAACAGGAUAAAGGAAGACUCGUUAGUAAAGGGAGUAUUGAGCACUCUUAUCCAUUUUGUUGGCGAUCGGGAACUCCUCUUAUUUAUCGGGCUGUCCCAAGCUGGUAACCUUCUAUUGCUACUGUGCGUAUUUGCCUAUAUAUUUUGUCCAUAUGCUGAUAAUUUAUGAUUUUGCCAUUCAGCUUGAUUUCAAGUUAGUACCAAUGCAUCUUCUUGUUCUGAUAACCUGACAAGCCUCCCCAUUACCAACUUCUCUUACCACAUGUAUUGAUCACUUUAUGAUUUCUUUACCAUGUUAUAGUGACCCGUAUACACAAUAAACCAUCCUUUUGAACCAUUUUCGUUUUCUUUAUCCCCUAGGAAUAUUACCAUUACCAAUGCUUUAUACACAAUGCUUUAUAUGAGUUUUUCCUUUUUGUUUGUCUCACGCCAACUUGGUUGGGAUUAAAUCACUUUGUUAUUAUUGUUGUAUACGUUACUAUGUUACUCAUCUCAUCUGUCCUUUAUUUUCAUUAUGGUCUUCCUUCUGCAAUAUUUGUUUCUAUUUGAGGGAUGUAGCCUGAAAGAGAUUUGCUGUAGGUUUGUCAAGGUUGAGAAGAUUAAGGACCAGUUGCUGGAAUGUAACAAGGAGACUUACUGGGUGCCUGACUAUGUUAAGGUAUUUUAUGGCUUUAUGCUCCUGACAGUGCCAUGAUGAUGAAACCUUGUAUGGAAAAACGCCAUGUGCAGGCGCUCCUCAUAGCCCUUAACCGUAUUUUGAGACCCAUAGAAUUUAGAUGGCUAUGAGGGUAUCAUGAGAUUAACUAAGAGCAUCAGAUUACUCCCUCCGUUUUAGUAGGUGUAUUUUGUUUUGUUAGGGCGAGCCUUUGGCCAACAGUUUCUUUAUUAAUACAUGAUACAUGACUUUGCAAUAUAAAUUGAUGCAGCUAGUUUUGUAUUGAAACAAUAUUUGUGAUUAUAAUUUUGGUGUAUCACAUUAAUGACAUACUAUUUGAGUAAUUGUUGUUCGAAGUCUUGUCCUAAUGAAACGAAUACGCCCACUAAUUUGAGCGGAGGGAUAAUUAGUUUGUUUUCAGUGAUUUUCUGCUUUACAGGUCAUGCCCUUCUAAGGGGUUGUAUGAGUUGCCUACACCACUUAUUAUUCUUCUUAAUAAAAUGAUAUGCAGCUCUCCGUGUGUUCGAGAAAAAAAAUAUGUGGAGGCUGUAGAUUUGAGUAUUUACAUUUGGGUCAUUUGAUUGUUAGGGCUAGCUCUAUAUGUGAAUAAUCUAGGUGCAUCAGUUUUAUCAUGAAGAAUGAAUUAUCGACUUAUAGUAGUAUCUUUCCACAAGCUCUGCUACCAGUCUGAAAAUGCCCUUCUUUUGGUAGUGUGCACUGUUUGUCGCAGCUAUCUAAUUGUAGGCUUUUGAAUUCAUAAGUAUCAUCUAAAAUUCACUUGUGGAUAGUUGUCACAGGAGAAUACUGGUACCAAUUGAUAAAACCUCAACAUCACUAUGGUUAUUUUUUGUAAAUAAAUGGAAAUCAGUCCGGAUUGUCUAAAGGUAGUUGUAAAAACAAGGAGGGUUUUGAUCAGGGAUUCAACAUAAUGAACCAUUACCAUUAGGAAUAAUUGGUCAGUACCUGAAAUUUUAUAGUCUACAUGAGGAUCUGCAUAAGAGCAUUUCCAAGAGUCUGCAUAAUAUUAGAUAUCUGAUUUUCCCUAAACAUAAAUCCACCCCAAACCGUUUUUUUCCCACAGCAGUUCCCCUAAAAUCAACCACCUACUUUUUUUAAAGAUAGGGUGGAAGGAGGGUGAUUUUGAGGUAGGACAUAGGAGGGUGAUUUAGGGUGCCACUAAAUUUAGGUUGUUGGGUAGUACUGUUGGAGGAGAUUUUAUGUGCACAAACCUUUUUUUUUUCAAUAGUACAUGUUGAAUAUAGGCACCCUUUGAGAUAGCUAGUUGUUGCAAUUUUGUAGGAGCUCUUGGAAGCACCUUAACUAGUAUAAGAAGUUUCCAUGGUAACAUAACAUCCAAAUAUGUGUCUGGAAUUUCAAGAACGACCAGGUUGCUGCUGAUGGAAUGUUUUUCUAGUCAGUAAACUCUACGAAGAUUAGAAGGUUGAGGAAUGUGGCAGGCAGUGUUGUCAUUUGUUCAGAAAGUAGGUCUGGCAUGCACUUUAGAACUCGUGUUGGUGAGCAUUAAAUCAAUAUUUUGUUUUAAAAAACAAUCUUAUUCCCAAUGAUUGAGAUUGGCCGACAUGUGAUUUGUACUUGUGUAUCGUAGUGGAUUCCAUUUACUGUCUUGGGAUAGUGUACUUCACAAUCAUUUUCAUAGGUGCUUGGUCCGGUCUUGGCUUAGAUAAGGCACACAUUGUUUUGCCAUGUGAGUUCUGUUUUUGUCCCAUGUUUCUAAUAUUACUUCCUGUUGUCAUAUUGUUUGCAAUUGAUACAUAGAUACUUACCUGACCUGAAGUAUCAUCAUGAAAUUGUUUGGAGAGUUCGUGUGUUUUAACAACUUAUUUAUGAAGGAUAUCGCGAAAGGUUUCUGUUUUAACUUGCUUUAUUCUUUAACAAUGGUUUCCUGCAGGAAAAAAGAUUUCACAACUGGCUUGAAGGAGCACGUGAUUGGGCUGUUAGCAGAAGUAGAUUCUGGGGUACUCCACUUCCACUGUGGAUAAGUCAAGAUGGUGAAGAAAUUGUUGUUAUUGAUUCUAUCGAGAAGCUUGAAAAAUUAUCUGGAGUCAAGGUUAACAUCUCUCUUGGUACUUGCAAGAUGAAUUCAAUUAUUUGGAUAAACAUUCUGGAUAAACAUUCUUGUGAUUUCACAGUAUCUUUAUUGAAGAUUUGAAACAGUGGUUAAUCUGUUACAUUCUCUCAUUCUUUGGUGCUUAGGCAUUUCUUGUGGCUAACAAUAGAGACUUGUUAUUUCAAGAUUAUCCUGAUACCACUCUAGACUUUGUCAUAGUAACCUUUGAUUUUUCUUUCUAAAUAUUACAUCAGGUCACUGAUCUUCAUCGACACUAUGUUGAUGAUAUUACAAUUCCCUCUAAGAGAGGACCUGAGUUUGGGGUGCUCAAACGUGUUGAUGAUGUAAGUUUCAUUGGACCCUUAAGUACUGAUUCUUAUUUGCAUGUGCUGUACAUCUUACUUUACACUGAUUUUUUUGGUACAUUUUUUUUACUUAUUAUUGAUUAUUGUUUUUAGCUUUCCAGUUUCCAUUAGGCAUUAAGAUAACUAGAUUUAGAUGGGAGAUAGGUGGAAAUGAAAUCUUGGCGUAAUAGACUCAAGAUGAUUGAAGUGCAAAACGUUUGCUGCUAGUAAUCUGUAAUAUGACUAGCUGUAGCAAUUUGGUCUCAAGAAAGCUAACUUCUGGUGUUUUGAAUACUCCCUCCAGUCGCUAAUACAUGUUUUUAUUACUAAUUUGCAUCCCCUAACAAUAUUAGUUGAUACUAGUGGCUGGACGGAGCAUUAACCAAAUACAUAUCAAUCAAGGUUUUUAGUUGUCUAUAGGUGAGAAACGUCUUCUCUUAUUUGCUUAGAUUGCUGUAGCAUCAGAUGUUACCUUAGUUACACUGAUGUUGUUGGUAGUAUGUAAGUUCCCUUUUGAAGUUUAAAUUUUGAUUGAAAGCAGUGAUGUGCAGUAAGGGCAUCCACAAUGUAUAGAUCCAACCCUAGUUCUAUACAAUGAUUUGACAUGGCUUGUUAAAACGGUCAGUGUAUAGGAUCCGUAAAUGGGACCCAUAGGAAUAAAAAAAAUCAGCCGGCCUUCUCCUCUCUUCCUCUCGACUUGUGCAUCAGCUCCUCUGAUUCUCCCUCCCUCUCAUGACCGGCCCUUUCUUUCUCCCAACCUAGCUGGAUGCCUUCUUGCUCUCUCCCAUGGCUGCCCCCUUCUCCCUCACCAUGGUAGCCCUCUUGCUCUACCCCACCUAGUCAGUGCGAGAGGGAGGACGUGGUGGCUGCGGGCGGAUGGAGGAUGUGGUGGCACCGGGCACGAGAGGGAGGACGUGGCGGUGUGGGCGCGAAGUCGCUGCCGCGCUGCUCGGCCAUAGUGCCCCACCCUGCCGGUGCGAGGGAGGAUGCAGUGGCGCAAGCACAGUUGUUGCGGCUGUGGGAUCUGUGAUCGCUCAUCUGCCAUGCCCAGGAGGCAAGGAGUAGGCGAGAGAGAAGCAUGAUUUUUUAUUCUUUGGGAAGAAGCGGGCCCUAUCCAAGGGAGCUAGUUCUCUAUAUAUUUGGGCGCACAAUGUGAGGGAGCAUGAUGCAUAUAUAGGAACAGCAUAGGAACGCCCAUUGCGGACCCUCCAAGAUUUCUGAAACAAUCAAGCUAAUCUCUGCUGGGUUGUUAGGUUACAUCUAUUUUUGCCUUUUCUUAAUCAGAGCUCUUCAUUUUUCCCUUUCAUGGGCCCACCUUGUAUGGGAGCUUUCAGCACUGCGUAGUGCCUACACCCUUUUUUAUAUGUGUGAAAACUUGGCUUGUCAAUACCAUUGCCAUAAUGUUGGUGCAUAUCAGUGUCUUCAGUUUUGAAAUGGUUCACUAAGCAAUUAUGGUUGUUACCCAGGUUUUUGACUGCUGGUUCGAGAGUGGGUCAAUGCCAUAUGCCUACAUUCACUAUCCAUUUGAGAAUCGGGAACUAUUUGAAAAGAACUUUCCUGGCAAUUUUGUGGCAGAGGGUUUGGAUCAAACCCGUGGAUGGUUCGUUACUCUCUUUCAGAAUAAUAUGGAGCAGUAUAAUAGUUUCAUUAGGCAGUGAUGAUUGGAGGGUUCAUUUUCUUCCUUCAUCAGUUUGUUCAAUUGUAGCCUGUGGUGAAAUUUCAUGAUUAUUAUAUGCUAUGCCUGUUGUUUCUUAUGGCAUACUCGUACUGAUCCUGAAGGAUCAAUCAAGAGCUGAGGUCUAUUUGUUUUGAAGUCAUUUACUUCCUAGAACUUGCUGAUGGCUCUACCUAAUGACUUAAUGCUUUUCUGGUUUUGGUCUCUCUAUAUGGUAGAGUAAUGGCAACAAACAUUGCUGUAAUAGCCCAGUUACACAGCAUUAUACUUGUGAUGAUUGCCUAUUAUUCACCUUAACUAUUAGCUAAAAAUCUGCUCAUUAAUGACUAUGAACCUAGACACUAACAAGAAUCUGGACAUGUACACAACACACACAUAUUGAUGACCAAACUCUGCUGCUUCAUUUUUGUGCAGAAAACAUGAAUAUUUUACUACGUGCUUGACCUCAUUCCAUUUCUUUGUCAUGCUCAUGCACAUCAAGUUUUCUCACUAAAAGGCUCUUAAUUUCUUCCACUUUAUACUUAUGUCCUUUACACUUCAUGUCCUUAUUAUAAAAUGUGUAACUUGCAUUGAUCUACACUUUUGAAUCUGAUAUGGUUCUUAAUACUUCUUUUUUGUUUAAUCCUAGAUUAGUUCCUCCCAAGGCUGUUAAGAACAGAAUCUCAUUUUUUUGGUUAUAGGAUAUUAGAAUGUAUUUGGUGCUGAAAGCAUGUAAUCGUGACUUCAUGCCAUGCUCAUUAAUAGCGGGUAUUUCACCUUUAUGAUGUGCCUUCAUACUGCAGGUUCUAUACUUUGAUGGUUCUCUCAACAGCACUGUUUGGGAAGCCUGCAUUUAAGAAUCUUAUAUGCAAUGGCCUUGUCUUGGCUGAGGAUGGUAAGAAAAUGAGCAAGAGUAAAAAGAACUAUCCUCCACCCAAAGAUCUCAUUGACGAGUUUGGAGCGGUAUGUGGUGCUUGGCUGCUUGCUUUGAAUAAGUCAAUGGCUGUUACUGGAAGAUACAUGCAGCAGACUCGGUGUUGGAAUUAUUAAUUAGAAUGAAAUUUGUUCUGUUUCAGGAUUCUCUGCGACUAUAUUUGGUAAACUCUCCAGUUGUACGUGCAGAGUCUCUACGAUUCAAACGUGCUGGUGUCUUUGCUGUUGUAAGUUUAUUUAUUGAAAGCUUUGUGCUUCCUUAUUAUCUUUUGGCCAGGCUACUGGUCUGCAUAGAUCACAUGAUAUCAUUUACCCAAAGCUAUCAAUAAUUGCUAUCUUGAGGAAAAGAACAUGACCCCCUGAUUUCACCCACAAUUUGACAUGCUUUAAUUUAUCAGGUGAAAGAUGUCUUCCUGCCAUGGUAUAAUGCGUACAGAUUCUUUGUCCAAAAUGCAAAGAGACUGGAAUUUGAGGGUCUUGCCUCAUUUUCUCCGAUGGAACAAGCAGUACUUCUGAAGUCAUCCAAUGUGUUGGAUCACUGGAUAAACUCUGCAACUGAAAGUCUUGUUAGCUUUGUUCACCAGGAGAUGGAUGCAUAUCGGCUUUACACGGUUGAAUGUUUUCACAGUUUUUCUGGAUAUUAGUUCCCUUGUAAGAUCUUUCUGUGUUAUGAUCAUUUGAUGUAAUUACCCCUGCAGGUUGUGCCAUAUUUGGUAAAAUACAUUGACUAUCUUACUAACAUAUAUGUGCGUUUGAACCGCAAACGGUUCAAAGGACGUACUGGAGAAGAAGACUGCAGAAUUUCUCUUUCAACACUCUACCAUGUAAGUAUAUAUCCAGUAACAUACACUUCAUCUGGUUAAUGCUGCUGCAAAGUGUCUAUGUAUUACUGAAAAUGGUAUUUUAAAGCAAGCUCAUACAUAAUUUGUAUAGGGUUGUAUCGUGGUGAUUCUGUUGUUUUGCUUCACUGUGAUAUGUUAAUCUGAACAUCUGAAACAAUCCUGGACAUCAAAUAUCACCUGUUUCAUCAUUUAUGUACCUUGAAAUAUUUAAAGCUCCCAAUCAUGCAUACUUUGUUUUUUUUUGUUUUUUGUUGGUUCAUUCUCCAGUUGCUUAUAAGAUACUUGAAUUAUGAAAAUGCAGGUUCUUGUAACAACUUGUGUGGUGAUGGCUCCAUUUACACCAUUCUUUACUGAAGUUCUUUAUCAAAAUUUGCGGAAGGUGUCAAGUAAAUCUGAGGAGAGCAUUCACUUCUGCAAGUUCCCUUCCACAACUGGCGAGGUAAUUGUUCAUCUAAACAUUCCAUUGUGUCUUAUUUUAGCAGAUUGACUUAUGACUUAAAUAUUUGAUUUUGUUACAUUGCCAGAGAGAUGAGCGUGUUGAGCAAAGUGUAAAUAGGAUGGUGACCAUCAUUGAUCUUGCACGUAAUAUUCGUGAGCGGCAUAACAAAGCUCUCAAAACACCACUCAAGUAUGUCUAGGCUUCCUUAAAUUUUUGCAUGUGUAUGUUUUCUGUGACGAUGUGAAUCACUUUGGCAGAUUAUGCUUAUAAUACGGUCUUAAGCAUGAAAUGUGAGAAAUCUUGGCUGUAGUAGUGGUACUCAUAAUAAGGUUUAUAAUUUGAGUUGUGUUUUUUUUUAAUUCCUGUACAUGUAACUUGAAGAAUUUGUGUAUACAAAGUAUAAACAUCAAGAUGGUUGAAGCUCUUGAAAUCAGAUGGAAAUAUAGUACGUUUUAUACUAAUUUUUUUCAUAACAUUUAAAAAUAAGGGGGGGGGGGGGGGGGGGGGGGGGAAUGUGUACUGCAUUUAGUAGCAUUCAACUGUGUCAUUUGGUGACUGAUUUAUGUUUCAGGGAGAUGGUGGUUGUGCAUCCAGACAAUGACUUUCUUGAAGACAUCACUGGCAAACUAAAAGAGGUUGGUUAGACUGAAACCUAUGGUCAUUUACUUCUCUUCCAUUCUGAAGUUAUGGAACUGUUUCACGGUUAUCGAUCAGUCAUUUCUAGUUUUUUCUUAGUCUUCAUGAAAUUUGAUUCUUCAUUGGUGGAUGCUAACUACAUCUACUUCAUUCCAUGUAGUAUGUCAUGGAGGAAAUCAAUGUUAAGACUGUCACUCCAUGUAAUGACCCCUUGGUGUAUGCUUCUCUGCGAGCCGAGCCUAAUUUCAGGUAUGAUUAGUUCAAUGCACAAAUAUUGCACAUUUGCACCCACUGCUCAAUGCUUGUGGUAUUUCAUAGCGUGCUAGGAAAAAGACUUGGAAAAGACAUGGGCAAAGUAUCAAAUGUGGUGAAGAAGAUGACUCAGGAAGAGAUCUUAGCCUUUGAAAAAAGUGGAGAGAUUUCAUUCUUUGGUCAUUGCUUGAAGCUAGAUGAUAUCAAGGUAAUGUUCCAUAUACAUGCAGUCCUUGGUUUGAUGGCAAUAACAGUUGUCUAUAACUCAACAUUGGGUGACUGUAUAAGCUUAUGACUUGCAACUUCCCAGUGCUUGGAUGCUGGAAAGAAAUAUCUUCAUCUAGCAAAUAGUUUUCAAUUAGUAUGAUUAGAAGAAGACUACUACGUCCCAAAAAGUAAGACCUUAGAGUUAUAGGGUUUGUGGCAGGUUUAUGCUUUCAUCCUCAUAUGCUCGUCACUGGGCAUGGAAUACUUCAGUGUGACGUGUUUCUGUUAGACCUCACAUGGUGUUUAUUUCAGUUUUCUGCAUCUUCACCAUUUCUACAAAUUUUUACUUGUAGACUUUUUUAUUUUUAGGUCGUCCGACAAUUCAAGCGUCCUGAAAAUGUGUCAGAGAAGGAGAUUGAUGCUGCAGGAGAUGGUUUGUCAUGAAUAUGCUACUUUGUCUAGUUAGUUUGGAUAAUCUUUCUGCUAACAUCCCUGUAUUGCUUUUGUUAUAGGUGAUGUUUUAGUCAUUUUAGAUCUACGAGCUGACCAGUCAUUGUUUGAAGCUGGAGUGGCCCGAGAGGUAGGUGACGAGUUUUAUAUUUCUGUACAAGUUUUAGAAUAUUGUUUCUGAAACUUCAGUAUGAAAAAUAUAUAAGGUUGCCCAGGACCUUGAUUGCUUAUUUGCUUAAUUUAUAUUCUAAUAUGGUAACUAUAAGUACAUCUGUGCAGGUUGUGAACAGGAUCCAGAAAUUGCGGAAGACUGCUCAGCUUGAACCUGCUGAUCCAGUUGAUGUGUAUUAUGAAUCUGUGGGUAAUGACAAAAACACACUGGGAGAGAUUUUGAAGUCACAGGUUAGUUAUAACUUGUUGAUCAACACGAUUCUUGUUUUGGAAUAUCUUUUUCAUGAAAACUACUUUAUUCUGUACAGGAUCAGUAUAUCAGAGGCGCACUUGGUUCACCAAUUGUUCCAAAGGAAAUAGCACCAACAGAUGUUGUAAGUUCCGAUACUCAGCCUCAAUCCUCUUCGUUGCACCGAUGAUCUUCAGAUACAACUGGAAUAUUGCAUCCAACUCAAACAUAUGCACCCUUGGCAUCUUCAGUUCUUCACCAGUUGCUUUUGAUUGUUGCUUAGUAUACUGCAUCUUUUUAGCAGUGGUGGUCUUAUGUAUUUUUUGCAUGGAUUUGAACUGGUUCUACCAUUUUUUCUUAAUGAAUGAUAAACAGCUCUCAGGUGUAUUCAGCAAAAAAUAUAUAUAUAUACUGCGUUUGGAGAUACCUGUAUUCUGAUAAUGUCCUUUUUUUUCCAUGGCAAUGGGUCUUUUUUUAUUUGAGUUUCUUGUCAUAAUAUGCCCAAGUACAAAAAAAAAACUUUCUUUUGCUUGGCUUAGCUUCGCAUGUCUGAUCUACAUUUUGAGCCUGUCAUUUAGGAUUACACGGGCAAUAUUUAGAGUUUAUCAAACUGGUGUUUGCAGGUAGUACUUGGCGAGGAGUCGCACAAUGUACACGACAUGUCAUUUGUCAUAUGCAUUGCAAGGUCCACCCCAAUUCUUUCACCAGAUCUUCUUUCUCAUGCCUCAGGUAAAUCUUGCUGAAUCCAGAGUACAAUUGUGAACUACCCAUGCAGACAUUAGCUAUUUCAGUUUUGACUGUGCAGUCCUGUGGACAGUCUGAAUAAUUUAUGCACGUACUCUGAUGAAACAGGCAACAGCAAUCAUGUGGAGGCAUUGAGAGUAUAUCUUCUGUCAAGGUCUCUUUCCAGAUUGAAGAACGAUUUCCAAAGUGGAAAUGGCAUGGUAAGCAGUCAACGCCGCAUGCUUCUUCCUUCCUUUUCAGAAAGGGUAUUCCUUUUUUGCUUAUGUCUACAUUAUUCCAGAUUACGGUCGACAGCAUUGAAGGUUAUCCACCAAUCAGCUUACAGCUAGGAAAGCAUGUUUUUCUAAGUGCAGGGGAUUUUUAUCUGGCUACUCGAUCCUAAUUUCGUUUGCAGCACCCCAAUUUUGACUGAUUCACCCAUUAUUUUGUCGCAAUCAGCUUGAACAGCUUGGUUCCAUUUAUACAUGGCACCAAAGUCAUGUAUUCACAUUCAUCAGUUAAAGGUUGAAAAAUCUCAAUGUAUGCUAUACCAUGAUAUGCAUCUGUGCCCCCUGGGCACAUGUGAAUUUUCAAAUACCAGGCUAUGGGCUUCCAUACGUAUGGUGAAUUAUGAGCAGAUAGCAUGUUUACAAGUCUCUUGGGUGUUUGGUUUUUGAGGAUCUGUGGGGUCCAUCAGACUUUGAUGAAUGAAUCCAUUGCAUCCUACAAACCGACGAGUGGUAAGACGAAAGGCCACUCAGUUUCUCAAACCAAGCUCCUCUCCCAAAGACAUUGCGAAUUGAGUUGCGGCACAUGCAUAGAGCACUAAAUGUAACUAAUUGCACAGUUUAAAUUGCGAGAUGAAUCUUUUGAGUCUAGUUAGUAUAUAAUUGAACAAUAUUUGCUAAAUACAAAUAAAAGUGAUAUAGUAGUGAAAUCCAAAAAGUUUUCACAACUAAACAAGGCCUGAGCUAAAGGAGUAAUAACUAUGUCGCCUGCUCGAUGCUUAUACGUUUCCCCCCCUUGGGUCAUAGUCUAGUUCUGCACGUUGAUCUAGCUCUACUACUUAAUUACGAUUUGUAUAACCUACUCUGAAGAGUAAAAAAAUGGUCUUGCAAUUGCAAUGGUCAGGCAUACAGAGGUUGUGAAUGUACAUUGCCGCUUCAGACUUGGCAAGCGAAGUUGGUCAUGCAUCGGCAGUACAUUUUGUUUACUCAGCAAUGGCGAGGGGUAAUUUUAUGCAGUGCUGGCCUUUGAUUGUUGCUCAAGCUUUUGACACUGCAAAUCCGAUGCAGGAAAUUACACAUUUUCGACAUUAUUUUGCUCAACAUUGCGAAACACACAUUCUUCCUAGUACUACUAUGUUCUCCUCUUCCCAGGGAAGGGAGGACAACAAACACCAUGAGGAGAGUUGUUAAAAUUCUCUCACAUCACACCACAAGUCCACAAGCAAAGCCAUGACGACUGACCCACGCAGCAACAUCAAACUCCAGCAGGCAGCGGCCGGAGUCCGGAGAUCGGAGAGGACACAACAAGUUCACGUGGGCUUGAGGUCCUGAAACAUGGAGUCCCACUUGAUGUCGUCGUCGUCGCCGGCGCCGCCGUCCUCGUCGUCGUCCUCUCCACCCUCCUCGUCGUCCUCAUCCUCGUCGUGGUAGCAGUCAUGGAACAUCAGGCUCGCCUUCUGAGACGACGCCGACAGCCUCGCGCCGCCGCCCCUGAGUCCGGCCCCUCCGGCGACGACGCCGUCGGUGAUCAUGAGCACCAUCUUCUUGGUGGCGCUGGCGCUCCCGGUGCUCUUCCGCUGCACGGCGCCGACGCGGACGGCGUCGUCGCCGCUGCAGAUCCUCGGGACGACGGUGACCGACGACGCGCCCCUCCGGCUCCUCCCGCCUCCGUCUCGUCCUCCGCCUCCUGCCAGCCGGCGCACGCAGCGGGACAGGCACCUGGUGGCCCUGCGCGCGAGCCGCGAGGCCGCCGAGGACGAGGCGCCCGCCGCCUCCGCGCCGUCGUCCGCCUGCUUCUUUGCCAGCUUGAGGAUCUCGAGGCGGUGCUUGGCGACGGCGAUGCCCAUGCUCUUGAGCAGGUCGUGGUCGAAGUGCGCCGCGUCCCCGGGCUCCAGCUCGUUCCGGCUGAACAGGCGCCCGUACUCGUACGUCAGCGACGGCGCCAGCCCCGUCCGCGACAGCCACGCGUACCAGUCCAUGCGCGGUGGCGCGGUGGCCGGCCUGCCCUCCGCCCCUCCCUCAGCUCCCUUUUCCAACACCACUUGCUCGCUUCCCUUCCCGCGGCUGCGUGAGCACAGGACAGCACAGGACCCAGCGCCCUCACGAGGCCCCCUCACUGCUCGCCCGCCGGCCGCCGCAACUGCUCGCGCCAGGAUUUAUAGGACAACUCAGGGAGGGAGACUGACACUGACCAAGCUGGUAGUAGAAGGGAGCUCGCAGCUGCAGCAGAGCACGGCCCAGGUCACAUGCAUGCCUGAACAGAGAGCGAGUAAAAAUUCGUGGACGUAACACCAACGCGUAUGCGCGCGCGCAGGCAAAUCUUGCGGCCGGCGUAUGUACAAAAGCUUGGAUUCUGAGCACGGAUGGGUACAGGAUCCAACACCGAUGAUGUACAGUACAGUGUGUGCACAUCCUUAUCUUAAACUAAAACGUCAUGGGAAAUACAUUAUACAUACACCCAAGAUCUUUUUUUUUAAAAAAAAAUACAUACACCCAGAAAUGAAGGUCAAAAGCUGCCAGUAGCUAGGCUGAUCGAUCUGACGCAGAUCGCGGUCCAUCUACAUCCUGUCAGUGUCACCACAAGGUGGUGGCCGGUGGCCAUGGACUCUCGAUCGAUUGGUCACAUGCCCCUGCAAAAGUGGAGCUGCAGCUAAUGGAUGGCUUCCCUUUUUCAGCAUGAAUAAACUACCACUGUGUGUGAACUCCGAAGGUUUUUUUUACAACAACAGUGAAGGUUGUUAAGGGUCCGUUUGGUUGAGUACGGUAAAAUUUAUCGUCCAUUACAUCGAAUGUCUGGCCACAUGUAGUAAUUUACGAAAUAAAUCUUUUGAGCCUAAUUAGUGUUGCUGCCUUUGCUGGGGACUUUGUGGCGUACUCUGCUGGCGUUGGGCUUUAUGAUCAUUAUGAUGGAUUCAGGUCGUCAUGGUACUUUUUCUAUGCGAAAGACGCAUGUAAUCUCUAUCCACUUGAGAUUUCUUUUGGCUUUGGGUUGGGGGCAAUGCAAUGCAAAAGAUCACUUGAGAUGUUUUGAGAGGGAGACACGAAUGAAUGAUGAUGGCUGUUGCGUUGGUUGCGAGGAAGGACCACGGACACGUAAAGGCGGGGAAGGACGCGAGCAAAGCGGGCGACGUGGGUACGGUGGUGGCCGUGGCAGGGGAGAAAUGUGACCAGGGGCCCACGUGUCUGUUACACUAUAUGUGUUACUGCUUCGUUUUACUAAUACGAUCGGACGGUAGAAAAUUCCGCCAUUUGCUGGUAGUACUGUACAGUACAGUACAUCACAGCGUGAGUAUGGGGACAAUGUAUAGGGGAGGAAAAACUGUGAAGAGUCUUUGGAGCCACACUUCGUGCGAUGCAUGUGUAGACCUUUAUUACUUCUUGUCUGGUCAUGGAGCGAGCUAUAUUAGAGGAAGUCACGAGAUACGUAAAAGAUUAGGCAUGGGCAAAAGUGAAUUGGGUAGUAAAUUACUAGCAGUAAUACAUAUAGUAAGCGUUAGAUUCACAUGGGUGGUUGGAAUCUAGGCUGACCCGUAGCUGCAUGGCUCAAGCAAAUGCGCGCGACGGCUAUGAUGAGUAGUUUGUUUAGCCAUGCCUGCCUAGUAAACUAGUUUCGCGCCAAAAAGAGUAGUGACAGAGAAGUAAAAGAAGGCUCAUUCAUAAAGAGUAGGGGUUGACUACCAAAAACAUGUACUCCCUCCAUAUACACAUAAAGGAAGUCGUUUAGGACAAUGACACAGUCUUCAAACCUUAACUUUGACUCUUUAUUUUUAUAAAAAUAUUUAUCAAAAAGUAGGAUAUGUAUAUUUUUAUGAAAGUAUUUUUCAAGACAAAUCUAUUUAUAUGGUUUUCACAUUUCCAAAUUCAACAACUUAAAAGUUAUUCAUGAUUCAUAUUUCUAAUAUUUGACCAAAAUUUUGUCCAAAACGACUUUCUUUACGGGUAUAGAGGGAGUAUAUGGCGAGUAAAAACUUUUGUUGGCACGUAGGCUCUAUGCUGUUUAGCUUGCCUCCAUGCAUCUAAAGAACAGGAGAGGAAACAAAACGGCGCACUGAUCUGAAUUCUUGUCCUAAUAGCAACUAAUAUAUAUUACUCCGUACUCCAUAUAUAUAUAUAUGGCAGCGCAAUUCUACACCUUAGGUGUAGAAUAUUAUUCUACACCUUAGGUGUAGAAUAUUAUUCUACACCGCAAGUCAAAACUGAGCAGAAAAAAUACUGAGCAAUACUGAACAACGUUUAGUAUCAUCCAGUGGUACACCUAGGACUGCGAAAUAUUGAAUAAUACUGAAACACAGGUACUGAACAAUACUGAAUUUUGUUCAGUAUAACACUUUGGUGUAGAAUAGUAUUUCUACACCUAGAGUGUAGAAUAGCACUUAUAUAUAUAUAUAUAUAUAUAUAUAUAUACACGAUCUGCUCCGAUCCGGCCGGUGUACUAAGCAAAUGGUAAAGCCCCCUCAUAAUAAACUGAUUUGAAUUUGAAUACAUUGUGAUAUAUAUAGGAGUAGUAUUGUGGAUCCCUAGCCUAGCGUACGCGCAAUGCCAAUACUGCAGCCAGCUCGCGGCCAAGGAAAGGAAGGCAGCUUCAGUCAACGGCGGUACGGAACGGGUUAACUCAGCUGUACGGGAGCACGUCCGGCCUCAGCCCCCCCGCGCGCGCAUCCAUCCAUCCUCCGACGACGGCCGAUGGGCGGAAAACGCGUGAAACGCAUCAAUUCGGCGCCCGUGAUCCGGCCGUCCCGGCCCGCACGCCACGCCACGCCACCUCGCCGUCGACCGGCGGACGGCCGGGCGCGCUCCCAGCUGGCGCGCGUCGUCGUCGCACGGGGCUACGGCCUAGUACGUGCCCGGCCCCGGCGCUUGGGACGAGAUGAUUGCGCGCGCGCGCGGAAGCCGGGCGAUCCUGGGCGGAAGGACGGGCAGGAUCAUUGCGCCCGCGCACUUGGUGUCGUCGUGUCGCCCGGGUCGGCGGGGCCGCCGGCGCCUGGGCGAGGGGGAGGGGGGCACGCAUCAUGCACACGGCGUUCUUGUGUUAAUAAAAGUUGCUAAUGUUAUCCUGUGUGUACUAGCUACUGGUAUUCUACUAACUCCGCGGAUCAUCACGUUGCUCAUUUUUUUCCUUAUAUAUAUAUAUAUAUGGUAAAUUUUUCAUACUCCCUAGCAGUAAUUACUCCCUCCUCCAAACCCUGUACAUUACUAGUCUCGCCUUUAACUCUUUCUUAGCGGGUCAACAAAUGAGUACACCCGAUAGGAUCUAUGGUCCGGUGUCAUCCGAGAUUUACGCCGAUACGACGUUUGUAUCCAGAUACAGAGUAUUUCAAAGUGAGCAGUGCCCCAAACCCCGCAACUGGUGGCGGCCGGCGACCUUCUCCAUCCCCCAUCGGCCACCGGCGGGGUCACACAUGGGAGCCGGAGCCUCCGCAACCCGGCGGCGGCGGCCCAACCCCUCCACGCCCGACCGCAGUGGCCAGUACCUGCCUCCUCCCCUUGACGGUCUGUCCAAGCCCACGCGCAUGGAGGCCCCUGGCGGUGGCGUGGCCCCCACACCAUAGCAGCGCGACGGGCGGCGAGCCCCCUCUCCUCAUCCCUGGUGCACCAGAUCCGGAGUUGACGGGGGAGUGAAGGUUCUUCAAUGGCGCCCCCUCCUUCCUACUUGCAUCAUCGGCAGAUCCGAAGGCCUAGUAUCGAAGACAGAGGGCGGGCGAUGGCCUGCCCCUACUCAGAGCCGAGGAUGGCGGCCGACGCACGAUCACGUGGUGCUUGCAUUUUGCCUGCGGUAGCUGCUGAUGGUGUCCGGUAGCCUGCACGGUGGCAGGCUGGGAGCGCUGCAGAUGACGGCCGACAUAGGUCCGCCCCUGUCAACAGGUAUAUCAGCAUACUAGUUUCUUGUUUUUAUUUCGCAGUCUCUUUGUCACGCAUCUGCUAUCAUGGAACGGUCUUAUGAUGAUUGCGAUCCAUAUAUUUUCAACCGAGUAGCAAGUGCAUUCAUCCUCGUCAAGUUAAUCGGCACAUUUGACCCACCGCCUCGUUGAGGUGGACGAAAUGCCCUGCUAAUGUCCAUCCGGUCACACAGUUCAUCCGACAAGUCAAUGCGGUGACUAGGUAAUGUCCUUUGCCUCCAAAUCUUCUCAAAUCACCCCUAUGAUACUAUAUACGCAUGCCUGCUCUGAUCCUUUUACCACGGUAUAUCCAACUUGUAACAGCAGAUCGAGACAGGACACAGGAGCAAUGGCGCCUGCAAUUCCAUGGUUCCGUUCUCCAUAUGAGUAUUAUCUGAUAUUUUAGACUAGAGUAUCCUUGAAUACUUCUUUAGAUUAGAUUAGAUUAGAUUAGAAAGAGGGAACAGACUACUCCAAUCUAAUGGUACAAAAAUGUAAUCUUUUUUAAAAGAAGUAUGCAUACAUACUCCUUUUAAAAAAGUAUGAGUACAGUAUAUCACGUGAAUGUAAUGCACAUACACUCCAAUUGUGUGGUUUUAAGUAUGCACUUAUACUAUCAUAAUCUAGCGUAUGCAUGCAUACUUUAUUUCAAAAAGUAUGUAAAAAUACUCUAUUCUAAAAAGUAUGUACAUGUACUGUUUUAUGAAGAAAAAAAUAUGUACAGGUAGUCCAAUCUGUAAAAAUACUCUAUUCUAAAAAAUAUGUACAGGUACUAUUUUAUGAAGAAAAGAAAGUAUGUACAGGUACUCGAUCCAAUCCAAAAAGUAUGUAUAAAUACUCUAUUUUAAGAAGUAUGAAGUACGUAUAAAUACUCUAUUCUAAGAAGUAUGUACAGGUAUUCCAUUCUAGAAAAAUAUAUUUAUACUCUAUUCUACAUAUAUUUCAUUCUAAAAAGUAUGUAUAAAUACUUUAUUUUAAAAAGUAAGUAUAAAUAAAUACUCAUCCACAACGAAUUACAGCUGUGAUAAUUAAUUAAUUAAAUUUGUUAAAUGCGUGACACAUGCCUAAUUGGAUCCUCCGAGUAUCUACUACCCGGUAUGGCCAGGGUUGACGUAGCUAUAGUACAAAACAAAUAGAGAGUAACUACUCCCGGGAGUAUAUAUAUAUAUAAAAUAUUCGCGUGGUAAGAUCUAGAGUAUCUUAAUAUAAGUAUAUAAACAUACUCAAAUCGAUAAACAAGUAUGAAUACAUACACAAUGUAGUUUAUUGAAGAUGAGAGUAACUACACGUACGUGUACAAAGGAAUUUCCAUAUAUAUAUAUAUAUAUAUAUAUAUAUAUAUAUAUAUAUAUAUAUAUAUCCACGUAUGAUCAUUAGCAUUAUGUUUUUCAACUAAUAUAUGUCAUCACGUUGCCGUAAAGGACGCCGGUUUUUCCUUUCCCACGUUAUGUAUAUAUGAAUGUACGAUACUUCUUCUUCCGUCAUGAAAUAUAAGGCUUUGCACGUAUUUCAAAAUUUAAAUUUUGUUAUUUUUCACUAACAACUGGCCUAACCAUAUAAAAGUUAUGUUUACAACUAUAAAUAUAGUAACAUUACAUUUGUAUUUAGAAAUACUUUCUAAUAACUAAGAUUUUGUUCCUAUAAAUUAUAUAUAUAUAAGAGAGAUUAUAGGCCAAAAAUAUGUUCCUGAACACGACACCAAUAAGUCAAAUCACAUCUUAUAUUUUGAGAUAGAGGGGAGUAAUAUAAUAUAAAUAGUAUGAUUACAUGGUCUCCAUACGGAUUUUUCUUUUUUCUUUUUCUGAAUUUCACCUGUCAAUCUAUUCUGAUGAUUUAAGAAUUCUAUCUAUUGAAGCCUACAAAUUCUUUUACUUUGAUCGCAUGAUCACACUUAUAUGUACUAGUACAUAUAUACAAUAUGGCCUUGUUUAGUUCGUGAUUUUUUUUGCUUUUAGCUAUUGUAGCACUUCUGUUUGUAUUUGAUAAUUAUUGUCAAAUUAUGGACUAACUAGACUCAAAAAAUUCAUCUUAUAAAUUACAAACAAACUAUAUAAUUAGUUACUAUUUUUAUUUAUAUUUAAUACUAUGUAUAUAUUGAAAGAUUUGAUGUGACGAAAAAUUUUGAAUUUUUUUUAAAUUAAACAAGGCCUAUGUAUAUUAGCAGCCCAUCGGAGAACAGACAUGAAACGAAAAAGUGAAAGAAACCCAUGUAGAUGGCCGAAUGAGUUGGCGUAUUGGAUGCCCCUAAAAAGCACGGCCUGGCUGGGCAGAUAUAGGGUCAUGGAUGGACCAGAUUUCCGGCCUGCGGUGCCGGCCCAAGCACGAUAUUUAUUCCUUCUCUACUUCGUGAUAAUAUAUAGGUGCUAGGACAGAGGCGCUCAAAUAAUGUGUCUCAGUUCGUGACUCUAUAUAAUUGUUUAUUUUUUUACAAACAAUCCCAGUCACUACAUGUCCUGUGAGGGUAUAACAAUUUGUUGUUGAUGGCGGUUUUAAAAUUUAUACUAUAUUUUGUUUAAAAAGUUACACAAGUAAUUUUAAACAGUUCCUCACAAAAAAGAGGUAAUUUUAAACAGUUGAGUCCCCUUAAUUUCAGUUGAAUAAUUUGUUGAUGCCUUCUAUCUCUGAGUGUGGUUGCAGUUACUUGGCCAUAGAUCAACACUAUAAAUUCUCUUUUUUUUUAAAGAAUUGUGCACUGAAUCCAGAUGUGUUUUGAAAUUAACAUGGUGACUUAAUUUUCACUCUGCUAGCUUUUAUAUGAUAUAAGUUUUCUUUGGGAAAAAUUAAAUUUUAAUUCAUAUUAGGGUAGAUUUAGUAGAUCAAGUUUUUGAUGAGGAGAAUAACAGAAUUGCUCAACUACUGCAAAUUGGGGAGAUUAGUUUCAUGUUUCCAUGUAUAUACGGUUUGAUAGUCCAAUUGGUGCUAGAACAUUUCUAUGAUUAUUUGAUUACAUGGCGUGUUUCCUUGAAGCAGCAUUUAAAAUUGAUCCUAGGUUUGUUUUUAGAAGGAUCUAACCAUCUUGAAACUAAAAAGCAAUUUUAAAAUUUUGUAUGGAAUGAUAAGUUCUAAAAUGAAAUUUAUUUUUUACCCUACAAAUACGUCUUUGCAUUUAGCACUAGGGGAUUCACGGCCAUCGGAGUUUUUCAUAUCAUAUUUCUUUGUUUUCACAAAUCCAAAUGAAUCUAUUUUCUGGCACUUACCAAGACUAUAUGUGUGGCUCAAUGUUGAAAAACAAUUGUUGGGAACAUCGGCCAUUUUCGUCAAGCAAACUACAACUUACCAUAGCUAUCGGCUUCUUUGUCCAUCAUCAAUCAAAUAAGAACACUAGAUGGCAUUAUGAAGCAGACAGCGGUCCUCUGAGUCAACAAUAGGAGAGUGAGCAUCUCCAACGGUUUGCCAUUCUAGUUUGGUAUUUAUGUUAUUUGGCAAAAAGGUAAAAAUCACUUCUCCAACGGUUUUUCAAACGGGUUUGCCAUUUUAGUAAAUUUGGCAUUUGAGAGGCCCCCCUUGGCAUAUUUGGGAGUUGGCUUUUGGAUUGGCAAACGCUUGCGGCCAGUUUUCCUGCAAAUUGGGCUUUUAUAGCACAUCUGUUGGACUUUUAUAAUGUUUCACCAUCAUUGGACUUUUAUUUUUGCUUUGAAAAUGUAAACAUAUCUAUUGAAGUUGCUCUAAAGCUAAGGUCCUAAACUGCGGAAACAUAAGACGGACUUUACUACACGUACGAAGAUGAACAUGACAUGCAGGAGAACAAUGAUGGUGAAACAUUAUAAAAAAACAUUAUUAUUCCUCUGAUGUUGUGAGUUUUUUUUCAUAAACACGUGUCGCACGUGCAUGGCUACUAGUUUCUUGCACGAAUUGAAUGUUAAAAGUUACGAGGGAUGUGAGGCGGGUGACUUGAGGAGCAUGUGUAUUAUGUUCCGCGCAGGCAAAAGAAAAGAUGAUCAUGAACAGCUCAUCUAGCAAAACGAGGACAGGAGAUCCACGUACAGUCCGGGUCGAUCUGUCGGCUGAGAGAAUACCAAAAAUUCUGUCGCCCGAUGUGUAUUCUAUGGGCCUGUCGGGGGCUUGCUUAAGAAUAAGAAAGAGGAAUCUUACGAAAAUAGCAUGGAAUAAGGUUUGAUUCUAUUCAUGGGGAUUCCGUAAAUAUCCCAUUCCAAAAAUCGAAACAAUCGGGACUUUUCGGAGAUUGGCUGCAGUUACUAAUUCAUGAUCUGGCAUGUACAGAAUGAAAACUUCAUUCUCGAUUCUACGAGAAUUUUUAUGAAAGCGUUUCAUUUGCUUCUCUUCAAUGGAAGUUUCAUUUUCCCAGAAUGUAUCCUAAUUUUUGGCCUAAUUCUUCUUCUGAUGAUCGAUUUAACCUCUGAUCAAAAAGAUAGACCUUGGUUCUAUUUCAUCUCUUCAACAAGUUUAGUAAUAAGCAUAACGGCCCUAUUGUCCACCAACUAAAUUUUAGCUAGCUAAACUUUAGUCACUUUAGUAGCUAAAGUUCCAAACACAUUGACUAAAAGGGGCUAAAAUAGUUUAGUUCCAUUAGUCACUCAAGAGUAGCUAAAGUAUUUUUAGGUAGCUAAAAUUUAGUUGGUGGAACCAAACAGGGCCUAUAUAGGCAAAUAUAUAGCGAUUUGCCUUGUAGUCGGACGUAGACAGUUCGUGAUCGAAACAAAGAAGAGAUCGUUUCAUCAGCGUUUAUAUAUACAGGAAAAGAAGAUCUUGGUAGGCCGCCGCACCGCAAAAGAAAAUCACCAGUAAACAUCAGGAACCUAUAUAUAUAUCUCAAUUCUGAAACCACGGCGGAUCUGAUGGCGGCGGCGAAGGCCUACCCUCCAUGGGUAAUAUUCGAGCACGACUGCACGCUCGAGGUCGAUGGCUGCUCCUCCUCCAUUGCCGACGCGAACACGCUGGCGAGCAGCCGCACCACCGGCGGCCUUCCCAUCAACGUCUCCCUGUGCCUCGCAGCGCCCCCAGAGGGAUCGCGCGUAUGCGUCCAGCUUCCUGCCGGCGUCAAGGUGUCAUACGCUGCCGUCCUCGCGGCGCACGGCGACUCCGUGGUCGUCCAGGUCGCCGGGAUCGACGACGAGUCAACUGACCACUUCGUAUACAAUGCCGGCGACGCGGCCGCUGAACCGCCGCGGCCGCCGUCGCUGUCGCUGCUCGCGCCUCACUCCAUCACCUAUGAAGACAAAGAAGAGAAGCGUCGUCCCUGCUGGUGUCACUAUCUGGACGCUGAGAGCACCGGCCUACUGCGCCGCGGCGAGGACGAUUUCUUGGUGGCGGAGCUCAAGAUGGAGUACGUGACGACGGUGGCGGGCACGACGCACGAGGAGGCGGCGCUCCACCUGCUCCGGUCCGCCUCCGACGAGUGGUGCGUCAAGCGGCCUGUGGUCCGCCGCUACGACGACGGCGGUGAGACUGUGUGCGUGAACCUGGCGUCCUGGUGGCGAAACAGCACGGUUAUCCCCGUCGGCGACCGGAUGCUUUGCUGGGUCCACUUGGACGGCGACCUGCUCUUCUCCGACGACGUGUUCGACGACGAGAGCCCCAGCCUGUGGUACGUGCCGCCGCCCGAGGACGCCGAUCUGGGCACGCGGAGCGUGUGUGUCACCGCCGACGGCAGCACGGUAAAGUUCGUCAACGUGUUUCCCCGUUGCUGCUGCGGCGGCGCGGGGAGGUCCUUCUGCCUCGCUUCUUUCGACGCCUACGCCGUCCGCACCUGGACGCUGAGGAUGGACGACAUGACCUGGGCAAUGGACGCCAGGCUCGACGCCACCCAGCUCUGGUCCCUCGACGGCUACAAGGGCCUCCCACGCGUGGAGCUGGCCAUCCCCGUCGUGAGCAUGGACGAACCAGACGCCAUCUGCUUCGAGGUCGUACACCAUGAAAACCAUGGCGGCGACGAGACGAUCCUGUGGCGGAUCAUGGUGGAUAUGAAGAGCAAGUCGACGCUACUAAGAUCCGUCUUUCGCUACCCCAAAGUACGGUGGUGCCGUAGUUGGGUACGUCCCUUGCCCAGCAGUAUCUCCAGAUACUUCAACUCUAAACCACCAAGCAGCGGCGGCCAGCCUGCACAAGCAGAAGCGAUGCUAAACUUGACGAACAGAGGGCGGGCUGUUGAUAAUAAGGUGCACGCAAUCAACACCGUGCAGCAGGCAGCUUCAGAUUCACCGGAGGCGGCGAUCUUGGCCGCGCUUCAAGCGAUACCUGGCUUGGAUCGUGAUGAUUUGCUGAAAGCCUAUCGCAUUCUUACCCACGACAGUAGUGGCUGCCGGUUCAGAGCUCUCAUGGGGCUGCCAAUGGAUUUCAGGAAGGAUUGUGUGCUGAUGGAGAUCAAGGCCAGUGAAGCUUGUAUUUUGUGCUCUCUAUGCUCGGAAGACUUGCAACUAAAAGGAUGAGUCUAUAAGUAUAAGCGCUCAAGACAGCCGUGACUAACCCGUGUUUGGUUGGAGGGAGUAAAGUACAACGGGUAUUGUAGCAUAUUUAUAACUAUAGUAAUAUUAAAAAAAUUAUUUCACAAAUUAUUUUAUUGUUGUGUUUUUAGUUUUAUAUAAACAGUCUAUAUUUAAUACUUCAUUCAUUUGUCUAAAUAUUUCAUGUGAUAAGGAGUAAAGUUUAAUAGGGGGAACGGCCUUACUUCAUUUACAGACUAAUAAGUUUUCAGUGGACGGAUGGAGUGUCUGCCGCGGCGGCACCUUAAAAUAGGUGGGAAUCGAGGAAGGCAGACGGGGCUCUCAACUGGGCCCUUAUGCUAGGCCGCUAGGGGUUGGGGCCUAAGAGAGGGAGUUUACAGGCCGCUGUUGGGCUACUCCCUUAAUCUCGUGUCAGGCAGUGCCAGCCCACGGGCUUGAGUGGUGGUCCAAGCAUGGCUUGGUACCUCGUGCCGAGCCAGCCUAAGCCCGAUGCCCCUCGGCUUGGGUCGGACUCGAGUCGUGCCAAAGUGUUGGGCCUCGUGCUAGGCUGCCGGGCUUCAGGCUGCAUUACUUUUUAUAUGUCUUGCUAAUGCACUGUUGUGGCCACUAGAGCCAAGGUCAUCAACGCAUCGAAUAGCCAGCGCCUGGAUAUACCUAGUGUGCUGGUUGGUCCCGAGAGCCACUGGCGGUGCGUAGUGGAGGCGAAGUUGGCGGUCACCCCCCUUCCUCCGCAUUGGUCAUGGCUCACUUGAUGUCUGCAUUGGUACUUCUGUGUGAAGUCGAGCAAGCAGCGUCGGCUAUAGAUUACAUGGUGAGGUGAAAUUUUGCAUCUGCACGAGCCAUGAGAGUGAACGCGUGUGGACAGCGUGGUGGAUGAGGAGGACGACAGCGUUCUAUUACUUCUAGACUAUAUAGCAGCAAGACGCAUCAUGAGACUGAGUUUUGGGGUUGUGUGUCUGUUUGUCAGAUACCAUAAACCGAGAUAUCCUAAUUAAGAGGGGAAAAAACGGCAAAACAAGACUCUAGGAUGGAAACGACACCCACCUCUCCUCGGCUCAGCAGGGAUGCCUAGACCAAUAAGUUAAACAUGCGACUCGCUCGAGCCAUGGCCUCGAGCGCAAGUAGUGACUCGUCCGAGCCCUGGUCUCGAGCGCAAGUAGCAACUCGCCCGAGCCCUGGCCUCGAGCGCAAGUAGCGACUGGCCCGAGCCCUGGCCUCGAGCGCAAUCAGCGACUGGCCUGAGCCCCGGUCUCUGACGCAAUUGACGCCUUGCCCGAGCUCUGGUCUCAGUGGCAGGCUUCUCACGCACGACGACCGUACCGUUGAGCUUAAAUGAGCCAAAAUGCUUAGCCACUUGACAAAUAAUACAACGAGCCAAGUGGAACUAGCCAUCACAAGCUUUUUAUCUAACACUAAUUGCCCUUGAGCGUAACUGAGUUGCUGCUUUAUUCAGAGUUAUAGCUUAACUGCCCCCUCUUAGUUUGGCUCCACGCUCCGCCACUGCCAAGAGCAUCACGUUCGAUGGCCACAACGUCAGACUUUAACGUCAACAACUAUAACGGCUGAUCCUCAAGCACGAUGGCGAAGGAGCUAGCUAGACCACGUUCACGUAUAGCUCGAGCUACAUCAAGAACAACUGCGACGCGCCAUGUGAGCUCCGAUCCCACCGGUCAUCACGCAGAGCUCGUGCGGCCGAUCGCUGAGCAUUCCUUUCCACCACAACUCCGGCAACCUAGGCCUUAUUCAGUUGCUGAAAUAAAAAAAAUAGAUAUUAUAGUAUUUUUGUUUUUAUUUGAUAAUUAUUAUCUAAUUAUAGACUAACUAGACUUAAAAAUUUAUCUCACGACUUAUAAUUAAACUGUAUAUUUAUUUAUAUUUAUAUUUAUAUUUAUAUUUAUAUUUAUAUUUAUAUUUAUAUUUAAUACUCUAUGUAUAUGGCGUAAGAUUGCAAACAUUCUAGCCAUGGAGGCCGGCGCGCGAGCAGUUUCACUUCACCAAUAAUGGGGUCACAUCGACCAGGUCAUCAGAGCACCAGAUGGUGACGGCGUUCGGGAACUCCACGGGGCACAUCAUCAUGAAGUACAGUUUACGAACCAACCAGGUCACAUUACUCCAAUCCGGCGUGACCUACCCUAACGGCAUCGCCAGGACAGGACCCACCUCAUCGUCUCGCUCAUCGGACCUUGUAAGGGCACUCACAAUGCAAGACUCUAUCAUAGAGUUCAAGACAAUUAAUUACAUGUUAUUUAUGGUAUUUUACUGAUGUAGCAGCAUAUUUAUUGAAGAAAGAGGUAGGAAAAAUAAGAUUCCAAGUCUUAUUUAAACUCUAAGUCCACAUUGUUCGAGGUAAUAAAUAACUUUAGACUCUAUGAUAGAGUCUGCAUUGUGAGUGCCCUAAGCUGCUUAGGUAUUGGAUUCGUGGGCCAGAUGCAAACAUAUACUCCCUCCAUACUAAAUCAUAAGUUAUUUUAAAAAUUUUAGAGAGUCAAACUAUCUUAAAAUUAACUAAAUUUAUAUGAUAUAAUACUUAUUAUUAUGAUAUCAACUAAGUAUUAUUAGAUUCUUCUUUAAUCAUAUUUUUCAUAGUGUACUCACUUUAUAUUAUAAAUCUUAGUAUUAUUCUCUAUAAUUUUGAUCAAACUUGAAAAUACUUAUAAUUUGGAAUGAAAGGGUACGAGAUAUUCACAUACCUGCCAUGAUGGCAAAAUAUAUCUUGGAUUCGUAGAAUUAUGGUACGUUGUCAUUGUUGACACUUAGGAUUCUAGCUAAGGUUUAAAGGCUAACAAUGUUUUUCUCUCACAACAAAUUAACGAACAAUAUUUUUUAGCUAUAUGUUCAGUUGCCGAAAUGAAAAAAAAAUUUAGGUGCUGUAGCACUUUCUUUUUAUUUGAUAAUUAUUAUCCAAUCAUGGACUAACUAGGCUCAAAAGAUUUAUCUCGCGAUUUACAGUUAAACUGUGUAGUUAUUUAUAUUUUUUUAUCUAUAUUUAAUGCUUCAUACAUGUGCCGUAAGAUUUGAUGUGAUGGAAAAUCUUGAAAACUUUUUAGAUUUUGGAUGAAACUAAAUAAGAUAACUUUUCACACAAACGAACACGCUUUAAGAUUUAAAGUGCGGCGUGGUGUGAUCCACGCUGGUCCUUUUUUCUCUCUCCACAUGACAAUGAAGCCUGAUCUUACCAAACACACAGAUUGGUGCGGUGUGAUCCAAGAGGAUGGUAAUUUAUUCGCAAAACUACUAGUGUGCAAUUAUCAUAGUACAAGGAAGGACACACACUCCUAUAGUGUUGUUCGCUGAAUUGUUAUAAAAGAAUUAUCGUACAGUGAUAUGAAAAGUUAUGACUAAAAAUACUCUAAUCGAUUUAUUAUAAAAGAAAAACAUUAUUAGUGAAUGACGGCAGACAAACUAAUUCAACUGCGAAAACUGCUGCGUAAAUACACGUUCAUAUCACGCCAAUACAGAAGACGGAUUUCCUUCCUCUCAGAUUUUUUCCCCCUACACCGGGCCUGCACCGUCGUCACUGUGCUGCAGAAACCCGUCGGCGUCUUGCUGGUGAUCAAAGCUUACACUCGCCUGUAUGGCCGUCUGGGGCUGUUGAGCAGCACCUUCUCCUCGAUGGGGAGCCUGUACGGGGACACCUUGAACCGCUCGCUCUCCCGGCGCCGCCGGCGCUCCCGGGCGUGCACCACCGACGCCGCCGCGGCGAGCAUCGCGGCCACCGACGCCGCGAGCAGCGCCUGGUACACCCGGCUGCUGUCCCGCCGCAGCGGCGGGCAGCCGCGCUGGCUCACCGUCUGGAACGCGCGCCGCACGGUCGCGCAGCUCGCGAUGUCGGCCAGGGCGGGGGACUCCCGGCGCAGCCCGUCGCUGAGGCCGGCCACGGUGACCAUCUGGGAGUACAUCGCCGGCGUCAGGCGGCCCACCGUCGAGCACACAUCCUGCCCCGACGACCCCGUCGCGCUGCACACGUAGCGCUGCCACACCUGAUGCGAACAAACGGCAGUGCAAAAGCGCGUCAGACAUGACGCGACCAACGACGACGCGCCAUGGCGAAUUGGCGAUAGCGCUUCUCAAUUCUCACGUACCUGUUGCGCGUUGUCGGCGGUGACCUCGCCGGCGGCGCAGGGUCGGUCGGAGAGGUCGGAGUUGUAGGGGCUGCAGAGGAGUGGCACGAGAGGCCCGGACUGGUUGUAGUAGAGCGGAGGGCCGACCUGGGCAGGCACGUCGCGGUUGGACACGUUGGAGACCAGCUCGUUGAGCUUGGAGACGAGCUGGAAGUCGACCUCCUUGCUCCGGCGCAGGGCCUCCGCCGUCACCGCCGCGUCGGCGCAGGGGAGGAUGUCGUCCAGCGCGGUGUGGCUCUGCCCCUGCGGCUGGACCACCCACUCGUCCAUGGCCACGCAGGUGUCCCCUAUCACGCUGAACACAUGGCCAAAUUCAGAGGUUGCAGUAUGCUCUGUUAACUUGUACAGUACUAAGCAUUUGAAAUGAGUUUUUCAAAUUUGGACGAACUGGAACAGAAACAUCCAGAUUUGUUCAGAAUCGUUCUAAAUCCAAUCAUAACAGGCGGCAACAGCUUACUUGUGCAGGAGAAGGAAAGUGCCGGACAGUAUUAGUGUCGCAGUGAUUAUCAUCCAUCCAAGAAACACCACUCUGCCAAAAUUCAGAAACUGAAACUUAGCACACCAAUAAUCUCUGAAAGAACCUGUUGCAUCAACUACUGUCAGAAUUGGAUGUGCAUGCAUGUUCUCUGUAUGCUGUGCUAGUGUGCUUACAUGGACACAAGCGACUUCUUCCCGGUCAACGAGAACACUGCAACAAAUUGUUGGGAGAAAUUGCGUAAGAAUCUGAAAAAUAUAAAUGAUGUCGUAAUUUCAAGCAGGUCAAGUAAAUACAACUAGUAUAUAUAUUUUUUUCUCUUUCUUAAGACUUGGUAAGAGCAAUUUAUCCUCACCCAAGCCAAGAAACACGAGGACGAGCAUCACGGCCGCGACGCCGAUCAGGACCUUCUUUCUGCAAUCCCGUAAGACAAAAAACCGAUCAAGAUAAUCAAUGGAUGGUAUUACUAAUCAUGAACCAUGCAGGUGGAAGACGAUGAAUCAGAGUCAGCGGCGACGCUUUUCCGCACGUACAUGGUGUCCAGCGCCGUCCGGAUCCUGCGGGAGUUGCUGGCGGCGCGAGCGGUGAGCUCGUCGGAGGCCGCGUCCACCCGGCGCGCGACGUCGUCGAUGCCCCGCGCGACGUCGGCGGGCAGCGAGGCCACGCCGCCGCCCGCCGUCUUCGCCGUCUGCAGGAGGCCCGUGAAGUUGCGCAUGGUGGCCGCGGCGCCGUCGGCCUGGCUCACCACGUAGUCCAGCGUCGCCGUCGUGCUGCCGUUGAACUUGCCCUGCCCGUCGUACAGAAUCGCGCACCCGAUGCUGCAACACCACCACCAUGUCACCAUCGAUCCAUGAUCGCCGCCGGCCUAUCCGCACCGCACACAGGUGCGUCGAUUGAUUGGUUGAUGGAGCUAGGAGGAUCGGUUGCUUUUGCUUACACGGCUGCGGCAGUGAAGACGAGCAGGAGCAGGAGCGAGAGCGCGAACACCCGGCGCGAGUAGGAGUAGCUGCUGCUGCCGACGCCGCGGCAGCAACAGCUGCAGCAGCAGGCGACGAGCGCCGCCGCCGCGACCGCGACGAACCAGAGCGCCGCGAACGCGAACACGGGCGCCGCGCUGAAACCUGCCGACUGCACGCGACACCACACCGGUCACGCUCACCCGGGACGCCAUGAAUCACCAGCUGCGGGCAUCAUGCUUUGAACUGGCAAGCGCCAAGCGGCAGCCGGCCGGAGGCCACAGCAAGAAACGAGGAACUCACCGCCAGGUAGUGCCGGUUGCUGAUGUUCCAGCCGCCGGUGUAGUACCUGAGCCCGUCGAGGGGGUCCUUCCGCCGCGUCCGCUCCGCCGCCAACACCGUCGUGUCGGACGCCGCUGCUGCGACGACGGCCGAUUCAUCUACGUGUCAGCUCACCGAUCUUUCUUUCUUUUUUUUUUGAAUGAAACUUGGAACCUCACCGAUCUUGGUUCCCACAAGAAGUUCUUCAUGUGAAAAAAAAAGAACAGGCUACCUGAGACAUGGGCGCACAGGGUUGCACAGACGAGGAGGACGAGGAGCCAGCUUCUGCCAGACGGUCCCAUGGCUGUGCCCUGCCUACGCAAGCGAAGCUCACCGAGCUGAUCAAAUGAACUGCGAGAUGUGCACAUGACCGAGUAUAUGCACUCAGCAAUCGGCGAACUGGUCGCGCGAAAAUUGUAAUGUUUUCUUUGUCGUCAGAGAGGUGGAUGCAUGGGCACAAGGUGUUAGGUGUGACCGUGUCCGUGUGCGUCUGGGAGAUGGCAUGCAAACGCUGCUGGGUGCUGGCCGGGUCUUCAUCUGUUGCCAAGUAAUGCACAGCUAGAGCAAGUAUAAUAGCAGACCGUAAACUGGCUAAAUGCUGAGACGGAGGAGAAAGAGAACAAAAACGGACUGCCGGCUUACACAUAACAACCAAAAAAAUUUAUGAGAGAGACAAAUAAAUCAUAUAUUAUUAAUAAUGGGCUAAAUACUAUACCAGUGGAUUAAGUGAAAGUUGCAAAGAAAUCUAACAGUUAGCAACUGGUUGUAUCAUUAUGAGGCGCUGCGAAAAAGCUCAGCUUAAAAGAUUCAGGUCAUUUCGCAGUUUCGUCACUGCCGUUGCAGAAAGAAAAAAAAAAGACAAUUGUUUAUAUAUUUAUGUAAAUAUGUUGAGACCAGAUGUUCGUCUCCUGGCUUUUUUAAUAACCAAGAAAAAAGUGACUAGCUUUCCUUGUCCAGAUUAGACGAUCCAAGCGCCAUCGUACGUAUCUAGGUUUCUGAAACUUUCCUUAGCCGUGUGGAACUGCCAUAGAGCAUCUCAAAUUGAACCUUUAGGAGUUAUUACUGAUAGUUUAGAGCUAAGGACCUGGAUUUCCACCUCUAAACUUAGAGCUCUAAAUUUUAGCCUUCUAGCUAAAGUGCUCUAAAGCUUUUAGAGCUCUGUAGUUUAGAUAAGAGGAUCCAAACAGAACAUUAAUAAUACCUGGGUUGUCUAUCCUCUAAUAGUUUGUGUAUAUCAUUCUAGUUUUUUAAAAAAUCUCUCUUUGUGCAAUAAGGAGACACGGGACUACGCGUAGCACAUUGUUUAAAACGACGAAUAGUUGCCCGGUUAGGUUAACAUCCAUGGGUAACAUCCAGAUCACAUCGCCAUGAGUACCCAGUCAAGGCCAGCAGUGCACAUCAUUAAACGUCGUGCAAGUUAAGCAAAAUGACACCACGUUAGAUGCCAAUAGAUGCAUUUUAUAUACUAACUAAUUGCGUAUUUAUAUCAGAUGGUUCAGACUCGAGGCCUGAGCUGACCUUGGCCAUUUCGGCAUGACUGAAACUUGCCCAUCAGCUUUGUAGUUCAGGGUUCAAUGCGUACACCUCCAGAUAAGAAGUAAGGUUGAAAUAAGACCUAGAAAAGUUCGAAAGCGUGCACACAGGCACGUGCUGCACUCUAUUGAUUCAUGCAGCACUUGGUCGCCAUUCAUAUUACAUCAAAUACUGCAAGACAAUCAGAUUAUUGGACCGAUAUAAGCCAUGUAUAUGGACAGAUUACAUUCUACAUUUUUACAACAUGAGGCCUAUUGGUUACAGCGGACUCUGAGUGACUAACCUAGAUCUUUUGUACUUCCACUAACUCCCAACCCUAUACCAACAGUAGGUAAAAACAGCUGGAUUUUGGGAUUGCACUGCUAGGACCCAAAAAAUAUACAACCUUUUCCCUCCUACAGAUCAGCAAAUACAUCAUCUAUGUUAGGAUAUAGCAAGAUCCACAUGCUAAAUCUAAUUAUUAUAUUGCUAUUCAAUAGCAUCUUCCGCCUCGGUGAGCAGAUCUGCGCUUUCGUCAAGCAGAUGAUCACAGACCUCCAUGAGCUCGUCAGCAAGCGGAGGGAUGUGAGGAUGGCGACCAUCAUUGUAUAGAUGUGCGUUCAGUUGUAUCUGUGCUACAUCGUGCCUGAAUUCAUCACGGUUUCUGUACACCAUCUUUCUCACCUUGUCCCUGAUGGUACCAAGAUCCAUUGGGCGCUGUACGUAGUCAAGGUAAUCAGGAGCAUCUUUCUUUGUCACUGGUUUUAAAAAUAGCAGUGAUCCACUCAAACCCCGCAAGUGAUCAACUAUCUUUUCCAAUAUGUUGGAAAGCUCAACCUGCAUGACGAGGAAGCAAUUAAUCAAGCCCGAAUUCCAUUUCCAACAAAUCCCUCCAUGUGUAAUUUACUUUAUUCUCUUUUAACAGUUGCACAAUGCAAUUAGCAAACCCUACUGUAUCAAAUUAUCAGUUUGUAUAGAAAAAGUUGCAAAACAACUAUAAAAUAGUGGUACAAAUACUAAAACAAGUGGGUGGACAGUAACACUAAAACUACAGAAAUUUACUCCAUUUCAAAAUACAAGACAUGCUUUUGCCAUCUUGUUUCAAAAUCCUUUUGUGUUUUUUUCAAUAAUAUUUUCUCUUUUGCCAUUUACUGUUUAUCACACAGCUAUAUUCUCAACAGGCAAGAGGCAAGACAUCUAACACAGGCGAUCCUAUUGUCAUUUUCCAAAUCACUUGCCAUACAUAUAGCUGAAAGCUAAGAAAAUGUACCUCUCCUCCUCUGCGACGCUUAGCAGAUGAUGCAUAUCCAAUCACAUGAGCUGGACUAGAUCGUUUUACUGCUCGAUGUCUUUCAGGUACCCUUCUGUCAUUUCUGUAUGGCCUGUGAUCAAGUAAGUCAUCAUCUUUGAAUUCAUGUUUUUUCUUUUUCUUGUUUUUCUUUUUUGACUUUAGAUGAUCUUCCUCCCUUGAUGCAUAUAUCGUAGCAUCAAAGAGCCUUGGUUGUGGCAUUUCUCUUUGCUCCUCAAAAUCUCUCCAGGAUCUGUCAUUUUGCACUAUGGCUUUGCUUCUUUUUCCAUCCAGACCAAGCCUCCUCUCAUGUGAGGAAUUCAUCUGGCUGGGUUCCCCACCAAACCAAUGAUCAUCCUCUCUACUUUUAUCCUCAAAACUCGAUAAUUCUACAAUUUUUCUUAUCUUUCUGGUGGGCUCCUGACCACUCCUAGGUUCAACAUGUCUUUGCUGGUCUAUGCCUUUAGGCUGCUUGAUGGUGAUCUUUUUGCGAGGUACAUCCUUUUCUUCAGCGGGAGGCCGAAAUACAACAGAUGGCUUUGGAGUGUCAGGAGGGAAAUCAUCAGAUUUCAUCUUAUUAGGUAUCACUAUCUUAUUUACCUUUCCAGUAGAUCUACUGUCUGUAACAUCCAUGACACGUUUAUCAGAAACGAGUGAAACGGAGAGUGGCAUGUUCCUCUCCAAGGAUUUAUCCGGUGCCCCUACUUUAAAUUUUACUGGGACAGAUUUUGUCUUUUCGAUACCUUCUGGCCCUUCAGUUUCAGUAACUUCAGAGGAAACUUUUGUUAUUAAUCUUUUAGGUAUCUUUGCUUGCAAAUGGUUUAUAUCCGUAGGGUUGGGCUUAACUGAAUUAGCAUCCAUUUCUGACAUUUCUGGAUCCUCCCCAUACUUGGGGCACAGUUUGUUAGUCCGCAUAUGCCCAACCUAUACGACAACAAAGAGACAAAAAAAAAUAAGUCAUGAAACAUAUAAUAUUUUUCAGAAGGGCGCAUGCAAGAAGCUGCUUUACUGAGCCUACCUGACCACAGGCUCCACAUACAAGAGUAUCCCCCCUUGCACCCUGUUUCUUCUCCUGAAAAUAUGGAAAAGCAUGACACAUAAGACCCACAAUAACAAAGACCAGAUCAGCUUCUAUAUGUAUCGUGCGUUUGAGGAAAGAAAGCUUCUCUAUGAAUCAUCGAACCAACACGUAUUCAAAUUUUAGAAAUUUAGCAGCAUCCUUCCAACCUAAUACUUUUAUAGGCACAAUAGCAAACCAAUAUCCAGCGGCACUGAAUGGCAGCAAUACCUUAAAUUGCCACCAUAUUACAAAAACAAACUUAUACAUUUUGGUUUCCAACUUAGACAGCUACUUCUGCAUGAAGCCUGAUGGAAAGGAAAACACCACAAGUGCAACAUAAUUGAUGUACCGAAUAUCAUUAUAUCAUAUAUAAGUAAAAACAUUAUAUUCACACUUAGCACUGGUGCAGGUGUCUAAUAUUAAAAUAAGUAUAAUCGAGAAAAAGGCUGAUUCAAGUCGACACACAAAAUAUUCAUGUGGAUAGAACUUCACAUAUCAUAGUCAUCUUUUUCUGGGCUUACCUUAGGUCCAUCCUUUCCUAGAACACUUUUCUUUUUAACUAGAAGGAUCUCAUUUACAUCGAGUGCCAUCUUUGGUUUUAGUUUUGAGGGCAAACCACCCUCAGCAAAAGAAUUUUCAACCUGCACGGAGUAAGAUGAAUAACAUCAUUACAGAUUGUUUCUGCCAGAAUAACACUAAAUCAAAAGGACAGGACAAUGAAGACCAGGUCCAGAACCUCAGAUAGACUAAUACCUCUUUUCCUUCUCUUGGUGUGCUCUCCUUUGGGGUUAAUGCACCAGCAUAACCAGAUGAUUUGAUCAUUUGUCCACUCUUACUCUGCUUCAUUUUAUUGGCACUAGAGGUGCCACAAUUUGUCAACUCAGGCUGCUUUUUCCUCUUCACAUCAUUACCAUCAUCUGCAUAAUAAGAGGCCAUAAAUCGUAUGCACCAGCAGUUGUUUUUGCAAAGAACAUAGAAGAAAAUAACUACCUUCAAGUAGUUUCUUUGCCAGAGAGGCUUCUGUUUCAUCAUCUUCAAUUUCCUCGUUAAUUUGGGCAUGUGUAGAGCACCUUCUCAUUUUAAGUCCUCUCAUUCCAUCUGCUUUGUCAAUUCUCAAGUCUGCUGUACUAGUAUCCUCAUCAUCAAAUUCUUCUGCGUCUAGCAAGUUCUCAAGAUCCCCAGCAAAUGAGUCUAGAUCACUGUUAGCUUCUGUGUCACUGCCAUUGUCAUCGCCAUCUAUAGCUGAAAGUGACUGGACUUGUCUGUCCCAAAUUUCCUGACAUUUCUCCCUAGUUUGCUGCUGAAGUUGCAGAAAAGACAUCCUUUGUCCACGUGCAAACUUGCUAACAGGAAUUUCGUCAAUAGUUAUUCCCGAUGCAGCUUGUUCACUUGAUAGCUUCCUCACCAUAGCAAUCCGAUGCCACCUUGUUAAUUUAUCAAUUUGCUCUUCAGGUACGCCGAAUUUCAGCAGCAACUAUAUAUAGCAGUGCAUCAAUUAUUUACUAAACAAAGUAUAAAGGUGGAAUACAUGAAGGACAUGCAACACAUGCCAAGCUUUGGAGGUGGUCACUAUGGAUUUCCUUUUCACCAAGAAUGGGUGCAGAUUUUAGCAAUAUGCUUUGUGAUCAAUGACAAAUGAUACACCAUAUAUUCUAUUAUAGUUUGCUUCCUUCAAAUUCUCAGCUGUAAGCUGAUAUGAUGUAUCAAUGAACCAGGCUGUAUGCAAACUAUGCAAUGGCUGGAAUAAGUUUCUGUUUCCUAAAAAAAUUCACAAUUUUCAUUCUCAAAAGUAUUACACAUACAGUACAGGAAGCUCAGCCUAGCUCGGUUGAGGGUGUGAAUGUCACCUAGUUCAAGUCCUCAUCGAGAUGAAUUUGAGUGCCUACUUUCUUGUUAACAUAAGGCCACCUAGUUCCUCCUAGGUUGGUCCAGUUUUUUUAAUCACUCAUACACUAUAAUGUUUUAAAACACAAAUGCCAGGAGCUUUGCCCUUCAAUUAAUGUAGGAAAAGAAGACACUCAUACACUAUAAUGCAAUAAUGAAAGAGAUCAUAGAUGUCUGCUUCAACAGAGUGAAAGUCAGUAUGCCAAAAUGCCACUGAGUAUGUCAAUGGCGUAUGGGAGUAGGUCCCACCUGUUAUUGUAUAAGUCAACACUGCACUGGCAAAAUGAGAAUUGUUUUCAUUUUAUGGAGGCAAGUGUUCUUGUUUAGAGGACCUACAUGUGGCUUGCAUAAUAUAAUGAUCCCCUAAAUAAGAAUGCUAAAGACCAUCAAAUAUUAAUACAGACUCUAUAUGUUCAUACUGAAGCAUGUUCAAUGAUAUUAGGGCUUUUUUGUAGCCUCCCAGGCAAGAUUCCAGCCAGGCAUCGAUCCUAGCCCCAGGCCCCUGAAAUCAGACGCCAGGGGGCGAUGCCCAAGCCAGGCAGUCUUGCCUGGGAAACGCACCCUUAGGCAUGCCAAUAUCUCCAAAGUCAGGCAAUGUUUCCUAUGUUUAUUAUUACAGAAAUUAGUACAAUGGUACCUCACGGGCUGCAUCCAUGCUCAACCUGCGGAGAUCAGCAUCAGUCCCAGUUACAGUGGUACCCUUUGCAGCAGCUGACUUCUUCUUGAGCACUGAAUUGGAGGCAGGUGCUUUUGGUGCUACUCGCACAUAGCUGAAUCCUAACCCACGACCAGAUGGAUCUCCAACACCAGUGAUUUCUAAUCUUUCUAUAUUUUCUCUGUCCUGCACGCACCAAAGGAAAUUUGAUUAAGGAAAAUGUAUACCAAGAAACUAGGGAGUAAGGAAAAUUAGCAUCAUAUAUUACAUUUCACAUUUAGAAAAAAACGCACAGAAAGACAUGCAUACAUAACCCAACCAAACAAGGACUGCCAUCCUUUAACUUUGCCUGGAUAGAAACACUACCAAUAUAUUUGUUUAAACAGAUUAUUCUAGUUCCUUGAUUCUCUUAUCUCCUCCACUUAGUGUCAUGUUUCUCCCACUCUUAACACACCUCAGCUGAAUUAAUCUUAAUUCUCUAACCUCCUAUCUAUCUUGCUGGGUACUAGGCACACCAACUUUCUGAUAUACAGGACAAUGGAGGUCCAAAACCGGCUGAUUAGAUGGUUUGUUUGUUGAUUGGAGAGCAUAUAUCCUACCAUUGGCAAACUGGCAGUUAUACACCCAAACAUAUAUAUAGUAGUUUAAUAAAAUCACCAAAGUUCAAAACCUCACCAAGAAAACUGAAUCUGGCUCACUACAGGACACAAAUUUAUUCAACCUUUAAGCAGGUGGAAUCGCUAUGGCUUCUCCAGAGCUUAAUUUAUAAUUCUAGUAACGCUAGAGCUCUAUUACUUCUCCAGUAGCUCAAGCCCAAAUGGAAUCAAAAGUACCCAUCCCACGAAGACUUAUUUAUCCCAGUGGGCUGAGGGGAAUCACCAUGGACUCGGCUGGGUUUUCUGGACCAUGUCACAUCCAAAGACCAACAGGUUGAGGGGGGACAAUCCAUGUAAAUCAACUAUCAUAGGAAAUGGACUGGGCUCCCAGCAUUCCUGCUCUCAUUCCCUGUACACCCAACAGGACCUAAUGUGAUCAACAACUAAUUACCCUGUACAAGUUUUCUUUCUGUUGAUACCAAAUACUGACCCUUAUCUCCCAAUAUUAAUCGAGAACGAAUAAAUAUGAAGGUUAUCUGCAGUCUCUCUAAAGCAUAGAGCACAUCAAGUAGCACUCGGCAGUUUUUAUGAACAAUACAUGGUUUUAGGUCAAUGAACUGAUAUUGAAUAAAACUAGUGAUGUUCCAGAUCAGAUUACUUGAGUAAAACACCAUAUAUGAGACAAAGAGUAAGGUACCUGAUUAGUACAAGCAACAAAAUUACUUGUAAGAUUCCAGCUAGUGAUUUGCAGUUCCCUCUCGAUAUGUGAUGCAGCAGCAAGCUCAAUAGCCUCAUCAGGAAGCUGAUUCAUGGCAGAAGCCAGUCCAACAGGCUGAGUAAGCUUCAGAAUUCCUAAGCGCUUGAGACGAUAAAGACCAGCUUGCAUACUCUCAUAACAGCAAACCUGGAUAAUGAUGUUUUAGUUGAGUCAUCGUGAUAUUUCGGAUUGAAAAGAGAACUGUAAUUAGACACCAAGGCAACAAGGUAAGGCAACCUUCAUUAUUUAGGUAUUUUUGCUUUAUAUAGAACUUUCUACAAGAAAAAAUAUUUGCAGUCAGCUUACUCUGAUAGUCUGAUGACCAAAUUUUUAAAAACAUUUCACCCUAUAUAUUUGGAAAUGUGGGAUUGGCAUAAUAGCCAGUGCUUGUGGUCCAUAUAUAGCCAGCACAAUGUGAUAAGCACUCACAUUUCCACGAGAAUUUCUGUGCAAAAUAAAGCAUUUCUUCGAAUAGCUUGUCAUCCAGUUCUGUUGUUGUAUUGGCGAUUGGCAAAAGACUUGGCCGGUUUUUAGUGAAAGGAGCAUUGAAAAUGUUUGGAGAGACAGCAUGCAAGACCUUUGAAGCCUGAUAGUUGUUGUCCAAGUAGGUGCCAUUUUACCUUGGUAGAUAUUUGGUUAUUAGUUGUGAUAGUUGUUUAGUCAGUUUAGCUGGAGUGUGAGUUGUUUAGUGGUUUGGCUGUUUCUUUCUAGUUGGCUCAUUGAUUGUCUUUCCGAGCAGUUAGCAUUGUUUUUGAGGCGUCGCCUAGGCGACAAGGCGUGGUAGAGGCUCUGGGCGUCGAGGGCGCCAUGACCUGCACUCGUAUGGCGUCCGCUUAAUCGAAUUUGGCGUCGCCUAGGCGUACAAAGGCGUCAGACGGACGCCUAUAGCCUUGCCAUGGACGCCAGAUACUAAUUAGCAGGGGGAGGGCAUGAAAAUCGAGCGCGUGUCCACGCCGCGGGGAAGGGCACGAAAAUGACUGUAGCCAGCGGGAAAUCGACCGCGCAUCCGCUCCUAGCGCGGGAACCGUGACCUAGAUAGGCUAUUCGCGUGCGGCAUUUACCGUGAGUGGGGGCGAGGGGAGAGGAAGAGAGAAGGGGGCGGAUGGACCUUGAGCUCUGCUUGGCUGCUCCUCUGCUCAACAGCUCGAGUCCACCGGCCAGCCACCCCUUCCGAGGAGCCGCCCCUGAAUCUCUGCUUGGUCGUCCGCACCUUCCGUGGAGCCACUCUGGCAUCUCUGCCGCUGGAGGCAUCGGCCAUCCGCAUCUGCGCGUCUGCCGUCGGCUGUCCCCCUGUCCACAGCUGCCCGUUCGUCUCAUGUCUCUGCCUCCGCCUCCGCCGGUCGUCUGUCAUCCGCCUAGUAUGCCCCUGCCUCCUCUCUGUUCCCUCCGCCUGGUAUGCCCCUGCCUAGUGCCUGGUAUCCCGUCUAUGCUCUGAGUAUUGUAGUAUAUUUAUUAAUGCCUCGUGCUCUGCUUUUGCUCAUGCUAGGUGCCCUUUGCUCUGAAUAUUAUAUGUUAAUGUCUGCUUGUGCACUGAAUAUUGUAUGGUAAUGUCUGCUUUUGUUCAUGCUUUACGCCUUACAAUGUGUAUAUGGUGUCGCCUAGGCGUUGUGAAGGGGAGGCGCGGCGCCUCAAAAACAUUGGUACUUAGUGGUUGAAUUUGUCCGUGGAGAACUUUUGCUCUUUUGUUGUUUUAGUAGUUGUGUUUGGGGGAGGUGUUGUUGGGUUUUUGGGCCCGGUUUCCCUAAAAAAACUGGGCCAAUACUUGUUUCUUUUUCUUCUAAUAAAAUUUGUGGCAAAGCUUUUGCCAUCCUUUCGUGGAAAAAAAUUGUCAUCAAGAAACAAUUGAUUGACACAAGGGCAACAAUAAUUUGCAGAAACUCACACUUUCUGGCGUCAAUAAUCUCCUCAGUUCUUCCUCUGAUGGAACUCGGAAAUCAGGUCUCUGUGUCCAGAAAAAAUGCCCCUUUGGUCCUUUCUGUAAGGAAGUGCAGCAGAGCAUUAAAUAUGGUUGAAUAAGAGUCCAGAAUUAGUUAAAAUAUAAAAAUGUACAGAUAAAGAAACUAGAGACAGAUACCUUCAAAUCUGCACAAUGCUUCAAUCGUUUUUUCACUAUAGCUUCUGUCAGAGGACUUUGUAUGGGUAACUCAUCAGCUCGAAUCUGAGGAAUACCAUCAGGCCUCUCUCUGGCACGAAACUCACGAUAAACAUAUGCAAGAACUCGGUUCAGAAGAUAAGUCUGCGCAUUCUUAGUCCCUGGUGAAAAGACUUCCAUAUGAGGUUCCUGCAGGAAACCAUGACUAUUAAGUUAUGGAUGAAAUUGUUAAAGUUCCAAGACAGAACAGCUCCUAAACACUAUGAUUUAUUUUCAAUGUACUGGUCUAACAACAGCAGAAAUUGAAUGGAAACAAGAACUCGGGGAGUAUUCUUGACACACAAAACAAAGAACUCAAGGAGUGUUACAUUUGUUUGACAAAAGAAGUGAAUAUGGAACAUAAUUUCUUCAGACUUUUUAUGCAGAAAUUAAUAACCAUAUACCAGUCAUAUUUGUAACGUUCAUGUUGAGAUGUUCUCAUGUACUUCUGUUCUCACCUGCUGGCAACAAACUGCCAAUGUGUAGGGUCAUUCAACAAGUGCAAUGCCAUGCUAAAACUGCAGCAAAGAAGCUUCUAAACAUGCAACACACUACAUUACUGAACUUCGUAGCAGACCCCUAUCAAUAAAACAAAUUGAAUUUCCCUGCUAAGCAUAACGAGAGCAAUCUCUACCACUGUAACAAAGGAAUAUCCAAUGUUUCAGCUAUGUUCACUAAGGCCUUGUUUAGAUCCAAAAAGUUUUUGGAUUUUGAUACUGUAGCACUUUCGUUUUUAUUUGACAAACAUUGUCCAAUCAUGGAGUAAAUAGGCUUAAAAGAUUCAUCUCACGAUUUACAAGCAAACUGUGCAAUUAGUUUUUGUUUUCAUCUAUAUUUAAUGCUUCAUGCAUGUGCCGCAAGAUUCAAUGUGACGGGGAAUCUUGAAAAGUUUUUAGUUUUUGGGGUGAACUAAACAAGGCCUAAAUCAGUAAAGCCUAAAGGUCCCACAAAGAAAAAGCAAAAGCUCAACCUAAGAUGAAAUAAUGAAUAUUUUGGAACAUGGUCUGCAGUGUAAAGCUUGGAAAUGCACCACAGCAGAGAAUUCAGCAAGGGAAUCCUAUACUUGACAAUAUAAGGAGAAACUUCAGAUAGGAAAGGGUUGGAAACAUUGCACAUCCUACUUAUACAGAACAUAGUAUUUCAGAUACCAGAGCUUACUUGUUGGCCAACAGCAUAUAGCUUGUCAAUGCGACGGAGGGAAAGCGCCCCUUUGGCUGAACGAACUAACAAGUAAUCAGUUGGUGCAACCUUAUGAGGAAAUACAGGUGAUCUGUACAUGUUUGUUUCAAGACAAGAUUGGUGGGACCCAGAAUGUAUAUCUCCUAGAAAAGGGGAUUUGUCAGAAGGAUCAAUUGCAAGCACUGUGCCCAGUCCAUCACUGUUGUUUCGCAGUGAUGCAGCUGCCUGAUCAGUAGGGGAAGUUUUCUGGUAAUAUGUACAGAGACGGGCUCCCAUUCCAGCAUUCGAGAGAAGCAAAGGUCUCUCUUCACAAUAUCUGCACUCAGGGCAAUAAAUGACAGAUGAAUUACUAUAGUGGGGAAAAAACAUAAUCAAAAUUUGCCAAUGUGCAUAACCAACAGUCUUUCACAUAUAAACAUAAUGAUAAGCACUUGGCCAAAAUAUAGAGGUAAAAGGAUAAAAAAAUCAUUGUAAAGUAUCAGAGCUCUCUAAUCACUGUAUCUGCAUUCAUGUGUCACUAACACAUGUGCUACCAUGAUAGGAAGUCCAUAAUAUCGACAAGCAAAUCACAAGCACAAAUACCUACCCAACAAGCAACCUCACACAUACACCCUCCAUUAGUGUAAGGUACAUAUCUAAAAAUUCAAACAUUGUAAUUCCUCCAUCCAGAAAUAUAGGCCAUAUUUUGACUGUCUAAGUUCGAGUUUAAUCGAUAAAUUAAUAUAAGAAUCUACGAGGUAUGUGAUCAAAUCAUAGAAAAUUGAUAUCAUUGGAUUCGUAUUCAGAGGUACAUAGAAUUGUGAUUUUGUAACUAUUAAUAAAAUAUUAUAAGAGAAAUCUCUGGCCAAAGUUCGUAACACUAUCAAUAAAGCUAUGUGAUGGAGGAAGUAACUUCUAGAUAAUAAUUCGGUCGACUAUAUAUGAGUUCAGUGAGAUGUACUGGUAGAAAAAUAUCCCCAUUUCAAUGUGCAUUCUUACAGUUACAAUUUUGUAGCUCAUAACAACAUAAUUCAAGAGAUAUCUAUGGUCAAAUUUCAACUUAACAGAUCAUGCCACAUCAAAAUGUAAUACCAGUUAGUUGAACUAGCAACUGACAAUCAAAAAAUCAGCACUUAUACAAAGUCACAAACAUUAAAGUUCAUUGAAAUUAAUACUUCAAGAAACAAUAAGGGGGAAUAAAUUGGACUUACUCCAUUAAAAAAACAUGUCCAUCCUUGACAGACAAGUCAGUUUUUUUCCUGAAAGCCCCAGGAGGGCGUAGAGGCUUGUCCUCACCAGGUAAUUUCUGUGCUUUUGGCCAUAGAUACACUUCAGUGCGAACAACAUGCACAAUGGAGUUUGGUCGCACAUUUUGCAUCGCUAGUGAGAUGUCAUCCUGAAGCUCUUUCCCAGAACAGAACAAUGUGAUCUUCUCGGAAGGCUUCAAUUCUGCAAAAAGCUAAGGCAGUGAGAGAACUAAUUAAACUGGAGGAAAUGACCAUUUGUCUUUCCUUUUGGGGCCUUAAAUUACACAGUACAUGUAUUAGCAACCAACUGCUCAACAAAAAGCAGAUAGCAUAACAAACAUUUUCCAAAUAAAGAAAAAUCAAAACCAAUGGGGUAGUAAACGGAUACCAACCAAACUUCUUUGAUGCUUUUAAUUUGAUAGAGACCGGAGUGUCCUCAGCAUUUACCAAAAUCUUGACUCCUUUUCCUCCCAAUGACAUAAGUAAAACAGCCAUCCUCCCAUGGCUACAAGCAGUUCCUUGUAACUGAGCAGCAAUUUUAUUUUCAUGUGGGUACCACUUAGCUCUUGGUCUAUGAAAGUUUGCAAUUUCCUUACUGCGCAAAGUUGACAAUCAGAGAAGUUAUUAUUUAUAGAGAUGAAUUGGCCAAAAAUCAAUAAACACUGUAGUGCAGUUCCCUGUGCAAAGAAAAAAUAAAGAUGCAGUGGGUGACAUAAGCAUGACAACAAAAUGUGACUUGAAAAACAACCUAUGAUCUCACUUUCGUUAAGCAGUAGAUUUAGCUUCCACUUAACCAAAUGUGACUUGAAAAACAACCUAUGAUCACACUUUCAAGUUCUGAAAGUUUUCUUUUAUAGGUUAAGAGGAAAUAUCAGGUGCACAAAGAGUCUCUGAACACACAUAAAACUAAAUCUUUUGCUUUGGUGGGAGGUGGGAGCUUAUUCAUAUUUCUCAAGACUGAGGAUUCAGUCGGACAGAAAGCUGAGGGAUGGCGGAAUUUCCACCUCCGAGAACAAGAACGAGUUGGUGCAUAUGUUUCCAAUACCUACUCUCAUGCGUCUUAUACUUUAUCUUUAUCUUGAACAGGGGCAUAACUAUCUCCAUCAAACAGCCAUGCAGGCUAAAUAAUAUUCAUAGUAACAGAAAUAUUUCCUCGGAACAACAAACCACUGCUAGUUGUUCUCUUGAUUAGAUAUAGAUAAAGGCUCAUAAUGAAAUGAACAUUCAGUUAAAAGGAAUAUGUUACCAAAAAAAAAAUUAUUCACUCUUAACGUCAAUGAAGUAACAAUGUAACAGUUGAAAACAUGACAAAUUCAUUUGAGUACAUGCUUGUAAGACAAUAGAAGAUGAGAAAUCAUGGAUGCACAUAAUCAGAAUUUGGCAGGAAGGGAUGGAGGCCUCAUACUUGCUCAAUACUGGCUUCAUGGUUUGCAGCUUAUGAGCUGGAGCAGAAUGCACCACCUUUAUGCCCAUUAAAGCACGUUUUUUAGUAUGAGAUUUAGCUUGCUGUGGAGUCUUCCUAUUUGAAUAAAACUUGUCAUUGGAGAUGUUGAAUCUUCCACUCAAUGUCUUUGCUUGAUUGUCAAAAUUAUCAACUGUUGGUGUUGAAGUCUUGGUUGACUGACUAACAAUCAUAGCACGAGCAUGAGACCUGAUAUGACCCACAUUCUUUUCAUCUAGGAUCUCAAAAAGCAUAUGAUCAUCUUUAAGGUCAAAGAUCAGUUUAGGCUUUGGGGUAACCUCAUUAGGAUCCCAAAUUAUGUUGUCCAACCAUGAUCCUUCUAAUAAUUCCCUAUUCAGUAAACUAAGGUUAUUUAAACGCAUCGUGGUGUCAAUUUUAACUGCAUCAUCUAAGUUAUUUGGCGUUAUGUGAUCUAAGUUAUCUUCAUUUGUCAGUGGAGGGAAACUUUUCCCAGGGGAACAGUAGUUAGCUGGAGCAGGCAUUUCUGUACAACCAAAAGUCUCUUCAAUUACUGGGGACCCAUUGCUUUUACUCCGUACAUCCCAACACCUGGAGACCUGACCAUAAUCCUUACCCUGGUCUUCACCAUGGGUGUCCACACUCUCUUCAGAUUCACAGAUUUUUGCAUAAGGCUGCUGAUCAGUUGCUGGUGAAUUGUUCCAAAUGAUAUCAUUUUCCCAAUCAUCAUGCUCAAGUGGAUAAAAAUCAGGACAAAUUGGAGAUCGCUGGACAGUACGAAUAUCCUUAUGCGCAUCUUUCAUUGGUUGUUCUGAAAGACAUGAAUCCUUUAGCCUUAAAGUGACAUCAGAAAUAGACUCAUCACUGUCACUCUCAACAAAAUCUUCAUUCAUCUGGUUGUGCUUCAAUGUUGAGAAAUUUUGGAUAGUGCUCCGGAGAAUUAGUUCCUCAUCUUCUUCAACAUUGUCAGCAACAUUUGUGAUAUGAAGCUCUGGAAGUAAUUACAACAAUACAAAUAUGAUAUUAGAUGUAUUCAAAUGUUUUGACCGGGAGUAACUGCGAUAACAAGCUAUUGACUUGCGGCACAUAGGAGCAACAAAGGCUUGUGGUAGUUUGAUGUUAUGAAAAUCAAGUACAUAUAUACAUUCAUAUAGCAGUAAAGAAAAAGAUCAAAUACAUUCCUUUUGUGGAAAUCAGCAAAAAAAUAAAGCAAUUGUAAACAAUGGUUAUGCUGCAAAAGGAUCAAUAGAUCAAACUAGAAGUCAUACAGAUGAAGAUGAGGUUCACAUAUUAAUAAUUUUUCUUAACACCAAUCAAUUAGAAGACCUGAAAGAAAUAAGCCAACAACCUGAAUGCCUUUCCAUAUAGUUGGCCCUUUUGAUAGGCUAUAUUGUUUUACAGUAAUCGAACGAUGAGGCGAAUUAGACCUCACAUGCAGCAUUUGUUUUUGGCUUAGUUUCAAAACACUGUAAUAAUAACUAGGCCUAAUCAGAAGAGGCAGGAGCCAAUUUCUAUAGAACUACUGUUUCAUCAAAUCAGAUACUUGCCCUUAGACAGAACGAACAUAUUGGAAAUCAGAUUUUUUGGAAAUUAUAGGUAUAAACUGUUGACAUAGACAGUGGCAGUUAAAUUUCUUCGUCUCAAAUUGAAUACAUGAGCAGUAAGGAUAACUAUGUUCCCAGUAACAACUGCUUUCAGGUAACAACCUCCAGCUACCAACUAUCUAUCAAGACCAUGCAUACACGGGGGAGGGUGGUGCUUCUUGGAUCUUUUUGUUGCAACAAGCAGAAUACCUUUAUUCACUGGACGUUUGUGGUGAUCUGUUUUCACUUUUCUUACAGGCUCUUGGAUACCAAAAAUUUCAGAGAACCUCAGGAUCGCAUUCCCAUCCUCUAUGCAUAAAACAGGGAGGGAAGUCGCACUUUCAGGCGCAAGAUGACCUUCCCCAGUGCCCUUUUCAUUCUGCUUAAUUAGAGAUGAAUAAGAAAAGUGCUAUAAUUAUAUAAAUAUGAUACAGGACAAUGCAAUGUUAAUUUCUUGGUCCAGGCUUCACAUACCUCCAAAUCUUCAUAUUCAAAGUCCAUGCUUUCUUCUGGAUGUGAUAACAAGCCAAGCUUUUCCGUGGCAAGGUUAUCGCUUGAGGUUGCCAUAUCUGCCUGCUCGAUAGAAACUGUAUUGAAAAGAUUACGAGAAACGAGAAUCAAGUCAGUUGGCUAUAACAAAUAUUUAUAGAUAAAAAGAUUGAAACUUGAUGUGUUAGUGCUGACAGAUGAAUGUUCUAGUUGUUUCAAUAAAAAACAAAAGAAUGCUCUAUUUAUUUUAUAAAAUGUACUCAGCAAUUAAAAUCAAGUGUGUUUGAACAAAAAGGUUGCAUAACAUUUUCACAAGUUUUCAUCUUCAAUAAUUAAAAGUGAAGUUUAUGCCAAACUAGAAUCUAUGUUCACAAAAUAAAAAGGUGAAAAAAGAUGAUCAAGUCUUCAGUUCAGAUUUUAUUAUAGUUAGACUGGAACAGACUUGAUCGCUACCACCAACGCUUACCCAAGCCAGAAGGGGAAAGUUGGACAUGCAAAUAUGAAGACAAAUACAGAUGCAGACCAAAAAGGAGGUGUCAAGCUACAAAUGUUUAACCACUAGAUGGAAGGAACAAAUAACAAGGGUAGCAUGGGAACCAGAAAGUAGCAAGAAAUGGAAUGAACAUAACAUAAAUGGAACUUGAAAACAUUAGACACGUUAUCCAGUAUCACCUGAAGAUAAAUUUUGGGCAGCACUAUCACCAGGAGGUUCUUCUUUUUCACUGGGUGGUUCUUCUUCCUCAUCGUAAUUCUCAUCGUCAAACACUGAAACUGUACUAUUGACCGAUGCAUACACUGUAGAUGAAGAGAAGUAAUCCUUUUUUGACAGCACAUUGUCUUCCUCUGUAGCUGCUUCAACUUCAGGUCCAUCAUAUUCUUCAUCAAUAUCUUCAUAAUCAACAGCAUCUUCUGCCUUCUCAUCAUAGUCUACAUAACAGCAAAAAGAUGUGUUAUCAAUUAUGUGUAUAGUUUGACAUGGAAAAGAAGAAUAAGGUCUUCCUAAGCAAUGGCAAAGUUGGCUUGAUGAAUGACUCUCAAAACUGUAGGUGCAGCUUAUAUGAAAACAGUAACAUGUCACUAACCUUGUUCAGAAGGAUCAGUUGGUGCUGGAGAAGACUUGAUUAGCUAAUUAGCAAACAACACAGUAUUAACUUGUUUGGUAAUGAAAUAGGUAAGUAAAAUUAACUAUAUGCAUAAGAUAACAUACGUCAAUGUCUUUGAGAGAUGGACCAAGCUUAUCUGCCAGUGCAAAAAGGUGUUCCUUUGCAUCCUGAAUUAAGUAAAAUAAAAGUAAUAAAGAAAUGCAACAUCCAAAUUACAUUAUAAACAUAACUAAAUAGUGACUUGGUUUCCUGCAGAUACUCAAUGGGAUAACAAUAAAACAAAAGUACCCUAAGGCUGCGCAACUAACCUUUGUUCUGGCUAAAAUUUAGUGAGUUCUAACGAAGACUCUUCAGAAAAUAUCCAACUUACGAGAAAAUUACAGUGCAUGGACUGAGAAAAAUUUUGGUUCAUAGCAUUGAUUUUCCCUAUCUCAUCAUUUUCAGAACUCAAAUCAAGUCAAUUUAAUCAGUGGAAUAUGGUUCUUUUAGUAAUGCUGGUUCCUAUAAAGCAACUGAGCACCCUAAAAUAUAAGUUAUAUGGAUCAAAAUGUUAAGAAAAAGAGCACCAACAAAGAAGUUAAUCUGUAUCAAAUCAUGACCAACUGAGAAUGCACUAAGCCACUAAGAUCAAAAACAGAUAGAGAUGCAUGUCAUCUGCUAGAGGCAGACAUGUGAAUUAAAAUAAUCAAAACAACAAAAAACAGGACAUUGGCAUGCCAACAAAAUCAGAUAUUAAAAGUCUGUACCUCAUCAAGAUAGUCAGCAUCUAAGUCACCAGAAUCAUCUACAUUGCCAAACAUAAACCCCAAGAAGUGAUUUCCUCCACCAGGCUCCUCAUAAUCCUCGUCGUCAUCGUCAUCUGUAAGGAUGACAACAGUAAUCACUAAUAAAUAAGGUGGGGUUAUUCAAACAAACUCAUUGCUAGUUUCAACCAGCAUUUCAUCAAUUGUACUUAGCUUAAAAUAAAUCCAGUUUUGGAGCAACCUUAGGAAAUUGUUAGGAAAACUAAGAAUCUGGGGUUAAUGAUGACAUGAUGCAUUCCCACACAGAGGUUUACAUGUUUUCAGUAUUUUGGAGAAUCUCAAUGCUAGUUUCAACCAACAUUUCAUCAAAUUAAGUUUCAAGACAUCACAUAAAAUACAGAAGAUCAUCAUGGAACAGUUAACCCUUCAGACAAUCAUCUUCAUACUCAUAACAUCAUUUUGCAGUUUUAUGAUUCUCACAGCCAACUCUAGAGAUUGCAACUUCACAAUUACAAGCCCAUAGCAGAUCAGCAUGCCAACCACCCCAUCUUACAUGGGUGCGUGUAGCUGCCGCAACUAAAAUCUCCAAACGCGCAAAAAAGAACAUCGAAUUCUAUAUAGCACCAGACAGCAUGCCAUCGGCUUAUCAAAUCCCAUUUAAACAGGCACCACAAACAGUUGCACAAAGCCCAGCAAAUACACUAGUUAACAUAGCACACCCAACAGAUCAGAAACCAGCUAUCUGACAACCCCUGGGGCCGCCCAUCUGCUCUUGCACCAACACCAAACCAAAAGCAUAACGUGGCUAUGAUGAAGUCCUGGGUGUCGUCGAGCUCACCUGCGGCACUGUUGGUCGGAUUCUCCUCUUCAUGGAGCUCGCCGUCGCUCAUGGCUGCAGCCUGCAGCUGUCACUGUCCUCUACCGCCUCCCCAGGCCGCGACGGCACCAGUAGCUACAAACCCUAGGCCGCCGCACCCUCCUAAUCGGCGCCGUAGCUCGCAAAAUCUAGAAUCGCAGGGCCGGGUUGGAUCGAGUGGAUAAAAAAUCUCAAGGUGUAGCGUAAAGGGCGAGGCCAAACCAGAGGCCGGGGAGACCCGAGACCGGGCGAUUUCCGCCAGGUCUCCGCAGGAUUUUCUGCACGUAGGGAACUGUGUCCGCGGACUGAUUGACCUUCAAGCGCAAGAUCAGCGGAGUAGCGGGGGCGUCCUGCUUCGUUUCUGGCGACGACGAGAGAGGCGGCGCGGCGCGGCGAUGGCGGUGGCCGUGGCGGUGGCGGACGGGCGGAGAGGAGGGUCGUGGGGGGCUAGAUGGGGAGCAAAGCGGAGGGCAGGGAGGGGCUGGGGCGCCGACUGCGGCCGCGGCGCGUGCCGGGCGCCGAGAGGCGGGCCAGAUCGGGCCGAAAAAAAAUGCGGCCCAUAAUGGAUAUGCACGAGCACAAUCAGGCAAAUCAGGCGCGAUGGCAGCCCAUGAGCGUAUAUAUAAAGGAAAAGAUCCAAUUGGGCCCUUGACUAUUUUCCAAGCCCGAUUUGCCUAAAACCAGAUUUUUAGACUCCUCUAAUUUUUUAAAUCAUCCAAAUUAUCUUUUUUGGCGGUUUUAAAUGUGGUUUUAUCCGACAUAGCCCGACGUUAGCCGUCCUACAUGGUACCACGACAUUCACAAGGGAAAUCAAUUAAACUUACACGAUAUUUUAGAGAGAUCAACUAAUCUUCAUCAGAAAUUAAAGAGAUGUUUUUCUUAGAAAAAGUUAUCCAAACAAUUUUCUAAAAAGUAUGCAUUUAAAAAUACUUAAGUCUGAUUAACCUAAGAAAAAUGAUAGACAACUUGUCUUAUUAACUCAAAAAAUAUGAAACUCGAUUUCUCCCUAAAAUUUAAAAUUGGACCAAAUAUGAAAUAGACAAUGCAGACCAAGACAAAUCCUUGCAGACUAAAGCAUGAAUCAACGUGCAACCCAGUGGUCAUGUGGUUUGUAUUUGUAGCAACACUUUCUUCUCCUAGCAAUACCACGACGAUGAUGUGUGCUGAUGCACCCUAAACCCUAGGCCAUAUGUGGGAAGCCACCCAAUGGCUUCUCCAAGUCCCUAAUAGACAUCUACAACUUGGCUAACAUCCGGAUGGACGUGGUUGCUUCCUUGUCUAUUGUCAUCGUCAUAGUUUGCGGACACACUAGGAGCACAUGAUAGAGCAAGAAGGUACUUUGGACGGUCUUACGAUGCCAAACUUCAUGUGUGUUUUUAAAAUCAUGUUUUAUAUUAUGGUUCCUAGCUCAAAAUAUCAUAGAUCAUGCUUUUAGAAAAAAACAUAUAACUGGUUCCAUAUUUUCUAAGAUAAAUAGAUUUUCUAUAUUUUUCUAGGGUCAAAUUAGUUUAGUUAGUAGUUUUAAAAUACAUAUUUUGAAACAAAAAAUGAAUCUUUUUGAAAAAAAUAAUUAUAUAUUUUUAAAUGUUUAGUUGACCUCCCUAAACUACCGCGAAAGUUUGUUUUACCUCCCUUAUGGUUGUGAUGGCACCAUGUAGGACGUUGAUAUCAUGCCAUGUCAGCCAAAUUACUUUUAAAACCACCAAAAUUUUUUAAUUGUGUUGUUUAAAAAGUUGUGGUAGCCUAUAAAUCCAGCUUUACGACUAGGGGAGGUAAAUCGGACUUACACAAUGAUUAAGGAGGUAAAUAUGAUUUUAAACUGGUAUUUUUUAGCAUUAGUAAAUAAUAAAAGAUUGUACUUGUAACUUGCCUAACCUGUUUGUUUAGGCCAUAUAAGUGGGAAAAAUUGUCAGUCUUAAAUCUUAAUCCAUAAAUUAUUGUCAUAGUCUAAUUUUCUUGCUUCAAUUUCAAAAUACUCCUAAACUUUCAAAACCAUCCAAAUUAUCUCAUAUCGUACUUUGGAGUUGUUUUAAAGGUGGUAUCGUCUUUUAAGUUUAAAAAUUAAUAAAUACUUGACACAAUUGUUAACCCAAACAUAUAUAUCUCUACUCUUUCAAAAAUCCUAAAAAAACAAAAAAUAUAUUAGGAUAGAAAAACUUAAAUAAAAAAUUAGAGCUCACGAAAACAUCUUUAGAAACUAAAAAAAUGUUUAACUAUAGAAAAAAUCAGAAAUAUCUAUAAAAUUAUAGAAAUGGCCCAAAACAUUAUAAUUGAUAUACAAACAUGCUUUAAAAACUUGCCUAGCAAAAGUAUGCCAUGCAACCAGCAUGAAUGUAAUAUUCAUGUCAAGCAUACGUACUGGUAGUGUAUUAUGUCUUCUUUGUUGCAAAAAAAAAUCAAAACUCAACUACAUAUAGAUUAAAUUGUUUUCGGAUUUUUUUCUAUAUUUUUCUAGAUAUUUUCACAUUUAUGUAGAUCUAAAUCUAAUUUUAAAGCAUAUAGAGAUAUUUUCAUGAGCUAUAAAUAUUUUAUUUAGAUUUAAAAGCAUAUAGAGAUAUUUUCAUGAGCUAUAAAUGUUAUAUAAAUUUCAAAAGCUUAGAUGUAUUUUCUAUGGUUUAAAAACCUUAUCAAGUACUUAGCAAUUUUUUAAAAUAAAAAAAGAUAAAUUUGAUUUUGAAACCACUCCAAACAGUUUGUUCGCUUGGCUGAGAAGCCAUGGUUGAAAAAACUGUUCAUUGAUUUGUUGUGAGAGGAAAACAUUGUCGAAUUCACUGAUUUGUUGUGAAAGGAUAAACACUAUUGAAUGACUAACAGAUUCGGCAGAUAAUCUCAAACGAACAAGCUGAUAUGGAGGUAGUUUAAAAGGUUCUAAGAGUUUGGGGAUAAGAUGUAUGGAUUUGGAGUUUAUAAGAAGGAAAAUCGUACUCUAAAUAUAGUUCGAGAAGGUAGAAAGGACUUUUUCCAAUAGGAGAAGGGAUGACAGAUGAAAGGCGACCGGCUUGACCAGAUGUGGUGGCAGAAAGUGAAUCUCGUCGAUUUACUUUAUCAUUCAGAGUCGGUUGUUUGUAUACACUAUCCAGUUCCAUAUACGAUUCCAUAGAUACAUACCAUAAAUUCAUAUACAAUUCCAUAAAUACCAAAUUUGUUGUAAUUCUGUGACAAGGUUCUCUAAAAAUCUAUAUGCGCAAGAGAAACCAGAGGAGCAGUUACAGAAACAGAAAUGGACUCCGAAUCUGUAUCGGCUUGCGGUAUUAGUAUAUGUGCAAUUUUGGGAGAGCAACACUGCAACAGAAUUCAAGCAUUAUUCCAGGCUUGUAGCCCAGGAAAGAACAAAGGGUGUGUUGAUUCACAGAAACGUAGAGCAAUUUUUUUUUCUUUUUUCAGAGUCUGCAGCAUGCAUUUUUUUGUGCAUUUUUGUACUGAAUACGAUCAGGAACAAUGUACAGAAAUUAAGGAACCUAUGCACAAUAUGGCACAAAUAUAUGCAAAUACUUUUAAACGUGUUUUACAAGGAAUCCUGAAGAAACAAAAGAGCUUGGACUUGGACAGAGUUCUUCAAUAUGGCUUUUGUCCAGAGAACAUUAUAAACGAUCUCUGAACUUUGCUGCUGUAGUUGACAAGGCCACAGGAUUUGCACAAGUCUUCGAGCUCUCCUUCAGUAAAAUAGUUGUAGCUGGUGUUAACUGGUCCAACAAUCUGCACCAUAAAGUGGUAAAAGGCGGAACAAAUUAGAUAAGCUUAGCGAAAAAGAGAAUAGUAACUAGAAAAGAUGGCCAAAUACCUGUCUAAGUGGCCUUAGUGCUUCAACAGAGAAUGGGUUGUUCCUGGGAGAGGAUAAAAAGGUGGUUCCCACAAAAACUCCACCAGGCCUCAGGACACGGCUUAUUUCAGCUACCUGAUAAUUAGACAUCAGUAAAUAUUUCAUGAUAAUGAACGGAAGGACAGGAUUGCCAUUAUAUUGUUGGUUGGCAGUGAACUAAUGAUACAAUUUAAGUUCUGAUUUAUCUUGUUGGCCAAGAUGCAAUGUCGUAUUCAGAUUUAAACAUGAAUAGAAUCAGAGAAGCCAUACUGGAAACACACAGGGGAAAAUGUUAUCACUAUUUAAUAUCAAAUAAUGGCCUUUAGCGAUAUACUUUUGUUAAAAUUUCAGCAUGGUCCCAAUGGUGAAGGUAAGAGUAUGAUUUAUAAGCAUCCCAGUUUCAUCAGUUGUUUUGUUUAAUACAACAUAGAUCUUAUGAAAUGAAAAGUUAUGGUUUACUACGAAAAGCUUUUAUGCACCAUAUGUAACUAUGGGCAGAUAUUGUGCCGUUACAUGUUGUAUAACAACAUAAAUCUGAAUCUUUUUUAAUAAAAAAAUAUUAGCACAACUGCACAUGUCAAAAGUGAAAAUGAGAAAUUGUACCGCAUUAGAGGGUGAGGGCCAACAAUGGAUAGCCGCUCCAGCAUGAAUGGCAUCUACUGAACAAGAAGCGAAAGGGAGCCUUGAAAUAUCUGCUCUCACAAGUGCUAGAUUCCUGCAGAACCAAAAGAGGAAAAUAGUCACCGGUUUGUGUGGCUUGAUCUUGGAAUAAAGAUAACAGAAGUUAUCAAUUAUUGCUUAACUUAUAUAUAUUGUUCAAAGCUCAAUUGGGGGAAAAUUUUCUUGGGAGGCAUACAGUAACAAAAUAGUGGAUGCACUGUUGAUUACAAUCCACUAUAGUGUUUAUGAUAAUAGAUAUUCGUAUCAUUGGUAUUAAACUAGAAAAAAUAUUAGCUUCCAACAAACAUCAUUAGUGACCCCCCGCCCUAAUAUUUCGUUCAUAAUAUGCUUGGUUUGUUGCAUCGAGAAAAUGCUUUGACCUGCCCCCAACUUCUCAAUACUGAGCAUGAAGUGACUACUGGAUUGGAGAAUUAUGGCUCCUAAUACAACCCCAAAUCCCCUGUUAAUCUGCAUCCAUGAUCCAACAGAAACUUUUCCUUCAGUGCUACAGGGGAAGCUCACCACAAAUGAAAAAAAGAUUCAGAAACAGGACAGAGAGCUUACGCAUUGAGGAGAGUAUCAUCUUGCUUAAUGAACUCAUAGCAUUGGCGGAGCAUAUUCUCAGAGAAGUCCAAAGCAAUCACAGCUGAGUAUGUCCCAGAUUUUGCAAACUUCCUAGUAAACAAGCCACUGCCACAGCUGACAUCAAGAAGGAUACCACCAGCAACGGGUUGAAAAUAGUCUUGAGCCAUUUCAAACUGACAAUGCCAACAGAUCCGAAGAGGGACAUGCAUAAGAGAGCGAAGAGUUGAGGAUCUUUGCUAGAUGGACAAUUUUUGAAUCGCGGCGACUUAAAAAGUCUUUUGUUGCAACACGAAAACAACAGGCGCAACAUUUGUAAUAAUUAUUCAAUCAUAGAAAGACUUUAAAACUAUGGUGUCAAAGAUGAAGUUAUCCAGCAGAAAAGCACCUCUUCAUCAAGACCAGGGAAACCACUCCGAUUAAAGUUUUGUCGCCACCCUCUCUCAUAAAGAAAUGAGACAAGUGGACUCCGGAACAGCUCAGUUCUAGCGGGCUUCUGUUCACUAUAUUCUUUUGUCCCUGCAGUUACAGUGAGGUCCAAGAAGAUGUCUUUGCUGGUAAAUGACUUGUUGCACUUUGAACACUUGAAUCCCGACCUAUAAAUUGCUGGCCUGGGGCAUGCAUAUAUAAUCCAAAAGAACAUAAAUGUCAAUCAAGCCAAAAACAUUUGCUGGAAAGAGGAGCAGAAAUGUACUAGGACAUACAAGUUUAUGCCUGGUGGCCCUUUUCUCAUCAGUGGUUCGUAGCAGACAGGGCAGGCAAACACCUCAGUUUCCAUAAUGCUAUUUUGCUGCUGCUCUUUUGUUUCCUGUAAUCACGAAAAAUUACGAGAUCUUCAGAGGAAUGCCAACUCCUAGAGAAAUGGAUAGCAGGGUCUGUUAGGAAACAUUUUGCUAGUAACAAACAAUUGACCCACAUCACAAAGUCACAAAUCCCAGAGAAAUUCUCAGAGGCAACCAGCAUCUACCAAAAUUUAACAAAGCUACCAUAACAUAGGCAUACAUGGGUGGACAGAAAACGACUCUGACAAUCGGAAGUAGGUCACUAUAGUCUCUGCUUUCCGCUUAACUCUUCUCAAGGCACCACUUUACCCGUGAUUUGGAUGUACCCAAGAGCAGAGCAAGGUGAUUGUGGAAGAUGCGUAGGUUCAUCUGUACAGAUAAACCUGUCAGAUGAUUAUCCAAUGGGGCAGGUCUUUGGUGUGAUGGCAUCACCAGUAAUAAGUUCGCAGAUACCAGGUGCAGCAACUGAUACCAGAAAGACGGACUAGGCUGCAGGUAAGAUCUCCAUUACCAGCACUCCAGCAGCACUGAAUCGAUCAAGCAACAGAGCCGAGCAUAACAAAGAACACGUGGCGGGCAUCGGGCAAGAUAACAAGUCCGUUGACUACAACAGUAACAACCUGUAACUGCAAACCCGACGAGAAAGACCACGUACCGGCUCCGCGGCGAUCGCCGCGGCUGCGGCGGCGGCGGCGCGGAGAGUAGGGAACCCGGGCCGACGGGGACGGGAUGGGCCCGCGGCAGGGGCGGGGAGCCGCAGCGAGGGUCGCGCUCGCGCGGAGGAGGGCGCGGUCGCCGCGGGUCGUACCAGCAGCUGCAGCUCCAUGGCGCGCAGCACAGCGACCGAUCUGAGACGGAGCUGCCUGCGGGCUUGGAUUGGUGUCUUGGCGAACAGCGAGCGCUCGCCGCGGAGGGGGUCGGUGUGGUGGUGGGUGGCAGCGGUUACGGCGUGCUGGCGUGGCGCGACGCGCGCCCGUUCGCCAACAAGGGGGCGACGCGGGCGAGUCGGCUCUGAUGGUCUGAUCCUGCGUCGGCCGCGUGGCGAGCCGCUGAUGAAUCCGUGGUUACCACUCGCGCCCGUCGCAGAUUUUUCGUUGUUUCCUCGUCUCCGGCACUGGCAACAGCGUGUCACAAAACAAAUUAUUCUACUUUUUUCCGUACUCUCUCCGUCCCAAAUUAGAAGUCGUUCCAAAAAUCUUAGAGAGUUCAAGUUUUUUAAAUUUAACCAAAUUUAUAUAGCAAAAUAAUAAUAUUUUUGGUACCAACCAAGUAUCAUCUUUGUUAGUUAUAUUUUCAUAGUGUACCUAUUUUAUGACAUAAAUUUUUAUAUUUCUCUUUAUAUUUUUGGUCAAACUUAAAAAUACUUUAACUCUUCAAGAUUCUUAGAAUGACUUAUAAUUUGGAACGGAGAGAGACUAAAAAAGAGGCCGUCAUCGUCAGAUGAAGUGCUGGAGGGAGACGUUUUAGCUUGUCAAGCUGGGGACGGCUUGUGCGUGCAGAGAUAAACCUGAUGGAGUGUACUUAAGCGUCUCCCGGUCGAUCAUACAGUAUUUUCGGUUGCGUCAGACAUCCCUCCAUCAUUUCCAAACGAAAAGGGUAAAAAAAAAGCUCAUUGAAUCAAUGUCAUGUGAUCAUGGCCGUGUUUAGUUCGCGAAGCGAAAAAUUUCGCGACAAUGUAGCACUUUCGUUUGUUUGUAGUAAUUAUUAUCCAACGAUGAACUAACUAGGCUCAAAAGAUUCGUCUCGUCAAUUUUAACUAAAUUGUGCAAUUAAUUUUUAUUUUUAUCUUUUUUACUACUUCAUGCAUACAUCUAAAGAUUUGAUGUGAUGGAGAAUCUUGAAAAAUUUUAGAUUUUUUUGGUGGAACUAAACAAAGCCCAUGCCUCGCUACAUCGCUCGAAAUCUGCAAGCGAUCAACGGAAUUAUUCUCAGCAAAGCAACAACUGGUGCUGGAGGCUCGAGCCACGGCUGCUGGCCUGCUGUGCCGCUCUGUGCCACUCCGUUGUUUGGUGCUGGUUAUCUGAAGACUGAAGCUUUAGUGCAAGCUGCAAGGUCUGUGCGGCACACCCCUUUGGUCACCAACAGCGACGGGCCACAAGCCCACGAGCAAUUGUGUUCGUGUAAAUCUCACGGCUACCUUAAAGGUAUUGUCUAAAGUUUAGUUGAUGAAAGUUAAAAUUUUAAAUUUUAGAUCACUUUAACUUGUGUAGUCUAAUGAAAUAAUGACACUUUUUUGUGAGUCUGGCUAAAUUUAUAGAAAAUAUUCGCUUCCGCCCUAAAGAGAGCCGCACGAGGCUUUUCGCUUCAAACUUUUGACUAGGUUUGAAAAUAUUAGAACGUUUGUAUUUUUAAAUAAGUUUAUUAGGAAAACAUAUUUAAUAAUUAAUGUAAUCAUACCUAUCAUGUAUCAUAAAUGUUAAUAUUCUCUUGUAUAUAUUUGAUCAAAAUUGAAAAUGUUUGACUUAUUAGAAAAUAAGAAUGGUAUGUUUUAUGGGACGGAUGGACUUGUUUGGAUAAAUUGAUUUAUAGUGAUAGUUAUGUGGAGUACUCAUUUUACCCUGAAUAAAUUAAUUUGUAGAGUUGUCUUAUUUCAAACUUCUUUAUGCUUUGACCAUACUUAUUAAAAAAAACAACAAUAUCUCUGACACUAAAUAAAUAUAUAUAAAAAUUUAUUUCAUGGUCUAUCUACCUAAUGUUAGUAAUUCGGUGGUAUAGAUCUUGACCUUUUUUUAUAUAAAUUUGGGUUGUUUUUUUUUAAAAAAAAUAUUUAAAACAAUUUUAGAAAUUAAUUUAUUCAUGAACGAAAAGGUAGACUUUGUACUAAUCUGUAUUAGACAUUUUUUUACAACAAUAUUAGACAUUGUAGAGCCCAAAAAUUAACACAGCAACCAAUCCAUCACUGCGGUUAUGCUGGAAAGUCGCAACGAUAAACGACGCCAUUUCUAUACGGGCAACAACUAGUAAGAAUAAUAAAGUUGUACUACUCACCAGAUGGCGAUAGCAAGGGCGUCGGCAGGCCAAGCUCCGGAUAACGUACGUUAACCCCGGGCUAGCUAGUCCAAUAGCCCAUGCAAUGAUCCUUGUUUUCACUGGGGAGGUCAAGCCCAAACGGUGCGAUGUGAGUCAGGGGGCACGCAGCGAGAAUUGGCAACGUUUUACUCUCUCUGUUAUUAGCUGAUUGGAUUGGAUUGUACCUUUUGUGCGUCAUCAAAUGAAAAGUGCAAUCAGACUACCCGCUUCUAUUUCUGAAAACCAAAAGGAAAGAUCGACUAUACUCCUUCCUAGCUCGUAGAGCACUGACCACCACUGAUUAGGCGAUGGACUAUUACUAUAUACUCGUAUUCACUUUACUAGCUUAUCGGACAUGCAUGGUGGGAUGUAAUCUGAAUCGAUCCUUAUCUUCUAGCCGAUGAUGAUGAUGAUAAGGAACGAUAUCGCACUUGGCAUCGCUCGCCUUUUUCGAUCAGGUGCAAGUUUAAUUAAAGCGCUUGAUCAUGCAUGAGUCACGACCUGCUCCUGCUGUCUCUCCGAUAAUCUCGAUCAAACUCUAUCGUAGUUUUACCUCUAUUUUUUUUCUCUCUCUCUCUCUUUCCGCACAACUGCCGUGCGUCGUCAACGGCACAACCGCUUUCUCGGCAAAGUCGAGACUCCAGAGCAAAGCGAUGCCAGCGGCAGCGAAACCAGCGUGCCUUGUCAGUCCUCACCCAACGUCGUCGGCCGUCGGCCGUCGGGCUCGCGCCGCGCAGGCGCCAGCAACCGCUGCCGCUUUGCGAGCUGCAUGGAGAGGGACCAGCAGGGUAUCUCAGGCCGACCACGGCUCCACCACCGGAUCCCCUGGCCGCCUGCCCGCCUCGCCUCCGCCGCCCGAUGUCUCGGCGGAGCAUCCAGCAUCCGAUCCGGUUCCAGCCGCCCCGCGCGCGUUCACAUCGACGGAAGCAUCAAACCAGCCAAUCCCUUUUUUUUUUUUUGCUUUUGAUCUGAGGCCUUGUUUAGUUCAAAAAAUUUUGUAAAAUCGACACUGUAGCACUUUCGUUUGUAUUUGACAAAAAUUAUCCAAUUAUGGACUAACUAGGCUCAAAAGAUUCGUUUCGUCAAUUUCGACCAAACUGUGCAAUUAGUUUUUAUUUUCAUCUAUAUUUAAUACUCAAUACAUGUAUCUAAACAUUCGAUGUGACGAAGAAUCUGAAAAAUUUUGCAAAUUUUUUUGGAACUAAACAAGGCCUGAAGGCCCUUUUUGCCUGAACGCGGACAUGCCGCAGCGGGUGCUUUCCCCUCCCUCGCACGGCUUUCCUGUCUGUGUCUGGCACUCUGGCGCCCGCCCGUUCCGUCCCUUUCGGCUGCGCGCGUACCGUAUCUGCUCUGCUGGUGCUGCUGGCUGGGUCAUCGAACGGAACAAUAUCCAGUUUGCCGCGACUGCGAGGCCGGGGGCGUCCAAAGCGUCAAAAGCGUGUAGUUUUCUAUUGCGGUUGGCGGCAAAAGGCCGUGUUAAGGCACUUACGAAUUAUUAUUACUGAGGCUUUAUUUAGUUGACGCAAAAAACAAAAAAAGUUUCAAGAUUCAUCGUCACAUUGAAUUUUGCGUUACAUGCAUAAAACACUAAAUAUAGACGAAAAUAAAAACUAAUUAUAUAGUUUACUUGUAAAUCACGAGAUAAAUCUUUUAACUCUAAUUAGUUUAUAAUUAGAUAAAAUUAUCAAAUAAAAGUACUAUAAUAUCGAAAACUAAAAAAAUUUAGCAACUAAAUAAGACCUAACAAGACCUGAGUACGAUCGAUCGGUGUGGGAUGUUUGACGACGUGGGUGCGCCGUAGCCGUGGAACGGCACCUACGACGAACUAGGGGUGCAAAGGGUAACCUUUAGGUGCACCUCCAAACCUCUUUAGUUUAAAUAUUUAUACUAUUUCUUAAUUUUCUUGAAGAAAUAGUAUAAAUAUUUGAACUAAAGAGAUUUAGAGGUGUAUCUAAUCAUCACUCAUUUGCACCCUACGGCGAACUAAUAAGCUGCCAAAAGUAAGGUCAAACCUGGUCGGCACUCUCGCCAGCCAAGGCGUCUAGUGUUACUGUGCUACUGUGCCAACAAGAACGUACAGAUUCUGUGUUGUAUACUUGCUCAGUUGCUCUUGCUCUCGGUAAGAUUUUUCUCAAGAUCACGCUGCCGCAGUUCGCCGCACCAUCCGCGCCGCAACUUGAGCAUGUGUUUGCUUCGGGGCCGCAGCCUCGCCACCGGCUUCUAGUCCAUUUGGGACGCCAAAACGCGCCAUAGUUUGGGCGGCUGAUUUCAUCGCCGUAUUUUUAGCGGGGCCGCGUACUAUGCAAAUUACCUCAUACCCAUUACUACAUGAAAUUAUCCGCCGAAUUAUCCAAAUCCGAGGUACUCUAUCCUAAAUUCGAAUAGCAAUUUUGAUUACCCAAAACUAGUUUAGGUAAUUCAGGUAAUAUCCCCCGGUACCUGACUACCCGAAUUACCUAAUUUUUUGUCUAUGUCUUUGUAUUUAUCCUGUGUUGUUAGUUAAACAUUAGAACUUAUUAAUUUAUUAGAAUAUAAUUUUCUUUGUUUAAACAAGUGACCGUAAUAUAUUCUCUACAAAAUGCUAUUGAAAUUCUAUACAAAUUGCUGCUGAAAUUAUAUAUGAAUUGUUAUUGAAAUUUUGUGUAGUGUGUUGUUUUUUGAAAAUUCGGAUAAAUUGGGAAUAUUCGAACCUGAAUUAUUGGGUACCCAAAAUUGCGAGUAGUGUUUUUUCAAGAGUAAUAUCGGGUAAAAAUUUUCAUUACCUGAAUUUUGAAUUACCCGACUCGAAAAAAUCAGAUAACCCAAACGCCCAAGCUUAGCCAUCAGCCGCUGCAGAUCCGUCCUUGGAGAUGAACCGGGCAUAGACUCCUGCUUAGCUUAUUCGCUGAAUUUCAUUCAAUAAUAUUUUUCUCUCACAAUAAAUCAGUAAAUAGUACUUUAGCUAUGACUUAUCAGCUAAACGAAUAAGACGUGGCCAUGAGACGCGCGGAAACAAAUAGGACUUAACGUGUAUUACGUUGGACCGAACCAAACGCUUUGCUAUUGUCAUUUGUGUCGUUAGGCUGGCGGCUGGCCACCACGUAUACCUAGGCAUGCAGCCCGAGCCCAUGAGCACGGCCUGAAGCCCGUCCUUUUGGCCCGGCCCGGCCGAAGUUCAUUGGGCCCGGGCUGGCACGGCACGGUGGUGUAGGCCGUGUUUGGGCCGCACUCUAGGCCCACAGGCCGGCACGGCCCGGCCCGCCAAAUAAUGGCAGGCCCGGUACCGGCCCGCACCCCAACGGCUAGCAGUAGCAGGCCAGCGGCAACCCACCUCCCCUCUCCACCGGCUCCUCGGCUCCCCGCAUCCCCCCAUAUAAAUUCCCCCCCCGCGCGUCCCUCACCCUCACCAAACCCUAACCCUAUUCCCCACAUCCCCACCCGUAGCCGCCGUCGCCCACUCGCUCUCGCAGUCGGCCAGUCGCAGUCUCGCUCUCGGUCUCGGAUCGGAUUCGAUCAGCGCCUCCUCCUCUCGACUCCUUCGUCGUCGUCGUCCUUCGAUCCGGUGACAUCGUCGUCGCCGUCGGCUCUCUCCCCGAGUUCCCUGCUCCCUGCCUCCCUCUCCCUAUCUGUCUCCCUUCUUCUUCCUCUAUCCUGUCCAUGAGCAUGUGAGUCCGCCUCCCCGUCUCUGUUCCGUGUCGCUCGUCGUCCUUCUUAAUCUCAUCUUCUCCGGCGCCAGGCUCCGGUUGCGUAGGUAAGAUCUAACCCUAGAUCUCGUCUUUCCUUCGUUGUUCCAGAUCUCAUCCUUCUUAAUCUCGUCUUCUUUGUCGUUUCUCUUUUCCCCCCAUUCUAAUCUAACCCUAGAUCUUUUCUUUCUUGCAGGUCUGUUGCCGAUGCCUCGUCGUCAACUAGCCUUGGUGGCGUAGACGGACGACGGGCUAGGGCAAUGGCACCAUGGCCAAGCCGUGGCCACGCAUCGUUGAGGAAUGGUGCUGGAGGAGUUCAGCCGUCCGCGGCCGAGGGCCCCUUGGCGACGACGUGCGAC
RNAcentral lists this long non-coding RNA (288229 nucleotides) under Sorghum bicolor (sorghum). Its description in RNAcentral is "long non-coding RNA (SBIC_LNC018292)". The stretch from base 169926 to 170034 matches the Rfam family "MIR5565 microRNA precursor family". Lineage: Eukaryota; Viridiplantae; Streptophyta; Magnoliopsida; Poales; Poaceae. The record is from RNAcentral.